AUAUGAGGAAGAAGAUAACGAAUGAGUGCACGAUCAUUUGAAAGCUUCUUGAUCCACGUCCACAAAUUGUUCCCUUGUGUUCAAGCUUCAAACGGAUUGAGGUAAGUCAAUUCAUCUGACAGUCAAUGUUUUCCCUUUUCAGCAAUGUACUUCUUUCACGGAUAUGAACGGUGAAGUUUCACAUGCACUUUUUAAUUAACUUUUCUCGAGUUGAUGGCUGCAAAUUUGAUAAAGGCAUUGAAGUUACGAUACCUCUGUACAACCAAAGGGUUGUUAAUUACGUACAAAUAUCCGUUCUCUUUUCCUAGUUUGGUUUUGCUUUUUAGCUAUAUUUUUUCUCGGAUGGUUUCUACUUGUUUUAUGUUUCCCAGCUGAAGGUAUGUAUGUCGAUUGCAUCGUUUUUAUUUGAAAUGUAACAAAUUUUUAGAGAUACUUGUCAAUUUGCUGCUUCACAUAUUUCGAAGUUGAUAACCUUGCCUUGCAUUGAAGAUAACUUUGUUAUGCAGUAAACAAUCCGAUGGAAUGGGUGUUGGAAGGCCAUAUAACUGCGGUUCUCAUCCUGGAACUUUACAGCAUAAUCAACUCAUCGAUGCAAUUGUGAAGAAGAUAGACACUCUCUAUUGAUAUGCUUAUGUUCAGUUUAUUUUCCAAGAAAGGUGUGCUUCUUAGUGGGAUUUGCAAAUGUUAUGGAGAAGUUAUAAAAUGAAGAAAGACGGAUUUCACUUGGGUAGCGGCAUCAACAGUUUGCGCAGCAAACUUCCACCUGUGACAGGAGAGAGGAGCUACUUAGCUUCUCCAAUGUAUCAUAAAUCAUCUUAUAGUCAAAAGCUAAUAUUUCAGUAUUCCUGGUGCAUAGGACAUAUGAUGAGUCUUGCUGGGGUCAAAAAUCAUGUAAGUGGACUCUCGUAUGAUAUCCAUUAUUGCCUACAUCUUCUAGAAAUGGUUAAACCUAGGUGAUUAUCUGUAAUAGAAGCCCAUCCAUUCACCUCAAGCUAUACUAAAGGACUCUUUUAGGUUUUGAGUUUGACAAGAACUGUGAAGGGAGACAUCUCAAACGACCAGCUUUUUGCCGGUUUCUAAUGUUGCUGAGAGGUUUUAGAGUUUGAGAAACUUACAUAAAUCUUUCUGUGCAGGGAGCUGUGGCUAAUUAGGCAUCUGUACAAAUGAAGACUGAAUGAAGGAAAAUGAAGAUGACAUUCUGUCGCCUGAGUUUCCUUUCACAUUCUUGGGGGCGGCAAACUGUUCAUCCAUUUGUCGAGAGACAGAAACUUGAAGAUUAGGGAGGAUAGUCGUUGCCUAAUGAUGAAAUUGUCAAAUCUGUUGAACUCGAUGUUAAGUUUCAGUUGAAUUUUUUGCACUUUUUUUCUAGACCAGGGCAGGGGGGAUUCAUUGUGCGAUUCGUGGCAUCAUACGUAAUGUUUUUUUUUGGGGGGGGGGGUGUAAAAGGGCUAUUUAAGCAAACCCGAUAGUUUAUUAAUCUUUUUUUGUGGGGCCAGAGAAUGAAUAUUGCACUUCAACUGCAUGUGUGUUCUCUUCAUUGACAUGCAAUAGAACUUGCUUAUCAGUACACAGAUAUUCCUCUGCGAGGAAACACUUGAAGGGCUUGUCUGGACAGGGUGAAAAAUUGUGUGUGCUUAAAGAAGUGUUCACGGUAUUGCCUGCCAAAAUCAGUUCAUGGACUUCUUGAUGUGAAAAUGGUGCUCAAGGUAGUUUUCCUCAUGAGUAUGAUGGGCACUCACAGCAUAAGAAGCAGGAAUUGUUGGAAUUCAUGAAAUGGACGGUGGAUGUCAGUUGAGUCUCACCAAAAUUAUCUACAAUAGUCUUCGCAUGGUUUUGAGUACUGUUGCUUUCUUUCUAACAAUCGUGAUACUUUAGAGCUCAAGGGCAAUCAGUACUUAAAGAAUCAACUCAUCUUUUGCGUCCAUAAGUGGAAAUUUACUGAAAUAAGUAAUGUUGAUGAAAGGAUCAAGACAAAUGAAAGAUAGGCUAUCUAGUAAAAGAGUUCUCUUCCUUUUUGAUGAUGUUGACAAGAAGAAACAACUGAAUGCGCUUGGGGCAAAUAUCUAUGAUAUUCAGGCAUUACUGAAUUUUUCGAUGCUAAGGGCGCGAAUGACAAUCAUUCUGGCCAGAAAUUUAUUUCUCGAAAAUAAAUAGAUUUUCUAUUCUAUUUAUAGAUGAGUUUUUAAGCAAAAAUAACCGUUUGAUAACGAUAUAAAAUUUCUACUCCAAAAAUAUAAAUUCAUUUGAUAAUGACAAAAAAUUUCUUCCUUUCAAACGGCGGUGGAUCGAUGGACGGUGGUGGACCGGCGAUCGUUGGCAACGGCGGCAAUCAGCGGCUGGCGGCGACGGCGGUGACCGGCAACCUGCGGCCAUCGACUGGCGGCGUCGGCCGGUGGUCGGCGGCGACGAAUGGAGAACACAAUAAGAAGAAUUUUUAUUUCUCAUUUUUAUUCCAGAAAUAAAAAGUAGAAAAUUUCUACUUCUGAUUUUUAUUCCAAACCUAUUUUUGAAACAAAAAUCUAUUUCAGAAAUAAAAAAAAUUGAAUAAGUUUAUCAAACGGAUUUCUAUUUCAGAAACGAUUUUGGAAUAGAAAAAUUAUUUUUGGAACAAAAACAGGUGUUUGUCAUAGACUCCCUAAGCAUCAAGUGCCGAUGGAUCUCGAGAUUUUUAGUGCUUCACGUUGUUCAUCACUGAAUAUAAUCUCUUCCAUUGGUUACUUGAUAUCUCCAUCGAGGCUAUCCUUCAUAACCACCACAAUUACACAACUUCCUCUGUCGAUUCAAGCUCUUACAAGCCUUAAAUACUUGUCUUUGAAAGAAUGUAGAUGUAUACAGAGGCUUCUAGACUCGAGUGGCAAUCUACAAUGGCUAAUUGAGUUCAAUAUCUCCUACAUGUGCAUUAAAGAGCUACCUACUCGAUGGGAAAUGAAAAGUUUGAAUGUUGUGAGGAUGAAUAAUUGUUCCAUUGGAAAGAUACCUAGUGCCUUAUGGUUGCUGUAAAAGCUUCAAGAAAUAGAUGCAGCAAGGUGAAACCUUGCAACUGGAACUAUAAAUGACAUUUGUAGAUAUUCCUCUUUGAGGAUCUUGAAAUUGACACUGAUUUAAGCAUGAUGAGUACAAGUACCAAGGCUUUCUCGUCUGUUUACACAUUGAUUCAUCAAUGGUGACACAAUUUAGAUUUCUUAAACUUGACUAGUUUAAAUGAUUUGUAUUUGGGCUAUUUGACGAGAUGCUUAGCCGUUGACAGUUGUCCACUUGUGGAAGAUCCCAUGCCAUGGUGCAUUAUGAGAUUAAAUAAAGUGGGGUCUUUUACCUGCUUGUCUGCUGUUGUAAUUACUUGAUCAACAGACAUUGGUCAGCUUUCUCUACUCAAAAGACUAGAACUCCAAUGUGCUAAUUGGCUGCACCUCCAAAGGCUUCCCUCAAGUUUGUCUUAUUUAUCUGUUGAAUCUUGCUGGUGGAGGAGAACAGCGAUGGAUCUCUCAAAUAUGAAUAGACUAUCAGAACUAAGAAUGGUAAAAUCUGCAGUAACAGAGAUUUAAGCCCUUGAAUAUUUGAAGAAUCAUGAAUUGCGAAACUCUUUGAUCUUGAAAAGGGAGAGUUUCCUUAAUCCGACUCAUUUGAAGAAGUUGAAGUUAGUUGCAAUAGAUUAUUGGGAGCAAUGUGGAUUUUGCUCGUCGCAAACCACCAGAAUCUCUGGAAGAAUUGUUGAUUGGAGGCCCUGCCAUACCCGAUCUAAGUUGAUCGGGUCUAAAUUUUUGGCGAGCAGGGGAUAACAAGUGUGAGGCCUGACUGUUUCAACUUGAAGAGGUUCAAAUGAUGCAAUGUCUAGCAUUGCAUAGGAGAUUCGUCCUCGAAAAAUUUAGAAGACAUGCUCUACACAGGAAUACAUUUUCCAAUAAGAAGUGCAUGUAGUUCUUGAAAGGUCAAACAUUUACAACCAAAUAUGUUGUCAAGAAAGCUCUGAAACAUAAACAAAUUGCUUAUUGGCCUAGGUCAUUUUAGCAGGCUUCAUUAUUGCUUUCCUGGAAUUGUGUUCUUUAUACUAAUUAGACUCACAAUUUGGCAAAUUCACUUGAAACUUGCAUCCUUGUAUAGUUAAAUACUGGCCUUUUUGCAACCACUUUCUAUUUUGAAGAUGGAUGGCUGCAAAAUGCUCAUGAAAUGGACCGUGGUUUCUUUUGAUCUAUUUCUUGAGUUAGAUUUGGUUUAGAGAUAUUCCCUUUUGACGAUUUUGGUUGGUGAAUAAAAUUUCUGGUAAAAGACUAAGUCAAAUUGAUGCUAGUUUACUAUAGUCAAGGGCAUUAAUCUUGUCAAUUUACACAUUGGUCUUUUAUGUGAGAUCCUUGAACUUGCUCAGUUGUACAAUUUGAAGCUGAUAGCCAUGCCCUGUAAAUAUUAACUUCGCUACACCUUUAACAAUGAAGGAUGUAUCCAAAGUGUAGGUUUUAAUCAGAGACAGAAGCUCUGUCAUUCACCUUUUGGUUAUCCUUGAAAUGGAGCUUUAGGUUUCAACAUCGAUAAGGAGAACCACUGUCCCACAAAAGUCCCACUUGACAGCCUAAGCUUUUUUCUCUUGGUAACAAGAGAAAUUUACGGGGUCUUUCUAUGCGAGUAAGCUGUGAUUAACUCAAUUAAUGCAUAGAAUUGACAACUAUCUCACCAAGUAGAGGAAAAUAUACAUAAGAUGACAAUAUUUUUUGCCAAUGCUGGUCUCUUGCACAAUGUGCUUUGAAUGGUCAUAAUUAGCAAUAUAUCCUUUGAAAAGAUGAAGGAAAUUUAGUUCUUCAGCUUUCCACUAAUGUUAGUUCCUGUAUAUCAAGGAAAAAAAAUGUAAAAGCUUACAACUCUCGUUCCGGAGGCUGAUCAGUGUUACAUGUCAAAGCCAAGAUGACAUAAAUUGUUUACUCCUAAGAGUUAAGAUUGAGCAAAGGUUGCCAGUGGAAAUGAUGCAAGACAAGGUCAUCAUCUGCUUCCAAGAUGGAUUGAUGUAAUAAUUAAUCAGCAUAACUCCCUGCCAGACAACAGUUGAAGUACUUGCGCCAAGAAGUCUUUAGUGACAAUGUGCCUAUAGUAGAAGGUGAGGUCACAGAUGGAGAAGUGGUCUCCCAAGGCACUCUUUGCUUCACCUUAUAAAAACGGUUAAGUCUGGUAAACAAAGCCACGGGCCAAGAUAAGACUGAGAGGUCAACUAGCGAACGCAUUCAUUCAAUAGAAAUCACGGAGUUGUAUAAACAAGAAUGACACAUUCAACUUCGCACUAUUUACAUUCAGAGUAAAUUUGAGUAGAGCUCUUAUGCGUCUUGUGAUGGAUGUGGCCAACAGAUUGAUGGAAUCCAUUUCAUAACCGUCAUCACAGAGGUCCCCGAUAAUCUUUGAGAAACCAGGUGCUGACCUGGGAGCAUUUUAACUGAAGUUGCUCUUGGCAUCGGAGUCUGAAGGCAGCCUCAAUGUGGAAGCAGAAGGAUUCCCAGAAAAGAAAAGAUUUCCUUUGACGUCUUCACCUCCGUAUUCCUUCAAUCGUGCAUCCAUUACGAUUUUGCAUGAUCCCUAUGUCUCAGCCAUUAAUCCCACGCCAUAGUAGACUAAAUGGUCCGAGAUACUGUUACCAGUUACCAAUCUGCACGGAUGCACCCUCAUCAGUCAUCCAUGUACAUUCUCUAGAACAAGCUGGUUUGUCAUGACUUAUUGCGUCUAGCAUGACAAAUCCACAAACUAAUUGCUUGAACAAGUAGCCAUGACUGAAACUACCUCAUUACCUGCUACAUGAUGAGUCUUCUCCAGAGCCGUCACAAACUUUCUCGACCUGAUAAACCAGACUACCAAAUCCUAUAUUAUUCAGCCAUACCUACAAAAGGGAACAUCCCAAUUACAUGUGAACAUUGACAUAGAAAAGAUUAUGAGUAGUCACCAGAGAAACAGUUGGAAUCAAAUCAUUUUCACAUUAUCUCACAUCAAUAUGUUUAUCCGUGGCUGUCUUUGAGCAAGUCGCCAAUUAUCAUAAGCAUUAGUAGACAUACAAUAAUUAAAAUGUGUAUAAUUGCACAUAAACUAAGACUAAGUCAAGACUAGGUUAUCAGCCAUCAUAAAAAAGAGAAAGAGAAUAUAUAGCAAACGUUAUUAUGCGUCUUAAACUUUCGAAUCAGUAUGAAAAAACUCAUGAUGGCUUUUGCAGGAAUGAGAGUUACUCAAAUAUUUCUCAGAAGUCACGAGCACCACAAACUACCCUGCUUUGCUAAGAUGAAAUACAAAAAACUUAUUUUUCUAUGCUGAAAAAAGAGAGUACAUAAAUUGUCGGAAUAAAUGAGACUUAGAUGGGUUGGAAGAAAUGCAAAGCAAACGUCAAAGUCAAUCAGCAACAAUUCCCCACAACAUAGAUGAUAUUCCACCAAGAUCAAAGCCUUACCUCUCUAGGGAAGUGAUGGUAAGUCUUCUGUGGGAACUGAGAAUAGUAAGGAGGCAAAUGAGGCACAAUAUCAUGUCCAUUGGUAAUACGUAUUGUAUUUGGCACAUGUCACUGUAGUAAGACGCAAACACUGCAUUGCCAAUACGAGGUUGUCCAAAUGUUAAAACCUGAACAUUCUGUGCUUCAUGAUUGACCUGGAAAUGAAGCAUCCCCAGUUAAGCAGCAGGCGAAUAACAACUUCAGCGCACAUAAUUAGACAGCCAAAUAACUUGAAUGUUAAGACAUCAAUGGCCCUGUCAGGAUGGGCAAAAAAAAAACAUUGUGCAUCAAAAACCAUAUACUGCAUUUCACAUACAAUGGUGAACAAAAGAGCAUCCCUUUCUCUCCAUGAGGUUUGAAGGUCUAGCGUUACUCUGCAAAGUUCCCAUCCACAAUUUUCCCAACACCAAACCCAACACCCACAAUAAAACCGACCCUACCCUCAGCUUCAAGAAAAGAUGUUAACAAUAUAAAAUAGUGGGAUUGGGGGUGAAUUCACAAUCGAGGUGCAUUUACAUGCUGCCACAAGAAGCAAUUGGAUGUUGGUGGCAUGAGUCACAUCCUGCUAAUGGCAUAAACAAAAAAUUCCAGGUUCACAGUGAAAAUGCCCCUUGAACUCCAAAACUUAUGUCAUAAAUAGCAAAGGAGAAACUAAAUCAAAAUAAGGGCCACAACGCAUGGGCAUGAUGCCAUAGUCAGAUAAGAACAAUUUUCAAGACGAAACCAGAAAACAAGUAGUAAAAUUUUAAAAUCAUUCGUGUUAGGACAAGAUGUCAUGCUUGCUACUUGUACUUCAAGAAAAGGUAUAGUCUAAAGUGUAUGCAACCUAUGAUCCUAUCAUAGGCCACAUGAAUGUUUGACUCUCAAGAAAUCACCACUUCUCAUGGAGAGAGAACAAUGGGACAUGACUUUGCGGUGUGUACCAUUUCUGGUACCAGUCCCACAACAGGUGCCUAGAAAAGUACACUAGACCACUAUUUAACAAAGCCGAGACGAAAAGCAUAAUUUAGACAUCUUAGAAUUGGCUCCAACCUACGACAUAUCUACCCAGCAGUCCGACUGAAGAAGGGCUGCUUCAUUUGAUUAGGAAGAGACAGACAGCAACAGCACGCAAAACACAAACUUGGGCUUGAUACAUAAUGUAUCUUAAAAUGCCUUAGCACUUUAAGAUUACAAUACAUAAAAUUUGAGCUUCAAGUGCCUAAAAAAGUAAUAUGUCUGGACCAUAAACAUAUCGUCAAUCCCAUAAAGUUUCCAGCAAGUGAACUUUGUAAUGAAUAGUUGGAUGUCCUUACCCACUACAUUUAAGUAUUCAACCAACUCAAAGCUCCAAAGCUUAACACGUGCGACUCAAUUCACUAACUAGAUACUCCAAUAAUUGGUGGUUCGCGCAAAGACUGAGUGCACCCCAUUCUGCUUGUGUAUUGUCUAUGGAUUGAUCUAACAAAAACAUAAGAAAACAAGAUGCUAUUAUGAAAAAUUGUACAUAUAGCUAUGAGAGCCAUAGAAAGUUCGAGAUCCAUGUAAAGAGUCUAGAAACUUCAAGGUAAAGUUGGCAGAGAAUUCCAAAUAAAUCUUAACAGACCAAAACUGAACAGUUGGAAGAACACGAUAGAAAAGAAACCAAUAAAAUUCACAAGUCCCAGGCAUAACAGUUUUUCCAAUUUAUCUUACCACAAGAUCGAGUCCACAAAAGGAUGCCAUAGCCCCUCCCAUAGAAUGCCCUGUCACCAUGAUGUUGAUGUCUCCAUAUAAAUCCUUGGCUCUAACAACAACAUCCAAAAUACCAACUCGAAUUGUCGUAUUGUGAUAAGCAAAAUAGAAUCCAUGAUGAACCUAAGCAACAAUCAAUAGAGUAAGACCAUAACUCAAUCUAAAUCAUAAGUAUCCACAGGUAGUGAGAGGCUUAUCAUCUCUGGAACUCACCAUGGCACCACCGCACCAGGCAUGCCGGGGUAAUUUAUGUCAAGCUGUUUCCAAUAGAGAUCUUCAACCCAAUUUUGUAUGCUAUAGACAUAAAUAGAAGUAAUCAGUAACUGAAAAGCUCAAAUGAUAAAGAGAAGUGACAGAAUUUUUCACUGAACAAAAUUAGUGAAGUGUGGGAUCUCCUCAUGACUCCAUCUGAAAUUACAGGAGAGUAACUUCCGUGUCUUGGUGGAAAUGAUUCACCCUUUUUCUGUUCGUAUGGACAGCAUUCCCAUGUGCCCUGUGUGCACAUUCACUGAGGCCGCUCUUCUUAGCUUAAAUUUUGUUCAAAUUUUUUGCAUGUCAAUUAUAAGGGGAGGAAUUGCAAAAGCUAACAUGCAUACCUAUGUUCUUGGGUACCUCCGAAAGCUAUAACCAUAGCAUUAAGGUCCUUGGCCACUCCAACAUAUGCCUAUAUAUAUAUAAAAUAGUUUAGAAAAGAGACAAAAUUAGAUGCAAUUCAAACAUAGAGGCAUUGCAAGCAUCCAAAUUGAUAGGCCACUGUACAAUGAUUUAUAUACUUGUAAGCAAUGCCGAACGUCACCUAUCAGUUCAAUGACUUCGAACCCCUGCUUUCAUAUCAAAAAGGCAUUAAUAAACAGUUCAAAAGCUCAUAAGAUGAGGUAGCAUAUGCCCACAAAAUGUCAUCUUAAGAACUGGGUACUUAGUACUAAAGAUCCAUUCUUCACACAACCUUAGCAACUAAAAAGUAGUCAAAUUACCUUGGUCUUUCCAUCACAUCUAGGACAUGUCCAACUAAAAAGUUCUGUCAAAUCUGACAUGUAAACCUGCAACAAAGAGCUUUGCAUUAAAUUACAAUUUUAUUGUAUUGAAAUGGUGAAACAUGAUGCGUAACAACAAUAAGGUCUAGGUAAAUCUGAAAUUUUUUUUAAAGAGCACUUAUGGCCGAUGCAUACUCCACAAAUAUCGUGGCAAGAGUAUGAUUGUAAACAGCUUUAUGAGCCUUGGACCUCACUCUGAGUUCUGCAUUUACCAGUAGAUAAAAUUCCAGAUUGAAAAGUGGUCACGGGCUCAUUCAAUCACAAGCAAUGAAUUGAGUUUUUUUAUCUCUCUAGCAAGCUAUUUUGACGAAUCAAGUGACGGGAACGCUUUGAGGAAAUAUCAACUCAAAACAACAUUCAGUGUAUUUUUGCAGUCCUUCGUGAACUGAAAGAACUAUUUACACAAUGCAAUGCGAUGAGGAGGAAUAAGUGAACGACAUAGGUUUCCACUUUUCAAUAAAGCUGCUCCAUGAAAACCUACAGGCGACAGUCCAUAACCAAACAAAAGCUGAAUAGCUGAUAUUCAAUCACUCUAAGACAUUCGACAAAUUAUAUCCCCAAAGUAGAAACGGCAGAAUGAGAUUUGCAUCAAACAAAUAUAAGGAAAUUCGAUCAAUCUGACCAUAUUCCAGCCAUAGCAUCAAUCCAAACUUGGAAAUCUAAGGGCUUAACAGAACCAACCAAGCACAAUUCGACGCUUGUCCUUUAUAUGCUUUGAGAACAUCCAAUUGUCCACCAGAGGGAUCAUAUAGCUAAAGUUUUGCCCCAUUCAGUCAGGUACUAAAGCUCCGCGACACAGUCAACGAUUGCCCCGUACCCUGAAAUACCCAAUCCCCCAAAUUUACAACACAAAUCUCACUGUCAAAGCUCAAAACCGACGUACUCAAUUCGAGAGCCUUUCUAUUCGCACCUUCUCACAAUCAAAACUCCCAAUCCGAAUCGAGUCAGAGAAUGGGAGCAGUAACUGAUCACAUGAACGCGAAUUGCAAUUACCUCUCGCCCGGCUCGUGGCAACCAAGCACGUCAGAACCACCAUCGCCCUCAGCCACGACCCGUUCCGCUCCAUAUCCUGCAACAGAAAACGGAUCGAACAGCGUCGUCGAUUAUUAAAAAAAAAAAAAAAAUCUCGCCACCAAGGAAAAAAAAAAAAAAACUCCAAUCUCCGCACCUUUCAUGUACGCAAACAAUCACACGCGAUCAAAACGGCGCGGAUGGCCCGGCGAGAUAGAUACAGAGAGAGAGACCGAUCGCGAGAUCCUCGCCCGCGUCGCUCGAAUUCGAAUCUCGAUUCUGGUCCCUCGCGGCGGCGUCGUUCGUGGACUUUUAUUAUGGCGAUUGAGAGCCGCAUUGACUUGAUGGGGGCGAAGGGAAGCGGAGGACGACGACGAAGUUACGUAUCUUUCCUGAUUUGCCCCCGUGAUCUUCCCCCGUCGGCGGGCAUAUUCGGUGUCCGCGUUCGGUGAUUUCGUCGCUUGCGCGAGGGCAAUGAAGGGAGUUCGUCUGAAAUCGGGGAGCUUUGAGAAUGACCGCGUGGCGAUUUCUUCUGUUUUAUUCUGCUUUUGGACAAAACUCGGGAUCCCAUCUCUCUCUUUUCGGAGCUUCCCCUAGGUUUCUCCACGUCAGCACUUUGACUCGCCGCUUGUCUCAAGCUAGAAUUCCCCCAAAAAAAACAAAAAACUAAAAUUAAUGCUAAUAUUCGUGGAGAUAUAUGAAAAUGCGAGUACUACUUCGGACGAAUGUUUUAGAAUUCAAGCUCGAAUCCAUCUAAUAUCUCGACUCGUACGAAUUUGAAAAUAAUGUAUUACAUUUGAGUGAUUGGCGAGUGGAGCUUCAUCCCGAAUUGUGAAACCUACUUCUCUUGAUUUAAGAGAGAGUUGGAGAAGGUGACUUGCUGUAUGUAUUGAUUCUUGAUGCUCUUGGUGUCUUUAUUGACUUGGACACAAUAGCUUUUAUUUGGACUGAUAUCAUGAAAAACUCAAAUUAUUUUUUUGAUCAUUAAAAACUUAAACCCAUACAUCUGUAACAAAUUUACUCAUUAUUAGUUAGUGUUAAAAUUUACUAUUAAAUUGUUGAGUUAGAUAACAUGUAAUGCUGAUGGAUAUACUAGUUUAAAAUUUUACAUAUCAUUAGUUUACGUUAAAUUUACUGUUAAAUUGUCAGGUUUUAUGACAAUUGACAUAUGUACAAAUUUAAGGUUUUACAUUUCAUUUAUCAUAGUUGUCAUGAUAUUGAUCCAAUUAAAUGGAAAUUAACGAAAAAUAAAUUCGUCACAAAUGUACCAUAUUGAAGAUUUUUGUGGUAAGUUCGUCAAAUGUAUACUAGUUUGAGAUUUUUUAUUGUUAAAAAAUUAAUUAAGGAUAAAAUGAUCACCAGUGCAUCAAUUUUGAAUUUUUCAUGAUAUUAAUUCUUUUUAUUUUUUAGAAUUUCGAGUUUAGUUGCUUUGUAUAAAAUAUACAAACUACUCAUAAUGUGAGCACAUUUAGAACUGAUCACUGCCUUAAAAAUCACAGCAUUGUUAUCUUAUAGUUGCUCGGUGGAAUGUAUGAGUCGUACGGAGAUUAAAUGUUUUACAUAUAAAAAGAACAUGAAGUCCAAUGAGUUCUAAUCUCAAACAAAAAGGUUGCAAGUGUACAUUUUAAGAGGAAAGAUUGUGAAUGAAUUUUUAUUUUUUAUUUUGCAUUUAGCUCACACUAAUAAUAUAAAUAAGAACAUUAAUAUGAGGCACGUGCCAUAUUUGGUGGCUCUCACAAAUUUAUAUUGGUAGUGGAAUAUUUAUAAAACUAUAGUGAAAUUAGUACACGAAACAAGUGGGAGUUAAGAAAAAGGCGAUGUUCAAGAAAAAUUAUCAUGAAGAGCAAAAUGAUCAAUUUCGUAGACACCGAAUCUUUUCCUUUAUAUGCAGUAGAGAUGAAUGAAUUGGUGUGACUUAGGUCAAACUUUACAAGCACAAAACUGAUUAGUACACUGCUCAGUUUUUGUUGCUAGGCCUAUACACUACUCAUUUGCUUUAUAAAAAGAAGGGGUAAGUACAUUAUCAGUGCCAAAAGUUGCGUACGGCGCUCACUUUGGUGCCAAAAAUUUCUGUCGGAUCACUUAAGUGUCAAAUCAGAUGAAAAAUGAUAACUUUGGUGCCACCGGCGAGAAAUUCCGGCCAAAAUGAUUACGUCGCUUUUUUAUUUUAAAAAAAAAUUGACAUGGCUUUUAAAUGACGUCGUUUUCCGUCAUCCUUAAGAAAACGAUGUCAUUUUGCCGUCAUAUGUGGAUGGCCUCACAAAAACGAUGUCGCACAGCUCAUAUGGGAUUGAAAUUAGGGUUUUUUUUGUUCGAUCCUUGCCCAACGCCGACCUAGCUUGCUUGGCCACCGUUGCUCAGCCUCUGUUGUAGUUGCUUGACUAGGUGAGCAAGGAGAGGCUGAGGUUGUUUCUCGGGCAAGAAGCGACGGGAAGAAUAGGAGGCAAGGGUGGAGGAGGAGGAGGAAGAAGGGGGCUCGAAGGUGGAGAGAGAGAGAAUACGAGGAGGGCGAGGGAAACAACGAGGGCGCAUAUGGAAAUAGUGGAUUGGGCUCUGCUCAAGAAGUGGUUGGUGCUGGUGUUGUUCUUCGGGGAAGAAGAUGACUGUCACGCCCCGAUCCUCUAAGCACGUGCACAUCCCUCCUUGGUCUCUUAAUAGCGAUAUCCUAAGAUGCAUCACCGACCCAUUCAUUUUAAUAUACGCAUGGGGAAGCAGAUAUAAAUCCCUAGACAAUAAAACAAAGGGAUAAGGAGGUAGGGCCUUAAAUUUUUCAAGCCAACAUCAACCUUUUAUAAACGCAUAGGUUUAUUUAAAAUAUCAGGUUGCUUACAAAAAUAUCGGCUAAAUUAAAAAGGGGCUGUCUUAUGACUAAUGAGUUAGAUAGCUUUGCCGAUUCUGUUUCCUCCACUCCCCCAAACUCUGGGACUUCUGGUCCUGCACCAACACCAUCUACAGACCUGAAAAUAGUUAUACAAUAACCAAUGAGACAACGUCUCAACGAGUUCUACCCCUAAGACUCUAUUAGGAAGAAAAUAUACCCUAAGGGUUGCCUAGGCACAACCACGAGUCAGAGGUCUUACCUUGGCCUCAGUUCCUUCUUACAAAUCAGUUCAAUUCAUAAAUACUGACGAAUACAGCGUCCACUCAAUUCAAUCAGAUCAAAUCAUCGAUCAAUCGACUUCGUCGAUUACAUGUCAUCAAGACCAUCAUGCGGUCAUUUCGAUUAAUCACUUUCAACUCUUGAUUUUGGCCCAACAGGCACAACCUAGAUUAAGUGGUCAUCACCGCCCCACUGGCAACUUUUCUAUAUUUGGUGGUAAUCACAGCUCCACUUGGCAAUUUUCUAGGUUCAGUGGUAAUCAUGGCCCUACCUAGCAAUUUGCUUAGAUUUAGUGGCAUCACGGCCCCACUCGGCAAAUUUUUUAUAUUUAGUGGCAUCACGGCACCACUCGGCUAAUUUCUUUAUUGAGUGGGAUCACGGCCCCACUCGGCUAUUCUUAGGUUUAUACCCACAUUAAUAAAUUUUCGGGAUAAAUCUUUAUAAUCACCAAUUCACUCAAUUUUCACCAACCAAGGCUCAAUUAAAUAAACAUACCGCACCACAAUAACUAGCAUAAAAUUUUCUAGGUUCAGGGUCUAACUUAGGCCCGUUAUAGCCUAAUUGAAAGCCGAGACAAGUAGGGAAAAUUCCCAAGACUUGUUUAAUAAAUACUAAUACGAGUCUACUUGUUAAUGUCACUAGCUAACCACCUAACAUGCAAUGAUAAGACACUAAUUUCAUUGUUCUACUCUAAUCUAACCACUUAAGUAUGCUUAAUUAAAUCUAAUCAAUCCCUAAACAUAAUUUACCAACUAAGCGAAGAUUAGUGAGUGAAACUCGCUUAUUAAAAGUGAAGACGGGAACACCGCGACGACACGUGACGGCGGCCAAAAUCCAAAUUUUCGGCAGUGUCGACGGACACUCGAGCCGGGCCUAGAAUGGGCCCAACAAAUCUCAGCCCAACUGAGAUUUGUUUUCAACUUGGGUUGGGCUUCAAAUGGGCUGCUCUUUGGGGCUUCAAUGGACUUGCUGGAAUUAUACGAACUGGGCUUGAUGGACCCAAUGAAAAUCGCUGGGCUAACUUUCAUGGAAAUGGGCUGAACAGGCCUUGAAUGGGCUGGAUCCAAGCUGGGCUUGAAGAUGGGCCUAACCGUGAGUUGUUGACUGAUCGCGGGCUUCGGUGGAUUGCUGUUUGUGCGGAUGGAAGGCUGGUAGCUGGGAGACACGUGAUUGAGGAGCUGCUUCUAUUGACUCUGUGCUGGCGUGAGCUGCUGUGGUGUUUGCUGGCGCACGAAGAAACGAAGAUGGCAGGCGCGUGGACGUGGCUUCGGCGGUAGAAGCGUGGGGACUUCGGUCAACAAAGUGGGAAGAGUUUUGCUGCUAUUGACUGUGAGGAUGUGAUGGCAGCCAAAGAACAAACGGAGAGGAGAGCAGACAAGCGACGAGCGGCUUCGGUGGACGUGACUUCAAGGGGUCAACGAAAGAGCUUCUGUGGGCUUGCUGUUGACCACAGAGACACACAGCUUCGAUCGUGGGCUGUCGGUGGCUUCGCUGGACGCACAACGGAGCCGCAGCUCAACGAAGCCAAGAGGAGGUUGACGCUGGGGUUGUUGCGGUUGAUGAUUGACUCGGACGAAUGCUACGGUGGGUGAAGUUGCGGGAGAUAGCAAUAAGAGAGAUGGUCCAUGAAGGGAAUUUCGUUGGUGGAGGCGUGCUGGCCGAAGCUAGGGUUUGUUGAUUGAGGGAAAACAGGGAAAAAUGAAAGCAAAUCCGAAGCUGCAGAAAGGAAAAGAGUCGGCCAUAUGGGAUGUGCGAAGGAGAUGGAGGUGGCGUGCAUGAGAAUUUUGAGAGGGGGGACCCAAAAAUCAUCAAACCUAUCUCUUCUAUUGAUGUCUUUGUGGCAUCCCAAAAAUUCAAGGCGACCUCCAGUUACAUUAAAGUCUAUGAAUAAGUGAUGGAAGCACCAUCAAGUUAUAUUAUAGCCACUUAAUCCAUGAUUUGCAAUAAGAUUUAUGGCCAAGCUUUUAAUGGAGAGUUAUGUGAUAGGAAAGAAAAUUCUAUCAUUGGUCAUGUGUAUUAUAAAUUGGAAUUUAUGGAUUUAUGACUACAAGUUUUAUGGCCAUAUUAUUUUUGCAAGUUAGGUAUUUAUUUAUGUGAAAAUGAUAGUAGAUUAUUAAAAGGAUAGUGGGCCGAAAUUCUUAGGCCAAGCUGGCCCAAAAACCCAGCCCAAGACCCCCACCAUUUUGGCCCAAAGCCAGGCCCACGAAGCCCAAAGGAAAGGGCUGCUGUCGACCAAGGGGGAGGGGGGAACCGGUUUUGCAUGCCUCCCCAUUUGCCCCAUGAAGCUUGCCAAGUGUUCUUCCCUAGUUGCCAAGUGUGGCUGCCCCAUUGGCCUUCUUGGGCGGCCACAUGCAAAUUCAAUCAUUGCAAAUGAUUGUAAGGGAAAGUAAAGAGGGGGAGCCGGUUUUGGUGAGAGAGAGAGAGAGUUGUCGAGAGAGUGAGAGAGGGAAACUGAGAGAGAAGGAGGCCGUGCGUGCGAGGGAGAGGAAGGAGGUCCGUCCGCCGUUUGUCCGCCUAGCUCGCUGCCGUUCGUUCGCCGCCUUGCCCGCUGUUUGUCGCUGUUUUGUGCUUAAGUUCGAGGCAAGUAGAAUCCUAAAACCUACCCUUUGCUUGCUGUAAUGUGAGUGUUGAAGAUGGUGGAUUUUGGUUGUGGUGGAAGUGAUGAAAUUUGGAGCUUUGGGGAGAGAUUCGUUGGCCUAACAUGCUGUUUCUGGAAAAAACCAAUCUGACUGUUCAUGAGUUUGUGAGUUGCAUGCGACUUUUUAGUUGAAAUCUUGCUUUGGUAUCUUCAUGAAAGUUGUAGAGGACUUCUUGAAGUUUAACAUACUAAAAUUUGAGACAAAAUGGACAAGUAUUGGGGGGUGAAACCCUUUUUCUACGAAAAUAUUAGAUCUGGAAACUGUUUUGUUAACCUCUUGGUGACUUUGUGUGCUGCAUGUGACUUUUUAUUUGGAAUUUCACUUCGACCUCUUCGUGAAAGUUGUAUAGGACUUCAAGAAGUAUAACAUAUAAAUUUGAGAUAAAAAGAACAAAUAUUUCUUGGUGAAACGAGUUUCCUUUGAAGAAAUUAGAUCUGGAAUUUGUUGUGCUGACCUUCAGUGAUUUUGUGGAUUGUAAAGUAUCUUUCUUGUAAAAAUAUCACUUUAAUCUCUAAUUGAAAUUUGUAGUGGACAUCUUGACGUAGAACAUAUCAAAAUUUCAGAGUAAAAAAACAAAGAUAGGUCAGUAAAAUCAUUGUUCUUUGAGGAAACUGGAUUUGGGAAAAUGCUACUUCGACCUAGUAUGAUUCUGUGAUUUUUUAUAAAAUCAUCCAGCUGAAAUUUGAUCAUAUGUCCUUAAUGAAAGUUGUAGGUAAUAUUAGGUAAUAUUCUGAGGAGUAACAUACUGAAAAUUUAGAAGAAACGAACAUAUAUAGGUCGGAGAAACGAGUUUCUUUUGGAAGAUGAUAAUCUGGAAAAGAUGACUCCGAGAACAGGGAGAAUAAAUCGUCUAUAUCUAUUAAUAUAGAUCUGUUUGGGUUUCAAUUUAUUCAUGAGAAAUUUACCUUUAGGACUUUUCUAUAACAUGUCAAAAUUUCGGAAUUUUUGAAGUUCAUUUGGGUAUUUAAUUUAAAUUAUUUCCGAAACUGUGCAAGCUGAAAUAUUGAAGUUUUGAAAACUGUGAUGCAUGGACCGUACUGUUUUGUGUGAGAUUCUUUUGGUAUGGUGUUUUUCAUGAGAUAUCUACCUUUAGGUCUCGUCUAUAAUGUGUCAAGUUUUCAGAAUUUAUUAAUGCCAUUUACUAAUUUUCUAGAGUUUUAAUUAAAGGAGUACAUUCUGUUUUAUCCGAAUAUUGAGGUGUUUUCAAAAAAUGAAUGGAAUUUUCCAUGUGAUGUAAUGUUCUGAGUGCUGGAUUUUGCUGCAUAUGUGAUGACAUAUGGCAUGUUAUAUGGCAUUAAAGGCUGAUUGAGAUCCUUGAUAUUGUUGCAUCAAAUGCCAUGUUGAAAUUAAAAUACAUGUGUAAAUAUAAAUUGAGAUAAUAUCAAGACCGUCGGAGGUGUGAGCCGACGAUGCCUUGGGAGUUUCGAGAUGCCCGGAGGUUUGUGCCAAAUGCCCGGAGGUUUCUGCCGGAGGGUCCUCGUGAUGCAAGUUGAGAUAUGAGAUGCCCGGAGGUUUGUGCUGAAUGCCCGAAGGUUUGUGUCGGAGGGUCCUUGCGAUGCCAGGAUUAGGUGCGAGAAGAGGGAUGCAAACACUGAUCCCUGGAAAAAAAAAGAAAAAGAAAUGAGAUCCUUUGAAAGUUGAGAUGGAAAUUGAAUCAUGCAUAUGUGUGUGAGCAUAUGGCAUAGGAUAUGAUUGCAUAUGAAAUUGAGCUAAUAUCAUAUGGCAUUGAAAAUGUGAUCAUGGAUGCAUUGAGUGGAUCUCAUGGAAUACAUACAUGAUGGCAUGGUAUGGAUGAUGUGAUCAUGCGCAUGUAUGGGCAUGUGGCAUGGAACAUGGGUUGUUUUGAUACAUGGUGAUAUAUGCAUGGUUGUAAGGUAAGGUAUGCUUGAAUGCAUGAAUGAUAUGUGUUUAUGAGACCUUGAUUGCUUUGCUUGCUGCAUUGUGUAGUUUGGUGGAUCUUUACUGCUGAGUGGUUGUACUCACCCCUUUUGGGAAUUAACAUUUCAGAUUAGAAAGAUGCAUUUGCUACCAGUUGCACGCGGUACUUAUUAUGGCAUACCUACUGAUGCGGAUGUGGAGAGUACAUAGCACACCUGUGUCGGUGCCCCUAGUUUAGUGUUUGUUCGAGUCCGUGUCCUGGUUAUGUACGAUGUCGGUUGUGCUAAUGGCCCGAUUAUCCAGGAGUUCUUAUCUGUGCACAUUUGACGUCAUGGAUGAUGGUAGGGAUGCUACUGCCGUUGCCGCCUGAUGGACCGGGUUGGGUGUGAUGGCACUAUAAUUGGUGGGAGCUGACACUUUUUGGGAUAGCCGACGCAUGUUGAUGGAUGAGCGUAUAUGUUUGAUAUAGGGUCGAGUUCUUUUUGCUUAUAGCCAAGUGUAGUUAUAAACCUUGGCCUUUUGCUUUAACCGACCCAAGAUGUCCAUCUUGCUAAUGUAAAAAAAAGCGACUCGGCUUUGUUUUUCCUUUGGUGUAUAGUUGGUGUGCAUUGCAUUAUUGUUGUUGGAGUAAGGGAUGGGAUGUUGGUUAUGCUUCCGCUAUAUGAAUUGCGCUGGGACCUAUACAAAAAAAAAAUAGGGACUAAAAAAGGGAGAAGAAUUUUAUUGAUUAACCCCUUUUAAGCUAUAGUUCCUCUUUAAUUGAAAAGCCUUUGGACUCGCUUGUAGUAAGGUAAGUAAUAAGUACCUCUGGUGACCCUACCGGAGUUGGGGGUGUCAGAGCCUUGUCCCCCUAAAGUCUACAUAAUUAUCCUCUUAUGUCUCCAAUUCUUUCUUGAAAUAGAAUUCUUCAAUAAUCCAAUUUUUGGUGUCAAAAUAUAGCCCAUCAACCAUAAAUCCGAAUUUCACUUAAUUUAGCUUCAAUUUCAUCCUCAAUUUCCCAAAUUCAAAGUCCAAUUUCAUCGAAGAAAAUCUUGAACAAUUUUUUGUAAGUCCCUGACACUCAAAGGCUCGGCAUGGAAGUCCAAAUUUCCUUUAAUUUGGCUCAUCUGAAUUUCCGCUAAUUUUCUGCAACGUCCAAACCGAUUUUCCGUAAAAAUUCUGGAAUCUCUGAAAAAUCUUUGGAAGAUCAGUCGAUGUUCCUAAAAUACCUUGUGACACGACAGAACUUUCAGUUUCUGAAAUCGGGUUCAAAUUCGCGGUUAAUUUCAAUUCGGCGUGCUUUUGGCGUGACCCAGUCUACCGAUUAGUUUUCAGGAAUUUUUUGUGCAAUUGACCCGUGAUCGAUUUAUCUUGAGUCACACUGUACAUCUUCGACACAUUGGCGACUAUCGAUUGUCGUGAAAAUUUCGAGAUUUCAAUUACAGGCACCGGAUACCAAAACAAUAGAAAAUCAAUUUAGUGCAAAUCGAUGAGAAUUUUGCAAUCAAGUGGAAUCACCCACAUUUUGAUCACAUAUCUUAGUCGAAUCGACUUAACUCUGAUCUCUAAUCGAUCUCUGACGGUGCUGUAAUGAUCCUUGCAGAUCAACAUGGCUGAGCGGUCGAUUCCUAGUAGAAUUCUCAAGUCCAAUUGCCUUUAGAUUUCUUAAUUGCUUCCCCAGAUAGAUUAGUUAUCUCGUGAGUAAUCGGCCUAGAGAAUAACACUAUUGACGCAUCGAUGAAAGGCUCGAUUUAUUUAAUAAAAAACGAAAUCUGAAAAUUCAGGCUAUCACAACUUUUCCCCUCUUAUAAAAAUUUUGUCCUUGAAAUUUAAACCUAUUGCAAUCCUUAACCAAAUAGGUGGGGGUACAGUCGUCUCAUUGACUCCUCCAUUUCCCAAGUUGCUCCUUCUGUGCUGUGGUGUUUCUAGACCACUUUAACCAAUGGGAUGGUCUUGGUUUGCAAGACAUGUUCCUUGCGAUCCAUAAUCUAAACCGAGCUUUCAACGUAUGACACUCUGUCGUCCACGUCCAAUUCCUCAAAAUUGAGCACGUGGGUUGAGUUAGGCUUAUACUUCCUUAACGUCAACACGUGAAAGACAUCAUACACUUGAUCCAACCUUGGCGGCAAUGCAGAACGAUACGCUAGGAUCCCGAUUCUUUCAAGAAUCUCAAAUGGACCUACGUACCCCGGACUCAAUUUUCCUUUCUUGCCAAAGCGCGAAGUACCUCUCAUUGGUGACACUUUUAGAAAAAUGUGAUCACCAACUUAAAAUUCCAAUGGUCUCCGAUGCUUAUUGGCGUAACUUUUCUAGCAGCUCUGAGCGGUCUUUAAUUUGUCUCUGAUGAUGACAUCUGCAUCCACUGACUGCUGAACCAACUUUAUGCAUGUAAUUUUCUGUUCCCCAACUUCAUCCUAACAUACGGGUGUUCUGUACACUCUGUCAUACAACGCUUCAAAAGGAGCCAUCUGGAUGCUCUGCUGAUAACUGUUGUUAUAGGCAAAUUCCACUAGGUGAAGCUGAUCUUCCCAACUUCCCUUGAAGUCUAGUACACAAGCUCUCAGCAUGUCCUAGAGGGUCUGAAUUUUCCUCUCAGACUAGCCAUCCGUCUGAGGAUGAUAUAAUGUACUAUAUUGCAGCUUUGUACCUAGAGCACUCUACAAGCUUUUUCCAAAAUAUAGCUGUAAAUCUCGGGUCUCGGUCUGAUGUAAUUGUCACCGACACUCCAUGCAGAAGAACUGUCUAACGCAUGUACAUCUGUGCAUGCCUGUCCAAAUCAAGGUCCUUUCGUACUACAAUGAAAUGAGCCGACUUUUUUGACCACUACCCAAAUAGAGUCAUUACCUCUCUGACUCCUCGGUAAACCUGUCAUGAAAUCCAUUGUAAUAUGUUCCCAUUUCCAUUUGGGAAUCUCAAGAGGUUGUAGAAAUCCUCACGGCUUACAGUACCGUGCCUUCACUUGCUGACACGUUAGACACUUGGUGACAUGCUUGGCGAUGUCCGCCUUCAUACCUGACCACCAAUAGCAUUGACGUAGAUUCUGAUACAUCUUGGUACUACCAGGACGAAUGCUGUAACUGCUACGAUGUGCUUCUGAUGAAAUAUCCUCUCUAAACUCUAUAUCGUCAGGUACAACCAAAAGUCCUUGGAACCUCAGUGUUCCAUCAUCAGAGAUCUGAAAGUCAAAUUUUCUUUUAUCGGUAUCCUCUUGCAGGAUCUUCUGAACAUCUAGAUCUGUUGGCUGAAGUGCUUUGAUUCUGAUUUGGACAUUUGACUCACUUCUGAGGGUGACCAUAAGAUUUAAGAGGUGGCCUACCUCAAUUUUGAAAAUCGAAUCUUUAGCAUUUUCUACCAAAGUCCAUUCUUUGAGUAACAUUUGUGCAACUGAGGACUUUCGACUCAAUGUAUCUGCGACCUUGUUCGCUUUUCUGGGAUGAUACAAGAUAUCACAAUUAUAGUCAUUCAAAAGUUCCAUCCAGCGACGCUGUCUCAUAUUCAACUCCUUUUGAGAGAAUGGAUACUUGAGGCUUUGAUGGUCGGUGACGAUCUGGAAUCUUUCUUCGUACAAAUAAUGUCUCCAAAUCUUCAAAGCGAAAAUAAUUGCUACGGGUUCUAAGUCAUGCGUCGGGUAAUUCAAUUCAUGAGAUCUCAACUGAUGGAAGGCGUAUGCAAUAACUCUGCCAUGUUGCAUCAACACACAACACAGUCCUCUAAAUGACGCAUAAUUGUAGAUCCCAUAUCCUCCAGGACCAGAUGGUACGGUCAGCAUAGGUGCGGUAGUCAGUUUUUCCUUCAGCUCUUGGAAACUACGCUUGCACUUGUCUAUCCACAUAAAAUUUUCUUCUUUUUUUAAGAGUCUUGUCAGAGGUGACGCUAAUGAUGAGAAUCCUUCCACUAACCAUCUGUAGUAACCUGCUAAGCCCAGAAAACCUCUGAUUUCUAUCACGGUAGUCAAUCUUGGCCAACUAAUAACUAUUUCGAUCCUGGCUGGGUCCACGAAGAUUCCUUCACCUGAAAUCUUAUGACCAUUCUCAAAUGACUCUCGUGAUUCUCAACACUCAUCGAAUACACUAGAAUAUCCUUGAUAGACACAACUACGAACUAAGCUAGAUAUUCCUUGAAUACUCAAUUCAUCAAUCCAUAAAAGUAGCUGGAGCAUUCGUCAACAGUUCAAACUGUAUUACCUUACGCCAACAAUUCAUUACCACAAGAUGCUCCUUGAGCCAACUCUUUUCAUAUAUGAAGUCAAAGUUAUACAUAAACAACUAGUUAGGUACAACUGUAGCCAGUGAUUCUUCUUUCUAUAGCUUUAUUAUAUCAACUGAAAUUCUACAGCCUUAACCAAAAUUCCACUGCGCUACUUUGAUAAAAUCACUCCAAAAAUGUUCUUCCUUUGGUCGGUGCAUGGUUGGUUCGUUCUUGUCCCCUCCGCCAUCCUAGUGGUGUUCUAUCUGUGGUACUUUCCCUCUGUCUUGUCCUCUAAUGAUGGCGUACAUUCCUUGCUCUAGAGGUCUGUUUAGUCCACCCUACUAUAUGUUUUGUAGCACAAAACCUCUUAUCUGACCCAAUUAUGGCUGCGACGGUAAUUACGGUUGUCCUCUCAGUCUUUUGGGGUAGUUCCUGGCUAUGUGACCUAAUUGGCCACACUUAAAGCAAGUACCUGGCCUAGAAUUACAUGGGACCGAUCCGUGUCGCCUUCCACACAAGCGACACACGCCAUUCUGGAUAGGCCCUGCUUUUCCAAUUCCAUCCUUCUGAUUGGGCGGGAUUUGGAAUCUACCUUCAGUCAUGGGCUUCUUUCCUUAACGGAUCCCUUCUCUGUGAAAGCUAAACCUUGAUCUAGACAAGGCAGCUUGCUCGUUCAAACCUCUCUCUAUCAUCUAAGCUCGACGAUAGACUUCUCGAUAAUCUAUCAAGUCCAAUGGCAACAGAGGUUGCUUCAGCUCGGCAUGAAGACCAUUUUUGAAUCUUCGGGCUUUCUCUUCGGGGUCUUCAAUUAAUCUAGGGGCAUACUGAGAAAGUUCAGCGAACUUGACCUCGUAUUGAUCGGCCGUCAUCGAUCCCUGACGAAGGCAUUGAAACUCCUCCAUCUUUUGUUCUCGGGCAACACCCAAAAAAUAUUGGUCAUUGAAGGCUUUGAGGAAGAUGUCCCACACCCAGGGCACUCCUUCUGGAAACACGGCAUCCUCGGUGGCUUUCCACUAGAUGUUGGCAUUAUCUUGAAGUUGGUAUACAGGAAAUACCACCUUCUCCUCUUCAUUGCACAUCAAGAGUGCAAAUGCCUUCUCUAAGUCUUGUACCCAUUGCGAAGUAGCCUCAGGGUCUCCACUACCCCUAAAUCUUGGUGGACUGAGCUUUAGGAAAUACUCCACCAAUUUAUGGAUUGGUUUUUCAGCGACCACUAUCCAUGGUGGACCUUCGACAUUCAUGGCGGCAGGUGCAGCUGCAGGCGCUGCAGUAGGGGCAGCCUCGGCAGUGGCAGCAAUAGCGGUGGUAGCGGCGGCUUGAGCAGUAGCGGCCUGAUUCUGUGCUUGCUGAUCCAACCUCGUUCCCAUAGCUUUCAAGACACGCAUGAUCCCUUCUAGCUUGGGAUCAUUAGGAACUACUAGUCCGGCACCUACUAUAGGUGGUGCCGUACCACUCACGCUUGCCUGUGCUAGCACUCGACCACGAUUUCCUCGGGUACCGAUCAUGGUCGGUGUCCUACCCCGAGUUACAGUACGCAUGAUCCUCUUAGAAGGAGUCCUCUACUCCCGAUCGCUCAUGAUUCAGUUUCACCAACUGACACCUGCUUCCAAUUCCACACAGAAUUAAAAACAGAGCAAUUCAAACAAUAAACAAUUCUAGCAUUCAGCUAUCACAGACAUGCACCAGCUGUGAAUUUAAAGGCCUUUCCUACUACUAUCCCAUAGGUCAUCGCACCUUAUCACUUCAAUCUUAAACUCUGCUCUAAUACCACAAAAAAGGGAUGUCACGCCCGGAUCCUCCGAGCACGUGCCCAUCUUUCCUUGGUCUCUUAAGAGCGAUGUCACAGGACGCAUCGUCGACCCAUUCAUUUUAAUAUAUGCAUGUGGAAGCAGAUAUAAAUCCUCAAAUAAUAAAACAAUGAGAUAGGGACCAACAUCAACCUUUUAUAAACGCACAAGUUUAUUUAAACUAUCAAGUUGCUUACAAAAAUAUCGGCUAAAUCAAAAGGGGGUUGUCCUAUGACUAAUGAGUCAGACAGCUUUGCCGAUUUUGUUUCCUUCACUCGCCCAAACUUGGGACUUCUGGUCCUACACCAACACCAUCUACGAACCUGAAAAUGGUUAUACAAUAAAUAGUGAGACAACGUCUCAGUGAGUUUUACUCCCUAAGACUCGAUUAGGAAGAAAAUAUGCCUUAGGGGUUGCCUAAGCACAACCACGAGUCAGAGGUCUUACCUUGGCCUCAAUUCCUUUCUGCAAGUCACUUCAAUUCCUAAAUACUGAUAGAUACAUCAUCCACUCAAUUCAAUCAAACCAAAUCAUUGAUUAAUCGACUCCGUCGAUUACAUGUCAUCAAGACCAUCAUACGGUCAUUUCGAUUAAUCACUUUCAACUCUUGAUUUUGGCCCAACGGGCACAACUUAGAUUAAGUGGUCAUCACGGCCCCACUGGCAACUUUUCUAUAUUUGGUGGUAAUCACGACCCCACCCGGUAAUUUUCUAAAUUCAGUGGUAAUCACGGCCCCACUUGGCAAUUUGCUUAAAUUUAGUGGCAUCACGACCCCACUUAGCAAAUUUCUUAUAUUUAGUGGCAUCAUGGCCCCAAUCAGUUAUUUUCUUUAUUGAGUGGCAUCGCGGCCCCACUCGGCUAUUCUUAGGUUUAUACCCACAUUAAUCACCAAUUCACUCAAUUUUCACCAAUCAAGGCUCAAUUAAAUAAAUAGACCGUACCACAAUAACUAGCAUAAAAUUUUGGUCGUCGACUUUCCCAGCCUAAUUUUUGGGAAAUAAAUAAAUAAAUAAAUAAAUACAUAAAAUAUUAAAUAAAUGCAAUAAAUCUAACUUAGGCCCGUUAUAGCCUAAUUGGAAGCCGAGACAAGCAAGGAAAAUUCCUGAGACUAGUUCAAUAAAUACUAACACAAGUCUACUUGUUAAUUUAACUAGCUAACCACCUAACAUGCAAUGAUAAGGCACUAAUAUAAUUGUUCUAUUCUAAUCUAACCACCUAAGUAUGCUUAAUUAAAUCUAAUCAACCCCUAAACAUAAUUAACCUACUAAGCGAAGAUUAGUGAGUGAAACUCACUUGUUGAAAGCAAAGACAGGAACACCGCGACAACGACGCGAUGGCGGCCGAAAUCCAAAUUUUCGGCGGCGUCGGCGGACACUCGGGCCGGGCCUAGAACGGGCCCAACAAGUCUUAGCCCAAUUGAGAUUUGUUUUCAACUUGGGCUAGGCUUCAAAUGGGCUACUCUUGGGGGCUUCAAUGGACUUGCUGGAAUUACACGAACAGGGCUUGAUGGACCCAAUGAAAAUCGCUGGGCUGGCUUUCACGGAGAUGGGCUGAACAAGCCUUGAAUGGGCUGGAUCCGAGCUAGGCUUGAAGAUGGGCCCAACCGUGAGCUGCUGACUGAUCGCGGGCUUCGGUGGAUCGCUAUUCACGCAGAUGGAAGGCUGGCAACCGGGAGACGCGCGAUUGAGGAGCUGCUUCUGUUAACUCUAUGCUGGCGUGAGUUGCUGUGGCGUUCACUAGUGCAUGAAGAAACGAAGAUGGCAGGCACGUAGACGUGGCUUCGGCGGCAGAGGCGUGGGGACUUCGGUCAACAAAGUGGGAAGAGUUUUGCUGCUGUUGAUCGUGAGGAUGCGCUGGCAGCCAAAGAACAAACGGAGAGGAGAGCAGACAAGCGGCGAGCGGCUUCGGUGGACGCGACUUCAAGGUGUCAACAAAAGAGCUUCUGUGGGCUUGCUGUUGACCACAGAGACACGCAGCUUUGAUCGUGGGCUGUCGGUGGCUUCGCUGGACACACAAAGGAGCCACGAGUCAACGAAGCCAAGAAGAGGUUGACGCUGGGGUUGUUGCGGUUAAUGAUUGACUCGAACGAAUGCUAUGGUGGUUGAAGCUGCAAGAGAUAGUAGCAGGAGAGAUGGUCCAUGAAGGGAAUUUCGUUGGUGGAGGCGUGCUGGCUGAAGCUAGGGUUUGUUGAUCGAGAGAAAAUAGGGAAAAAUGAAAGCAAAUCCGAAGCUGCAAAGAGGAAAAGAGUCGACCAUAUGGGACGUGCGAAGGAGAUGGAGGUGGCGUACGUGAGAAUUUUGAGAGGAGGGACCCAAAAAUCAUCAAACCGAUCUCUUCUAUUGAUGGUGUUGUCCCCCUAAAGUCUACAUAAUUAUCCUCUUAUGUCUCCAAUUCUUUCUUGAAAUAGAAUUCUUCAAUAAUCCAAUUUUUGGUAUAAAAAUAUAGCCCAUCAACCAUAAAUCCGAAUUUCACUUAAUUUAGCUUCAAUUUCAUCCUCAAUUUCCUCCUCAAUUUCCCAAAUUCAAAGUCCAAUUUCAUCGAAGAAAAAUCUUGAACAAUUUUCUGUAAGUCUCGAACACUCAAAGGCUCAGCUUGGAAGUCCAAAUUUCCUUUAAUUUGGCCCAUCUGAAUUUCCACUAAUUUUCUGCAAUGUCCGAACUGAUUUUCCGUAAAAAUCCCAAAAUCUCUGAAAAAUCUUCGGAGUAUGAGUCGACGUUACGACAUAAAUUUCAAUUUAUGAAAUCGAGUUGAAAUUUGCGAUUAAUUUCAAUCCGGAGCGCUUUUGGCGUGACCCAGUUUACCGGUUAGUUUUCAUGAUUUUUUUGUGCAAUUGACCAGUGAUCGAUUUAUCUCGAGUCACACUAUACAUCUUGUUGAAGAAAAAUCCCUUAUGUGUUUUGAAGCUAACAAAACAUCCUCGUCAGUUAACUCUGAAGAAUCCAAGACUCAAUCGCUUAAGUCUGAAGAGUUCAAGACCUAGGUGUUUUAGUCUGAAAAUCUCUAGACUCUUCUAUCAACCCCAGAAGUGUAGACUUUGAUUUUCUCGAUUCAAUCAAGAUUAAUUUGAGAGAAAAGUUUUCUUGUUUACAGCUUGAGACCUUUUGCACUGAUUCGACAAUCGCCUAUCCUGAAUUGAUGGCCUACUUCUAUUCAAAUCUAUCAUUUUUAGAUGCGAAUAGACUUUCAUUUACUUUCAAGGAUAGAGAAUAUGUUGUGGACGUCGACACUCUUGCUGCCAUUCAAUACUAGUGAUGUUAGUCGGUCUGGUGCAGAUGCAGAGGAUGUCUAUGCAUCACACUUUCCAGAGGUUGAGGUAUCUUCUCCCACAGAAGGUCAAAGGGCUGAAAAUGAACCCCCUAGCUUCUAGACUUAAAGAACGGAGUCUGCAGGUCCAAGCACUGCAAAUGUCCAUUCAGCCGAUUUUUCAAAGCUGUUAGAUAUUAUGAUGGAUCUUAAGAAGCAGGUAUAUGGGAUGGAUUAUGAGUUGCGGGAUUUGAAGCAAGCACUCUUGGCUACUUCCGUUUCUAUGCAGAACCAGAUUAAUGCCCUUAAACUUCAAGUUGAAUCAAAUGUGAAGGGUGCUGAUUUGGAAUCAUUAAAGGAAGGAUUUGCUAGCCUCGAGAAGACAGUUAACUCGCUGGGUGAAUAUCAGCUUGUUCGUAUCCCCAAACAGCCUUGACUUUUAUCAUCUUUUUCAUUGAUUCCUCUGCCUCCUUUUGAUGUGACAAAAAAGGGGGGAGAGUGCUGCAGAUUUGAUCUUCUCAUUCGUUUUUGGAUUUAUGACUUAUUUUGUUUUGGACAUUUGGUUUGGAUCUUUCAUGUUUUAUUUUGUUAAGACUUUGGACUGGUGGCGCGUUUGAACUAAUGCUUUUAAUGAUUGGGUUUGGACUAGUGAACUUGCAGGUUUAUUUUAUACUUGUGAGGAUAAUUAUUUUCUAGACUAACAUUUUUUUGUGGUUGUAGAAGUAAUAUAAAUUAUUCCCCAAAUUAUGUAUAAGUUUUCUUUGCAGGUCAAAAGUUUUUCAAAUUUGCCGAGAUAUUUUGUCACCAUAAAAAAUGGGGAGAUUGUUGAAAAAAAAUCCCUUAAGUGUUUUGAAGCUAACAAAACAUCAUCGUCAGUUAAGUCUGAAGAAUCCAAGACUCAAUCGCUUAAGUAUGAAGAGUUCAAGACCCAGGUAUUUCAGUCUGAAGAUCUCUAAAUUCUUCUAUCAAAGUCUGAAGACUGUUAGACUCAAUUUUACGAGUCUGCCGAAGUUGACAGCAUUUUAAUCCAACGGUUUUGGAAUUCAAAGAUUGGAUAAUAUCUUCCUUGAUUCGUUCUAUUUAGUGGAAGAUCUCUGGCUGAAACUAAGCUCGAAGAUUUUGGAUUUAUCUCGAUUAAUCCGUUGAAGAACAAGCAAGAUUUGGAAGGUUCUACUUAUGGAAACUCAAGAUCCUAAUUGUAUGGGCGAAUAGGAUUAACAAGCUAUCUUCCACAUAUAUUUGACAGCUUGAAGAUCACCUUAAUUGAUUCAUUCCAAUGGGUAGAUUGGAUGAACUCGUUUGGAAGGUCUUAACGUCUAUGAAGGCAUGAAGGAGUAUUUAAAGUAGAGUCAUUGUUGUUCGAAGGGAGUGCGCUGAUAGAAAAUUUCGAAGUCUGAACCUCUGAAACUCCUUGUUCUCAAAUUUCUUGAGCUAUAGUUGUGUACAAAGGAGAGAUAUAUACAGUGAGGAUUUGUGUGAGCAAUAGCCAAGACUUUCUACUAAAGAAGUCUAGAUCAUAAGCUGUACAAAUCUCAUUUGCUACAUAGUGAAUUUAUCCAAUGGACUGUCAGCGUGGAGAGUGGAUGUAGGCUUGAACUAAGCCAAACCACUAUAAACUUCGGUGUCCAAAUCUUCUUACCUUAAUCUCUUUAUUUUAUUGUUGCAUGUUUUAAAACUGCUUAAGUGUUUAGUUUCAAAUCUUUCACUCUGAUUUUAUUUCAAGUCGUGUGAUUUGGGUUAAAUGUUUCAAAAGAAAAUUAUAAACACUUAUUCACCCCCCUAAGGUGUACUUACUAGCCUUUAUCACAUCUUCGACACAUUAGCGACUCUCGAUUGUCAUGAAAAUCUCAAGGUUUCAAUUACAGGCAUCGGGUACCAAAACAACAGAAAAUCAAUUUCGUGUCGAUCGAUGAGAAUUUUGAAAUUAAGUGGAAUCACCCAUAUUUUGAUCACAUAUCUUAGUCGAAUCGACCUAUUUCUGAUCUUUAAUCGAUCUCUGACGGUGCCAUAAUGACCCUUGCAGAUCAACACGGUCAAGCAGUCGAUUCCUGGUCGAAUUAUCAAGUUCAAUUGUGUGACAUUCAAAAUUUUCAACCUGUUUUUUGUGGAGUUAAUCGGGUAUUUCAUUGACACGUGUUGACUGUUGACACCCGAAAUUUUCGUCGACAUUUUAAUCAUCCAUUUUGCAAAAAUAUAAAAAAUAAAGAGCCAAAAAUAAAUAAAUAAAUUAAUAAAAAGAAAACAAAAAAGAGAAAAAAAGAAAACAAAAAGAAAACAAAAGAAAACAAAAAGAAAAAAAUGAAAUGAAAUGAAAAGAGAAAAAAAAGAAAUAAGAAAAACGAAAAAGAAAAAGGAGAGAAAAAGAAAAAAUAAAAGAAAGAAAAAGAAAAUAGAAACGGGGAUCGGGGGGAUUGGACGAUUUUUUUUGGCUCUCUUGGAGGUCUCUCUUUCCUGCUCUCCCGCAGGCUCUCUCUCUAGGGGGACUCUUUCUCUCUGGGGAUUUUUCUCUCUUUCCCUGGUUCUCUCUGGGGGAUCUCUCUCCUUUCUCCUUGUCCGCACCAGAAACCCUAGGCUGGAAACCCCUGAUCUCUGCCGGGAUCGGAGUUCAUGAGUAGGAGAGGAAUCGAUUCGACUCUGAGAAGAACCGGCAACAGUGACGAAACACCGCACGCUCUGGAGUCUCGCCUUAAAGGAACCGCCGCUUAGAGAGCAGCUUCCCCUCCGAUCGAAUUGCACCGCCGUCGCCGCCGUCGCCGUCGCCGCCGUCGCCGUCGCCGUCCUCUCGGCAAAUCUCGGCUCCCGCCGGCCUCGGAUGGUCAUCUUCAUGCCCGCGUUUCCCCGAGCUCUGGUCGGAGGCGAAGGUUUUUCUCCAUUGGCGAGCGAUCGGAGAUCGAGCUUCGGCGGUCGGGGAUCGUGAGGAUUUGGUUCUUUCUCGAAGACCAGACGCUUGCUCGCUCAAUCGGUGAUUCUCUUUCCAGAUUAGGCUCGCCAAAUCAGGUUCUCUUUCUCUCUCUUGAUUGCUCUCUGAUUUGAUUGCGAUCCGUUUUUCACUCUCGCUCUUUCUUUUUCGAUUUUGUACUUGUAUCUGUUUUUUUAGCUCCGAGGUUGCGUGCUUUCAUUAGCCUAUUCUGCCAAGUCACUGUAGCUUGCAUGUCGUUCGUGAUAAAUGCCGUGUUCGGGAUGUUCUGUUUGGCGCCAUUUGCUCCAUAACCUAGAAAUGCCCUCUACCUGUUUGAUAGAAAGCCUGACUCCAUUGCCGAUAGUUCCUAUUGCAUUCCGUUUACCAACGUCUUGAUAUUCAAUUGAAAUUGCGUUGGUUGUGUCUUUGCUGGAUUUCCUGUAUAUAGUUGAUUGAAAUGUGAACUAAUUAGAUGUAUAAGUGAUGUAUGUCCAAUGCUGUUCGUGAUUAUUUGCGUGGAUCAAAUUCUGUUCAUGUGUGAUUUUGUAUAUCAAAUGGUUCUCAUGCAUGUUACUUUGAGAUGUUGAGUCUGCCGAGGAAGAAGAGGAGACUGUUCUGUGCGUUCUUGAUAUUUUUCACGCAAUACUUGUUCACAACCAUGAUAAUCAAACUAAUGAAUUCGCAAAGAACCUGAUCUGUAGUUCUUGGUUCAUCUCCUCAUUUAGCUGUUUGGAUUUAUAUCCCACAGAGAGGGUGAAGCACCGAAUUUAUUUGAUGAUGAGUUCACUAAUUGAAGUUCUACUUCAAAAUGAUUGUGGGCGACACAUUAGGGAUGCUGUAUCUUACCUUCCCUCUGAGCCAAAUGAUUUGCAAUGAGUUGAUGAUUAUUGAUGAUGAACUUGAAGUUGAUUGAACUUGAUUUGCCUUGAUCUGCAAAUUCGAAUACCUGAUAUAUCACUUUCUGUUUUGGCUGAAAUGAGGUGUUAGAUAAGGUUUUUUGACUUCGAGCCCUUCUAGACAGAUAAAAUACACUUCUAGAGCUUCAAUUUGAUAUGUUGCACGCCCUGAACGGACGUCGUUCAGUCAUCGAAAAACACCUGCAGAAUCUAUUGAUUCUGCAGUAGUUUUAGAUUUAUUUGUUGUUCUGAUUGAUUCUCUGUUUCGAAUGACCUUUUGCGCAAAUGACCCGAUAUGAGCUGGUUGUUGUGGUUUUCUGUGUUUGAUGCUUUCAUGAGAGCUGAAGAUGGUUCGACUAGCUUUCCAACGAGCUAUAAUACACCCUGAUCCGAUAUCAUUAGCCACAUGAAAUCUUCUUUAAAAGUUAGGAAGUAAUUCUGGAAAAUUGUUGUGUUCUGCUUUGAUGUGGAAAUUCGUAUGCCUAUUUUGACUGAUAUGCUUCGGUCCUCGAAAUGAGCUGGUAGAUGAUGUUAUUAGGACUUAAUGUCUUCUAGAUAAUUGUAAUAGGCAUCUCAAGCUUUAAAAUGACAUAUUGCAUGCCUGAAUCAACCAUCAUUUGCCAUGUUUAACAUUUUUUUUCUAAUCCAUUCUGAAAUCUGGAAUUUUGCCUUGGUCAGAAAUGCAUAUUAUGUUUUUGCGUGGGCUUGGUUGUCUGUCACUUCCUAUGAUCUUUUAAGAUAGAUUUUGAGGUUGAUGAUACAAAAAAAGUAUAUCACGUGUGGAAUGGUCUUGCUCUAUUGUUCUCUUUUUUAGCAAAGUUUUGUUGUUUGAUAAUUGAUAUUAGAUAUCUACCAUCAAUCCAAUUUCUAAUAUUAAUCACUUUACUCAGUAGCUUAUUUGUAUUCUACCGAUCCAAGCUCUAUGUGUUUUUGCUUGCAAAGAUGUCCAAAGUUAUGUUGUUCUUUAGUGUCAAUUUUUCUUUGCUUGCUGUCUUUUCUUAUUUUUGACUUCCAAGCUCUUUUUGGCUUUCUUGAAGUUGUAUGUGUUUUCAUUUGUGAAUAUCAGUAUGCUAUAAUUGCUGCUCUAUUCUUGUGUAGAUUGUUUUUAUCCAAUUGAUACAUCUCUGCUCUUGAUUUUUUUUUUUUUUUAAAUAUGCAUACUGAAUCUGAAAAAAUGUUGUCUUUUCUAUGGCUAAUUGCAAGAAAUUUGUCAAGCAUGACAUUCUUAGUUCCAAGUCACUUUGCAAUGUUAAUGACUUGUGUGACUUAUUUGCAUUCUGAUUUAGGGUUAAAUGUUUACCCAAACCUUUUUCGCAUUUAACCUUAUGUCAUGUGCAAGUUUCACAUUUUUGUAUAUUGUCUAGGUGAUCUUAUGAACCUUUAAACAUGCCUUGUAUUUUGUCCUGUUUGUGACUUGAAUUUGCUAGAUUCAUGUUCAUGUCUUAUGCCUAUGUUUGUUCGUUACAAUAAUGAUUUCUAUGCGUUAUCUUAGUCAUAUAAGAUGAGGCAAGGGAUCCUUGUUUCUUAGAUUAGGUUUAGAUUAGGACGAAGAUGGAGAAGGCGUAAGGCGUAAAGAUGGUGGAGGUCGAUGUCCACUCCGACCGUUAUCAUGUAAUGCUCAUUUUUCCCGACACAUGUCUCGGGUUCCAUGCAUUGUAUAAAAUCCGACGAGUUGUGGGUUUUCUUCCUUUCCCAAUUGUUUUCUCUUUUAUACAUUUUUGGAAUUGCAUGAUUAGGUUUAACUGCUUUCCCUUAAUUGUUUACUUCACGUCUUGCGAUUUCAUUUUCAUUGUUUGUUUUCCUUUCAUUUCUUAGGAAUAGAAUAGAAUGAAAGUAAUCCACAACGCAUAAUCAUUUAGUAUAGAAUUGACGAUCCUGAAAAUAUAAAAAGAAAUGCAUGAACAUGUUAGGAAAAACACAACAUACUGAUUAGGUACCGAAAGGGUGCUAAUAACAAUAUUAGCGUAACCCAAGUCCCCGAACCUAGAUAUCUAGCUACGUAGGAAUCGAGGGAACACUCCCGACCCUCGAUUGGGUUUCUAGCCGACUCCCAAAAUGAGGCUAGUGGCGACUCCUGUAUAUUCUUAGGUUGUUAAAUACCUAGAUCGUAUAAAUAAAUCCGCUGUCACGCGGGGUACGAGCUUGGGAGAGCUCGCGAUCUCGUGAGGAGACUCUCGUGAUCAAAGUACCCCUAAAUCCGACAUUUCCCCUCUUUGGACAUUUCGAGGGGUGGCGAAAUCGGGUCGCGAUAGGUUUGACGACUCCAUUGGGGACUGGUUACUAGAUUAAGAGGACUUGAAGCCGUUUAAAAAUGGUUGUUGUGUUUUAACUAACAUGUCUUAUAUAGGAUCGCUUGCAUGUCAAAGUCGCGUGAAAAAUCAGGUUAGUCGCUAACCUCGUGUUAAAUGGUUUUGUAGGUGGGAGUUAUAAGGGGAGGCGUGCUUGUAAACCAUUUGUUUUGCAGGUGGUGUAAGGAUGUAUGAAUGUAUGUGGGUUUAUAUUGAAGUGCUGAAUGUUUAAAUUUAAAUGCAUAUUUACAAGCUUUAGCACGACACCGCACACACAACCGCGGUCUAAAACCCCGAUUGCCCAAUUUAGGACCUUAGGAGGGUUUAUGGGUGGAAUCUGCGGGUGGAUGCUCAUGGUAAUCCAUUACUUACAUAAACUCGCUCAUCCCAACCGAUAAAAUAGCACUGACCGGUGAUAGUAGCGGUGGGUAAACUAUUUUUAUCCUUUGGAAUGAGGACCUUGAGCCUUUAGCACCCUCACCUUAGGCGUCAAAACCUCACAGUUUCAUGCGACGUGAUUUGUGCCUGUCAUGUGUCUGGUGGGUAAGAUAUCGUUCCUUCUUCAUUGUGCUUAUCUUUUACUUUCCAUAUUUCAAUUAUGCAUUUUAUAUUUCAACGACGAUAUGUUUUAAUCAUGGUUUAGAUUUAGAUGGGUAAACCCGAAGUGGACGUGAUCCUUGUGCUUGGAAAUCUCAAGACUCUAUUGGUGAAUCUCGACCCAAGACAUAAAGACUACGUGGAAAAAUUCUUGAACCCCAAGGUUUUCGACAGGCUCACAUUAAGGAACAAGAAGACAAUGCCUUGAUUAAUGAAGAAUGCUUGGCCCAUGAUAACAAGUGUUUCCGGGCGAUCCCACCUAGUCCUUAGGUUUUCAUUUCAUGCACUUUUUUUUAAAAGGGAUUUCAUUUGUGUUUCCCUCUUUUCUAUCGAGGUUUCCCUGUAUUCAUUUUUCAUAUCCUUGUAAAAUCGAACUACUUUGUAAGCUUCAAGAAAGCAAGAUUAUGUUUCCCUUGUAAUUGUUCAAUGAAAUGAAUAAAAUUCUUGAACAUUUUCAUGUAAUUUUUAGAAAAGGGGCAUCCUGAUUAAAUACUUGUCGUCAUUCCUUUUCAAUUGUAUAAUUUCUUUUGAGGAAAUUUUGAUAAGAGGAUGUUAUAUGAUAUUGUGAUCAUAUACACUUCUUAUCAUUAUUUCAUCUCAAGAAAAUAUAAAAUUGACUAGGAUUUGUACUUUAAUGGUUUCUCUUGACUGGUACUAAUUCAAGUCAUCUUCUUUUAUAGGAGGUUUUGAAAAACGGCUAAAGAAAGAUUUGUUAUACGAACUCGCUGCCAAACACAGAUGAAAAACGAAGAUACCCGAGCCCGUGUCAUUAAUAUGGAGAAUCAAAUGGUGCAUAUGAUGGCGUUGUUGGCUGACCUAUCCAACCAAGUCAAGAACUUAACGUCUAUAGUUUUUGCUUCUCCUACCAUGAAUCUUCCUACCGCUCAUACACCUACCAUGGAGAUAGGGGGUUCUUCUCGAAACUUUGAGCGCAAAAGAAAAGCUCCUCAAAGGCAAUUCACUCCAUUGCCUAGACCAAUGUCCCAACUACUUCCAAUGCUGAUCGAAAAUCAUCUUGUGGCAAAAGAGAUCCCGAGAGAUAAUUCGCCAAAGUUUGUCGGGUUCAACCUUAAUAAGAUGUGUGAUUAUCAUAUGGGAGAGAGAGGUCAUCAUGUGGACAACUGUCUGGUGCUUCGUUCUAAGGUCCAAAAUUUGCUGGAUAAAAAGCUGCUCAUCUUUAAAGACUUAGCGCCGAAUGUCCAACAAAAUCCCCUUCCAAAGCAUUCUGAAGAGGUCAACAUGAUUUAUGGGGAUGACGACAAAGAUAUACCCCUGAUAGAAAUCCAAAAGAUGGAACAAAUCACGCCAUUUGCUGAUAGCCAGUUGAAAGACAACAUCACUCGUGAUAACGAAGACCUUACUUCAAUUUUGUCGAAAGAUAAAGAGGUCUACUCCUAUGACGGGGAUGAGGAUGAAUACAAAACUUCUCAUUUGGAUAGUGAGUUCAUAAAGAAAGCUUGCGAAAGAGGUGAAGUGGUGGACACCUGGGGACAACCAAGAGGGAAAUACGACUUUAUGGUCAAGUAUAUUCCUCUUCCAAGUUAUUUUCAAAAUCCCGAAGACAUUGUCCCUAGUGGAUGGGGAAAUGAAUUCGAGGAUGAAUUCAUGGCUAUGAUUGAGCCUGUUGUGAUUGAUUUGACCAAAGAGAAAACCUCAUGUGGGAGUGAUACAACUAAUAAAGGUGUCAUUGAAAUCGGCUCAUCGAUUGACAAUUUUGGAACCAUGAAGAUCUCAAGCGCGGGUUUUGGACCUAUUGUGAUUGAAUUGCCACUAGAAGUUGGUGAGUGUUCCAACACUAAGAUGACUCCCACUUAUGACACUAAGGCGGUCCCUUGGAAUUAUAAUACAAAUGAAAUCGACGCUGUCACCCGAUCGGGUCGAAUCUACUCACCACGUGAAGGUGAGGAAAAGAAGGCCGUAACUGAUGAGGAAGCUGAAUAACUCCUCAAAACACUCAAGACAAGUGAAGCUGAAGUGAUUGACCAAUUGCGCAAGAUGCCUACGCAGAUUUCUCUAUUGGAGCUUUUCAAGACCUCUGAAAAACAUAGAAAUGCUCUCCUCAAAAUUUAAAAUGAAGUUCAUGUACCUGAGGCCAUUGGAGAAGUACAGUUGGAGGAGUUUGUGGGUGCAAUACUUCUAAGAGAUCAAAUUACUUUCUCUGAGAGAGACCUCCCUUCUGAGGGCCAAGCACACACUAAGGUGUUAUAUGUGUCCGCUCAACAUUUUGAGACAAAGAUUUCGAAGGUCCUGAUCGAUAAUGGCUCUGCCUUGAACAUUUGCCCUUUAUCCACCCUUCAUAAAUUGGGGAUAGGAAUGGAAAAUGUCUCUUCUCCAACAAUUCCUGUUCGAGCCUUUGAUGGGAUGAAGAGAGAAACAAUAGGAGAAAUCAAUUUAUCACUGACGAUUGGCCCUAUUACCAUGACUAAAAAAUUUCAAGUACUAGAUAUCCCAAGCAAUUUUAGCUUGCUAUUGGGACGACCUUGGAUCCAUGCUGUAGGGAUCAUUCCUUCUAGUCUUCAUCAGAUGAUGAAACUGCUCAUCGAUGGAAAGAUUGUGACCAUCCGACGUGAAAGAGAUGUGGAGACUUUCCAUAACACGGCCAUACCUUUCAUUGAGCCUGAUGUCAAGGGGGAAUCGAGCUAUCACUUGUUUGAGAUGGUGUUUGUCACUCAUGUGCCUGUUGGGUCGAUUAUUAGGAAGCCUCGAUUCUUAAAAGCCUCCCUGAUGGCAAGUAGAGAACCGCUCAAGAACGGUUUUGCUAUGGGGAAAGGUUUGGGUAAGUUCGCCCAAGGCAUUAUAAAUCCUAUUAAGGUGGUCAAAAUCAACAAGCGUGAAGGCCUGGGUUAUCAAGGCAACCGUAAGGAUCAAGGUAAUUGCAAAGGCCCAAACAUCAAAGGUAAAAGCUACCAACGUCUCUUGCUUCCACCUUUGAAAUAUUUCUUUCCUGGACCACCGAAGCUCUUGCAAGAAGGAGAGGCCAAUGUCUAUCACUUUGCUGAUUUGUUUGAAGAUGGUCUAGUUGGCACUAUGGGUAAAGAUGAAGAGCCUACAAUUCCCACUGUGUGAGGGAUGUUUCUAGUUCUUGCAUUUAAUUUUUAGUUGUAUUCGAUUCAUUUCUCCCCUGCAAGGGAAUUCUAUUCAUUUCUCCCCUGCGAGGGAAUUUCAUUCGUUUCUCCCCUGUGAGGGAAUUCCGUUCAUUUCAUUCGUUUGUGCUUGUAAUAAUCUGGAUCAUAAACUUUCUAGAUCCAAGAUGAUAUACAUUGUAAUGCAAUUUUUGCAUAUCAAUAAUAUUCAUGUUUUGUUAAUAGACGUGUGAGGCCCAAAUCAGUCUUAUGAUGAUGCUUUGAGGCCUGAGCCUUCACACGAUCUAUCGUUUCAAAAUGUUUUAUUGGAACGAUGACGUCCAAUGACAUGAGGAUUAGUUCCCAAUAAAUUUUUCAAAAAACAACUUGAAUUUGAAAACAAAUUUUUCAUGUCAUUUACAUUCAUUACAUUCAUUCAUAUGUAUAUAUACUAACCAUUUUUCGAUUGCAUCCCAAGCAUGACAUUUCACAUCAUGAUAGUCAUUUGCAUGGCUUGGAUUCGCAUUCAAAAGACUUUGACGAACCCGAUUAUUCCAACUCAGAGAAUGAAGAUGAUCCUCGAGGUAUUGAAAAAGAAUAGCUCAGACAUGAAAGUCCAAACCUCCUAUCGCCAAACAGCCAGUCACUCUAAAUUUAGGAGAUUCAGAUAACCCUAAAGAAACCAAGAUUGGGGCAGGUCUCUCUCAAGCGGAUGCUAAUGGAUUAAUUGGGCUCUUGAAAGAAAUAUAUGGAGAGUGUGGCACUCAUAUGAACGGUCAUCUCUUAGCUAGAAAAAUAUUGAGGCUUAGUUACUAUUGGUUGAUCAUGGAAGCCGAUUGUAUUUAGCAUGUGAGGUUCUGUCAUCAAUGCCAAGUCUAUGGAGACAAAAUCAAUGCUCCUCCUAAUGAGCUACAUCAAAUGUCUGAGUCCUGGCCUUUUUCAAUGUGGGGCAUCGACAUCAUUGGACCAAUUAAUCCUCAAGCAUCGAAUGGACAUCGUUUUAUCUUAGUAGCAAUUGAUUACUUCACCAAAUGGAUUGAAGCCAAUUCUUAUGCCCAUGUUACUGCAAAGAGUGUGGAAAAAUUCAUCCGUCGUGAUAUCAUCGCUCGAUAUGGAGUUCCUGAAGUGAUCAUCACGGAUAAUGGAUCAAACUUGAACAAUAAAGUGGUGGAUGAUUUACUUGGAGAAUUCCACAUUCGCCAUUUGAAGUCUUCUCCUUAUCGCCCACAAAUGAAUGGAGCUGUGGAAGCGGCAAAUAAGAAUAUCAAGAAGAUUUUAGCCAAAACAGCAGAAAAUUAUCGUGAUUGGCAUGAUCGGUUGCUAUAUGCUUUGUUUGCUUAUCGAACUUCAAUUCGUACUUCGACUGGGGCAACACCAUUCUCAUUGGUUUAUGGAAUGGAAGCUGUAUUACCUGUGGAAGUGGAAAUUCCUUCACUGAGGAUACUUUCUCAAAUCAAGCUCUCUGAAGCUGAAUGGGUUCAGCAAAGAUUUGAACAACUCAAUAUGAUUAAUGAAAAGAGGGUGAAAGCCUUAUGCCAUGGACAAAGCUAUCAGAAGAGAGUAGCUAGGUCAUUUAACCGCAAGGUUAGACCAAGGCAUUUCGAGAUUAACGAUAUUGUCUUGAGGAAGGUUUUACCUAUCAUUUCAGAUCCUCGUGGGAAGUUUACUCCAAACUAUGAAGGUCCAUAUAUUGUAAAGAAAAUGCUACCUGGUGGAGCACUAAUCCUUGUAGAAAUGGAUGGUCAUGAAUUGCCAAGACCUGUAAAUGUUGAUGCUGUCAAGAAGUAUUAUCCAUGAAUAAAGUGAAAAGCCUUUGAGCCAUUUUUGGAUGUUUGCAUCAUGCAUUUUCAUGCAUACAUAUUGCAUCUACAUGUUUGUUAAUUUUGCAGGAUCUCUGAUGAAGAUUCUACCUAUCCGCAAGAGGUUCAUCUCAAGAGUGCAAAACUUUCAAAAGUGUCAAUUCUUCUUUAGAACUUAGAAGUGACCUUAUCCUUUAGAAUGCUAGAGGAGUCGGUUAGAAUUCUAAAAGUACAAUUAGAACUCUAGAAAUGAACCCAUGUGCUAAGCAAAGCCUGUUCUAUCUACAAAUUUUGUCAAACUUUACUUCCAAAAAUCUUCCCGGUAGGGUCAAGGAAACAUGUCAUCUCAGACAAAAUUUCAUUAUAUUUUCAUUUCCCCAGGGAGUUGAAUUUAACUAAAAUAUGCUUUGGAAAACCUGAAAAGGAUUGUAAAAUAUGCCAGGUGGUAGUGCCUAAAAUGAUGAGAGGCAACCCUUUUACCAAACACGUCCUCAUACACUCUUUGAAAGAGUAGAGUGGAAAGAACCACGUCUUAGGGCAUAUGAUUCAUUCACAGUGAAUACAUGAUUUGAGAUGAUCAAGGCAUUUUCAUUUCUCAAUCCCAAACACUAUUGAUAUCCCUUGCAAGCCACUUUGAGCCAAAUAGGGAGCAUUUCAAAAUAACCAUGUCAAGAACAACCCCACAUUGGGCAAAAUAGGAGGUCUUGGUUGAAAAUCAUAGAGCAAAAGAUUAAGAAAGAUUUUAUUGCUUUCACUUGCAUCAAUCUUCUUGUGCUGGCUUUAGGUGAUUUCUUAUCGAAACUUGAAGCAUCCCGAAGUGAUGAAGAGCAUUCCGUUCACUACCACAAACACAAUUAUCCAUUACUUAGCCAAUUUGAGCUUAUGCAAUUCUUUCAUAACCCCAGGUGAUGAUUAUCUCCCCACACUAGGGCAAGGCACAUGAUUUACCAACAAAAUUGAGAAUAUUGGUAAUGUUUGUAAAUGCCACUCGAGAGUCCUAGAUACUCAAAAGAGAAUGAAAACUAGGGGGCAUGAAAAAGCAGUGUGCCUGGUAAAAACAAGGCCAAUGCCCAUGAAAAAAAAAUGCAAAGAAAAGCAAGAAUGUAAAAAAGAGCGAAAUCCAUGAUCAUGCAAAAGAUCAUUUUUCGAAAAACAAAAGAAAUAUCUUGCAAGAAAAAACAUGUAUUGCAAGCAAUAUCAUUAGAACAAAGAGCGAAGCUCUCAUGUCUCAAGACAAAUUACCCAAAGGACUCUCGAGAUAGGUUAAAUUUCAAGAAUCAAAUUUUGAAAACUCGUGUGAUGGUAAUGAUGCCAAGAUAAUCACUCACUUUUUAACCCUUUGAUAUCUGAAAGUUUUUCAAGCCUUUCUAAGCCUCACCCGAACCAACACUACAACCCUUAUCCGAAGUCUCUUCCGAUUGGGAUGGUUCGAGUUGAAAUGAGAAUAUCACAUAGGAGCUACCGCUAGAAGGAGUGGAAGCAAUCCUAUCUUAUCUUAUCUUCAAGGUUCUUGACUUGUAAACCCGAUGAAGAUAUUGAUUGAAUAUUCAUUUCUUGGCCUCAAAGUGCAUACCCUUUGUGUAAGCCCAUGACCAAGCCAUCAUUACGGUCCAUUUAAAAGACCUUUUGAUCAGUGGAUUGUAUUCACUGUGAACGUUUCCAAAAAUCUUAGACAUAGGUUGAGUGAGAUUUCUCCAGUGAGAUUUAAACAAUUUUCCCAUAUCAAUGGUUGGGAAUAAAAGCCCUUUUUGAGAGCUAGUGUGAAAGACCUAUUUUGAUUAGGAUAUUUCCACCUAGCAUAUUUGAUUUAACCCUUAGAUGGUUAAUCAGAUCCCAUUUUGUUAAAAUCUUCUCUGGAAGGAUUUGACAAUCAAUAUUAUUUUGCAAGAUUGUUUCUCCAGCAAUUGAGAAAAUCAUACCCGGUUGAAACCCGUUAGUAUAUGGUGAGACUAUCAUACCUAGUCAAAACCUGUUUGUAUACGGUGAGACUAUCAUACCCAGUCGAAACCUAUUUGUAUAUGGUGAGACCUUCCUCUCAGUCGAAACCCGUUUGUAUACGGUGAGACUAUCAUACCCGUUCGAAACCCGUUCAUAUACGGUGAAACUUUCCUCUCAGUUGAAACCCGUUUGUAUACGGUGAAACUAUCAUACUCGGUCGAAACUCGUUCGUAUACGGUGAGACCUUCCUCUUAGUCGAAACCCGUUUGUAUACGGUGAGACUAUCAUACUCGGUCGAAACCCGUUCAUAUACGGUGAGACCUUUUUCUCGGUCAAAGCCCAUUAUUACACGGUAAGAUCCUUUUCCCAGUUUAAAACACACAGUUCUAGGUCAACUUAAAACCUUGUCCUCAAGUUCUAGGUCAACUUAAAACCUUGUCCCCAAGUUCUAGGUCAACUUAAAACCUUAACCCCAAGUUCUAGGUCAACUUAAAACCUUAUCCCCAAGUUCUAGGUCAACUUAAAACCUUGUCCCCAAGUUCUAGGUUAUCUUUAAACCUUGUCAUUAGGUUCGUGGGUCCAUCCUUAAACCACACGGUUCCAAGUCAUCCUUAAACCUUGUCUCUUAGGUUCGUUGGUCCAUCCUUAAACCACUAGGUUCGUGGAUCCAUCAUUGUCUCUUAGGUUCGUGGGUUCAUCCUUAAACCGCACGUUUCCAAAUCAUCCUUAAACCUUGUCUUUUAGAGAGAGAGCGAGAGACAGAAUGAAUAAAUCUCAACAAGAGUUUAGAUACCCCAAUGAGCAAAGGUAAGUAUCAGGUAUGUCCUUAAUCGACUAUCAUUGCUUUUGUCAUUCUCUAUUUUUCAAAGUUGGGUCGACUAAAAAUUGCAGGUAUCAAUUUUGUUUUUGAGUGGAACCUCUUCGAACUCUCACCCAAAGAGGGGCAGCUGUUGACACUCGAAAUUUUCGUUGACAUUUUAAUCAUCCAUUUUGCAAAAAUAUAAAAAAUAAAGACCUAAAAAUAAAUAACUAAAUUAAUAAAAAGAAAACAAAAAAAGAGAAAAAAGAAAAAAAAAGAAAACAAAAGAAAACAAAAAGAAAAAAAAAUGAAAUGAAAUGAAAAGAGAAAAAAAAGAAAUAAGGAAAACGAAAAAGAAAAAGGAGAGAAAAAGAAAAAAUAAAAGAAAGAAAAAAAAUAAUAGAAAAGGGGAUCGGGGGGAUUGGACGAUUUUUUUUUGCUCUCUUGGAGGUCUCUCUUUCCCGCUCUCCCGCAAGCUCUCUCUCUAGGGGGGCUCUUUCUCUCUGGGGAUUUUUCUCUCUUUCCCUGGUUCUCUCUGGGGGAUCUCUCUCCUUUCUCCUUGUCCGCACCAGAAACCCUAGGCCGAAAACCCCCGAUCUCUGCCGGGAUCGGAGUUCAUGAGUAGGAGAGGAAUCGAUUUGACUCCGAGAAGAACCGACGACAAUGACGAAACACCGCACGCUCCGGAGUCUCGCCUUAAAGGAACCGCCGCUUAGAGAGCAGCUUCCCCUCCGAUCGAAUCGCGCUGCCGUCGCCGCCUUCGCCGUCGCUGUCCUCUCGGCGAAUCUCGGCUCCCGCCGGCCUCGGAUGGUCAUCUUCAUGCCUACGUUUCCCCGAGCUCUGGUCGGAGGCGAAGGUUUUUCUCCAUUGGCGGGCGAUCGGAGAUCGAGCGUCGGCGGUCGGGGAUCGUGAGGAUUUGGUUCUUUCUCGAAGACCGGAUGCUUGCUCACUCGAUCGGUGAUUCUCUUUCUGGAUUAGGCUCGCUAGAUCAGGUUCUCUUGCUCUCUCUUGAUUGCUCUCUGAUUUGAUUGCGAUCCGUUUUUCACUCUUGCUCUUUCUUUUUUGAUUUUGUACUUGUAUUUGUUUUUUUAGCUCCGAGGUUGCGUGCUUUCAUUAGCCUAUUCUGCCAAGUCAUUGUAGCUUGCAUGUCGUUCGUGAUAAAUGCUGUGUUCGGGAUGUUCUGUUUGGCGCCAUUUGCUCCAUAACCUGGAAAUGCCCUCUACCUGUUUGAUAGAAAGCCUGACUCCAUUGCCGAUAGUUCCUAUUGCAUUCCGUUUACCAACGUCUUGAUAUUCAAUUGAAAUUGCGUUGGUUGUGUCUUUGCUGGAUUUCCUGUAUAUAGUUGAUUGAAAUGUGAACUAAUUAGAUGUAUAAGUGAUGUAUGUCGAAUGUUGUUCAUGAUUGUUUGCGUGGAUCAAAUUAUGUUCAUGUGUGAUUUUGUAUAUCAAAUGGUUCUUCUGCAUGUUACUUUGAGAUGUUGAGUCUGCCGAGGAAGAAGAGGAGACUGUUCUGUGCGUUCUUGAUAUUUUUCACGCAAUACUUGUUCACAACCAUGAUAAUCGAACUAAUGAAUUUGCAAAGAACCUGAUCUAUAGUUCUUGGUUCAUCUCCUCAUUUAGCUGUUUGGAUUUAUAUCCCACAGAGAGGGUGAAGCACCGAAUUUAUUUGAUGAUGAGUUCACUAAUUGAAGUUCUACUUCAAAAUGAUUGUGGGCGACACAUUAGGGAUGCUGUAUCAUACCUUCCCUUUGAGCCAAAUGAUUUGCAAUGAGUUGAUGAUUAUUGAUGAUGAACUUGAAGUUGAUUGUACUUGAUUUGCCUUGAUCUGCAAAUUCAUAUACCUGAUAUAUCACUUUCUAUUUUGGCUGAAACGAGGUGUUAGAUAAGGUUUUUUGACUUCAAGCCCUUAUAGACAGAUAAAAUACACUUCUAGAGCUUCAAUUUGAUAUGUUGCACGCCCUGAACGGACGUCGUUCAGUCAUCGAAAAACACCUACACAAACUGUUGAUUCUGCGGUAGUUUUAGAUUUAUUUGCUGUUAUGAUUGAUUCUCUGUUUCGGAUGACCUUUUGCGCAAAUGACCUGAUAUGAGCUGGUUGCUGUGGUUUUCUGUGUUUGAUGCUUUCAUGAGAGCUGAAGAUGGUUCGACUAGCUUUCCAACGAGCUAUAAUGCACCCUGAUCCGAUAUCAUUAGCCACAUGAAAUCUUCUUUAAAAGUUAGGAAGUAAUUCUGGAAAAUUGUUGUGUUCUGCUUUGAUGUGGAAAUUCGUAUGCCUAUUUUGACUGAUAUGCUUUGGUCCUCGAAAUGAGCUGGUAGAUGGUGUUAUUAGGACUUAAUUUCUUCUAGAUAAUUGUAAUAGGCAUCUCAAGCUUUAAAAUAACAUAUUGUAUGCCUAAAUCAACCAUCAUUUGCCAUGUUUAACAUUUUUUUUUCUAAUCCAUUCUGAAAUAUGGAAUUUUGCCUUGGUCAGAAAUGCAUAUUCUGUUUUUGUGUGGGCUUGGUUGUUUGUCACUUUCCUAUGAUCUUUUAAGCAUAGAUUUUGAGGUUGAUGAUACAAAAAAAGUAUAUCACGUGUGGAAUGGUCUUGCUCUAUUGUUCUCUUCUUUAGCAAAGUUUUGUUGUUUGAUAAUUGAUAUUAGAUAUCCACCAUCAAUCCAAUUUCUAACACUAAUCACUUUACCCAGUAGCUUAUUUGUAUUCUACCGAUCCAAGCUCUAUGUGCUUUUGUUUGUAAAGAUGUCCAGAGUUAUGUUGUUCUUUAGUGUCAAAUUUUCUUUGCUUGCUGUCUUUUCUUAUUUUUGACUUCCAAGCUCCUUUUGGCUUUCUUGAAAUUGUAUGUGUUUUCAUGAUACACUCCAUUUGUGAAUAUCAGUAUGCUAUAAUUGCUGCUCUAUUCUUGUGUAGAUUAUUUUUAGCCAAUUGAUACAUCUCUGCUCUUGAAUUUUUUUAAGAAAAAAUAUGCAUACUGAAUCUGAAAAAAUGUUGUCUUUUUUAUGGCUAAUUGCAAUAGAAAUUUGUCAAGCAUGACAUUCUUAGUUCCAAGUCACUUUGCAAUGUUAAUGACUUGUGUGACUUAUUUGCAUUCUGAUUUAGGGUUAAAUGUUUAUCUAAACCUUUUUCGCAUUCAACCUUAUGUCAUGUGCAAGUUUCACAUUUUUUUUAUAUUGUCUAGGUGAUCUUACGAACCUUUAAACAUGCCUUGUAUUUUGUCCUGUUUGUGACUUGAAUUUGCUAGAUUCAUGUUCAUGUCUGAAGCCUAUGUCUGUUCGUUAUAAUAAUGAUUUCUAUACGUUGUCUUAGUCAUAUAAGAUGAGGCAAGGGAUCCUUGUUUCUUAGAUUAGGUUUAGCUUAGGACGAAGAUGGAGAAGGCGUAAGGCGUAAAGAUGGUGGAGGUCAAUGUCCACUCCAACCGUUAUCAUGUAAUGCUCAUUUUUCCCGACACAUGUCUCGGGUUCCAUGCAUUGUAUAAAACCUGACGAGUUGCGGGUUUUCUUCAUUUCCCAAUUGUUUUCUCUUUUAUACAUUUUUAGAAUUGCAUGAUUAGGUUUAACUGCUUUCCCUUGAUUGGUUACUUCAUGUCUUGCGAUUUAAUUUUCAUUGUUUGUUUUCCUUUCAUUUUUUAGGAAUAGAAUAGAAUGAAAGUAAUCCACCAUGCAUAAUCAUUUAGUAUAGAAUUGACGAUCCUGAAAAUAUAAAAAGAAAUGCAUGAACAUGUUAGGAAAAACACAACAUACUGUUUAGGUACCGAAAGGGCGCUAAUAGCAAUAUUAGCGUAACCCAAGUUCCCGAACCUAGAUAAUCUGGCUAUGUAGGAAUCGAGGGAACACUCCCGACCCUCGAUUGGGUUUCUAGCCGACUCCCAAAAUGAGGUUAGCGGCGACUCCUGUAUAUUCUUAGGUUAUUAAAUACCUAGAUCGUAUAAAUAAAUCCGCUAUCGCGCGGGGUACAAGCUUGGGAGAGCUCGCGAUCUCGUGAGGAGACUCUCAUGAUCAAAGUACCUCUAAAUCCGACAUUUCCCCUCUUUGGACAUUUCAAGGGGCGGCGAAAUCGGGUCGCGACAUUGACAACUAGAUUUUUGCCCAAAAAUCAUUUCCAAAAAAUGAGAACUUGUUUUUCCACAAAAAUAUUUCAUGUCAAAUUAUUGCAUAUAGAUUAUCCAAGAGUUUAGUAUAGUUUUUAUAAAUGGAAGAUGUUUUUCCUUUAAGAAAAAAUUAAGUAAAAAAAUUAAAAUCUUUAAAAAAAGAAAAAAAAAAGGAAGAGCAAGUUGGGGCCAAUGAUCUAAAUGUGACUAGCCAAGCCCAGGAGGUCAAAUUGGAAUUCAAAUGGCAAGUUGGGGCCAAAAUGCAAUUUUCAAAAGUAGAGAGAUCAAUUCGCAAAUUUUGCAAAAUUUCGCCCGAACCCUUAAAUCAUCAUCUUGGUCACCAAUUAAGUUGAAAUUGAACUUGGGCUAGGUCGAAUCAAUCAAAUUGGGCCAAAAGGAUCAAAUUUGCCUGGAAUUGGGUAUUUUUGGAUAAGAAAAUGGCUAACUUUGAGGGACUUUCUUGCAAAAUUGGGUGGGCAGAAUUGUGAAAGCUAGUCAAGAUUUUAAACUAAUAUACAUGAGCUUGCUAAUUGAUAAAAAAACUACAUGCAAAUUGAGGGAUUAAAGCAUUCAAACAAGCUACCAAAACUCAGCCCACGAUUAAGUUUUAAUUCGGACAUGCUAAGUAGGCAUAUUAGUGGCCCCACCAUAUCCCACUCAGCCACCCAUUUAGCUCGAUCUUUGCACGUGAUGGAAGACCAUUAUUGGUACUGCAAGUGGACGGAAAUUGGCCAGGGAUAAGCUGUUGGAAGCACGGGAAAAUCGCAACAAAGUCCGCAAACUCAACAGCUGCAGAAGUUAAAAAAAAUUGGCUAAGUCAGAAGAGUAGGUGAACCAGCUCAGUUGACAGACUUAGUAGGUGGACAAAAGACUGACAAAAAAUCUCUUAAUUCAGGGGGGAAGAUCACAAAAGAAAGCUCUUUCAGGGGAUGAGAGGGAGGAGACGAGAGAGGGAGGAGAGAGCUCAAAAUCGUUUCCCAAAAACACCUCCGAAAGCAACUCCAGAAAAAAAAAAAAGACCCAGAAAUUCUAGACCAACCCUCAGAGAGAAAAUAUAAUUUUCACACACUUGCAGCCAAAAUUAGCUAAAACCCUCAACUAGAGAGUGAAACUUCACUCAAAGAUCUUUCCAUCCAUAGGUUGCAUGUCCCAAAUGGAGAUUGGGAAGGUCUCUUAAAGCCCCCCGAAAUAGUGCCCUACUGGCGGGCCAAGAAAGUCCGAAAAUUUUUCUAAGUGUUGAGCCUAGUUGGUUACGAGUGCGGGAAAGCGAGUGUUUUUGAGAAAAUUAAGAGAUAAAUGAGGAUGGCCAUGACCGAAAACCCAAACUAGAAUACAUAUGGCUUGGGUUGGUUUUGAUUUGGCCAUCAAAAGAGGUUCGGAAGUCUAAUUUUGGAAGUCAACGAAAACCUUCGUUGUCACUUUUUUCUUCUGCAGAUCUCAUUUCUAGUUUGAAGGAGCCAACUUCCACGUGCCACCCAAGAAUAAUUUCUUGGCUUCCUCGGCCAAGAAUCACUUGAAAAAGAAACUAGGAAGCAAGAUAAGUAUACUAGAUGUUUUUCUGUUCGAUUUUGAACGUGUUUGGAUAGUGAAAAAUCAAGAGAAAAACCAGCGCGGAAAACUAAUUUUUGAGACUGAAAAUUUUCUAAGUGUUUGAAGCCUCUUCAAGAGCCAUAUAUGUUUGAUUUGCUAUACCCCAUUUUCAUGCAUUACUUGUCUUUGUGAUUUUGAUUAAUGUUAUAUGGGAGUACAAAUGAUGCAUAGAUCAGCUUGGUUUGGUCUUUAAACCCCCUGGGUAAACCGUGAAAUCGUCCACAACUUGAGCCAAAACCAAGCCCCUCCAUAUUGAUCCAUGGCUGGUCAGUGUGGACCUUGCGUAUAUGCUUCUUGAAGAGGUCGUUUCGAUGUGUUCGGUUCAUUGUUUUCUAUAAUUUUUGUUAUAUUUGAAAGCCCAUGUUACCUACUUUCACUCGAAUUAAGUAAUGUUUCCCUUAGAUCCUGCAUGUGAUAAUUGUCGAGGCUUGAAUAUGGGCAUGUAACCUGUUUGCUUGACUUGGGUUCAAACCCAGAUUUGCAAAAUCAGCUCGAACCCGCAUAUUUGAUGACAACUUCAGCUUGGUUUUCAUGUGUUUUAGGCUAUGAUUUUUAUAUAAUCUUACUCUUUGCAUGUGGUAGUAUAAUCUUGAUAUUUUAGUUCCACAUAAGAUUGCUCAUGAGUUGAGAUUGAAGGCCGUAAACAUGGCCCAAAGAAGCUGGUUUAGGGUAGUUUGAUGCACGCCAAAUGUUCGACAAAAUGUGCAAACCAAGUUUCGAUCUUAAAACGGUCGAUUUAAGCUUGAUUAUUGUGAUAUUCAUGUGCUGAGUUGUUCAAUAUUAGCGUAUAUUGGUUUAUGGAAUUAUUAUUAUUAUUAUUAUUUUUAAAAAUAAAAAUAAAAAAAUCCAAAAAUUUCAAGAAAAAAAUAUAAAAGUGAUAGAUGGUAUCAAAUUAUGGCAAAAAUGACAUUUAUGAAAUUUUAUUAAUUUUAUAAGGUCAUUUUUCCUAAUUUAAUGCUAUUUUGAUAUUUUAUAAUCAUUUCUGUAAAUGAUCCAUUUUCCGUAGAUUAAAAUUAUUAAGAGUAAUUUCAUGCAUUUAAAGUAAUGUCAUGCACAUUUAAAUUCCCAUUUUGCUCACGGGGGUCCUGUCCCGGGGCGUGAUAACAAGGCCAUGUAAUAUUAUUUGCCCGACUUGUAUCGGGUUUUCAUUUUCCGCAUUUAUUUUCAAGUCAUUUCAAUUUCUUGGAUGUCUACUUAUGCACCGCUUUUCAUUAAUUUGAGUGUAAAUUUCUUUUCUAAAUUAGGUUAGAAUUAGUGUAGACAUUAAGGAAAACAAACCUACAAGAACAUUUGCAUGGACGCUUAGCGAUUUUAUAAGGAUUAUAAUUGGUAAUCAAGAUUGUGUGACCAUUUAAAUAAACAACCUUUCAAGUUAGUGGUACCGCAAGGGCGCUAAUAGAAACAUUAGCGUAAAUAAGUCCCCGUUCCUAGAAAUCUCUGGUUGCGUAGGAAUCGAGACAACACUCCUGUAUCUUGAUUGGUUUCUAGCUGACCCCAAUAGGCUAGUGGCGACUCCUAUAAAUAUUUAGGUUGUUAAGAACUAAAAAGCAAAAUCCAACGCCACAUGAGGUAUGGGCUUGGGAGAGCCCGCAUAAUGUGGACAUCGAGCCAUAUCGAGGAGGAGGUGCUAAGGACCCAUUAUCUAUUCAUAUUGGUUCGAUCACUCGAGCGCGGGCCAAGCAAUUUAGGCAAGCUGUUGGUGUCAUGGUUUGUGAUCUUUGGCAUGGAGAUGACCUUGGAUCAAAUCUUGAAGAAUCUUGGAAAUCUUGGCGUAAUUUAAUUAUCUGGUCACCAAAUAUUUGACCAAUUCAAAUAGGAAUAUUCUUCUUGUUUAGGAAUAUUCUAGAAUAGGAAUAUUCUAGAAUAUGACGCAUUAGUUUUUUUUAGGGUUGGUUUUAGGGUUUGUGUGGCGGCUAGAAGGCUUAUAUAGAUAAGACUGACUGAAUUUCUUUGGGGGACAGAGAUAUAUUUUAUUUUUAAGGACAAGAAUUGAGAGGUUUUCUUCUACUGCUCUUUUGAGGACUUGACCUUAUCAAGAUUCUCUUUGGCGGUCGAUUUGACUUAUCGAGCGAGAUAGCGAAUUCUUUCGCUCGUGGCGUCUAUAACGUUGGUUGGUUGACACGCGUUCGUCAACAGGUCACGUUCAUACCGAGGUUGCCAAUCAUAGGUUUGAUUGGAGGUCGAGGUUUGCAAUUCGCACCAUCUGGGCCUUCGUAGAACGAUCCUUCCGCAACGAUUCACAUCAGUUUGGUAUCAGAGCUUGCUUCUACAAGGUCUAUUUAUCUUUAAUUUUCUGUUGAUAUUCAAAAAUUUGAGAUUUAUUGAGCUAGGGUUUCGGUUCUAGCUAAUUUAGAGAUUUGAUUGCUUUUGUGCUUCCAUACGUAGUUGUUUGCUAUUAGUUUUAAAUUUUCCUUUAUAGCAUCUUAAAUUGUAUCUGAGUUCGACAAAAAAAAAAAAGAAAAGAAAAGAAAAGAAAAGAAAAGAAAAAGAAGAGAAAGAAAACGUACACAAAAAAAAAAGUGCGCAAGAGAAAAAAAACAGCUUUGGCCAAAAAAAAUUAGCCGAACAAAAAAAAAAUCAAGAAGGCGACUCGUUUGUUAGUAGACUGGAUUGAAACAAAAUCAGUAGUGAUUUGCGUUUCAAUUGGAAUUUCGAAGGUUGUACUUGUUGGUUUGAAAUUGUUACUUGCUGAAUCAAAAUCAAUAGUGAUCUAAUCUUGUUUGAUUAGUUCGAUUGAUUGUCAUGAGAGAGUUGUGAGACAGGUUUUGAGUCCGAUAAAGAGCUUGUGAAAAGAGAAUACGAGAGGAAAAAGGCAAGAGUGUGUAAGCUUAAUUGAGGGUGAAAAAAAGCCUAAACUUGAGUUAAACACGAGGGGAGUGACAAACACUUUGAGAGAAACACGUGAGGGAGUGAUUAGUGAGGAUUUUUGUGACUAACGUUUACUUGCAAGUCUAAAAUAUGUCGCACUAAGAAAGUGUGAAUCAAAAGGAGAUUGGCUCCAUACGAAGGGAUGAAGCGCUCGUGGAAAGCAUCCAGCAAUUGAAGGCCGUAGUGGAGGAGCUUAGUGGCCGAAUGAUGGGGAAUGACAUGAGGGUUGAUGGUGACCGAGAGCUACCCCGGGGAAGGCUGCAAUAUCAAGGAGACACCUCUAGAACAUGACAUAGAAGGCAACGGCAUUAUGAUGAUGAUGAGGCCGGCAUGGAGGAUGAUCGAGAUGCUCGAUUUGGAAGGUGGAAUGGAGCUCGAGGGUUUAGACACCGAGAAGAUAAUGAACUUGGCAAUAUCAAGAUGAAGAUUCCUUCUUUCCAAGGGAAGAAUGAUCCCGAUGCGUAUCUAGAAUGAGAGAAACGCAUGGAGAUGGUAUUUGAUUGCCAACGAUACUCCAAGAUCAAAAAGGUAAAAAUUGCAGCUGUUGAAUUUACUGAUUAUGCUAUAAUUUGGUGGGAUCAACUUGUGACUAAUAGGAGGCGCAAUGGUGAAAGACCGAUAGAGACGUGGGAUGAGAUGAAAGCGGUGAUGAGAAGACGUUUUGUACCUAGUCAUUACCACCGAGAUUUGUUUCAAAAGUUACAAAAUCUCAUACAAGGCAAUAAGAGCGUGGAAGAGUAUCACAAGGAGAUGGAGAUUGCCAUGAUCCGUGCUAAUGUGGUGGAGGAUCGUGAGGCCACAAUGUCAAGAUUUUUGAGUGGUUUGAGCCAAGACAUAGCAAGGGUGGUAGAGCUAUAACACUAUGUUGAAUUGGAAGAAUUAGUGGACAAAGCCAUCAAAGUUGAGCGGCAAUUGAAGUUGGACCGAAAUCACAAGAGUGGAGGAGGUUCAAAUCAGAAUUGGAGAUCCAAUUGGAAGAGAGAUGAGAAGCCAAAUUGGAGAGGAAACAAUACUGAAACCGAAACCUCAAAGGAGAAGGAGAGGGACGGUAAAGUUGGAACGAAUCUGGCUUCAAGUAAAACCGAAAACCCUAACACUAGAACUCGUGAGAUUAAAUGUUUUAAGUGUUUGGGCAGGGGUCAUAUGGCGAAUCAAUGCCCUAAUAGGAGGGUGAUGAUCAUGACUGGACAUGGUGUUAUUGAGUCCGAAAGUGAAAGGGAAGAAGAUGAUGAUGAGAUGCCACCAUUGGAGGAUUGUAGUGAUUGAGAAGUGGCUAUAAAAGGAGACUUACUAGUGGUUAGGUGUUCUCUAAGUGUGCAGGUAAAGGAGGAGGAGCAUCAUCAACAAAGAGAUAAUUUGUUUCAUACAAGAUGUGUGGUGAAUGGUAAGAUCUGUAGUAUGAUAAUUGAUGGAGGUAGUUGUGCGAAUGUGGCAAGUUGUAUUAUGGUGGAUAAGUUGGGUUUGAAGACGACAAAGCACCCUAGGCCUUAUAGACUUCAAUGGUUAAAUGAUAGUGGUGAGGUGAAAGUAUCGAAGCAAGUUCGAAUUCCAUUUGAGAUAGGGAGAUACAAAGACGAGGUAGAGUGUGAUGUUGUACCUAUGCAAGCGGGUCAUAUUUUACUUGGAAGACCAUGGCAAUAUGAUCGAAAAGUACAUCAUGAUGGGUAUACUAAUCGUUAUUCAUUGAUGAUGAAUCAAAAGACUUAUACCUUGGUACCAAUGACACCUAGUGAGGUGUAUCAAGAUCAGUUAAAGUUGCAACGAGAAGCCGAGAGAGAGAGAAAAUGUGAGAAAUCCGAGGGCUUGCGUGGUGUGUUUGAGACUCAAGGAAAAGGAGAGGCCGAGAGAAAGAUUGUGGUAAAAACCGAGGGAAAAGAAGAGAGGAAAGAAAAGAAGCAAAAUAAUUUUUAUGCAAAAUCAAGUGAAGUGAGGAGAGCUUUAGUUCUAGAUCGACCAAUGCUUGUACUUGUGUACAAUGAGGUUUUGUUUUCAACUAACGAUCUUGACCCAAGUUUGCCUAGUCCUAUUGUGUCUUUAUUGCAGGAAUUUGAAGAUGUCUUUCUUGAUGAACUUCCUGGAGGGAUACCACCGAUUCGAGGCAUAGAACAUCAAAUUGACUUGAUUCCUAGUGCGCCAUUACCUAAUCGACCCGCAUAUUGAAGCAAUCCCGAGGAGACAAAGGAACUUCAACAGCAAGUUAGUGAACUAUUGGAACGGGGGCAUGUGAGAGAGAGUCUUAGCCCGUGCGCCGUCCCUGUUUUGUUGGUGCCAAAAAAGGAUGGAACUUGGCGAAUGUGUGUCGAUUGCCGAGCAAUCAAUAAUAUUACGGUAAAGUAUCAACAUCCUAUUCCUAGGUUAGAUGACAUGUUGGAUGAGUUGCAUGGUUCUUGCAUUUUCACUAAGAUCAAUUUAAAAAGUAGCUAUCAUCAAAUUAGGAUGAAAGAAGGUGAUGAAUGGAAAACUGCAUUUAAGACCAAGUAUGGAUUAUAUGAGUGGUUAGUAAUGCCAUUUGGAUUAACUAAUGCACCGAGCACGUUUAUGCGACUUAUGAAUAAUGUUUUGCGUGCUUUUAUUGGUCGAUUUGUAGUUGUCUAUUUCGAUGACAUCUUGAUUUAUAGCCGAAGUCCUGAUGACCAUUUUGAGCAUGUGCAAGCUGUCUUGCAGGUUUUAAGGGCUGAGCAAUUAUAUGCUAAUCUAAAGAAGUGCUCUUUUGUUACCAACAAAUUAGUAUUUCUAGGAUUUGUUGUUAGUGCUGAUGGUAUACAGGUUGAUGAAGAAAAGGUCAAAGCAAUCCGUGAAUGGCCAACGCCUAAGACCGUGGGAGAGGUGCGUAGCUUUCAUGGAUUGGCAAGUUUUUAUCGACGAUUUGUGAGAAAUUUCAGCACCAUUGCCGCACCUUUAACUGAGGUUAUCAAGAAGCACAUGGGUUUCACGUGGGGAGAAGAGCAAGAGAAAGCAUUUAAUCUGCUAAAAGAUAAGUUAACUAAUGCUCCUUUGUUAUCUUUGCCAAAUUUCAGUGCUACUUUUGAGAUAGAGUGCGAUGCUUCUGGUACAGGAAUUGGAGCUGUGUUGAUGUAAGGAGGGCGUCCCAUAGCUUAUUUCAGCGAAAAAUUGAGUGGAGCAACAUUGAAUUAUCCUACCUAUGAUAAAGAGAUGUAUGCUUUAGUGCGAGCUUUGGAGACUUGGCAACAUUAUCUAUGGCCAAAGGAGUUUGUGAUCCACACCGACCAUGAGACCUUGAAGUACUUGAAAGGGCAGCAAAAGUUGAAUAAAAGACAUGCCAAAUGGAUGGAGUUCAUUAAGACUUUUCCAUUUGUGAUCAAGUACAAGAAAGGUAAGGAAAAUGUGGUAGCCGAUGCACUUUCUCGAAGGUAUGCAAUUCUAACUAUUUUAGAAGCAAAGUGUCUAGGUUUUGAGCAUAUUAACGGCUUAUAUACUGAUGAUGAUCACUUUGGGAGAGUGUAUGAAGCAUGUGAACACGCUACAUUUGAUAAAUUUUAUAGGCAUGAAGGUUAUCUUUUUCGUGAAAACAAACUUUGUUUGCCUAAGUGUUCUUUGCGUGAAUUGUUGGUGCGGGAAGGGCAUAGUGGUGGUUUAAUGGGGCAUUUUGGCAUUAAUAAGACUUAUGAAGUGCUGCAUGAACAUUUUUAUUGGCCACAUAUGAAGAGAGAUGUCAUACGUGUCUAUGAGAGAUGCAUUGUUUGUAAGCAAUAUAAGUCUAAAACUAAACCGCAUGGCUUGUAUACACCAUUACCUAUUCCAACACAUCCUUGGACUAAUAUUUCUAUGGAUUUUGUGUUAGGAUUGCCUAGGUCUAAGAAUGGUAGAGAUUCCAUUUAUGUGGUUGUUGAUCGGUUUUCAAAGAUGGCUCAUUUUAUACCUUGUCAUAAAACUGAUGAUGCAUCUCAUGUUGCUGAUUUGUUCUUUAGGGAAGUUGUUCGUUUGCAUGGCAUGCCUAGAUCGAUUGUUUCAAAUCGAGAUUCUAAAUUUCUUAGCUACUUUUGGAAAACAUUAUGGAAAAAAUUAGGAACACGGUUGUUAUUUUCUACUACUUGUCAUCCACAGACCGAUGGUCAAACCGAGGUAGUUAAUAGAACUUUAGGGGUAUUGUUGCAUGCAAUUAUUAAAAAGAACAUAAAAUCUUGGGAAGAUUUUCUGCCACAUGUUGAAUUUGCAUAUAAUAGGAGCAUGCAUUCUGCUACUAAAAUUUACACCAUUUGAGGUUGUCUAUGGUUUUAAUCUGUUAACUCCGUUAGAUUUAACCCCUUUACCUAUUGAUGAGCGUGUGGAUUUAGAUGGAGCAAAGAAAGCUGAAUUUGUCAGGGCGUUACACGAGAAGACGCACGCAAAUAUUGAGUGCAAGAUUGAGCAAUAUGCAAGGCAAGCCAACAAAGGGCGCAAGGAAGUGGUGUUUGAACCCGGAGAUUGGGUUUGGGUUCAUAUGCGCAAAAGAGAGAUUUCCUAAGCAGCGACAUUCUAAGUUAUUACCACGAGGGGAUGGACCAUUCAUGGUUUUGGAAAGAGUUAAUAAUAAUGCCUACAAGCUCGAUCUUACAGGUAAGUAUGACGUUAGUGCCACAUUUAAUGUUUCUGACUUGACUCUUUUUGAUGCCAGUGAUGAUUUGAGGGCAAAUCCUUUGCACGGGGGAGGGAAUGAUGUGGACAUCGAGCCAUAUCGAGGAGGAGGUGCUAAGGACCCAUUAUCUAUUCCUACUGGUUCGAUCACUCGAGCGCGGGCCAAGCAAUUUAGGCAAGCUGUUGGUGUCAUGGUUCAUGAUCUUUGGCAUGAAGAUGACCUUGGAUCAAAUCUUGAAGAAUCUUGGAAAUCUUGGCGUAAUUUAAUUAUCUGGUCACCAAAUAUUUGACCAAUUCAAAUAGGAAUAUUCUUCUUGUUUAGGAAUAUUCUAGAAUAGGACGCAUUAGUUUUUUUUAGGGUUGGUUUUAGGGUUUGUGUGGCGACUAGAAGGCCUAUAUAUAUAAGACUGACUGAAUUUCUUUGGGGGACAGAGAUAUAUUUUAUUUUUAAGGACAAGAAUUGAGAGGUUUUCUUCUACUGCUCUUUUGAGGACUUGACCUUAUCAAGAUUCUCUUUGGCGGUCGAUUUAACUUAUCGAGCGAGAUAGCGAAUUCUUUCGCUCGUGGCGUCUAUAACGUUGGUUGGUUGACACGCGUUUGUCAACAUGUCACGUUCAUACCGAGGUUGCCAAUCACAGGUUUGAUUGGAGGUCGAGGUUUGUAAUUCGCACCAUUUGGGCCUUCGUAGAACGAUCCUUCCGCAACGAUUCACAUCACCGCGCCUAAUUUAGGGCCAUUAGUCUACUUCUUUAGGAAAAUACCCCAAACCUUUUUCCUUUUUCCCCCGGACGGAAAAAGGGAGGUCGUGACAAUGCGUCUAUAGGGUUUUCUCAUAGCUGAUCACUCUUGAGAUAACUAGACUACCUAAGUAAGCCAUUAAGGAAUUCUAAGGCAAUAGACUUUAGAACUUGACUGGGAAUCGGCUUCUCGACUGUGUCUAUCUUUAGAGGUCAUUACAGCAUAGUUAAAAAUUGAAUUAAGAUCAGAAACAAGUCAGUUUGACUGAGAGAUAUGACCGAUCAUGGGUGACUCCACUAAAUUGGAAAAUUCUCGUCGACUGUCGUUUUGGUACCAUGUGUCCAUAUUUGGAUCCUCAAGAUUUUCACAACAAUCGAGAGUCGCCAAUGUGUCGAGUGAGUUCGUUGUGACUCAAAGAAAAUCGACCACGGUUCAUUUGCCCUAAAAAGUUACGAAAACUACUCGGUAGCCUAGGUCACACUAAAAACGCACCGAUUGAAAAUUAACCACCAAUUUGAGUGCGAUUUCAAAAAUUGAAGAUUCUUUCAUGUCACAAUAAAUUCUAGGACACACGACUCAGUCUCAGAAGAUUUUUUUUACAACCGACACUUUUUGGGAAAAAGUCGUCGCCGGACCGUUUUUGUGCAAUUGAAGCUAGAGAUUUAUUUUGGUUGUAAAUUUGAGAAGCAUGAUGGAUAUAUGGGUGAGGAAAAAUGCUAAGAGGAUCAAUGGAUAACCAAUUGAAUUUGGGAGAGUCGAUUGAGAUGAAAUCAAGAGGGAUUUGAAACCAAUUGAAGCCAUUCCUCUCAAAAUUUGUAGCUCCCCCUCAUGCCUAGCCAAAGUGGACUACUUCAAAGGUUGUGAGGGGUGUGUGUGGUUAAAUGAGAGCCAAGGGAUUCUACAUGGUUGAGGUUGCUUGUGGAGGAUAUUUUUGUGGAAAAUUUGACCAAAUGGAGCCCAUCUCUCAUUUUUGUCUUAACCCCUCUCCCUCCCUUCACUUGGCCAACCACCCUACCUUCCCCCCUCUCCAUUUUGUGUGAAAACUAACACAGCAAGGAGGAGAGCAACUGCUGUCCACGCCUAGCCGCUCGUCGCCGCGCCGGUGUCGCCCUCGCCCCAGCGCGCGCGCCCUCCUUGCCGUGCACCAUCGUCCCUUUGGUCAUGUCUCUCCCUCGUCCAGCUGCUGUCCUUGGUCCAUGAAAGCCUUGCCGGGGCUGGUUUUGGUUGUUUCUUUGCUAGUAAAGACCCGCCAUGGCCCGGUUUGGCCUAUUUCCUUCUACCGGUCAAUUCAUGUGCUUAACCGAGUUGUUUGCUUCAAUUUCCAACCAAGAUUAGAUCAAUUUUGUAGUGGGUUUCCAGCUGCCUUUAGGCCCGUUUUGGAGGAGUUCCGGGCCUCGGUUUCUAGGUCCGCUUUGGACAUUGUUGUUCCCCGCGCCGUUCCCGUCAGUUUGAGCCAACUUGUGUGUUAUUCUAAUGAGUUUAGCUCACUAAAUCUCGCUUAGUAGACUAAUUAUGCUUAAGGGUUGAUUAUUGUUAAUUAAGUAGGAUUAGGUGGUUAGAUUAGAGUAGAUUAGUGAUUAUUAAUUAAUUGUGAUACAUGUUAGGUAAUGUGAUGAUGCAAUUAACUAGUUGACGUGUUCUAUUAUUUAUUAAAUGCGUCUCGGUAUUUUUCUCGGACCGUUUUGGGCUCCAAUUAGGCGAAUCGGGCCUAAGUUGGAUUUAUUGGUAAUUAUUUAUUAAUUUUUAUAAUUAAUUAAUUAUUUAUUUAUUUUUUGGAAAUUCGGCAGGGAGAGCCGACGACCGAAAUUUUAUGCUGAUUGUUGUGGUGAAGUCCGUUUAUUUAUUUGAGCCUUACAUUGUGUGGAAUUAAUUUAAUUGUGGAAUUUUAAGAAUUGUUCCUAGUUGAAUUGAAAUUGGACAAUUAAUUGGGAAACAACCGGGUGUCGAUUGACAGCACCAAAAAUAUUUUGGUGGACUACAAAUAAGGGUGGGAUUUGUGACAUCCUGAAAUCUAGGUUUUGAUUUCAAUCGAAAUAGUUGGGCAUUUCAUCGACGCAUUUAUAGUUCUUUUCCCUGAAUUGAUCACUCAUGGGAUAGCUAGUCUAUCAGGUGAAGCUGUUAAGGAAUUCUAAUGCAUUAAACUUGAGAAUUCGACUAGGAAACGACUGCUCGACCGUGCAAAUCUGCAAGAGAUCAUUACGACAUAUUAAGAUCGAUUAGAAAUCGGAGAUAGGUUGACUCGACAAAGGUAUGUGAUUAAGUGUGGGUGAUUCUACCUAAUUGCACAAUUCUUGUCGAUCGGCUGUCGUUUUGAUACCCUGUGUUUGUAUUUGAAAUCUUGAGAUUUCUAUGACAAUCGAGAGUCGCCAAUGUAUCGAAGAUGUACUUUGUGGCUUGAGAAUAAUCAACCACAAGUCAAAUGCACGAAAAUUUCCCGAAAGCUACCCGAUAAAUUAGGACGCACUAAAUUUGCGUCGAAUUGAAAUUAACCGUAAAAUCGAACUCGAAUUUAGAAAUUGAGAGUUUUGUCAAGUCACAAUUCAUUUUAGGAACGUCGACUCAUUUUCAGAAGAUUUUUCUACAAAUCGAGAUUUUGGCGGAAAAGCAAAGUAAGGCCGUUUUUGUUCGAGAUUGUCAGAUGGCCAUUUUUGAUCGAAUCUUUGGGAAGCAAGUUGGAUCAUUUGAUGGGAAAAAGUCAUAAGAAGGUUGAGGAUGCAUGGGUUAAUUUAAUUGAGCUUCAAUUUGAUGGAAUUGAUUGAGAAUUGAUUGAAUUAAGUGUACAAAAUUUCAUGCCACGGCGGAAAAUAAAAUUGGACCCAUUGAAGAUAGUUGUGGGAGUUUUGAGUGAGUGGAAGAUGACCUCAUGUAAGGUCAUGGUGGGCCAAUUUUUGGGGGAUUAAAUAAAGAGAAAAAGAAAAGGAAUGGCCCCCCUUCCUUCUCUCUCUUCCCUCUUUCUCCCCCGUCGGCACCUCCAUCUCUCCAUCUUCUUCUUCUUCUUUGAAACCCAGCAGCUGCAGAAGAUCAGCCGGAGCAGCCGUGCGCCUCUGCUUGUCGCACACCCUUGCCGGACCGCUGUUAGCCGGCCCCCCCUUCUCCUUGCUGCUUCCGUCGACCCUCUCUCCUCCAUUUCUUCUUGUUGCUCGAGGAACCCAGCACGCCGAAGAACCAACAAGCCGAAGACCGUUUGAAGCCAGCAGCUCCGCUUGUCGCCGUCGCCGGCACCACCCGUCCGCGCGUGCCGCUCCCCUUUCGCCUGCACGACCGACCAGCCCGCGUGCAGCUCCACCCUGCUCAUGCGACCCCAAGCCUCCCGCACCUCCGUCCAGCUGCUGCUCCUCGUCGCUAGCCACCAUUGGAGCUCCCUCCGGCCACCGUACGCCUCCGCCUCAGCCCGCCGAGACUCCCUCAACCCCUCUCGGCCCUUGCAUGCCCCAACCGAACUCGAAUCUACCCUUUCUCGGCCUUAAACCGUAGCAGACGGCAGCAAACAAAAAUGGGUAUGGCAGCAGCUUCAUGGCCCGUUUUGGCCGGCUUCCUGACCCCGGAAGCUAGGCCCGCCUUAGAGUGAAUCGAUCCCCUCGGCGUGUCCCCGUCGAUUUGAGCCGCUCGGAUCGCUAAUCGGGUGAGUUUAACUCACUAAUCCAUGCUUAGCAAGUUAAUCACGUUUAAGGGGUGUUUAGAUUAAGCUAAGUGGGUUUAGGUGAUUAAAUUAAUUUAUUUAAAUGUUAAGUGGAUUAAGGGAUGUGAUUAGUUUAGUGGAUAAUUAAUUAAGGCUAAGUAAAUGUUUGGAUUAAAGUAAUCUUGUUUAAGCCUUAAUUAAUUAUUUUAAAUUAAAUAAUUAAUUCGAAUUUAUACUAUUAUUUAUUAUAUUUUAUUAUUAUUAUAUAAUAUUAUUUUAUUUAAUUUUCGGAAUAAAUUUAAUUAUUUAUUAUUUUCCGGAAAUUUUGACCGGGAUAGCCGGUGAUCGAAAUUUUAUGCUAAUGAUCGUGGUGAAGCUGAUGAUCGUGGUGAAGUCCGUUUAUUUAAUUGACCUUCGAUUUGAGCUAAAUUGAAUUUAUUGUAAUUAAUUAUUAAUUUUCGAAAUUAAUUAAUUAAUUAUUAAUUUUCGAAAUUAAUUAAUUAAUUAAUUAAAUUUCGGAAAUUAAGAUUGAGAUGGCCGACGAUCAAAAUUCCAUGUUGAUUAUCAUGGUGCAGUCCGUUUAUUUAUUUGUGCGUUAAUAGUGCUGAAUUGAAUUAAUUGUGAAUUUAGGAUUUAUUCCUAAAUUAUCUGAUUUAGGUUAUUAAUGGAAAAAUAACCGGGCGUUGGUUUACAGCGCUAAAAAUAUGUAAUGGGCUGUUGAAAUUAGUGGGAUAUUUGUAAGUAAAAUUAUUAUAUUUUGGCUAAGGCCAACCAUGUACCCACAUACGGCUAUUUUUAUCGAGAAUGAUAAAAGAUGUAAUUGAUUGUAUGAGAGAGUGGUAUACUAUAUCGGCCUACGGGCGAUAUGUCAGCUUUGGGUGAGCAGUAUACCGGUAUACUAUAUCAGUCUACGGGCAAUAUGUCAGCUUUGGGUGAGCAGUAUACCUUAUUAUCAGCUUUGGGUAAGCACAUACUUAUAGUAUACUAAAUUGGCCUUGGGGCCCAAAUCUAUCAGCUUUGGGCGAGCAUAUACAUAGUAUACUAUAUCUAUCAGCUUUGGCCGAGCUAUGCUAUCUAUUAUCAACUUUGGGUGAGCAGUCCUAGACCAUGGUCGGACUUUAUAGAUAGUAUUGAAUGUACCGACCAGGGAAAGGUCGUGGUGAUAUGUAAUCAAUUAAGUCGAUUGAUCGCUAAGUCGAUCUGAUUGGUGGAAUGUGAUCGAUUGCUGUAGUUAUCAAUAUUAUUAAUUAAACUGAUGUGCAUGAAGGAACUAAUGCCAAGGUAAGCCCUUUGACCUGUUUUGUGCUUAAGCUGUGGGUCCAUCCCGCGCGCUGGCUGGCUUUAAUAGCCAAGAGUCAAUUACUGUGGGACAACAACAAAUUUUAUCUCCAAAGUGAACAAAAAAAGGUGAGAUCUAUAUUGAACAAAUAUAAGAAAAUUCGAUCAACAACUUCCCCCAACCCUGAAAUGCCUAAUCAGCCAAAUUCACUAACAAAUCUCACUUCCCCAAGCUCAAAACCGAUGUACUUAACACUAGAGCUUGUCUGUUCGCACCUUAUCACAAUCAGAAACUCCCAAUUAGAAUUGAGCCAGAGGAUCACAACAUAAACCGAUGCAUGAACACGAAUUGCAAUUGACCUCUCGCCCCACUUGCAGCGAUCAAGCACGUUAGAACCAUCACUCUCCAACCACGACCCGUUCCGCUCCAUAUUCUCCAAGAUAAACAGAUCGAACGGCGACAUCGAGAAAACUACGGCGUGAUCGAGCAGCGAGAUAGAGAGAUCGACCGCAGAUCUUUGUCCGUAUUGCUCCAAUUCUGGUCUCACAAGUUCGUGGAUUUCAUGGCGAUUAAAAGCUACUGUGACUUGGGGCAAAGGAAGGAGAGGAAGAUGAAUUUACAAAUUUUCCUGUUUUGCCUUCGGUGUCUUCUUCUGUCGGCGGUCACAUUCGGUGAUUUCGGUGUUUGCGUGGGGGCACUGAAGUAAGUUCCCCUAGAAUUUCAAAUUUGGGUUCUCUCUCUUGGAGCUCCCCUAUGAUGUCUCCACAUUAGCACUUUGACUCGAGCUUAGUUUUUUUUUCUUUUUUUUUGGUCCGUCUCUCGAGCUUAGUUUAAUUAGCCGGGUCUGAACCAGGAUUCUGAAAUUUGAACAGAAAAAAAAAAAAAACACAACAACAAACCAGGAUUCUCAAAAAGCACCAAAAUUAAAGGUUAAUUAAUAUCCUUUAUCUGUUUAAUUUAUAUUUUUUUAGGUAUAUAAAAAUGCACCCUCCACUAUGGUGGAAAGUUUUUUGAGUCAUAUUUUUGAAUUCAAACUCAAAUCGAUCUAAUAACUUAAGUUAUUCAAACUUCAAAAGAAUGUAACCGAACUUGAGUGACUAAUGAGUUGAGCUUAACUGCAAAUUAUGAAAUCUACUUCUCUCGGGCUAGUAAGAGAGUUUAAAAAGAUGACUUGCUAUUAUGUAUAGAUUCUUGAAUGCUCUCUAAAUACUUAUGUUGAACUGGAUGCAAUAUUUUCUUUUCCUUUUUAGUUAAACGUACUUAUAGUAUUUUGAGUCAAGUCAAUUUGUCUAAAACUUCCGGACUAUUUAUAAUGUGAAUGUGUUUCGAACUUAUAACCUUGUAGAAACUUAUAGCCUUCUUGAAACUUGUGGCAUUAUCUUGUUAGGAAUGCAGUUUGUUGAAGAGAAAAUUAAAAAAAGAAAAAGAAAAAAAAUGACAAGCAAAGUUUUCCUUUGGAAUCAGAAAGAAAGAAAAAUUACAAUGUUGCACUAUAUAAUUCUUACACUAUCAAUAUUAGUUUAACAUGAGAAUUACAUGUACACCAUUAGCAAUAAAAAGCCUCUAUGCUUUAAUGGCACUUUCUUCUGUUACACUCCAUAACUCUAUAAUUAUCUUCCCAUAAUUUCUCUAAUUGAAUACGUUAGCAAUACGAUCGUCAACAUUGAAUCUACAUGUAAAUGAAUGAGGAAUAGAAAAAAAGGUCCGCGAAUGUUGAGAACAAAAAUCAUUGGGCUUUUUCAUUGGCUAUGUGCAAAGUAAAUAGAGUUUAUGAUCUUAGACUACAAAAAUCAUGAUACAUUUUUAAAGAACAAAGAGCAUGAAUGAUUUUUUUGAUAAAUAUAAAAUAAGAACCCAAAUGUAUGGCAGGCGCCAUGUUCGGUGGCUCUCAUGAAUUUAUAUCUAUAGUGGAAUAUUUAAAAAGGUACAAAGAUAGAACAACUUUAUACAAGACUUAAUUUUUCUUACCAAGCUCAUGCACUACUCAUUCACUUUAAAGAAAUGAAAAAAAAAUAUGAACACGAAAGAUUCCAACUCACCCCUAACUGAUUAAAGAAUUACAGUGUUUUUCAUGAAUUGUUAUGUUAUGAGCAUAUUUCUAACCAGUUAGUAUCUUAAGUGCUUAUUGCAUCAUGUGAAAAGAUUUUUUACAUUUUUAGCACGUCCAUGAAGUUACAAUGUCAAAUUUAUAUACUUACGAGUGGAUCGAUUAAUAAUAACUCAAAUCAAAUAUUUUGUGAUGGAUGCCUGCUCUCUUUAUUUAUUGAAACAAAAAUUCACAACCCAUCAUGACUCGGGCGGCGAGGCCAAGACGAUCAACCUCAACUCGAGCCGGGGAUCCAUCUGGCCGUGAGCCAGGCGGUGGCUUCAAUUCCCACGGAGGGGAACGAAAGUACACUUCCUACAUUUCCCCCGCACCGCCUGGCGGGAAAUUUUCGCACCACUGACAUAAAACCAAAAUCGAAAAAAGCAAAAAAGGAAAAUUAAAACCAACACAAAAACGAAAACGGAAAGCGAAAAACAAUUCAAAACAGAAAAUACGCAAAGCGCGACCCCUCCUCCCCUGCUUCCUCCCAGAUCCGGACAUCCGUUCAGAUGAAAACGAAACGGCUACGAUCCUUUCACAAUCCCACUCCCACUUUCUCUCUCUCUCUCUCUCUCUCUCUCUCUCUCUCUCUAGAGCAAGCACCGACGACCUCGAUGGACCGAUCGAUCGGCCGGUCGCCGCCGUAACAGGCUUUCAGCAUCGCCGUGGUGAAACUCUUGGAGCAGCGGGCGUGGCCCGACGGCUCCGAGGAGCGGCGGCAGCAGCUCAAUGAGCCCGGUCGAUGACGAGGAGCUCGAGGCCCAUCGGACCGCCCCGCCCGAAGAGGAUGACGCUGCCGCGGCCUGUGGUGCCGACGAGAAUGUCGGGGCCGAAGAGGACGACGAUGAGGUUCGACGUUCGCCUGCGCCGUUCUUGCUGGAUUAGUAGAAUUCUGCAAUUUCACUGCAAUCCAUGACAAAUCUCUUGGAAUACUCCGUGAGGAAACCCCAAAAGUGUCUGGAUCAUAACAAAUGGCUUCAAAACUUUUCCAUAGGAAGAAGGAUGUCAAUAGCACGAGUAAACCGAUAAAUUGAGAGCUGCAAUGCAGACAAGAUGAUAAUAAUAAAGAACAAGUUGAUUUUAUUCAUAUAAGAGUAUUUUUCGCAUGGUUAACAGUUAAGUGCUUUAAUGGUGUACUACGUGAUGAUAAUAACAUCCUUUUCAGAAUAAACAGCUUGGAAGCAGGAUGAUCGGCAUGAAAACAGUAUUGGCCGUACCGGGUUGCAAUGGCAAGUAGUUCUUUUUCAAGAGCUUCAUGACUUCCUGCACGAGUGUAGCAUCUUCUAUUUAGCAUAAAGCUGCAUUUUGAUACCCCAAGUUAACAGAAGAAAUGUGCAAAUAAACCAAAACGAAAGAAAAUCACUUGAUAUAAUAUCAUAGAUGUUAUGCUUCCACAAUGCCUUCUUACCUACAAUUUUGUCAGCCCUUGGUUUCUAUCGUCAAGGACUAAGUGCGCCGCGGUAAUUUAGAUGCAUAGGCAAAAUAAGGAUAAGAGAUAUAAAUGUUGAUUAUAUUAUGUACUUCCAGCAACAAAUUAAUUGAUGUAAUCUCCUGACCAAAGACACACUAUGAAAAUGCAGUUUGAUUGAGAAUCAGCUCGAAUGAAUAACCAAUGAAGCUAUCGUUUGUAAAAACAUGUUUUGCCCAAAGUAAACGCUCGUUGUUAAGCUUCAGUAAUGAAAUAACUAACUUCAAGUAGAGAUGUCAUUCAAGAAAUCAGAGGCUCGUUGAGCUAGCAAUUCGUCAAAAGAUCAAUUGACAAAGUAUGACACAUAUUAGGUUGAAUCGAGCUUAACAGUGCCCUAGUUAUAAAUGAGAUAACAAGUUUGUACAUGAAAAAUAAAGACAUAACCAAUUUAGACACAUCGAAGCACAUCAAGCAAGUUAAUGUGUUACUCCCACAGGACACGUUCAUACACAUUUAAAAAUAUUAUAUAUACUUUGAAUAAAAUGUGGUUUCAUAAAAUUAUAAAUGAAAAACUCUAUCUUGAGCAUGUUACAUGUGUCACGUUACUACUUCAUCCAUGUUGCAAUUAAAAACUUCCAUGAAUUCAAAGAUUCGACAAUCUCUAUAGUGAAAAAAAGAGAGGUUGAUUAUCAACUGUUAAAAGAUCAGAAUUUUACUUCUCAAAUGGAGCAAGAAGUCAACUGACAAAUCUGCGUAGGUUUUACAAUACAUCAAAAAGAAGCGUAAUAUCCUCCGUUUUUGCAAUUUUCAAUCACGCACCGCGUCCAUGCAUUUGGAGCCAUUGUUCUUUUCGGAUCGAUGGAUUCAAGAAUUUCACAAUACAUCUCCUUUAUGAUUUCUGCAUAAUAUUAUAAGAAUUAAAUAUCAAAUAAUAACACAAUUCGUCAAGAGAGCUCACCACGCAAUUUAUUGAAGAAAGCAAAAAACCGGUGGGUUCCUCCUUUUCAGCACUAGCUCCAGAAACAUGGUAAACUUGACAUUAUUGAAUAAGGGGCUGCAGGCAAUCUAUUGCCAUGAACUGGCCCAGUGAAUUUCAACAUCAUAUUAAAACCUUUUACUGCCAUCGAAAAUGCAACUCCAUUUUGCAUCAACAAGGACAAUAAAUAAUUCAACCCAUAACUGACAUUUAAGAACAUGAAGCAUUCAACUAGAAGAAACAAUUCAACGUGAUUAAUUUCCUACUACAGAAUCAUGUCUCCAGCAUCAAAUUUAUAAGAAGCAAACACAAUGACAACAAUAAAAAGAUACGUCUCUCUAUUCACAAGCACAAUCCCUGAUAGCAUGACCAUUUGUGAUCUAUAUAUGCUCUCCGCUUCAGCUUCCUUGCACCAGCUACACAUCCCUCAAACGAGUUACUCAGACUUCUUCAUCGAUCACCAAAUUCCUUUUGCCCCCGUGUCUAGACAUCAAACUCAACCUAAAAUAGGCCCCUACUAACAAAGAACCAUCACUCUGGCAUCUACAUUCCACGCUGAAAUUCCCUAGCGGCAAAAAAGAAAAUCCUAAUAGACAACAAGCAUGCAUUCUGCGAAAUCGAGGGACUGAGCAGUAGAGCAGAAGGAGCUGUGACUUUGACAUGCUUCGACACAAAUUUGAGCACAUUCUGUGACUUGGUGAUCAUAGGGAGUGAUGGAUCCGGCUGAGCUGAGAUGAAUGGAAGGCUUGAAAAUGCGGUAGAGUCUGCAAGCUCAAAUCAGUCACCUGGUUAAUGAAUGUAGUCAUCCUGUGAUGUAAUUGAAUCAUAACAAUGAAUCUCGUAAAAGAUGCGAUCUUUUUUAACGAAAUGAGGAAAAAAAAAAAGUUUGCACACAAGAGUCGACGGAGAUUCCAGGCAACCCGUGGCUUACACUAGUUCAUCAAUUGAUAGAAAUUUAAGUACAGAUUACUCCCCAACACAGUCCAAAACCGUGUUAGCUAAGUACAUGGAAAAGUACAUGGAAAAGACAAACCCCCUGAAACUGCCCAGUCACCAAACGUGCCUAUUCUGACAUUAACUUAAUUAGAAAAAAAUGACCCAAAUCAUUAAAUCUAAUGAAUAGAAGCGUAGCAGUAUCUCAACAGCAGCACUCAAUAGUCAGAAAAAAUCCUCUUUGUUCGAGAAUGGAUUUUAUAGGACUCCACUUCUAGUCCAUCGACAUUUCCUAGUCUUCAGCAACGUCCAGUAAUCAAACUGAGAGAACCUAAAAAAAAUUGAAAGAGGGGAAAAAUAAAUGGUUAAUACCCUGAAAAACCCAAAACUGAUAUAUCUAUGACAAAUUUAUCCCAAAUUAUAUUUUGACCACAAAAAACCCAAAAUUAGUAUACCUUUGACAAAUUUACCCCAAACUGGUACGUUUGUGACAAAUUUACCCUCUGUUAAUUUUCGUUAAAUUUUACUGUCAAAUUAUUAAAUUAAAUGACACGUGACAAUUGAUUAGUAUACCAAUUUGAGAUUUUACGCUCCGUUUGUCACAGUUUAUAAUUUUUGUGAUUUUUUUUUGUAUUAAUUCAAUUUAACGGAAUGUAAAUUAGUCACAAAUUUAUGAGUUUGGAGUUUUUUGUGGUCGAAUAAAUUAAUUUGGGGUAAAUUUGUCAUAAAUGUACCAAUUUAUGGUUUUUUUAUAGUCAGUCGGGGUAAAUUUGUCACGGAUGUAUCAGUUUGGGGUUUUUCAUGGUCAAAAAAAUAGUUUGGGGUAAAUUUGUCAUAAGUGUACUGGUUUAGGGUUUUUCAAGGUAUUAACCCAAAAAUAAAAGGGAAACUACUCAUAGUGGAGGUCAUCAUGCUUGCUGGUCAUAAUUAUAUGAUGUUGUUGAUUUUCCACCGGCAAAUUGACUCCAAGAUAGAACUACACUCUUGAUUCGUCGAAGAGAAAUUACUCAAGACAGGAGAAAAGCUUACCAACCCCGGCCCACCGCCCCACUCCUUGUUUUUCAAUCGCUACGGAGCAUAUUAAAAUUAGACAUAACUCUACCAAAUCUUAGUUACCCUUGAAUCGGGUCACACGAUUCACCUGUUUAGAUUUGGUAGUGGGAGUUAGUAGCGUGGGAGUUGUAGUCGGGGUGGUGACGCCGUAACGCUCGGAGUGCAACGUCAACGUCAUGAAGCUAGAGUAUUCUCCUUAUUUCAAAGACAAACUAGAAAGAAGUUAUAUGCUACCGCAAAUAAAACAAUGAAGGACAUUCUCAAAAGUUAAACUACAAAAAGGGUGUCUUUAAUUAAAGAAGGUGUAGAACUAGCACCACCGUUUUUGUAAACAAAUUUUCAUAAACAUAGUAAAUUUCCUUUUUAAUUCAUUUUUUCAGCUUAUUACUUACAAGUGGGCCCAGCGCCUUGGUACUAAUACAUAAUAUUUAUAUGCCUUCUCUAGUUAGGAGAAAAACUUAUAUCAACUAUUGAUAUCUAAAACUCUUUAGCUCACUAAAGAUUAAUAUCUAUACUUUUCAGAAUCACUAUGUCACGCCCCGAUCCCCGGACGCGCGCACAUCCUUCUACUUGGUCGAUUUUAUAAUGCGAUAUCCCAGGACUAUGUAUCGCCGACCCUUUCUUUUUAUUAAGCACAUGCGGAAGCAGUUAUAAAUCCCCAGACAAUUAAACAAUGAGAUAGGAAAGGAGGCCAUAUUUUUCAUAUUGAAAUUCACAACCACACUUUCAUUAACAGCACCACUCAUAGUAUAUUUACAAUACUAUUUACAGCAUAAAAGUCUCACACCUAUCUAUACCAAGACAGGGUUCACAAAAGGGAUGGGAUCUCAAUCCACAUCCGGGCUAUAUUUAAGAUCCCUCUCUGGAUCAUCUUCUUCCUCAAAAGUCUUUCUCCCCUUCAGGUUCCUCUUCCUUAGCUUCUCCUCAGGGUCCUGAAAUGGUUAUUCAAUAACCAAUGAGACCACGUCUCAGCGAGUCCUACCCACUAAGACUCGAUUAAUAAACUAAUACGCCAUACGGUUGCCUAAGCACAACACGAGUCAGAGGACUUACCUUGGCCUCAGUUCCAACCUGCAAUUCAAGGUUAAACACAGAUAUUCAAACAAUUCACGACAUACGAUCAAGCACUGGUCAAUCGACUAAGUCGAUUACAUGUCAGCCAGACCCUUUCUAGGUCAUUCCCACUCAUACCACGAUUUCCCAGUGGUGUACUCAUUCACCAAAUCACAUGUGUUUCUCGGGCGUCGUUUUCGCCAAUGACAUACCGAUCACCGACACCGUGCGUUCUUUAAGGCGCCGUUUUCACCAGUGAUAACCUUGAUCACCGAACCACGUGUCCUUUCAAGGGCGCCGUUUUCGCCAAGGUGACAUCGGCUAUAGACAACAUCGUGCGUUCUUUAAGGCGCCGUUUUCACCAGUGAUAUUCCCAUAAUCACCGAACCACGUUUGUCUAUAAGUCAUUCACGUGCGUUCUUUAAGGCGCCGUUUUCGCCAGUGAUACUUCCAAUCACCGAACCACGUAUGUCCAAUAAUAUCGUACCUGAUUGGUCUCACCAUUCUCCCUACUAUAUAGCCCAUCAACGUACUGGCGCUAUAUACCCAUGCUUGGCCAUUACCAAUCAAAUAUUCAAUAACAAACAAUUUAGGACAAUUCCUAAAAUUCCACAAUAAAUUCAAUUCCACACAACGUAGAGCUCAAAUAAAUAAACGGUCUGCACCACGACAGUCAGCACGAAAUUCCGGUCACCGGCCAUCCCGGUUGAAUUUCCGGAAAAAUAAUUAAUUAAAUAAAUAAAUUUCGAAAAUAAAUAAAUAAACAUUAAAAAUCCAAUUUAGGCCCAUAUUGCCUGAUUGGAGCCCAAAACGGGUCGGGAAAAAUCCCGAGAUACAUUCAAUAAAUAACCAAACAUUUCUACUUGCUAAUAACUAGGUCUAACCACCUAACAUGCAUUAUUAAGUCACUAAAUUAAUUGUUCUAACCUAAUCUAACCACCUAAGUGCAUGUAAUUAAAUCUAACCAACCCUAAGACAUAAUUAGCAAACUAAUAAAGCAUUAGUGAGUAAAACUCACUUGACAAAAGCGGAGAUUGAAUCACCACAACGGCAAUGCGACGGCGGCCGAAAUCGAACUUUCGACAACACCGGCGGACUUGAACUGGGCCUUAAGCUUGGCCCAACAAAUCUCAGCCCAAUUGAGAUUUGUUCUUGCACUGGAUUGGGCUUCACUUGAUUGAACGGGCCUUGAAUGGGCUGUCCUCGCAGCCUCUAAUUUUGCUAGGCUUGGGAGCUGAAAUCGCUGGGCCUGACUUAUGGCCCAAAUGGACUGAACCUGAGCGGCCCAAGAUAUUUAAAAUUUGCUGGGCUGAUGAUGCUGAAGAUGGGCUGAGCAAUUAAACUGAAGGUGGACUGAAGACUUUUGGCUUCGCUGGACUGCAGAGUUGGGCCGCAAUCCACGAAGAGAAAUUUGUGUGGGCUGCUUCGGUCUUUGCUGGAGGGUACUGCGACUUCAGCCAAUCAAUUUCUUCGGCGGUUGAAAUGAGCUACAGGAGAUUUGUUUAGUUGACUCAACAAAUUGGAAGGAGCGGACGCGUGCGACUUCGGUCUUCGUGGCUUCAACUCGAUGCUGGCGAUGGGUCAACUAAGGAGAGGAGGAGCUCGGUUGUUGACUGAAGAUGGCGGCUUCGUUGGUUGAGUUGUUUUCGUUGGCUGCACACAUGGAAGACUUGAGGAACCGCUGCACGUUGGCCGCGUGGAGUUGCUGCGCUGGCGUGUGUUGCUUCGGUCGAUCUCAAGCAACAAGAUGGAGAUACCAACAGCGAAGGAACCACUGAAGCGGCAGACAUGAAGACCGCACAAGAAAAAGACACGAAGCUGCUGCAGCUUCGGUGGAUGCUGAGUUCUCGGUGGGUUGUGGGCUCCGGGGAGUCAACAACGUUCUGCCGUGUUGACUGGUGUGCUGGCAGAGUGAAGGACGCUCGGUGGGUCUCGCUGAAUGAAGACCAGUUGAGGUGGCGAGCUGGCUUGUGAGUUGCUUCGUUCAGCGUCGCUUCGCUGGCUUCAACUGGCGUGGCAAGACCGAAGUGGAGCUGCAGCAUCGACGUGGAGAUGGACGAAGGAAGCAGCUCGCUGGCGUUGGACUCGUUGAAGGUGCAAGGGACUUCGGUGGAAUGGCAUGAAGAGAGAGGGAUGCUUCGGUGGUGAGCAGGGAUUAGUGGGGCUGAAGCGUGAGUGGGGAACAACUGGUUUUCGGUGGGGGAUUGAACAAAGAUGGGGCUACAGAGAAAGUGAAUUAAAAAUGGGAGCAGCGAAUGCAAAGAGAAAGAAAACAAGGCUGCAGGAAAAUUGAUGGAGGGGAUGGUCGCUCGAGAGAAAGGAGGGGGAAAAGUCGGCGAGUGAAACUUGCUCGAGAAGGUGGAAAGGAAUGGAUGAGGAAGAGGUGGGCCUUAGCUUGAUAUUUUGCAAGAAUAUCUCCAUGAAUCACUCUUAGCCAAGUAAAAACACUUGGCCUUCAUUAGACCAUCCAAAUGACUUCCAUAACCUCUCAAGUAGUCCAAUAUUGCUAGGGUGAGGGGAUGAUACGAAUUUCACCAUUUGAACUUCAAUUUCUCCAAUAAAUUCCCAAAUUGAGGUCCAAUUUCGACGUAGAAAAAUCCCAAGAAAUUUUCUAUAAAUCUCCGACACACACGGGCUCAACCCGAAAGUCAAAUUUCCCAUUAAUUUAGCCAAUCUGAACUUCGGCCAAAUUUCCACGACGUCCGAACCCAGUUUCCGUAAAAUUUCCUGAAUCUCCGAAAAUCUUCUGAGACUGAGUCGAUGCUCCUAAAAUAGCUUGUGACAUCACUGAACUUUUGAUUUCUGAAAUCUGACUCAAAUCGACGGUUAAUUUCACUCCGACGUGCUUUUAGUGUGACCUAGACUACCGGGUAGUUUUCAGAACUUUUUAGGGCAAUUGACUCGUGGUCGAUUUUCUUCGAGCCACAAUGAACCCACUCGACACAUUGGCGACUCUCAAUUGUCGUGAAAAUCUCGAGGGCUCAACUACCAACACAGGGUACCAAAACGACAGAAAAUCAAAUUAGUGCCGGUCGACGAGAAUUUUCCAAUUUAGUGGAGUCACCCACGAUCGGCCACACAUCUCAGUCGAACCGACCUAUCUCUGAUCUCAAUUCGAUCUUUAACUGUGCAGUAAUGACCUCUAAAGAUGAACACGGUCGAGAAGCCGCUUCCUGGUCGAAUUCUCAAGUCCAUUGCCUUAAUAUUCUUUAAUGGCUUACCCAGCUAGUCUAGUUAUCUCGAGAGUGAUCAGCUCUGAGAACAACCCUAUAGACACGUCAAUGAAAUGCCCGAUUAAUUUAAUAGAAAACAAUAUUGAAAAUUCUGGAUGUCACACACUAUCCUCCCCGCCCCCCCCCCCCCCCCAAAAAAACAUAUAUUCGAUUAAUUAUUUUGUAAUAUUCCUAUCAAUGCACAAAGGCACAAACUGAUAAUUCUACUACUUAUUUAUCAUGCAUUUAGAUCAUAAAGUUUGAAUCUUUUCUAUCUCAUAAGUUAUAAAUAAUCUUAUAAAAAGGGACAUAGUUUUAUCUUUCCACGAAUUCACGGAUACAAUUUCUUCGGGAUAAGUACACUAAUGGUGCCAUAAGUUGUGUACGGCGCUCACUUUGGUGCCAAAAGUUUCUGCCGGAUCACUUAAGUGCCAAAUCGGAGAAAAAACGAUCACUUUGGUGCCACCGGCGAGAAAUUCCGGCCAAAAUGAUUACGUGGCUUUAUAUUUUUAAAAAAAAAUUGAUAAACCCUCUAAACGACGUCAUUUUCUGUCCUACUUAAGAAAACGACGUCAUUUUGCCGUCCUAUGUGGAUGGCUUAGGAAAAACGGCGCCGUAUUGCUCAUUUGUGAUUGAAAUUAGGGUUUUUUUUUGUUCAUCCUCGCCGAUCAAGCUUGCUCAGCCACCAUCGCUUGGCCACCGUGCUCGGCCACCGUCGCUCGGCCACGGUGCUCGGCCACCAUUGCUCGGCCACCGUGCUCGGCCAAGAAGUGAUGGGAAAAUAGGAGGCGAGGGCAGAGGAGGAGGAGGAAGAAGGGGGAUUGAAGGUGUAGAGAGAGAGAGAAGACGAGGAGUGUGAGGGAAACAAGAAGGGCGUAGAUGGAGAUGGUAGAUUGGGCUUUGUUCAAAGAGUGGCUGGUGCUGGUGUUGUUCUUCGAGGAAGAAGACGCCGCCGCCAUGGCUUCUCUCUCUCUGUUGGUGUUGUUCUUCAGGGAAGAAGACGACAUCGCCAUGGCUUCUCUCUCUCUGCUGGUGUUGUUCUUCGGAGAAAAAGAUGAUGCUGCCAUGGCUUCUCUCUCUGCGCUAGUGUUGUUCUUCGGGGAAGAAGACAACGCCGCCGCCAUGGUCUCUCUCUCUCUCUCUCUCUCUCUCUCUCUCUCUCUCUCUCUCUCUCUCUCUCUCUCUCUCAAUUUGGGGAUUAGGGUUUCGACUUGCGGUGCCAAACGACGUCGUUUGGUGGUUUACUUGCUGACUGGACUCUCCGGCGAGCCACGUCGGUAUAAGAAAUUAAUUAAAAAAGGCCACAUCGGAUUUCCGGCCAAUUUCGUCGGCGUUGGCACCAAAGUGAGCGUUUUUCAAAUUUUUUGGCACUUAAGUGAUCCGAUGGAAACUUUUGGCACCAAAGUGAGCGCCGUACACAACUUAUGGCACCAUUAGUGUACUUACCCCCAAUUUCUUCAUAUACGUGAAUAAUAUCUUUCAAUUCAUUAGAAAUUUGAAUAUUUUGUAAUAAGAGAAUUGUGCCAAAUCUUUUAAAUAAUAACUUUUCGCAUACACUCAAUACGGGUACACUUUUGCUAACAAUAUCAGAAAGGAACGAUAUAAUUGAUCAUAAAGAUUAUGUAAUAGUACACACGAAAGUUAUUGGCUGGAAAGGAAAAAUGAGAGGAACAAAAAGAACUACUUUUUAGGAAAAAAAAAAAAAAAGAGGGAGGAUACUGUUAUAAGCUUCGAAGAAUAAUACUUUUGAUCACGCAAUUUGUAAUAUAUGCUUGGUUAUUUUUCUCUAUUUCUGAUAAUAUACACUUAAACAAAAACACAAUUUAUUAGUAUUCAGAAAUAUUGCAUUCAAGACAAAGGUGAAAUAGCAUUCUUCUCGUCAAAAAAAUAAUAAUAACAUUCUUAAUUUUACUCCAAAUUCUAGGACAUAUUUUUAUUUUCUUCGUUUAUUUUCUUACUUCACAUCGCAUAGUCUUUGUUCAUUACCAAGACCAUAACUUAUUAGUGUUUAUACCGCGGCAGCAAUUGCACAUUAAAAUUUUCUUCCUUCCUCAAAAUCUGAAUUUGACACAUCAUAGUCAUGCAUUAUUUUAUGUGUCUUUGGUUUUGAACAAAGUUUUCAAAAAGACUAGAACUUCAGCAUUUUUUUUUUUUUUACGUUUCCUGAUAAUAGUUUCUUUCUAGAAACACUUUUUUAAUUUCUAUUCCUGAAAAUAAUUUAUAAACAAUUUAAGGCGUUUAGUAACUAUAUAAAAUUUAUGUUUCUGAAACAGAAAUACGUUUGGUACGACUCCAAAUAUUUUUGUAACUAAAAAUUUCUUUUAAUUUAUUAAUAAUUUUAUUACUUUUUUUCUUUUUCUUCUCCUUCCUCUAAUUGGUCGUCAGCCUUGACCAUAGCCAGUCGAUGACUGGCCAAACGAGGGCAGAAAAGGUUGUUGGCCUUGGGGGAGCCACACCGGCCACCAACGAGGUCCCCCUAAGCCUCAUCGUGGCUGGGUGAGGACAAGCCUUGCAGUGUGAGGCCGAGCCUCACUUGACCACUGCGAGGCUAGGCAACUCCAUCAUGGACGACACUAACCUCGCGAUGGCCUAGGAAGGCUCGGUCUUGCCAAAUCUGGGCAAGGUCGAGCCUUGCCCAGCCACUACGAGGUUUGGGGGGACCUCGCCAAGGGUUGGCAAGGUUGCCAUGCCUUGUUUGGCCUGUCGCCAACCAUCACCGAGGCUGCGCGACCGGCUGGGGGAAGUAGAAAUGAAGAAAAAAAGAAAGAAAAUAAAGGGAAGAAAGGAAGAUAAAAGAAACACUUAUUUUUUUGAGUUGUUUCCGGGAAUAAGAAACAAUUUUGUUUUUAUUUCUUGUUUAUAUUCCAAAUCUAUUACUCCUGGGGAAAAAAUUACCAAAUGCGUUUCUAUUCUAAAAAACAAAAGAACUAAAAUAUUUAUUCCCGGAAGGGUUAUCAAACACAGCUUGACAAAUCCCUACCCUAAGAAUGGUAACCAGGCCAUGCAGGCCCAAACAUAACACGAAUUGGCUCCCUUGGGCCCGAGAACGUGAGGAGCUGUUCCAGGCUAAGCCUGUUAACAAUAGGGGUGAUUGUAGACUUGUGGUCCGAACGAAAGUGAAGAUGGUAAGAGUAACACAAGAUCUCUCAAUGACGAUUUGUCAUGAAUUUUAGUUAUGAAAAGAAAAUACUUGUAUUAACAAAAAAAAAGGGGCAAAAACGGUAAAGAUCAAUACUGAAUAAAUUUUCCACUGGCUUCUUUUGACAAAAAUGUUGCCGACGACACUGAUAAGAUUGAUAAUAUUAUUUGUAAACCAUUGGAAGAUUAGAUUAGAGUUUAAUUUGUUUACGAUUUGAUUCUGCCAUCGAAAGGUUAGAUUAGAGUAUGAUUUGAUUCUGCAAUCGGAAUAUUAGAUUAGAGUUGUACAUAUAAUUUGAUUCUAAUUAUUUCAAUUGCAAAUAAAUUGAUCCAGACCAGGCUUUCAUCUAACAGACAUAAGGGUAUGCUAAAGCAUUGGCCUAAUCGUCUUUUCCACAUUCGGAUGACUCACCUUCUUUCUCCUUUGCUUUUAUUGCUUUAUUUCUUAUCAUCAUCAGUUUGCUUUUUGUAACAAGAUUUUCCUUGGAUUCUCUCGGGGCCAAUUUCGCCGUGAAUGAUGGCGUGAAGUCCCCAAAAGAUGGUUUUGUAGUGGGAGCAAAAGUGAAGAUAGUGAAGAAGGAAUAUUUGUGUGAUUGUUCUUAAUUAGUUAUGAGAAUAAUAAUUUAUUUUAAAUUAUAAAAUCUAAAUAUAAAAUAAUUGAAAAUUAUUACGAGAUUUAUUUUUUUAAGAAUUCAUGACCCAUAAUAUAUUAUGAGCAUAAUAAGAUAGAGCAGUAAUAAAUAUUUUUUUUGCCACUGAAGUGCACCCUCAUGUUUUUAAUUCUUUGCCUUGCGGGCUUCUGUCGACUGAAGUCCCGCUGACAAUACGAAGGCACACUAAAGCAUCGGUCACCGAGCCAUGCCACCCCAGCACUGUACAGACUCGCCCCUCUUUUUUCAUGAAUGUAACUAUGAAAAGAAAUUCCUCGGGCAACGGGAGAGGAAGGGGGCUAAAACAGGACGGGGCAAUAAUGAACAAUGCCUUGCCACCGAAAUGCAUCCUCCUCGCGUUUCUUUCCUCUUUGCGGUCUUCUUUUAACUAAAGUCUUGCCGACCGAACAAAGAGCGCCAAAGCAUCGAUGGGUUUCUUUUCCACACUGGCAGGACCCGUCUUCUCUUUCUUUGCUUUAUUGCUUUAUUGCGUUUCAUUGUCGCUUCUCGUUGAAUGAACCUCGCUUUAUUACAAGUUCCCAAGAAAUGGUUUUGUACUUGUCAUCAAACCGGUGGGUUAAUUAUUUUGAUAAUUUUUUUCUUUGCCAACAGCAUUUGAUAUAUCAUCCACACCACAAUUUCAAUAUUUUCGAGUGGAUUUUCAAUGAGGACUUGUAUAAUAAUGUACUUCCGCCGUUUCGCGCAACAUAUUUUAUUUAGUGACGACUUUAAUUAUUUUUCGCUGGCAAUAUGUGGAUUUUUUUUUCAAUUUUUUUCCCAAAAUUGUGUGCCUUUACUCAGCACGCACAUGCUCGCCAUCAUUUGAAGUUUGAAAACUAAAAAAAAAAUGGACAGGAAUUCGUUCCAUUGAUCACUCAAAGAACCGCAUCCCAGAUUAUAUCACUUCUAGGACCUUAAAAAUUGUUAAAGACUUAUUGUCAUCAUUGAGGUUUUGUUUUUUAACAAUAUUGACGGAUAAUAUUUUUUGAAUCACAAAAAAAGUUGGGUUUUGAUGUCUCACCAGGCAAAAUUUAGACUUUUCAGUGAAAUUUUCCCAACUCAAGUUAGCUUUGUUUGUCUACUUUUGUCAACUCAAAUGAGUACAUUAAAUCUUUAUGAUCAUCUUAGACGGAACUUUGUUGGAAUGUACUUUUCAAUUGCUGAUAUAAAUUUGAAGUUUUGAUGAUAUAGAAAAAGUUUUGAAUAAUUAGUCUCAUAGCGAAUAUAGUUUUGGAUUUUUCGCAGAAUUGCCACCCGUUUUCGCUCAUCCAUUGCCAUCACAAGCCCUCACUUUCAUGUGUGGAUCCACCCAUGACAUAUAACUCCUCACCCGUUCGACUUGUCUACUAUACCUUGGUCUUGUUUUUUUCUCCGUGCGGAACUUGCGAUCUAUGUCUAAUGGAAGUCGCAACAGGCAAAGGUUGCCAGCCUCGCACAGCCAUGGUUGCAUAUGGCCGCGGUGUCGGAGCUCAACUUAGUCAAUUCGCUCGAUUUUUUGAGCAAAAGAGAAAGGUCCUCAGCCUAUUUAUCUUUAUAAUCAGUACCAAAAAGGAAAAGAAAAUUCCAGUCCAGGAGGGCAUUUGGCACCAGCAAAAGGCAAAUGCAAUUGAUGAUCUACAGAUUCCAAAAAAUGAAAAGGGAGGGAGAAAGGACAGGGAUCGUGGUUACAGAUGAAGAGCGAGCUAUCAAGAUGAAAAGGCCAGGAUUUGUGAAAUGCAAAAGUUGAAGAAGCAGAAGAUUCGGGAAAUAUCGGAUCAGCAAAAUGCUGCUAUGGACACUGAUAUGGUGCCUUUCCAUUCUAAAAAUGACUAUUUCUUGCAUUAUUUCGAGUUCAUGUAUUGAUUAUGCCAGUAACAUUUUCUUGUUUUUGAAAUAAUUUUUCAAGAAUGAUAAGGGAAAAGGGCGGUUGAAGUAUCUUCCGCAGCAAACUUAGAUUUUUGCUCAUUUUGCCAGAGGAAACCAGUCUGCUUCACAGAAAAUCAAAGGAAGGUACCAUUACCAAUGACAAUUCUCUCUGGUUUUUUGUGCAUUGCAGAUAUGAUCUCGUGUACAUAUGUUCCUUUUUUGACAACCUGCUGAACAAUGUCUACAUAGGUCCUAACUUUCCUCAUACUUCAUAGUUGCUUAAUUGGGACCGAAAGCUUUGUUUGAUCCUUGACGGGCCGUUUGCUAUAUAUUAAUAAUUGCCUAAUGCUGGAAUUCUUUAGAGGAAAGGUGCCUAUGGUCCAGUGGUCUAACCCUUGCUGGACUUCCAGUUACAUUUGGUGUUAAGGUUCCAUAUUCAAAGGGAAUUGGGAUUUGGUAACAUUUAUGCAAACCAACAAUGUUCAAUUGUAACCUUAUAUUGAUUGUUCUCUCCCAGUGGACAAAUAAACAUCUGCUCAUGCUUAAAAGUGAAGAAAACAUGUUUGUGAAGUUCAAGUCAUCAUUUCCCAGACCAUUUCUGCGUACAGCGUUCAUGUUUGUUCAGUGACAUUUUUCUCUGCUUAACGUGUAGGGGUUGUCAUGAAUCUAAAAUAACUGAAGAGGAAGAGGAUGAAUAACGUCUUAAGGAGGAAGAAGAUGGCUUGUCUGGUACGGGAAACCCGCGGCUGGUGACACAACCCUCUUGUAAUCUCUCUCUUUCUCUCUCUUCCUCUCUCUGGUUUGAUUAGAAGAAGGAUAGUCUUUGCUGCUCGUAUCUCUGCUGUACCCCUGCUUUGACUUGGAGAAGCUGUAAGUUUGCUGCAAUUUCAGAACGCUAAAUAAUGUGGGAUUGUAAAUGUUCUUGGUGUCGACAUGAUUCCUUAUCACUAACAGUUAUAAUACUCCAAGUUCUUACGUUGAUGUUGACUAAGUAGAGAUUUUUGACAUCCCUUCCCGGCCCUUGUCUAGGUGGGAACCUCUUGCACUGGGGACAACCUUUAUUGUAUUGUCGUCUGGCUCCAGAGAGAUUCUGUUUUGCUCUGAUUGAUGCAAUUAUCUUGCCAACGGGAUAUCUCCAGCAAAUAUAAGUUGACUGCUUUCUUAAGUUCUAUUUGUAUGCUUUUUUGCAGGUACACAAGGAAGAUGAGGGAUUACUAGCUUGCUGGAUUGAAUUGGCUCAUAAGAUUGUAUGAGAAUGGCAUUAACGGAAUACUUGCACAGAUGAAAUGGUAGGUCACGGGCUGCGGCAUUUAGACCUCUGCAGUAUGGAAGCUGGAAAGGCUAGAAGAUGCAGAGCUUAGAGAAAAUUUGCUAAUAGAAAUUCCAACGAUAUCUUGGAGAUAUUCAUCUUGUAAGAUCUUGAAAUUGACAUGUGCUGAGAUAACCAAUUAUCGAGGCUCCCAGAAGGUUUUGUAGGUCUACAAUGUUCAUACCGAGUUGAUGGCUUUUCUGGUCUCUCCAACUUGAACAGCUUGAGAGAUUCGUCCUGGGAAAGACAAUUAACUCUCCUCCCCCAGUUGACUAGGAACAUGAAAAGAUCGUGGAAGAUUCUAUCCCCGGUGGAUUGGUAGGUUAAAUAGACUAGAGUCUUUAAAAGUUGUCCUCUUCAAUAAUGACCACCUUAUCACUGUUGGAGAAAUCCUCUUGAAGUGUUUUGAAGCUGACAAAACGUUUCCAUCAGUCUAGUCUGAAGGUUUGCAGACUUUGCUAUUUAAAGUCUGAAGACCUCCGGACAGCCAGACUCAAGACUCAAAGUCUAUCCUCAUUGACAGUCUCUAAUCCGUUGAAGAAAGGUUAUUCAGAACUGGAUGUUUCGUUAAGGAUUUAACCUUAUCAUCUGGAGAAGAUCUCGUAGCUGGAAAAGACGUAACAGAAUCCUUUGAUUGAUCGAGAUUGAUUCGAUGAUUGAAGAUUCGAUGAUUGCCUAAAUAUUCUUGGAAGGUUCUUCUUAUGGAAACCGAGAUCCUGAUUGUAUGGGCGAACAUGAUUGAUGGGCUAUCGACACGUUCCUUUAAUAGCUCGAACAACCUUCCUAAUUGAUUCUGUCCAACGGGUAGAUUGGAGGAAUUCCUUUGGUAAAUGCCAACGGGUAUAAUGGCAUAAAGGAGUAUAUAAGGAAGACGUUCUUAGUUGUUCGAGGUGUGCGCGAUAGAAGAAUUCCAAAGUCUGAAGCUCAUUUUUGUUUAGACAAUUCUUUUGAUUGAACACUUGUAUACAAAAGAGAGUCUAUAUUUGUGAGAAACCUUGAGGAGGUGUGGUAGAACAUCUACACUGUGGAAUCAAGGCAACGCUGUAUUGUAACUUCUCUUUUGAUCAUAGUGAAAUCCAGCCGGUGGGCUGUCAGUGCGGAAGAGUGGACGUAGGCUUGGAAUAAGCCGAACCACUAUAAAUCAUGUGUUCAAUUUUCUCUUCCUCACUCUCUUUACCUUGAUCGUAUUUCAUUUUGUUAAUCAAGAGAGAAUUUCCUUUCUAGCGUUUGCCAAGAAUCGCUUCCGUAUCUCGAUAAGUGUUUGUGCACCUAUUCACCCCCCUCUAGGUGUUUAUACUAGCUAUCUCAAUCACUAGAUAUUCCGCAACUUUCUCAUCUCUACAGAGUUGAACUCUGUCGGGAAUGUCUGUAGUACCUCCCGAGGCUUCCCUCAAGUUUACCGUCCAUAAGUAUUAGACAUUUCCUAUCAGUGCAUACAUUAAUAGACCUAUCAACCUAGAAGAAACUGGUAAGAACUUCUAAUUGAGUAUUGUGCAGUUACAGGGAUUCAAAGCCUUGAAUGUCUGGAGAAUCUAAAAAUUUUAGAGCUGAACGAGCUCCACUAACUGGACAAAUUGGCCGAGUGAGUGGCUUGAAGAAACUAACGGCUUUUCAUUCACAUCAUCUAGUGAUCAGGUUGACCGGAAUCACUGGACAAUUUGUCUAUCUUCUCCAGCAACUUUUAAAGUGGAAGAAAUUAAAAUGAAUAGGCAUCCACCCCGGAGAUUUGAAAACUCAGCACAUUAUCGAGUUGCUUGAUCAAAUUUGGCAAAUUUCUAAGAAAGAAAAAAGAAUGGACACUUGCUCCGUUGAGUUUUUUUUCUUUUUUUCGGAUAAGAGGUGCUUCCCAGUCACACUGCUCAUGCACUGGCCUGCAACUUUGAGGAAGUCAGGUCAUCAAUUUUGACGGGCAUGGGGUUAGGUUAGGGUUUUGGAAGAUAAGGGAUUUGGAGACGAGGAAGAAAUGUGCAGUUUUAAGCUUAUCAUUGAUCAAGCAAACCGCCACGUUGGAUUUUCAAUAUCCGCCUUUGAGCAAACUUUGAUGGAAUGCAUUUUUUUGGUUCCAUAGAAGUUUCGGAUUUUGAUGACAUGAAAAAUAGUUUGGAUAAUUGGCAUUGCAAUGAAUAUAAAGGUUAUGAAUUUUUAGAGAAUCACCACUUGCUAUCAUUCGCCACUUUCUGCCAUCGAAUUUGCCGCCCCCCAUUUGCAUCAUAAGCCCUCAACUUCAUGCUUCAAUCCAUUGACAAGUUAAUGUCUCACUCGCUCUAGUCUAUCUUCUAUGCCUUCAUCUCUUUUUUCUUUCCACGCAUAGCUCAUAACCUAUGUCCAUAGAAUUCGCAACCAACGGAGUUCGCUAGUCUCGCACCGCCACGGAUUUGGGGUUGCAUGGCCGUGGGUGUUGGGGCUCUACUUAGUGAGUUUACUCGAUUUUCUAAGCAACGGAGACAAUCCUCAACCUGAUUAUCAUUAAAAUCAAUACCCAAAAAGAAAAAUAAAUUCCUCACCAUGAGGGCAUGUGGGUAUUUUGGCAGCACACAAAAAGAUAAAUGCACCUGAUAUUGUGUGCAGUGAAAAGGAGGAAAAAGAGGGUUGUGAUUAUGGAUGGAUGGAGUGGGCGCUGUCAGUUGUCGAUGGUCACAUGGGGUGCUUUGAGUUUUUGUUGACUUGACUCUGAAUGAAUCAUUUGGGGGCAAAAAUUGAUUCUCAAUCCGAAAUUUCUAUAUCAUAUGAUUCAGUGAUUUUCCGCGUUAAGAAAAAUAAAUAAUUUACUUUGGCCUGCAGUGAUGCUCCGAGGAAGUACCCUUAGGGCGCGUUUGGCAAUGAUUCUGUUCUUGAGAGCUGAUUCUGACUAGAAAUGAUUAUUUUUGAUUCUGUUCCCGAGAACUGAUUUUGAGUAAAAAAACGCGUUUGGUAAUUGUUCAAAAUUUUUUAUUCUGGAAUAGAAUUGCAUUUGGUACCGUAUUAAUUGAUUUUGUUCCAAAUUAAUUUCUUUUGAUUUUUAAAUAAAUUUUAAAUAAUUUCUUUACUUUUUUACUUUUUUCUUUUCUUUUUUCCUUUUUUUCCCCCUUUUUUUUUUUUUUUUCCUAUUCUUCUUCUUCUUCUUCAUUUGGUUGGUCGCCGGACCGGCAACCGGCUAGACGAGGGCCGGCCUUCAUCGGCCGAGCCUCGCCGGCAGCUAAGCGAGGCUCGCCGGUGGCCAGACUGGCCUUGCCCAGCCUCGGCGAGGCCAACUUGGCCACCGACAGGGCUGGGCGAGCCUCACUGGCAGCUGGGUGAGGCUUGCCCAGCCACCGGCGAGGCUCGACCUUGCCCGAUCUGGCGAGGCCGAGCCUCACCCAGCCGCCGGCGAGGCUCGCCCAGCCCCACCGGUGGCUGGGCUUGCCUCCGGCGGCCGACGGAGGACUGACGACCGAUGGGCGGCGGCGGGCGGUGGCGGACGACGGCGAGCGAUGGCGGAUGGCAACCGAGAUGAUGAAAGAAAAGAACAAGGGUUGAUUCUUUUUCUGAUUCUCGGACGUAGAAUCAAUUUUUUUUUUAUUCUCAAAUCUUGUCCAAAAUCGUUUCCGGGAACAAAUUUGUUCCCGGGAACAAAAGUUUUACCAAACGCGAUUCUCGUCCCAAACUGAUUUUAGGAACAAAAAAUCAGAAUCUGGCACUGUUUGGCACGUUGCCAAACAGGCCCUUACUGACCAACUUUAUAGCAAAACUAGUCCACAACUCUCCGCAUAUUCAUCAAAACCUUUGGCUUCCGAGUUCAGCGACCUCUUGAAAAGUCAUUCGAAAAAAUCUUCCCUUUUAAUAUUUCCAUAGCAAAGAAACAAAGGUCUUGAUAUUUAAGACCCAUCUCUUUACGAAAAAUCUUUCUUUUCCUUUCAAAAGGAGAGGAGUUUAGGCGAUGGAUCCCAAUAUGUUCUCUUCUUCCCAAAGCUUUUGAGCCAAUGGAGGAAACUCAAUUUCAAUUUGGAUGGAAGGAGUCUGAUUUUAAAAGAAUUUACAACGUGACUUUUGGAGUUUCGUUUUUACUAAAACAAAAGUUUAGUGGAGUAUAAUCAAAGCUAAAGUUAUUGGAAAACUAAUUCGAUAGUUCCAAGAAUCUUUUUUAACUCAUUGAGUCCUUGUGAUUAAUAACUUUAAUUUUUAUUUUUUUCUGUCACAUUAGGAUUUAUGUCUUGAAAAGACUUAAGAACUUAAGAACUUUGGAAUGGAAUAAUUUUACACCUCUAAAUCUAGUGAGAUUUUGUUUUUUUUAUCAUGAAACAUGCAAUGUUUAGUCACCACAAAAUCGAUUUAGAAAAUAGAAAGAUUCUUGCAAAUAAACACCUGCCAAUCAUGUCAUGAAAAUCAAUUCAUAAAAGGUUAGAGCCGUCUAAUUUAACUAAAUGGAAAUGAAAAUGGAAUGUGCCUUAUACAUAUAGUUUUGCAUUGCUUCAAAGUACAAUCACUAAAUUAAGAAUUGCAUGAGAUCGGCCGAUAUGAUUUGGUUAAGGAUAGCAACAAUCUAAAACCUCAGUUCCCUUUAGCGUUAGCUACCACUCUUCAAAAGAGAAAAAUCAGACAGAAUAGCGUGUGGGGCGGUGCAAGAAGAGGGAAACCAAUGAUUGACCCGACAGUCCAUGGUGGACCAGCUUGCUCAAGAAGGAAUCGCGCCAAUGAUUGACCCAAGUCCAUGAAGACUUGAACUACCAAAGGCACACACCAAAGCAUUGGCGGGACUCCUUUUCCACGUUAGGAUGACCCCAUCUUCUUUUUUCUUUGCUAUAUUGCUCUAUUUCAUUUCAUUAUUCACUUUGCUUUUUAACAAGAAUUUCCCUCGGAUUCUUCGACGUAGUUUUGCCGUGAAUUAUUGAGAUUCCCAGCGGGUUUAUUGCUAUGAGAAUUUUGUCAAAUAACAUGUAUUCAACGUUUCACAUAACAGAUGGCAUUUUAAUUGCAAUUGCGAGCAAUAUGUGGGUUUUUUUUUUUUUAAUGUUGUAAAAAAUAUGUGCACUUUUACUCAAUAAGGACGAGCUCUUCAUCAUUUGAAGUUUAACCAAUAAAUCUAGGUUAUUUGCAAGUAAUUUAAAUAAGUAUACUAAAAUCGAUACAUUAAGUGAAUAAAUAGAUUUGGGGAAAAAGAUACUACUCUUAACCAAAAAAGAAAAAAAAAAUAGAUACUACUCAAAUUGGAAUUCGAUACUUGCCAAGAGUGUUUUUCGACUCAUUGAGUUAUCGUGAUUAAUAACUUCAAUCUUAAAUAUUAUUUUUGGUCACACUCGGAUUUAUGCCUGAAAAGACAUAAGAAUUUACAAAUUUCGGAAUGGAACAUCUUUACACCUCUGGAUCUAGCAAGAUUUUAUUUCCUAUUGUGAAACAUGAAAUGUUUAAUUACCACAAAAUUGAUUUAGAAAGUUAAAAAAUACUUGCAAACAAACACCAUUUGUUCAGAAUUACUUUGAUCUUUAAAUAGUCUAACCAAUCAUAUCAUCAAUCAAUAUAAAAGUUGAUACUGUUUAAUUUAAUUAAAUGGAAAGUAUGAAAGUGCUGCAUACACGUGGUUUUUGCAUUGCAUUGGAAUACAAUCAUUAGAUUAUGAAUUGCAUGAGAUUGGUCAAUGUAAUCUUGACACGGAAGUCUAAGACCUGAGCUCCUUGUGCCUCGUUUUAACGAGGCAUUAACAUUAGCUACCUUUCUCAGAAAAAAAAAAAGAGAAAAAAAAAAAGAACAGCUUACGGUUGGUGCAAGAAGGCUGAAACGUCAUGGGAUCAGAGGGACAAAGUCAAAAGUCUACGAAGACCUGGACUACCAACAGUCCAUGACGAACCAGCUCUGCUCUGAGAAGGAAUCACACCCAUGAUUCAUUCAUUUGGUGACUUUGUCCCUCACAGUCAUACUUCAAUAAAUGUAGGGAUUUUAUCGAAAAGAAGGAAAAAGAUGUCACUAGAUCACUCUGUAAAAUCCAACAGCGACUCAUCAUUCUCCCAUGCACACGUAAAAUUUACAUGAUAACAAAUCGAUCUCCAAUUCUCAUAUUCAUUGCACCAGUUCCACCGGCCAUAUACCGUCACAAGAAAAUUGAAAAAAAAAAAACUUUUAGGGUGUCUUUAUCUCGCUGAGAAUUUUUUUGUUGCGGGAAAAUGCUAUUAGAAAAUUAAAUUUAGAUAAAGGGAAUCGGAAGAAUUUGAUUACGGUGAAAACAUGUUAAAAGAAAGCCAAUUUUAUCGUAAUUGGUAAUAAGCGAAUCCACUAAAUAUGGCUUGUAUCAUUAAAAGUAACAUGGAAUGACUAAUAAACUGGAAUUGAUAUUGUCUUUGUUUAUUCUAUAUUCCAUCAAAAUAACAACGAUUACAAAGAAAUUAAGAUUGAAAUUAUGAAAUCAUAUUUACAUAGAUAUGAUCGUGCUUUAGGAAUGUAGAAAAAUUGAGCAUUAAUAGAGUAUAUUAACUUUGAAGGGUAGCAAGAAAAUAAGGGUAACGAUUCUUUCUAGCCAAGUCGUUUUUCUUUAAGCUUAUUGUUUUCAGGGUUAAUAUCACGAAAAAUCCCAAAUUGGUGCACUCAUGCUAAAUUUAUUCUAAACUAAUUUUUUGACCAUAAAAAACCAAAACUAACUUGUUUGUGACAAAUUUAAUUUUCAUUCAUUUUUGUUAAAUUGGAUUGAUACUAUAAAACAACACAAAUUAGUACACAUGUGACAAAUAAAUGAUAAAACCCCAUAUUGAUACACCCAUCAAUUACCAAAAUUUGAUGUCUACUUUUGUUCACUUUAACUUUGAAUGAAUCGGCCAUCUAUUGGGGGGGGGGGGGGGGGGGGGGGGCGCAAAAAUAGAUUGUAAUCCCAAAAUUUCUACACCAUAUAGUCCAAUGAUUUUCUGCGUUAAGAAACAUGAAUAAUUGUCAACUUUGGGAGGCUGAGCGAUGCUUCAAGGAAUUAACCUUAUUGACCAAAUUUUGCAGUAGAAUUGGCCCACAACUCUCUUUGCAUAUUCAAUGACCCACCCAAAAGUCAUUCAAAAAUAUCUUUCCUUUUUAGUUCCUUAAUAUUUAUGCGGUGAAGGAACAAAGGUAUUUGAUAGUUAAGGCCCGCAUCUGAUUCGAGAAGUCUCUCUUUUCCUUUAAAAAGAGUAUAAGUUAGGCAAUGGAUCCCCCCCCAUUUUCUCUUCUUCCUUGAGAUUUCGAGCUGAUGGAGGAAGCACAAUUUCAAUUUGAACGGAAGGAGUCUGAUUUAAAAAAAUCUGCAAUGAGAUAUUUAGACUUUCGUUUAACUAAAACAAAAUUUUAGGGGAUAUAAUCAAAGCUAAAACUAUCGGAGAACAAAUUUGAUCUUCCGUUAGUCUCAUUUGAGGAAUUUGAUACUUUUUUAGAGUCUUUUUUUAACUCGUUGAGUCAUCAUGAUUAAUAACUUCAAUCUUGAAAUUUCUUUUCGUCAAGUUGGAAUGUACGUCUGAAAAGACUUAAAAGCUUAUUAAUUUCGGAACAGAAUAAUUUUACGCCAUCAAAUCUAGCAAGAUUUUAUUUUUCCUCAUUGGCUCCUCCCCACCAUUUGUCCUUAUCAAAUAUCAAUAGCCUCAAAUCAAUCAACAUGUGUACAGAUCGAAAUCCAAAAGUCUCGCCGGUGCUGGUGCACAUGGAUCACUCAUGCAAUUGCGAGGAACUUUGAGGAGGUCUUUUAGAAUGACCAUGGCAAUGAGGUUUUUAGGGUUUUGGACAGGUGUAAAUAGAGCAGUGAAUGAUAGUCUUUUGAUAUAAGAACGUGCCUACAGCUGCAAAUUGUAAUAUUUUGAUUUGCUCUUCUUUUGGGAUUUGUUUGCUUGGAAGUUUUCUAUCUUCUUCCCAUAUUUGAUUACGACAAAUAAAAUAAAAAAAAUCUUUCUACCAAAAAAAGAAAAAUCCCAAUAAGGAGAAUUCACCUGAUCUAUCAGUGCACGAGUUGGGUUUACAUGUAUUGGUGCACAGACAAUACCCGCUCCAUGAGUAGAGAGGGAGAGAGAGAGAGAGGGAGAGCGCUAUAUAAUAUGCUCAGGCAAAGACGCAAGUGUGAAGUAACCCGCAGAGGCAGGACGAGUUAAAAUUCAACAAUACAAAAAGAACGAGAGAGAGAGUUUCUUUUAAUAUUUUGUUUUAGUCACCGGAAGAAAUUCAAUUGCUCCCCCAUCCCUCUAGAAAAUCCAAGGUUUUCUACUAGAGCCUUGGCUUCCGCCGGAGCUGCUCCUGAAGUUGCGCGCGUGGACAUCGCAAACCCGUCCGCCGAAACACCACCGCAGUCUCGGCAAGCGUGGCGAAUCGCUCCCUCCGUCGAGCCCUGUGAAGGACCCGUCGAUAUUUCACCUCGAUAGCUCCUUGCCGCAAUCGGAGCCAGAUCUGAGGUGAGUCUCCAAGGGCUCCACUUUUUGGUGUUUAAAAAGAACCCUGGCAUUUUGGCAACUUUGAUUGGCCGCAAUGAAUCAUUUUUUAGUACAGAGAUCUCAUGGCUUGGAAGGAUUUACCGUAUCUGGCUGCCGCUGCUUUUGCUGCUAUCUGGUUUCGACUUUUUUCUCGAGGAGGAGAUCAAGCGAGAUCGAUGGAAAGGAGUGCAAAGAGACGGCAAGGAGAGCAAGCGAGACCAAUGGAGCGGGGUGCAAAGAGACGGCGCACGGGUGGAAAUGAUGGAGCAGCAAGAGGCGCUUCUUCCACUCACGCUUCAACAGAAGGUCAAGAAGUGGCAACUUCAUCGGGAUAUGACUAUGAAGUAUUCUUGAGCUUCAGAGGACCAGAUACUCGAGCAGGUUUUAUCGACUUCCUUUACACUAGGAUGAUAGAUAUGGGAAUCCGCGCAUACGAGGAUGAUGAAGAUCUCCCAAAGGGAGAAGAGUUCGGCCCAAAACUUCUCCAAGCAAUUGAGGAGUCGAAGAUUUUAAUGCCUAUCUUUUCGAAAGGUUAUGCUUCCAGCGUAUGGUGUCUCAAAGAGUUAGUCAAGAUGGUCGAGUGCCAAAAAACAAAGGGACAAAAGAUCAUGCCCAUUUUCUAUGAUGUGGCACCUUCAGAGGUUCAACAUCAAACCGGGGAUUAUGGAGAGGCCUUUCGAUCACAUGAAAGAAAGAAGCGACAUGAUGAAAAGAUUUUGCAAGAGUGGAAAGAUGCUCUCACUGUAGUCGGGCAAAUAAACGGAUGGAACCUGCAAAGCAUGUCCAACAGGUGACUUAUUUUAGCAUUCCAUCUCAUGUGUCUUGGAUCAUUAAAACUCGUUGCAUUUCUUAUGGUUUCUUUUCUGGAUUUGUGUUAGUCUUGUUGAAACCGAAUUUUGUGUUAUUGAAGUUAUACUGCAAAAAUCAAAAUUUUCCCAUUUUAUUCCAAGCAACAUUUUCUCCAAUUCACUUCAUUUAAGUACCAACACUAAUUCAUCUACAAUGGAAUAAAUCCUUGAAGUAACACAUUUUGAAUUCAAUUUGGUCUUCUCAUAAUUACUUUAAUGUUUACACAAUUUUCUCACUCAUUGUCUUUUGUCUCCAUCUAACUCUAGGCGAGAAGGUGAGUUCAUAAGAAAAGUUACCCAGAAGGUUUUCACUGAGUUGAAAAAGGCUUAUCUAGCGGUAUCAGAGUGCUUGGUCAGAGUCGACAACCACGUGAAUGCAAUCAUGGAAAUGAUUGGUGCCGGGACAAGUGAAACACGAAUUAUAGGAAUCCACGGGAUGGGUGGCAUCGGAAAGACAACUACUGCCAAAAUGAUCUACAAUAAGCUUUUACACAACUUUGUCAAUUGUUGCUUUCUUCAAGAUAUUCGAGAAACGUCAAAAGGUAAUGGCAUUCAAUGCUUACAGAAUCAGCUCAUCACUGUCAUCCUCAAAAGGAAUUGCGUGGAUAUAAAAAACAUUCAUGAAGGAACUCAGAUGAUUAAAGAGAGGUUGUUUAAUAAAAAAGUCCUCCUUCUUCUUGAUGAUGUGGAAGAAGUGGAUCAUAUUAAUGCAUUUGUAGGUAAACGUGAUUGGUUAGGCAGAGGGAGCAAAAUUAUUAUUACUACAAGAAAUAAAAAUAUUCUUGAGGUUCCUGAAGUGGAUUGCAAUUAUGAGCUUAGCGCCAUGGAUGUUGAUCAAUCUCUUCAACUAUUUAGCAAACAUGCCUUCAGAAAAGAUUAUCCUUUGGAUGAGUAUAUCGACCAAUCCAAGAGGGCAAUAGGCAUUGCUAGAGGUCUUCCACUAGCUCUUGAGAUCAUAGGCUCACUUUUAUGUUGCACUAAAAAGGAAAAGUGGGAUCUCACAUUGAAGAAGUUGGAAAAUGUUCCUCCUGCAGCAGUUCAAAGUAAGUUGAAAAUAAGCUAUGAUGCAUUAGAUGGUCGACAACAAUAUAUAUUCCGCGAUAUAGCUUGUCUUUUCAUCGGAUAUAACAAAGACAUUGUCAUUUAUUUUUGGGAUGAAUCUAAAUAUCCGGAAGAAGCCAUGGAAGUUCUGCAGAACAUGUCUUUGAUAAAGAUUGAAAAGGAUAAUAAAGUGUGGAUGCACGAUCAACUUAGAGACCUCGGAAGAGAAAUAAUUCGUCAAGAAAGUAACUACAAUAUAGAGGAGCAAAGUAGGGUGUGGGAUCCCAAGGAAGCAUUGGAUUUGCUGAGGAGACAAAAGGUAAAACCCUCCAUACAAUUCAUCUCCAAGUUUCUUAUGGACAUUUUCUUUUCAAAGGGAGGCAGUUAUUUUUUGUAUUCUCUAGCACCAUUGUGACGUACUCAACCAAUAUUUUUGCUCUUUUAAAAUUAAAGGAACGAUACUACUCAACUCAAUCUCUUGAAAUAGUGAAUUUGGAUAAAUGUGUUUCCCUUCAACUCUUUUGUAUUUUUAAAUUUUUCCUUUGGGCAGAUGAAGGAAAAACUUGAAGCUCUUCGUCUCCCCUUGGACCAUCAGCACUGUUUUACCUAUGAAGACUUUAGGAGACUACCGAAUCUACAAUUCUUUGAAGUUUGCGAUUCAAAUGAAACUUCAGGGAACGAAUCACUGUCAAGUGUUGUUCCAACUGAUGUUUUCGAGGAGAAUUCAAAUCUCCUUCCAAAAUUACGAUGGCUUGCGUGGCCUAAUAUUCCCCUAACAUUUAAGAUUAUGAAUUUCUCUAUGAAGAAUGUGGUUAUUCUUAAUCUGUCUAAGAGUAGAAUUACGCACGACUGGGAAGGGUGGAGCCACAUGAAGGUAUCUUUUACAUUAGAAAACACUAAUUAUUCCGUUUUAUGAUAUUUGAAAGUAAUCUUUGCAUGAUUUUUCUUUUCACAGGUGAUGAAGAAUUUGAAGAUUUUGGAUCUAAGCUAUUGCGAUUACUUAAAGAGAACCCCCAACUUUUCUGCACAUUCAAAAUUAGAACAUUUGAUCCUAAAGGUUUGUUGGGGAUUAGUUGAAAUUGACGAGUCAAUUGGUCAAUUGAAAAGCUUAGUUUUCUUAGAUGUAAACUAUUGUAGGGAGCUUCGGAAGCUUCCAAAUACAAUUGGAGGUUUGGAAUCGCUAAUAGAGUUGGAUGUACUUUAUUCGGGGAUCAAAAAACUACCUGAUUCUAUCGGAGAAUUGAAAUUGCUAAAAAAGUUGAAUAUAUCUUGGAUGGGGAUCAAAAAACUACCUCAUUCCAUCGGAAAUUUAGAGUCGCUGACUGAGUUGGAUAUAUCCUAUAGUAAGAUCAAAGAAUUACCCGAUUCCAUUGGAAAGUUGGAAAAAUUGAAAGUAGUGAAGAUGAACGGUUGUUCCAUAAGCAACAUACCCAAUGCCCUCUGGAGGAUUGAGAAGAUUGAAGCAAUAAAAGCCACAGUUGGUCAUUUCGAUGUGAAAAUUGGCAAUGGCAUCUAUAGAAAUCGAGCUCUGAGGAUCUUGGAAUUGAGUGAGGCAAGAAUACAUGAAGUACCGAGGCUUCCCGAAGGUCUUACCAUUCUAAAGUUGUCUAAUUUGUACAUGAAUAUGUUUCCAGAUCUCUCAAACUUGACUAAUUUAGAAAAAUUAUAGUUGAAGUUUGCGCAACGUGAUUCUAAUGGAGAAUCUGAUGGGCCUAUGGAGGAAGAUCCAAUGCCACUGCGGAUUGGGAAUUUAAGCAAACUAGAGUCUCUCUACAUGAGGUCUCCAUACGUGACCGCCUUACCAACAGAUAUUGGAAGUCUCCUUCCCCAACUCAAGUCACUUGAGCUCUGGUGCCCUAAUUUAAGCAAACUAGAGUCUCCAUAUGUGACCGCCUUGCCAGAUAUAAGUCUCCUCCCCCAACUCAAGCAUCUUUUACUCCGGUGCCCUAAUCUCAAUUGCCUCCCAAGCCUUCCCUCCAGUUUAUCAUCCUUGCAAUUGGAAUCUGAAUGUGUGAAUGCCUUACCCACUAUUAGUCUCCUUCCUCGACUCGAGACACUUUUGCUUCGUUGCCCUAAUCUGCCUUGCCUCCCGAGCCUUCCCUCCGGUUUAUCAUCCUUGUGGUUAGAAUCCAAAUGCAUGACCACCUUACCCACGGAUAUAAGUACUCUUCUUCCUCAACUCGGGUUUCUUAAACUCGUUUGCUGCCCUAAUCUGGGUGACCUCCCGAGCCUUCCCUCUAGUUUAAGUUGCUUAUGGUUGGAGGAUGGCAAGUCGUGUCGUUCCAUGGGGGAUCUAUCAAAUUUGAAGACACUAUCAUAUCUUGAAAUCUUUGAGUGUGCAAUCUCAGAGAUUCAAGGCCUUGAUCGUUUGGAGAACCUACAAACAUUGGAGCUUCGGAAACUUCAAUGGGUGGAGAUAUUACCUGAUCUAGGGAAUCUCAACAAACUAUGGAGUCUUAAAGUAUCCAAUUGUGGUAAUCUAGUCGAGAUUCAAGGCGAAUUCCCAUCAUCUUUGCUAGCAUUGGAGAUUUUGGAUUGUGGAUCUUUGCAGAAGUUGCCUGAUCUGUCAAGCUUGAAGGAACUGCCAAGCUUUUGCCUAAAGCGUUGCGAGAAAUUAGAUGUGGAGGCAAUUUAUUCGCUUUAUCCGGAGGAGGAGGAGGUCGAAUCUGAGGGAGAGGACAGCAAAUUUGGAUGCGAAUUUGACGACAAAUCAGAGGGAGAAGAUGACGAAUUUGGAUCCAAAUCUGAAUAUGGAUCUAAGGGAGAAGACUGACGGAUAAGUGCACGUCACUCUUGAAAGCUUCUUGAUCCCUGACUGCAGAUCGCUCUCUUGUGUGCAAACUUCAAACGAAUUGAGGUAAGUCAUUUCAUCUGAUGACUGAUAUUUUCCCUUUUCUACAAUCAAUCUCUUUCACGGAUAUGAACAAAGAAGCCUCAAAUGCACUUUUUAAUGACUUUUUCAUGUGCUGACGUUUGUAAAUCUGAUGGAGGCAUUGAAAUUAUGGUACCUCCUUAUUGGUCUGGUUUUCUUCAGCUAUAUUCUCGAGGGAUGGUUUCUCCUUGGUUUUGUGUUUCCUAGCUAGACGUAUGCAUCUCGAUUGCAUUGUUUUUAUUGGAUAUCUAACGAGUUAUUAGAGAUCCUUGUUGAUUUGCUGUUUCACAUAUAUCGAAGUUGAUAACCUAGCUUCACAUUUGAGAUGACUUCGUUAUGUUGUAAACAAUUAGAUCGAAUGUGUGCUGGAAUGUCAUAUAAGUAUGAUUCUCAUCCUGUAAAUUUACAGUAUAACCAACUUGUUGCAACUGUGAAGUAGAUAGACCCUCUGUGUUGAUAUGCUUAUGUUCAAUAUAUUUUCCUGGAAAGGUAUGCUUCUUACUGGGAUUUGCAAAUGCUAGGGAGAAGUUAUCAAAUGAAGAAAGACGAAUUUUACUUGGGUAGCGGCGUUAAUAGUUGGUGCAGCACAACUUCCAUCAGUGACAGGAGAGGAGAACUAUUUAGCUUGCCCAAGGUAUCAUAGAUCAUCUUGUAGUUAGGGCUAAAUUUCGAUAAUAUCAAUGCCUACUGCCUAGGACAAAUGAUAAGUCUUGCUGGGGUCAGAAAUCAUGUAAAUGGACUUUUGUGUGAUCUCCAUUAUUGCCUAAAUUUUCUAGAAACGGUUAUGCUUAGGUGAUUAUCUGUGAUAGAAGCCCUUCCAUUCACCUCAAGUUAUGCUAGAGGAUUCUUUUAGGUUUUAAGAUUGACAAGAAGUGCUAAGGGAGACAUCUCAAAUGACUGCCUUAUUUCCGGUUUCUAAUGUUGCCGAGAGGAAUUAAAGCUUGAAAAACUUACAAAAAUCUUUCUGUGCAGGGAGCUGCGGCUAAUUGGCAGCUAUGCAAAUGAAUACUAGAUAGAGGAAAAUGAAGAUGACAUUCAAAAUGAAGUUUUUCGUCCACUUUACAGUUACUUUGGGAGUUGAUGCUUGGAAAUCUGAAGAAGGUAUUGAAAUUAGGGUACCUCCAUACGGCCAGAGGGUUCUUAAUUAUGUACAAAUGUAUGUUUUCUUUUCCCACUUUGAUUUGGCUUUUUUAGCAAAAUUCUCUUUAAAUGGUUUCUCCUUGCUUUUAUGUUUCCCAGCUGGAGGUAUGCAUGUCGAUUGCAUCAUUAUUAUUUGAUUUAUGACAAUUCAUUAAGAUCCUCAUCGAUUUGCUGCUUCACAUAUUUUAAAGUUGAUACUUUCUGCUUUGCAUUGGAGAUAGCUUUGCGAUACUGUAGACAAUUAGAUGGAAUGUGUGUUGGAAGGCCAUAGCAUUAUGGUUCUCAUCCUGGAAUUUUGCAGCAUAAUCAACUCAUUGUUGCAAUUGUGAAGAAGAUAGACUUUUGUAUUGAGAUGCUUACGUUCAGUUUAUUUCCUGGAAAGGGUGUGCCUCUUAGUGGGAUUUGCAAAUGUUAUGGAGAUGCUAUAAAAUGAAGAAUGAGGAAUUUGCACUUGGGCAGCAAAGCUUCCAUCUGUGACCGGAGAGAACUAUCUAGCUUCUCCAAGGUAUUAUAAAUCAUCUUAUGGUUGAGGCUAAAUUUCGGUACUAUUGGUGCAUAGGACAUGUGAUAAGUCUCACUUGGGGUCUGAAAUCAUGUAAAUCAACCCUUGUGUCUUCAUAAUUGCCUCCAUUUACUUGAAAUGGUUAUGCCUAGGUGGUUAUCUGUAAUAGAAACCCUUCCAUUCACCUCAGGCUAUACUAGAUGACUCUUUUAGGUUUAAAGAUUGACAAGAAGUGCUAAGGGAGACAUCUCGAACAACCAACUUUUUGCUGGUUUCUAAGUUGCUGAGGGACUUAAAUGUUUGAGAAACUUGCAAAAAUCUUUCUGUGCAGGGAGCUAUGGCUAAUUGGGCUGUUGUAUAGAGGGAGACUGAAGAUGAUGGAUGACAUUUGAUGUUGACCGGUUCCCUCUCACAAUCUUGGGGUGGCAAACCCUGUUUUCAUUUGUUUUGGGGUGUAAAAGGGCUAUUUAGGCAAACCUGAUUGUGUUUUUUCCUUUGUUGUGGUCCCACAAAAAUGCUUAUUACAUUUCAUCUGAAUGUGUAUUCUCUUCAUUGUUAUGCAAUAGAACUUGCCCAUCAGUGCCCAAAUCUUGUUUUACAAGGAAACACUUGAAGGGCUUGUCUAGACUGAGAGAAACAUUGUGUUUGCUUAGAGCGGUGCUCGAGGUAGUCUUAGUUGCUCCUGCCAAAACCAGUUCAUGGACCUCUUAAUGUGAAAAUGGUGUUCAAAGUAGUAUUUGUCAUGUGUAUGAUAGGCACUCACAACACAAGAACCACGAAUUGCUGGUAUUCAUGGAGUUGGGCUGUUGGAGAGACGACUCUCGCCAAACUUAUCUAAAAUGAGCUUUCACAUGGCUUUGAGCACUGUUGCUUUUUAUCUAGCAUCCAUGAAACUUCAGAGCUAAAGGGUGUUCAAUUCUUGCAGAAUAAUUCAUCUCCAAUGUCCUCGAAAGGAAAUUGACAUAAAUUAGUAAUGGUGAUGAAGGGAUCGAGACAAUUAAAGUUAGGCUUUUCAGUAAAGGAGUUCUCAUCCUUUUUGAUGAUGUUGACCAGAAGAAUUAAUUGAAUGCGCUCAUGGGUAACAUCAGUGAUAUUCGAGCAUUACUGAAUUCUUCAAUGCUGAAUAUCAAGUGCCGAAGGAUCUCGAAAUUCUCAGUGCUUUUUGUUUGUCAUUGAAUAUCAGUGCUUUUUGUUGAUAGAAGGCAUUGCCAUCCUUAAUGUGAGUUGAUCGGGUUGAAAUGGUUACAGAAAGGGACAUGUGUGAGCCCUCUCAUCUGGUCCAAAUGACGCAAUGUUUGGCAUUGCUUAGAAGAUUCAUCCAGUUCUUGAAAAAUUUAGAAGACAUGCUCAGCAGAGGAGUUCAUUUUCCAAUAAGAAGUGCAUGUAGUGUAGUACUUGAAAGGUCCUGCAUCCACAACCAAGUCUAUUGUGAAGGAAGAUUUGAAACUCAGACAAAUUUCUCAUUGCCCUAUGUCAUCUCACCAGAUAUUGAUUGUUGUCUUUCUUGGGAUCGUUAUCUGUUAUACAUAAAUUACAAUCACUAUCUGGCAAGUGGACUUGAAAUCUAUUGUUCUUGUACCUAGAGUUAUCACUAGCUGUUUUUGUAACCGUUUCCUAUCUUUAAGAUGGAUUGCUGUGAACUGCUCAUGAAAAGGGACCACGGUUUCUUUUGAUCUAUUUCAUGACUUUGAUUUGGUUUAGAUAUAUUACUUUGUGACGGUUUUGGUUGGCUAAUUACGUUACCAGUAAAAGACAAGUGAAAUUGAUGCUAGUGUUACUCCACUCAAGUGCAUUAUAGUGUCACUACAUUCAAGUGCAUUACUUUUGUCAAUUUACACAUUAGUCUUUUAGGUGAGAUCCUUGGAGCUUGCUGGUUUGUACUUUAAAUUUGAACCUUAUAACCCUACCUUGUAAAACUUAACUUUGUUAUUCCUUAAACAAUGAAGAAUCUAGUCAAACGUGUAGGUUUUAAUCCGUGACAAAAGCUCUUCCAUUUCACUUUUUGGUUACCUAGGAAUGGAAUAAAAGACAAAAGAGUCCUGUAUGACGGCUUGAGCUCUUACUCUUGGUAAUAAGUAAGAAAAACUUAAUGGGGUCUUUCUAUAAAGGUAAGCUACCCCUAGUACAAUAACUAGUAUAGAUUUGAUGACCGUGUUUCUUUCCUAACAUUUUGGUGCUAUACUUCGGCUUCUACUGUAAUGUGCAAACUCCAACUUAUCAUGGAGUGUCAAGGACUUUACUGGUCUCUUGCACAAUGCGCUUUGAAUGGUCAUAAUUGGCAAUUUAUGCUUUGAAAUGACAAAGGAAUUUCAGUUUUGCUAGUUUCCGCUAAUGUUAAUUCCGGCAUAUGAGAAAUAGAAGGUAAAAGCUUAUUGCUCUCAUUCCAAAGGCUAAUCAGAUCAUUCUUACAUGUCUAAGCCAAGAUGAUAUACAUUGUUUGCCUCCUAAAAGUUGAAAUUCAGUAGGGGUUGCCAAUUAAAAUGACGCAAACUUUAGACGAGAUCAUCAUUUGUUUCCAAGAUGGCUUGAUUUAAUUGUUAAUCUGCAUAAUUUAUUACCAUGGAACAGUUGAAGUACUUGGUUACGCCAAGAAAUCUUUUAUGUGCCAAUGAGCCAGUGGUAGAAGGUAAGGUCAUUGAUCAAAAAGUGUUCUCCCUAAACAAUCUUUGUUUCACCUUAUUAAACCCGAUUGAUUGCCAAACCGUGCAAGUCUUACAAUUCCAAAAGUCGCAUCUGACUAUUUUGUGAAGUUCAACAUGAGUUCAACCCCCGAAAAAAGAAAGAAAGAAAGAAAAAAAAGAAAAAAGAAAAAAAAGGAAGAUGGAAAAGAGCAGGGUGAUUCAACUAUGGAUAGCUCAGCUCAGCAUCCACACAUCCUCAUUAGGUUUUAUCGAGUCAGGUAAAUUAGAUUAACAAGUAAACUUGCAAGCACAUUCAUUCAAUAGGCAUCACAGAGUUGUAUUUACAAGGAUGAUACAUUCAGUUACAUGCUAUUUACAUUCCAAGUAAAUUUCAAUAGAGAUCCUGUGCAUCUUGUGAUGGACAUGGAAACAGAUUGAUGGAAUGCAUUACAUGAACAAACUUCAUCUAGAGCUACCUAGUGAUCUUCAAGAAAUUAGGUGCUGACUUAGGAGCAUUUUUACUUUAAUUGACUCGUGGCAUCGGAGUCUUAACGCAACCUCAAUGCGGAAGCAAAAGUAAUCCAGGAAAUCAUAAGGUUUCCUUUGUCUUCGCUCCCAUAUUCCUUCAAUUGUGGGUCCAUCAGGAUUUUGCAUAUUCCUUCAAUCAUGGGUCCAUGACGAUUUUGCACGAUCCCCAUGUCUCCGCCAUCAAUUCCACAAAAUAGUAGACCAAAUGGUCCGCAAGGCUGUUAUUAGUUACCAAUAUGUAGAAACACACUUUAAUACGUCAUCCGUAAAUAUUUCCGGUUAUAAAGGACUGGCAUUCUCUGGAACAAGCUGUUCUGUCACAUGACUUAUUGCACCUAGCAUGACAAAUCCGCAAAAUAAUUGCUUGUAACAGGUAGCUAUGACUGAGACUACCUCCUUACCUGCUGUGUUGAUAUGAUAGUUAUUUCAUUUUGCAUGUGUUGCUGAUUUGAUUUUUCAGUUAUUAGAGGUAGUGGAGUCAUGUGUGUUGGUUAUCCUAUUUUUUAGGUGUUAGUGGGGUAAGUGCUUUAUGCAGAACAUGGGUAGUUAUGGUGUGUUUUACGUUAUGUAUUUUGUCUUUUGUAAAAAAGACUUGGUUGUUCUGUACGUAAGAUGAAGUUUUCAGCCUCAUCUCUNNNNNNNNNNNNNNNNNNNNNNNNNNNNNNNNNNNNNNNNNNNNNNNNNNNNNNNNNNNNNNNNNNNNNNNNNNNNNNNNNNNNNNNNNNNNNNNNNNNNAUCCCUCCCUUAACUGAUGUUUGCUAACAUUCAACUUCAAGCCUUGAGAAGAGAUUUUGAGACACUAGCGAUGAAGGAUGGAGAAUCUGUCACUAGUUAUUGUGCCAAAACAAUGGAGAUCAGCAACAAGAUGCGAUUCCAUGGCGAGAAGAUGGACGACAUCACCAUUGUGGAGAAGAUUUUGCGUUCCUUGACGCCAAAGUUUAAUUGUGUUGUCUGCUCAAUUGAAGAGUCGAAAGACAUAGAUGCACUCUCUCUUGAUGAAUUGCAAAGCUCCUUAUUGGUCCAUGAACAGAAUAUGAACAGAAGUUCAACAGUAGAGGAGCAAGCGUUGAAGGCUUCUACCAAUACUCAUUCCAACAAUUUCAGAGGAAGGGGUAGAGGUAGAGGUAGAGGAAGGGGAGAUCGAGGAAAUAGAGAUGUUGGCAAGAAUUUCAAAGCCAAUAAUGAUCAAUUUCAAGGCAAAGGCCAAGGACGAGAUCCUAACAAAUCCAAGGUAGAGUGUUUUAGAUGUCAUAAAUUUGAUCAUUAUGCAUCUGAAUGUUAUACUAGGCUGCCUAAUAAUAAAAAAAAUGCAGAGAGUUCAAAUUUUGUUGAAGAAAAGGAAGCAGAAACGUUGUUGAUGGCUGUUCAAGAUGAAAAGGAGCGCGAGUCAGCUAUUUGAUAUGUGGAUACAGGCUGCAGUAACCACAUGAGUAGAAGUAAGUCUUCUUUUUCUCAUCUAAAUGAAGAUUUCCAUUCCAUUGUGAGUUUUGGGGAUCAUUCUACUGUGAAAGUGGUGGGAAAAAGGUGAUAUUAAGAUAAGAACCAAGAAUGGUUUUGUGGAAACAAUCUCUACUGUGUUGUAUGUUCCUGACUUGAAAAGUAAUCUGUUGAGUGCUGGCCAAUUACAAGAAAAAUGAUAUGUAAUCACCAUUGAGUAGGGUGCUUGUGAAAUUUAUGAUUCUGUUAGAGGUGCUAUUGCAGUUAUUCCUAUGAGUUCAAAUAGAUUGUUUCCAUUAAAGAUUAAAAAUAUUCAGUCUUGUUUGAUGGCUGAAAAGAAAGAUCCCUCAUGGCUGUGGCAUUUUCGCUAUGGUCACUUGAGUUUUGGUGGAUUGAAGACCCUUCAAUAGAAAAACAUGGUGACGGGUUUUCCUCAAAUUACUGUUCCUUCCCAAGUCUACGAAGAAUGUGUUGUUAGCAAACAGCAUCGUUCUCAAUUUUCAAAAGAAAAGUCAUGGAGAGCAAAAGAUGUUUUGCAGUUGGUGCAUUCGGACAUUUGCAGUCCUAUAAACCCAUCUUUUAAUGGAGGUAAAAGAUACUUAAUUACCUUCAUUGAUGAUUUUUCCAGAAAAACUUGGGUUUAUUUUUUACAGGAAAAAUCAGAAGCUUUCUCCACAUUUAAAAGCUUCAAAGCUCGUGUUGAAAAUGAAGCAGGAAAGACCAUUAAGACUUUUCGAACAUAUCGUGGUGGUGAAUAUUGCUCAAAAGAAUUUGAAGUUUUUUGUGCAAAGCAUGGCAUUCGAAGAGAGCUUACUACUGCAUAUACACCACAGUAGAAUGGUGUAUCUGAUAGGAAAAAUAGAACCAUUCUCAACAUAGUAAGAAGCUUAUUGGCAAGAGAAAGAGUUCCAAAGACUUUCUGGCCAGAAGCAAUAAAUUUGAGUAUUCAUGUUUUGAACAGAAGUCCGACUUUUGCUGUUCAGAAUAUGACACCUGAAGAGGCUUGGAGUGGGAGAAGACCGGCUGUAGAUCACUUCAGAAUUUUUGGAUGCAUCGAAUAUGCCCAUGUCCCGGAUGUGAAAAGGAAGAAACUUGAUGACAAGGCUGAAAAAUGUGUCUUUCUUGGUGUAAGUGAAGCAUCCAAAGCAUAUAAAUUAUUCAAUCCACUAACAAAGAAGAUUGUGAAUAGCAGGGAUGUUAUUUUUGAUGAAUAGAACACUUGGGAUUGGAAUAGGCAGCAGCCUACCCAAGUUCUUUAUGACAAUGAUGCUGACCAAGAGCAAAUUUCAGCACCUUGUAUGCCCCAAAAUUCAUCAAAUACGACUUCUACAGCUAUUGGAAUUUCACCAACAGGCGCUGAAGUCAAUGAAGAAGAAGCCCAAUCUCUUCGCUGCGUUAGAAGAAAGCCUGCUUGGAUGGAAGAUUAUGAGGUAACUGGAAUUGGAGAUUCAAUUACUCACUUUGCCUUGUUUUCAGACUAUGACCCUAUAACUUUUGAGAAUGCUGUCAAAGAAGAAAAAUGACGAAAAAUGAUGGAUGAUGAAAUUAAUUCCAUCGAAAGAAAUGAUACUUGGGAGCUAUCCGAUCUUCCGGAUGGACAAAAAACCAUUGGUGUAAAGUGGGUCUUUAAAACAAAACUAAAAGAAAAUGGUGAAGUUGACAAAUAAAAAGCACGUUUGGUAGCCAAGGGAUACAAGCAGCAAUAUGGGAUCGACUAUACAGAGGUUCUUUCUCCAGUUGCAAGACAUGACACGAUCAGAUUGGUGGUUGCAUUGGCGGCACAAAAUUCUUGACCUAUAUUCCAACUAGAUGUCAAAUCGGCAUUCUUGCAUGGGUACUUGGAAGAACAGGUAUUUGUCGAGCAACCCCCUGGUUAUGUCAAGAUUGGAAAUGAGCAUAAAGUUUAUAGAUUGAAGAAAGCUCUUUAUGGGCUAAAACAAGCCCCUCGGGCUUGGUAUAGUUGCAUUGAAACUUAUUUUCUUAAAGUUGGUUUUUCAAAAUGUCCUUAUGAGCAUACGCUUUUUGUCAAGAUUGGAGAUAAAGGGAAAAUGCUUAUUGUCUGCUUGUAUGUUGGCGAUCUUAUAUUUACUGGAAGUUGUGAUGACAUGUUUGAAGAAUUCAAGAAAUCUAUGAUGGAUGAGUUUGAAAUGUCUGAUCUUGGUAUGAUGCAUUACUUCAUUGGCAUAGAAGUAGUACAAUCAGAUGAUGGGAUCUUUAUUUCUCAAAAGAAAUAUGUGGGAGAAAUUUUGGAUAGGUUUCAAAUGAAGGAUUGUAAUCUUGUAAACACUCCAGUUGAGUUUGGCUUAAAGUUAUACAAAGAUCAUGAAGGGAGGAAGGUUGACAGCACACUAUAAACAAAUUGUGGGCAGUUUGAUGUAUUUAACUGCAACAAGACCAGACAUAAUGUAUUAUGUGAGUUUAAUCGGUAGAUAUAUGGAGAAUCCUACACAAAUGCAUUUGUUAGCUGCAAAGAGAAUCCUUCGUUACUUGCAAGGAACAAGAGACUUUGGGCUAUUUUACAAGAAUGGUGAAAAGUCCAAUUUGUUGGGAUUUACUGAUAGUGACUAUGUAGGAGAUCAAGAUGAUAGGAGGAGCACUUUGGGUUAUGCUUUUAUGUUUGGAACAUGUGCUAUUUCAUGGUCAUCCAAAAAGCAACCAAUUGUCACAUUGUCAAGUACAUAAGCUAAAUUUAUUGCUGUAACAGCUAGUGCUUGUCAAGCUAUUUGGCUAAGGAGAAUUCUUGAGGAGCUACAAUUCAAGCAACCUUGACCUACUAAAAAAUUUUGUGACAAUAACUCAGCAAUAAAACUCUCCAAGAAUCCGAUGUUACAUGGAAGAAGCAAGCACAUUGAUGUGAAGUUUUAUUUUUUGAGAGAUCUUAGCAAUGAUGGAACAAUUGAUCUAAUCUACUGCAGGAGUGAAGAUCAAGUUGCUGAUAUAUUCACCAAGGCCCUCAAGAUGGAGUCAUUUGUGAAGCUCAGAAGGUUACUAGAUGUUUGCACGGUGAAAAAAGUCAAGGCUUUAAACUAAAUGUUAGCAAACAUCAGUUUAAGGGAGGGAUUGUUGAUAUGAUAGUUAUUUCCUUUUGCACGUGUUGCUAAUUUGGUUUUUCAAUUAUUAGAGUUAGUGGAGUCAUGUGUGUUGGUUAUCCUAUUUUUUAAGUGUUAGUGGGGCAAGUGCUUUAUGCAGAAUAUGGAUAGUUAUGGUGUGUUUUACAUUAUGUAUUUUGUCUUUUGUAAAAAGACUUGGUUAUUCUGUAUGUAAGAUGAAGUUUUCAGCCUCAUCUCUCUUCUUUUUAGCAAUUUAACAUGCUACACGUUGGAUCUUCUCCAGAGCCAUCAUAAACUUUCUCAACCAAAUAAACCAGACUAUCGAAUCCAAUAUCAUAUAGCCAUACCUACAAAAAAAAAAAAAUAGGAUUCCAAUUACAUGUGAACACUGACAUAGAAAAGAGCAAGAUUAUCUCACGUCAAUAUGCUUAUUUGUGGCUGUCAUUGAGCUAGUUGCCAAUAAUAGAGGCAUUAGUAGACAUACAUUAUUUAACCUGAGAGAGAGAGAGAGAGAGAGAGAGAGAGAGAGAGAGAGAGAGAGAGAGAGAGAGAGAGAGAGAGAGAGAGAGAGAGAGAGAGAGAGAGAGAGAGAGAGAGAGAUUAUUAUGCAUCUUAAAUUUUGGAAUUGAUAUGGGAAACUCAUGAUAGCUUUAUGGGAAUGAGAAGGGCUCCUUAUAUAUCAUCAAAAAGGUCAUAAGUACUAUGAACUGCCCUGCUUUGUUAAGAAGAUAAAAUAGACAAAACUAUUAAAAGUUAUACGCUAAAUAAAGUGAGUAUGAACAUUGUUGGAAAAAAAUAAGACUUCUCCAGUUAGAUAGCUUGAAAUAAAUGCAAAGCAAAUGUCAAAUGCAGUCAACGACAAUUCCCCAAAAUCAUCUGAUAUUCUAUGGGAACUGAGAAUGGUACAAAGGCAAAUGAGGCACAAUAUCGAGUCCAUUAGCUAUAUGUUAUUGUAUUUGGCAUGCUGUAGUAAGACACAAACAUUGCAUUGCCAACAUGAGGUCGUCCAAAUGUCAAAGUAAAUCAAGAGAGUGCUGAUCUGGAAAAAACAGCUUCAGCACACACAAUUAGAUAGCCGAAUAACUUGAAUGUUAACACUUUCGCGAGGGGGAAAAUUACUGUGCAUCAAUAACCAUAUAUUGCAUUUCACAUACGAAGGUGAACAAUAGAACAGCCCUUAUCUCCAUGAUGAUUGGAGGUAUUGCGUUACUCUGUCUAGACCCCAUCCAUAAUUUUCCCAAAACCAAACCCCACAGCCACAACAAAACCAAACACACCCCCCCCCUUUUUUUCACCCCCCAAGAAAAGGUGUCCAUAAUAUCGAAUAGUGGGUUGGGGGUAAAUUUACAACCAAGGGGCAUUUAAAUGCUCCUACAAGAAGCACUUGGAUGCUGGAAGGGUCAGUCACAUCUUGUUAAUGACACAAACAAAACAUUUCAAGUUCAUAGUUAAAUUGCCCCUUGAACCCCAAAACUUACAGUCAUUAAUAGCGAAGGAGAACUAAAUCUUAAAAAGGGCUACGGUGUAAACAAAACAUUCCAGGCUCAUGGUGAAAUUGCCCCUUGAACCCCAAAACUACGGUCAUUUAUAGCAAAGGAGAAACUAGAUCUUAAAAAGGGCCAUGACGCAUGGGCAUGAUGGCUCAGAACAAUUUUCCACCAGAAAUUGGCAAAUAAAAAUGACAUUUUAAAUCAUCCAAGUAUUCGGACAAUAUGUUACCAUUGCUACUAAUAAUUCAAGAAAAUGUUUAGUCUAAAGUUCACACAACCUAUGAUCGGCCACGUGAACGUCUGUAUAAUCUGAAGAUGAAGUUUGACCCUCAAAAAUCACAACUUGUCGUGGAGAAGAGAAUUAAUGGGACAUGACUUUGGGGUGGAUACCAUUUCUGGCACCAGUUCCGCAACGGGUGCCUCGAAAACUCUGGACCACUCUGCCCAAUAAAGCUGAGACAAAAAGCAAAAUUUAGAUAGAAUUGGCUCCAGCCUAUAACAUAUCUAGUCCUGUAGUCCAAUUGAAAAGGAGCUGCUUCUUUUGGUUAGAGAGAGACAGACAGAAACAACGCACUGAACACAGAUUUAGGAUCAACAUGUUCAAAUUUAAAAUGCAUUAGUACUUCAAGAUUACAUGACAUAGAAUUUGAGCUUCAAGUGCUUGCAAAAGUUUUAUGUCGAACAUAUCAAUAAUGCUGUUAAGUUUCCAUCAAGUAAACUUUGUAAUGAUUAGUUGGAAGUCUUUAUCUACUAUAUUUAGGUAUUCCUCCAACUUCAAGCUCCAUAGCUUAACACGUAAGACUCAAUUCACACAACCAAAUACAUCGACCAUAGGUGGUUAAGGUAAAGGUUUGCAACCCAUUCUGCUUGUGAUUUGUCUACUGGUUGAUUUGCCAAAAAAGAAGAAAAAGAGAAAAAAAAAAUAAGAUGCUGACCAAUCGUAAAUUUAAAUAUGAAGCCAUAGAAUGUUCAAGAUAUCCAAAGUCUAGACUCUUCAAGGCAGAGUUGGCAGAAAUUGCCAGGUAACUCUUAACAAACCAAAAUUGAAAUAAAUGGAAGAACACAAUAGAGAAAAACCAAUAUCUGAACCAUGACAAUCUUUUGACUAUCUUACCACAAGAUCAAGUCCCCAAAAGGAUGCCAUAGCCCCUCCCAUAGAAUGCCUCGUCACCAUGACAUUGAUGUCUCCAUAUAGAUCCUUGGCUCUUUUAAUAGCAUCCGUAGUACUAGGUUGCAUUGUCGCAAUGUGAUAAGCAUAAUAAAUCCAUGAUGAACCUAAGCAAAGAUGAUAGGAUAAGACUGUAACUCAUUCCAAAUUAGAAGUGUCCACAAGUUACAAGAGGCUUAUUGUCUCUAGAACUCCCCAUGGCACCAGGCAUGCCAGGGUAGUUUAUGUCAAGCUAUUUCCAGCGGAGACCUUCAACCCAAUUCUAUAUGUUUAGAAAUAAAUAGAAGUAAUCACUAACUAAAAAGCUCAAACAAAUUUUCCAAGAACAAAAUUAGUGAAGUACGUGAUCUCAUGACUCUAUCUAAAAUUACAAGCACAUAACUUCCGUGUCUCAGUGACAAUGAUUCAUCGUUUUCCCUUCUUAUGGACAAGAGACCCGUGUUCUUUGCGCACGAAGUCAUUGUAGGCUACUCUUCUUGCCUUAAAUUUUCAGCAAAUCCUUCACAUGUCAAAUCUUUAUGAAGAAACUUACAGCAGAUGCAUACUCCACCACCAUCGUUGCAAGAGUGUGACUGUAAUAGCUUUAUGAGCAUUGGAGCUCACUCUAACUUCGGGAUUUACCGAUUGAGAAAAUUUCAGAUUGAAAAUGCAGUCACAAGCUCAUUCAAUUACAAGCAAUGAAGCAAGUCUCUUAUGUCUCUAGCAAGCUAUUUCAACAAAUCAAGUGAGCAGAACACUUUAAGGAAACAUCAACUCAAAAUAAUAUUUCAGUAUAUUUCUGUCGUCCUUGUCCGUGAACUUAAAGAACUAUAUUUUCAAUGCAAUGCGAUAAUAGGGGAAUAAGUAAACAACAAGAUGCCCAUCUUUCCCAGAAAGCUACUCCACUGAACAAAAAAGGGUGAGAUCUAUAUCGAACAAAUAUAAGAAAAUUGGAUCAACAACUUCCUCCAACCCUGAAAUGCCUAAUCAGCCAAAUUCACUAACAAAUCUCACUUCCCCAAGCUCAAAAUCGAUGUACUCAACACUAGAGGUUGUCUAUUCGCACCUUAUCACAAUCAGAAACUCCCAAUUAGAAUUGAGCCAAAGGAUCACAGUAGAAACUGAUGCAUGAACACGAAUUGCAAUUGACCUCUCGCCCUACUUGCGGCGAUCAAGCACGUCAGAACCGUCACUCUCCAAUCACGACCCGUUCCGCUCCAUAUUCUACAAGAUAAACGGAUCGAAUGGCGUCAUCGAGAAAACUACGGCGCGAUCGAGCAGCAAGAUAGAGAGAUCGACCGCGGAUCUUUGUCCGUAUUGCUCCAAUUCCGGUCUCACAAGUUCGUGGAUUUCAUGGCGAUUGAAAGCUACUGUGACUUGGGGCAAAGGAAGGAGAGGAAGAUGAAUUUACGAAUUUUCCUGUUUUAUCUCGGCGUCUUCUUCUUUCGGCGGUCACAUUCGGUGAUUUCGGUGUUUGCGUGGGGGCACUGAAGUAAGUUCCGCUAGAAUUUCAAAUUCGGGUUCUCUCUCUUGGAGCUCCCCUAUGAUGUCUCCACAUUAGCACUUUGACUCGAGCUUAGUUUUUCUUCUUUUUUUUGGUCCGUCUCUCGAGCUUAGUUUAAUUAGCCGAGUCCGAACUAGGAUUCUGAAAUUCGAACAGAAAAAAAAAAAAAAAAAACACAACAACAAACCAGGAUUCUCAAAAAGCACCAAAAUUAAAGGUUAAUUAAUAUCCUUUAUCUGUUUAAUUUAUAUUUUUUUAGGUAUAUAAAAAUGCACCCUCCACUAUGGUGGAAAGUUUUUUGAGUCAUAUUUUUGAAUUCAAACUCAAAUCGAUCUAAUAACUUAAGUUAUUUAAACUUCAAAAGAAUGUAACCGAACUUGAGUGACUAAUGAGUUGAGCUUAACUGCAAAUUAUGAAAUCUACUUCUCUCGGGCUAGUAAGAGAGUUUAAAAAGAUGACUUGCUAUUAUGUAUAGAUUCUUGAGUGCUCUCUAAAUACUUAUGUUGAACUGGAUGCAAUAUUUUCUUUUCCUUUUUAGUUAAACGUACUUAUAGUAUUUUGAGUCAAGUCAAUUUGUCUAAAACUUCCGGACUAUUUAUAAUGUGAAUGUGUUUCGAACUUAUAACCUUGUAGAAACUUAUAGCCUUCUUGAAACUUGUGGCAUUAUCUUGUUAGGAAUGCAGUUUGUUGAAGAGAAAAUUAAAAAAAGAAAAAGAAAAAAAAUGACAAGCAAAGUUUUCCUUUGGAAUCAGAAAGAAAGAAAAAUUACAAUGUUGCACUAUAUAAUUCUUACACUAUCAAUAUUAGUUUAACAUGAGAAUUACAUGUACACCAUUAGCAAUAAAAAGCCUCUAUGCUUUAAUGGCACUUUCUUCUGUUACACUCCAUAACUCUAUAAUUAUCUUCCCAUAAUUUCUCUAAUUGAAUACGUUAGCAAUACGAUCGUCAACAUUGAAUCUACAUGUAAAUGAAUGAGGAAUAGAAAAAAAGGUCCGCGAAUGUUGAGAACAAAAAUCAUUGGGCUUUUUCAUUGGCUAUGUGCAAAGUAAAUAGAGUUUAUGAUCUUAGACUACAAAAAUCAUGAUACAUUUUUAAAGAACAAAGAGCAUGAAUGAUUUUUUUGAUAAAUAUAAAAUAAGAACCCAAAUGUAUGGCAGGCGCCAUGUUCGGUGGCUCUCAUGAAUUUAUAUCUAUAGUGGAAUAUUUAAAAAGGUACAAAGAUAGAACAACUUUAUACAAGACUUAAUUUUUCUUACCAAGCUCAUGCACUACUCAUUCACUUUAAAGAAAUGAAAAAAAAAUAUGAACACGAAAGAUUCCAACUCACCCCUAACUGAUUAAAGAAUUACAGUGUUUUUCAUGAAUUGUUAUGUUAUGAGCAUAUUUCUAACCAGUUAGUAUCUUAAGUGCUUAUUGCAUCAUGUGAAAAGAUUUUUUACAUUUUUAGCACGUCCAUGAAGUUACAAUGUCAAAUUUAUAUACUUACGAGUGGAUCGAUUAAUAAUAACUCAAAUCAAAUAUUUUGUGAUGGAUGCCUGCUCUCUUUAUUUAUUGAAACAAAAAUUCACAACCCAUCAUGACUCGGGCGGCGAGGCCAAGACGAUCAACCUCAACUCGAGCCGGGGAUCCAUCUGGCCGUGAGCCAGGCGGUGGCUUCAAUUCCCACGGAGGGGAACGAAAGUACACUUCCUACAUUUCCCCCGCACCGCCUGGCGGGAAAUUUUCGCACCACUGACAUAAAACCAAAAUCGAAAAAAGCAAAAAAGGAAAAUUAAAACCAACACAAAAACGAAAACGGAAAGCGAAAAACAAUUCAAAACAGAAAAUACGCAAAGCGCGACCCCUCCUCCCCUGCUUCCUCCCAGAUCCGGACAUCCGUUCAGAUGAAAACGAAACGGCUACGAUCCUUUCACAAUCCCACUCCCACUUUCUCUCUCUCUCUCUCUCUCUCUCUCUCUCUCUAGAGCAAGCACCGACGACCUCGAUGGACCGAUCGAUCGGCCGGUCGCCGCCGUAACAGGCUUUCAGCAUCGCCGUGGUGAAACUCUUGGAGCAGCGGGCGUGGCCCGACGGCUCCGAGGAGCGGCGGCAGCAGCUCAAUGAGCCCGGUCGAUGACGAGGAGCUCGAGGCCCAUCGGACCGCCCCGCCCGAAGAGGAUGACGCUGCCGCGGCCUGUGGUGCUCGACGAGAAUGUCGGGGCCGAAGAGGACGACGAUGAGGUUCGACGUUCGCCUGCGCCGUUCUUGCUGGAUUAGUAGAAUUCUGCAAUUUCACUGCAAUCCAUGACAAAUCUCUUGGAAUACUCCGUGAGGAAACCCCAAAAGUGUCUGGAUCAUAACAAAUGGCUUCAAAACUUUUCCAUAGGAAGAAGGAUGUCAAUAGCACGAGUAAACCGAUAAAUUGAGAGCUGCAAUGCAGACAAGAUGAUAAUAAUAAAGAACAAGUUGAUUUUAUUCAUAUAAGAGUAUUUUUCGCAUGGUUAACAGUUAAGUGCUUUAAUGGUGUACUACGUGAUGAUAAUAACAUCCUUUUCAGAAUAAACAGCUUGGAAGCAGGAUGAUCGGCAUGAAAACAGUAUUGGCCGUACCGGGUUGCAAUGGCAAGUAGUUCUUUUUCAAGAGCUUCAUGACUUCCUGCACGAGUGUAGCAUCUUCUAUUUAGCAUAAAGCUGCAUUUUGAUACCCCAAGUUAACAGAAGAAAUGUGCAAAUAAACCAAAACGAAAGAAAAUCACUUGAUAUAAUAUCAUAGAUGUUAUGCUUCCACAAUGCCUUCUUACCUACAAUUUUGUCAGCCCUUGGUUUCUAUCGUCAAGGACUAAGUGCGCCGCGGUAAUUUAGAUGCAUAGGCAAAAUAAGGAUAAGAGAUAUAAAUGUUGAUUAUAUUAUGUACUUCCAGCAACAAAUUAAUUGAUGUAAUCUCCUGACCAAAGACACACUAUGAAAAUGCAGUUUGAUUGAGAAUCAGCUCGAAUGAAUAACCAAUGAAGCUAUCGUUUGUAAAAACAUGUUUUGCCCAAAGUAAACGCUCGUUGUUAAGCUUCAGUAAUGAAAUAACUAACUUCAAGUAGAGAUGUCAUUCAAGAAAUCAGAGGCUCGUUGAGCUAGCAAUUCGUCAAAAGAUCAAUUGACAAAGUAUGACACAUAUUAGGUUGAAUCGAGCUUAACAGUGCCCUAGUUAUAAAUGAGAUAACAAGUUAGUACAUGAAAAAUAAAGACGUAACCAAUUUAGACACAUCGAAGCAUGUCGAGCAAGUUAAUGUGUUAUUUCCACGGGACACGUUCAUACACAUUUAAAAAUAUUAUAUAUACUUUGAAUAAAAUGUGGUUUCAUAAAAUUAUAUAUGAAAAACCCUUUCUUGAGCAUGUUACAUGUGUCAUGUUACUACUUCAUCCAUGUUGCAAUUAAAAACUUCCAUGAAUUCAAAGAUUCGACAAUCUCUGUAGUGAAAAAAAGAAAGGUUGAUUAUCAACCGUUAAAAGAUCAGAACUUUUCUUCUCAAAAGGAGCAAGAAGUCAACUGACAGAUUUGCAUAGGUUCUACAAGACAUCAAAGAGAAGCGUAAUAUCCUCUGUUCUUGCAAUUUUCAAUCACGCACCGCGUCCAUGCAUUUGGAGCCAUUGUUCUUUAGGUAUCGAUGGAUUCAAGAAUUUCGCAAUACAUCUCCUUCAUGAUUUCUGCAUAAUAUUAUAAGAAUUAAAUAUCAAAGAAUAACACAAUUCGUCAAGAGAGCUCACCUCACAGUUUAUUGAAGAAAGCAAAAAACCGGUGGGUUCCUCCUUUUCAGCACUAGCUCCAGAACAACAUGGUAAACUUGACAUUAUUGAAUAAGGGGCUGCAGGCAAUCUAUUGCCAUGAACUGGCCCAGUGAAUUUCAACAUCAUAUCAAAACCUUUUACUGCCAUCGAAAAUGCAACUCCGUUUUGCAUCAACAAGGACAAUAAAUAAUUCAACCCAGAAUUGACAUUUAAGAACAUGAAGCAUUCAACUAGAAGAAACAAUUCAACGUGAUUAAUUUUCUAUUACAGAAUCAUGUCUCCAGCAUCAAAUUUAUACAAAGCAAACACAAUGAAAACAAUAAAAAGAUACAUCUCUAUAUUCACAAGCACAAUCCCUGACAGCAUGAUCAUUUUUUAUCUAUAUAUACUCCAUGCUUCAACUUCCCUGCACCAGCUACACAUCCCUCAAAUGAGUUACUCUGACUUCUUCAUCGAUCAUCAAAUUCCUUUUACCCCCAUGUCUGGACAUCAAACUCAACCUAAAAAAGGCCCCCACUAACAAAGAACCAUCACUCUGGCAUCUACAAUCCAUGUUGAAAUUCCCUCGUGGCAAAAAAGAAAAUCCUAAUAGACAACAAGCAUGCUAUCUGCGAAAUCGAGGGACUGAGCAGUAGAGGAGAAGGAGCUGUGAUUUUGACAUGCUUUGACACCAAUUUGAGCACAUUCGGUGACUUGGUGAUCAUACGGAGUGAUGAAUCCGGCUGAGCUGAGAUGAAUGGGAGGCUUGAAAAUGCGGUAGAGUCUGCAAGCUCUCGAGGCAGCGUGCAUGGCUUUGACGCGAUUGAAUCACAGGUUGACGAGUUCUCAUGCCUGAAGGCUGUGUAAAGACUUUGCAGUCCGACAUCUGUAUUGUAAUUGUAAACUUAGACGUUACUAGGUGAUUUUCUAGUGAAGUAGAAGCAAUUCCACAGAUAGUUAACAGAACUAUGUCUACGUGCAGGAGGCUGUGGUUCAUUCUGUAUGUGAAUUUAUUAGAAGGCAACUAAAUUGAAGGAUUGGGACCGGAUCGAAUUCUUUUCUACCAUGAACAUAAGGAAUCUCAGGAUGUGCUAUCAAUCUACUGUCUAGUUUAUUUCUCAGCACCUAAUUUGUUAAACAGAAUUAUAUGUUGGAUAUUUUGAUUCGCUCAUAGCGUAAUUCAAUUAAUGGAAUCAAAUCAUACAGACAGUCCCAACUCAGAAUUCAAUCUCAAAUCAGUCACCUUGUUAAUGAAUGUGGUCAUCUCGUGAGGUAAUUGAAUCAUAACAAUGAAUCUCAUAAAAGAUGCGAUCUUUUUCAACAGAAUGAGACAAAAAAAAGUUUGCACACAAGAGUCGAAGGAGAUUCCAGGCAACCCGUGGCUUACACUAGUUCAUCAAUUGAUAGAAAUUUAAGUACAGAUUACUCCCCAACACAGUCCAAAACCGUGUUAGCUAAGUACAUGGAAAAAGGGAUUCAAAGUCGGAGACGGGCGCAUCUCCCUCUUAGGGUUUUUUCUCUCGCUGAAGGUGAGUCUUCCUCUACCCCAUCAGGUGGUAGAUUCCCUGUUCUUUUUCCAGAUUGAAGGUAGCUUUCGUGCGAAUAUGGCCAUUUACACAGUUUUUCCACCUGACUAAUCGAAUCCCAUCUCCUCUCGUUGAACCCAAUAAUGAAGAAAUUGGGUCCCGAAACCCUAAUAUGGCUCUCCCCAUUUCCUCUCGUUUGAAUCCAAAUAAUGAAGAAAUUGGGUCCCGAAACCCUAAUAUGGUUGUCCCCAUAAUUUUAGAAUGAUUUACAGAGCUCCCUUCACUCCCCACUCAAUCCAUAUUCCCAACAAAAUCCCUCACUAUUCCCGACUACCCAACCCUGGAUUCACAUAGUUUCUCUAGCAUUUCGGCAAGAAGAUCUUCCGUCAUGGAGGGUAACCACGAAAAUCACCUCCGCUUGUUGACGCUCUGCAAACGGAUGGGGGAUCUAUGGACUACGGAUGAAAUCACGGAGCUGGACAUCAACAUUCCUGAGGUACAAAACCAGACUGAUGAGUAUUUGUUGUAUGGGCAACUAUUUUCAAAACCUAAUGUAAACUUUCCGACAUUCUGGGCUACAAUGCAAAAGGCGUGGAAAGUAGAUAAGGUUAAAUGUGAGGUGAUGGAACCGGGUCGCUUUGUCUUUAUAUUCAAAUCAGAGGCAGAGCAGAAACGAGUUUUACAGACAGGCCCAUGGUCAUUUGCCAGUAAUUUACUAGUUUUACAAGAAGGGGAUCCUACCAUUCCCAAGCAUUGUUAUGAAUUCACACAUUGUUCCUUUUGGGUUCACCUUGUGGGGCUUCCUCGUGUUGUUCUGUUGGAGGAGUGUAUUCGGCUGAUUGUUAGAAAAAUGGGGGAGAUAGAGGAAGUUAGAAUUGAAGCUCGAAACAACAGUUCGUGCAAGAUAGGGAAAGUAAGAGUGAAAUUGAAUCUGCUUUGCCCACUAAAAACUGGAACUAUUAUUCAUGUGGGAGAUCGAAACUGGUGGAUUGAUUUCAAGUAUGAAAGACUGCCACAUUUUUGCUAUUCCUGCAGUUAUAUAGGUCAUUAUGCAAACUAUUGUCCGACUUAUCCAUAUGAAGAAUCAGGCCUUCCUCAGGAUAAACCAGGUCGUUAUGGGUCUUGGUUGAAAGCAGAGGUGAAAAAUCUAAGCCCUUGCUGGAAUACUUUCUAUGGAGAGAUCGAUUUUACCUUAGAAGCAGAUGAUAUGGUCCCUAAGACUCCUAUUAUACCAUAAAGGGAUGAUUCGAACAGCAACUCUUCUAUAGAUGGUAGUCAAGCCAUAGUGAUUUAUAACCCUACAACACAGCCAACACAAGAAAUAUCAGCAUCAGAAGUACUGAUUGCUAAAAAAAAAGGCAAGAGAAUAGAACAAUCUCCGGAACAGCAAGGAGAAUCCAAAUUUCAUGAUGUAGGGAUGGGGAUACAGGUUAUAGCACAGACUGGUCCAAAGAAACAAACUCCUAAAAAGUUAAAACGCUUUUCGCCUUAUGAGAAAAAGGCUUCUCUGACAUCUCUUGUUGAUAUGCACAACCUCUUGGAUACACCAAUUCAGAUGUGGGAAGGUAGUACAGCAAGGGCUUUGGUGGCUAGCCCUAAUAAGUCACCAAGAAAGCCAUGAAGGUGUUAAGCUAGAAUUGUCAAGGUUUAGACUCUCCCUUGACAGUCCAGCACUUAAGAGCCCUAAUGGCUCGAGAGAGGCCUAAUCUAGUUGUCCUUAUGGAAACAAAGAAUCAAUAUAAGAUGGUGGAGAAUAUCAAAAGAAGACGUAAAUUUUCCUCUAUGUUUGCUAUUGAUCCAAUUGGAUUAGCAGGAGGUUUGGCUUAUUAUGGGAUGAAUCAGUGUAGGUUACUAUAGAAUAUAGCUGUCAGGAGGUGAUUGAACUCUCAUGUAGAGAUGCUGGAACUGGAUUUCAAAUGAAGAUCUCUUUCCUUCAUGCGCCAACUAAUUUCCAAAAGAGAGUUUCGCUUUGGAACCUACUUCGAGCCAGAAAUGGCACUACAACAUUACCUUGGCUAUGUAUCAGGGAUUUUAAUGAAGUAUUAUAUCAUUGGGAGAAAGUGGGUCGCCAAGUAGUGGAAAGAUUUAGAAUGACAGCUUUUUCAGGAAUUUAUUGAUACAUGUUCUUUAAUAGACAUUGAGAGCAAGGGAUGUGCUUUUACGUGGACAAAUAGAAGGGAAGGAGAUGAAUUAGUUAAAAAAACGCCUUGACAGAGCACUGUGUAAUCUAGAAUGGAGGCUUCUUUUUCCUAAUGCUAAAGCGUUUGUAUAUCCAACCAUUGGGUCUGAUCAUGGCCCUCUACUUCUAUGUCUAGAUCCAGUCGAACUAAGGAAACAUAAAUUAUUCAGAUUUGAGGCUUUCUGGUUGGAUAACCUUGAAUGUGAAGCUGUAGUAGCCAAGGCUUGAAAGACAGAAACUAGUAUCAGGCAACUAUGGUUAGGAAGACAAAAAAGGUUGCUCGGGAUUUAAGACAAUGGAGUCUAAAAUCUUUCCGGAAUGCAUCAAAACAGAUAGACUAUCUCAAAAACCAGCUCACUCAAAUUAUGAACAAGGCAGACAAAUCAAAUACGGGAAAGGAAUAUUCUACCAUAGUUGAGAAAAUGGGUACUCUUUGGCGUCAGGAAGAAAUGUAUUGGGGUAUUAGAUCCAGAGUUAAUUGGUUACAAUGGGGUGAUUGGAACAUCAAAUUUUUCCAUGCCAUGACUAUUUAGCGGAGACAAAGAAAUAGAAUUACAAUGCUAAGGCUUGAGGAGAAUGCUUAGAGUCGGGAUCCUCAGAUAAUCAGACAGCAUAUCACAGAGUAUUAUAAAAAUCUAUAUACAUCCGUGGGGUCCCGAUUCUAUCAGCCGGUUCUAGAGCAGUGUCCAAUGGUUGUUUCUGAAGAAAAUAAUGAGAAUUUAACAAAACAAAUCACUAUGGAGGAAGUUCAACAUGCUGUUUUUCAAAUGGGAGCAGCUGAAGCCCCUGGACCUGAUGGUUUGAGUGGUCUUUUUUAUCAAAGUCAGUGGCAUAUUAUCAAAGAGGAUGUAUUUACAAUGGUGGAAUCUUUCUUUAAUGAAGAAGCCUUUGAUCCUGACUUGAACGAGACCCAUACCACACUAAUUCCUAAGGUAGCGAAUCCCGAAAGUAGAACUGAAUUCCGACCCAUUAGUCUGUGUAAUUUCAGCUAUAAAAUUAUUACAAAGGUCAUGGCGAAUCGACUUAGACCUUGGCUCCCACUUCUUAUCUCACCAGAACAGAGUGCAUUUGUUGGAGGUCGGCAAAUACAAGACAAUAUAUUUAUUGUUCAAGAAGUUUAUUGUUCAAGAAGUUCUCCAUCAGCUAAGGGUUAAGAAGAGAAGGCGCAUAUUCCAAGCGAUUUUGAAGUUGGAUAUGCAAAAAUUGUAUGAUAGAGUUGAGUGGGAUUUUCUAUGUGAUUGCAUGAAAAGGAUGGGAUUUAAUGAUAAAUGGGUGAACCUGGUCAGAUUUUGUAUCUCUUCAACAAAGUUUCGUGUCCUUAUUAAUGGAGAACCUAGCGGAGUCCAAUCCAACAAGAGGUAUAAGACAAGGUGACCCUCUCUCACCUUAUCUUUUCAUUUUAAUGGCCAAUGUCUUAUCCCACAUGGUGAAUAAUGCUGUAAUGGAUGGAAGUUUAAAGGGAAUCAAACUAAAUCCUCACUAUCCUAUCCUAUCCCACCUUUUCUUUGCAGAUGAUGUUAUUUUCUUCUUGGAUGGCACAAUUAGAGAAGCUCAGAACCUAGCCAACUUACUGAAUUGUUAUUGUUUUGCUUCUGGCCAGUCAGUUAACCUCAAUAAAUCCGGUGUCCUUUUCGGGGCAAGCUGCCAACAGGAGUUAAAAAGCAAUAUUGCAUAUGAAUUGAGGGUUCCUAUAUUGGACAAAACUAGCAAAUAUUUAGGGAUACCAUCUGAUUGGGGCCAAACUAAGAAACAGAUGUUUGAUUGGAUUACAGCAAGGGUUGACAAAAAACUAGAGGGCUGGAAAGAGCAAUUAGUGUCGAAGGCGGGAAAAGAGGUGCUGAUUAAGAUGGUAGUCCAGGCGUUACCACAAUAUGCCAUGAAUAUUUUUAAAAUACCUAUCUCUAUAUGCAGAGCAAUUGAGAGGAAAAUUUUAGCCUUUUGGUGGAAGCAACAUGCAAAACAAAGAGGGAUCCAUUGGAAGAGUUGGGAAUUCUUGAAGCUAAGAAAGGAACAAGGAGGAAUGGGAUUCAAAGAUUUGGUUGAAUUUAACAAGGCUAUGCUGGGGAAACAAACCUGGAGAUUAAGUUAAGCUCCAGAAGCCUUAUGGAGCAAAAUCUUUAAAGGCCUCUAUUUCCCUAAUGGUAACCUAUGGACUGCCACAAGGGGAGCUAAAUCAUCAUGGGGUUGGCAAAGUCUCCUUAUAGGUCGAGAUGCCUUAGAAGCUGAUAUGAAAUGGGAGGUAGGGGAUGGCAAAUCUAUCAAUCUAAAGGAAGAUCGUUGGCUAUUGUCCGGAAAGAUUGGAGGACUAGCGAAUCAAAAUGAUACUAAGCUGGUUGCAGAUAUUAUCGAUCCUACUGCGCGUGCAUGGAAUACUCAGCUCAUAAAUGAUAUUUUUGAUAGAAAUAUUUCAGAGGAAAUUCAAGCAACCCACCUCAGCAUUAUCCCCAGACCCGACCAUCUAGUCUGGACAAGGCACAUCUCAGGACGGUAUCAAAUCAAAAAUGGGUAACAUAAAUUACGAGAAACUAAUGCAAUCACCACAGCAAAUCAGGCAUCCUCUUCAUACCAAGUUCCGAAACGGUUAUGGACAGAAAUCUGGAAGCUACAGACUUAUCCCAGAAUCAAACAUUUUAUGUGGAGCUUAUGUAAUGAAGGCCUUCCUACCAAAACCAAUUUGCAUUGGCGUAACAUCAUACCUGAGCCAACUUGUUCCUUGUGUCAUCAACUUCCAGAGUCAUCUGAGCACCUCUUCGUGCUGUGCCAGUGGACAAAAGAAAUAUGGUCAAAUUACAGCGUCGACAUAGAUGUCUCUCAACUGUCUAUCACACGCAUGGAUAAAUGGGUAAGCAACUACCUCCUAUCUGGGAUCUCAGCACACCAAAAGGCGACCUUUGCGCAUCUUCUCUAGUUAAUAUGGAAGGCCCGCAAUACCUUGCUAUUUCAAGGCUGCAAAUCAAACCCAACUAAACUCAUCAACGAAGCACUUCUCUCCCAGCAGUUAUACGAGAAAUGGAAUCCACGAAAGGGACCAAUUACCUCUAAACAGGACACAUAGGUACCUCCAGAUCCGGGCUCUUUGAAGCUAAAUGUUGAUUGUUCUUGGCAGGGAAGGCAUUUGGAGUGCUCUGUCAUCGGAAUCUGCAGAGGAGCUGAUGGGGUCUGCAUUGCUGGCUUCGCGCAAAAUAUUCACGCCCAAUCAAUUGGUAUCGGCGAAACCCUAGCUAUCCUUCAAGGACUUGUGUGGCUGAAGUAGUUCCGAAGUGCUCUAACAGGCGGAACUCAAGAUGCACAAACUGAUCUAUCUGUGACUAUAUCCAGCGAUUGUCUUCAAGCGGUGGAUUCCAUUGUGGGUCAACAAGAACCACCCUGGGCUUCCCUUCCUUUUGUGCUUGAUUGUCGACAGAUGUUGGCCCAAAUGGAGAAUGUUCAUUUGCAGUUUGAACCGCGCCAAACAAACCGGGCGGCUGAUUGGAUUGCAAAAUCCUUUCAAACUGGAUCUCUACCGAGUAAUUGGAUCUCCAAGCCUCCGCAUGAUCUUUAUCUUAUUUUAUGUUUAGACUUUCGUACUACCUGUAAUCCACCGUCUUAGUAUGAAAUCAAUGAAGUAUCUUUGAACAAAAAAAAAAGUACAUGGCAAAGACAAACCCCCUGAAGCUGCCCAGUCACCAAACGCGCCUAUUCUGACAUUAACUCAAUUAGAAAAAAAAUGACCCAAAUCAUUAAAUCUAAUGAAUAGAAGCGUAGCAGUAUCUCAACAGCAGCACUCAAUAGACAGAAAAAAUCCUCUUGGUUCGAGAAUGGAUUUUUUAGGACUCCACUUCUAGUCCAUCGACAUUUCCUUGUCUUCAGCAACGUCCAGUAAUCAAACUGAGAGAACCUAAAAAAAAUUGAAAGACGGGAAAAAUAAAAGGGAAACUACUCAUAGUGGAGGUCAUCAUGCUUGCUGGUCAUGAUUAUAUGAUGUUGAUUUUCCACCGGCAAAUUGACUCCAAGAUAGAACUGCACUCUUGAACCGUCGAAGAGAAAUUACUCGAGACAGGAGAAAGGCUUACCAACCCCGGCCCACCGCCCCCCUCCUUGUUUUUCAAUCGCUACGGAGCAUAUUAAAAUUAGACGUAACUCUAGUCUCCACCAAAUCUUAGUUACCCUUGAAUCGGGUCACGCGAUUCACUUGUUUAGAUUUGGUAGUGGGAGUUAGUAGCGUGGGAGUUGUAGUCAGGGUGGUGACGCCGUAAUGCUUGGAGUGCAACGUCAACGUCAUGAAACUAGAGUAUUCUCUUUAUUUCAAAGACAAACUAGGAAGAAGUUAUAUGUGACUGCGGAUAAAACAAUGAAGGACAUUUUCAAAAGUUAACUACAAAAAGGGUGCCUUUAAUCAAAGAAGGUGUAGAACUAGCACCACCGUUUCUGUAAACAAAUUUUCAUAAACAUAGUAAGUUUCCUUUUUAAAUUCAUUUUUUCGGCUUAUUACUUACAAGUGGGCCCAGUGCCUUGGUACUAAUACAUAAUAUUUAUAUGCCUCCUCUGGUUAGGAGAAAAACUUGUAUCAAUUAUUGAUAUUUAAAACUCUUUAGCUCACUAAAGAUUAAUAUCUAUACUUUUCAGAAUCACUAUCCUUUUUCCCCCCAAAACACAUUCGAUCAAUUAUUUUGUAAUAUUCCUAUCAAUGCACAAAUGCAAAAACUAAUAAUUCUACUUUAUUUAUCAUGCAUUUAGAUUUUAAAGUUUGAAUCUUAUCAUAAGUUAUAGAUAAUCUUAUAAAAAGGGACAUAGUUUUAUCCUUCCACAAAUUCACGGAUACAAUUUCUUCAUAUACUUGAAUAUAUCUUUCAAUUCAUUAGUAAUUUGAAUAUUUUGUAAUAAGAGAAUUGUGCCAAAUAUAACAACUUUUCGUAUUGCGGGUACCUUUUGCUAUCAAUAUUAGAAGGGAACGAUAUAAUUGAUCAUAAAGAUCGUGUAAUCGUACGCACAAAAGUUAUUGGCUGGAAAGGAAAAAUGAGAGGAACAAAAAGAACUACUUUAAAAAAAAAAAAAAAAAUAGAGGGAGGAUACUGUGAUAAGCUUCGAGGAAUAAUACUAUUGAUCACGCAAUUUGACAAUAUAUGCUUGGUUAUUUUUCUCUAUUUCUGAUAACAUACACUUAAACAAAAACAUAAUUCAGAAAUAUUCAGAAAUAUUGCAUUCAAGACAAAGGUGAAGUAACAUUCUUCUCGUCAAAAAAAUAAAUAAAUAACAUUCUUAAUUUUACUCCAAAUUCUAGAACAUCUUUUUAUUUUCUUCGUUUAUUUUCCUACUUCACAUCACAUUUUUUUUGUUCAUUACCAAGACCAUAACUUAUUGGUGUUUAUACCGCAGCAACAAUUGCACAUUAAAUUUUCCUUCCUUCCUCAAAAUCUGAAUUUGACACAUCAUAGUCAUGCAUUAUUUUAUGUGUCUCUGGGUUUGAACAAAGUUUUCAGAAAGACUAGAACUUCAGCAUUUUUUUACGUUUCUCGAUAUAUACAUUAAGGCUGCGUUUGAUAACAUUUAUGUUCUCAAUAAUAAUUUCUUUUUCUAAAAACAUUUUUUUCUAUUUCUGUUUUCGAGAAUAAUUUAUGAAUAUUUUAAGCCGUUUGGUAACUAUAUAAAAUUUUUGUUAUGAGAACAAAAAUAUUUUUGGUACAAUCUCAAAUAUUUGUGUGACUUAAAAUAUCUUUUAAUUUAUGAAUAAUUUUAUUAUAUUUUCUUUUUUCUUUUUCUUCUCAUUCCUCUAGCCGAUCGCCAAUCUUGGCCAUAACCAGUUGAUGACUAGCCAGACAAGGGCCGAUGAGAUCGCCAGCUUUGGGGGAGCCUCCCUGGCCACCAACGAGGUCCCCCAAGCCUCGGCGUGGCUGGGCGAGGACCCGCAAGGCCAGGUGACACCGACCUCGUGGUGACCUAAGGAGGCUCGGCCUCGCCAAAUCUAGGCAAGGUCGAGUUUGGCCCAGCCAUAUCAAGGCUCGAGGGGUGCCUCACCGAGGGUUGAUAGGGUCGCCGAGCCUCAUCUAGCUGGUUGCCAACCAUCGUCGAGGUCGCGCGACCGACUGGGGGAAGAAGAAAUGAAGAAAAAAGGAAAGAAAAGAAAGGGAAGAAAGGAAGAGAAAACAAAAACUUGAUUCUUGAGUUGUUUCUAGAAACAAGCAACAAUUUUGUUUUUAUUUCUUGUUUUUGUUUCAAAUCUAUUGGUCCCGGGAAAAAAAUUACCAAACGCAUUUAUGUUCCAUUUCUGUUCUAAAGAAUAAAAGAACAUAAAUAUUUAUUUCCAAGAACGUUAUCAAACGGAGCCUAACAAAUUCCCAGGCCAUGCAGUCCCAGACAUAACACAAUCCAGCUCCCUUGGGCCCGAGCCCGUGAGCAGCUGUUUCAGGCUAAGCCUAUUAACAAUAGGGGUGAUUGUAGACUUGUAGUCCGAAAGAAAGUGAAGAUGGAAAGAGUAAUACAAGAUCUCUCAAUGACGAUUUGUCAUGAAUUUAAUUAUCAAAAGAAAAUACACGUAGUAACAAAAAAAGAAGGGGCAAAAACGGUAAAGAUCAAUACUGAAUAAAUUUUCCACCGGCUUCUUUUGACAAAAAUGUUGCCGACGACACAAAGGUACGCUAAAGCAUUGGCGUAAUCGUCUUUUCCAUAUUCGGAUGACUCACCUUUCUUUUCCUUUGCUUUUAUUGCUUUAUUUCUUAUCAUCAUCAGUCUGCUUUUUGUAACAAGAUUUUCCUUGGAUUCUCUCGGGGCCAAUUUCGCCCUGGAUGAUGGCGUGAAGUCCCCAAAAGAUGGUUUUGUAGUGGGAGCAAAAGUGAGGAUAAUGAAAAAGGAAUAUUUAUGUGAAUGUUCUUAAUUAGUCAUGAGAAUAAUAAUUUACUUUAAAUUAUAAAAAAUAAAUAUAAAAUAAUUGAAAAUUAUUACGAUGGCGCGAAGUCCUCAAAAGAUGGUUUUGUAGUGGGAGCAAAAGUGAGGAUAGUCAAAAAGGAAUAUUUAUGUGACUGUUCUUAAUUAGUCAUGAGAAUAAUAAUUUAUUUUAAAUUAUAAAAACUAAAAAUAAAAUAAUUAAAAAUUAUUACGAGAUUUAUUAUUUUAAGAAUUCAUGACUCAUACUAUAUUAUGAUUGAGCAUAACAAGAAAGAGGAGUAAUAAAUAAUUUUUUUGCCACUGAAGUGCACCCUCAUGUUUUUAAUUUUUUGCCCUGCGGGCUUCUUUCGACUGAAGUCCCGUCGACAAUACAAAGGCACGCUAAAGCAUCGGUCACCGAGCCAUGCGACCACAACACUGUACGGACUCACCACUCUUUAUCACGAAUGUAACUAUGAAAAGAAAUUCCUCGGGGCACGGGAAAGGAAAGGGGGCUAUAACAGGACGGGGGCAAUAGUGAACAACUUCUUGCCAACGAAAUGCAUCCUCCUCGCGUUUCUUUUUUCUUUGGGGUCUGGUUUUAACUAAAAUCUUGCCGACAGAGCAAAGGGCGCCAAAGCAUCGAUGGGUUUCCUUUCCACACUGGCAGGACCCGUCUUCCCUUUCUUUGCUUUAUUGCUUUAUUCUUUUCAUUGUCGCUUCUCAUUGAAUGAACCUCGCUUUAUUACAAGUUCCCAAGAAAUGGUUUUCUACUCGUCAUCAAACCGGUGGGUUAAUUAUUUUGAUAAUUUUUUCUUUGCCAACAGCAUUUGAUAUAUCAUUCAGACCACAAUUUCAAUAUUUUCGAGUGGAUUUUCAAUGAGGACUUGUAUGAUAGCAUACUUUUGCCGUUUCGCGCAACAUAUUUUAUUUAAUGACGAUUUUAAUUAUUUUUCACUGGCACUAUGUAGAUUUUUUUCAAUCUUGUUCCAAAAAUUGUGUACCUUCACUCAGGACGCACUUGCUCUCCAUCAUUUGAAGUUUGACAAAUAAGUUCACAUAAUUUACAAGUAAUGUUAUUAAAUAUAGUAAAAUUGAUACAAAAGAUAUUAUUACCAAAUUAGAAUUUUACAUUUAGCAAGUAAAUAGAUGAAUUGAUGAAAGGAGAUAAUAUACGAGCAUAGAAAUGUGAACACUUCUCAUGUUCUUUUAAAAAAAGAAAUCCAUUUUGGAAAAACUGAAUUUCCUGAAAUAGCUAUAAAAUGAACUCGAACUUUCCACUUGCUAUUAAAAAUGAACAUAAUUUUUAAGUUUCUCAUGGAGAAUAUAAACUUUUAGUUUUGUAGCAAGACAUGAUGAAAUCUUAAUUUUCUUUCAACUUUAUCAAGUCAAUUUAGAUAUUGCAGGAGAAUGUUCAUAUCUUAAAUUUGACAUAUCAAUUCAGAGUUUCUAUCUUCACCCUUGUCUAAUGCAUAAUAGCACUUGUCUUUUAUCUUGGGUUUUAUUUCUCUUCAUUGCUUCUACACCGACUAUAAGUGCAUCUUAGUAUUCCCGAUCAAUGAAUUACAAAUUUAUAUAUGGUUUUAUUUCUUUUCAUUGAUUCCGGUUGCAAACUGCUUCAAUUAGAUUAAUCAAACCAUUAAAAAAAGACUUGCCUGAGGUCUUCUAAACACCAUUAGCAAGUUUAUUUUUAUUUUUAUUUUUUAUAUUUGUGGCCCACAACAAAUAGAUCCAAGCACAGUUUUUUCCGUUGAAGAGACGAGACUUCCCUUUUACAAAAACCCUUACUAUUGCUACUCAUCCUAUUAAAAUAUAGUAAAAUGCAAGUUAAUUCAAAAUUAUUGAACUCACAAUAUAAAGAUAAACCCAGUAUAUUUGAAGUAAAAGUAGUUUUUAGAAUGAUAGUAAUCAAAAAUAUUAAAUAGGCGAUUAUCGGCACUACAUCGAUAUGGAAGCAGCUUUUGCAAACGUUGUGGAAUUAGAAUUUUUAAAAUUCUAUGGUUGAAAGAAGUUCUAUUAAAGUCCUGUACGUUAUCUAUAUACACUAAUAUAAAGCCAAAACCUUGAAUUUGGUUCUCCUCCCUCGAAAUAUUCAUUUUAUACUUGACAGACACUGUUCUCUUUAACGAUGAGGUAAAGGUGUUAUCUAAUGGGCAGAGAUGGAAAGCAUUGUUUUUUUUUUCCUUCUGCCACUAUGCGUAUGCAGCAACAGCGUUUGAAGAUGGACUAAGGAAACAGAAGAAGCUAAGGACAACACGUUUAGACGUGGAAGUGUAAGUUGUGAAUCAUUGCUUAAUCGAGCUUUUCAACUCAUCAUGAUUAAUAACUUCAAUCUUAAAAAGAUUUAAAAAAAAAAAAAAAGAGUUGUCACUCUUGGAUCAUACAUGCUCUCUUAUCCCAAAAAUGAGUAGAUUAAAAGUGCAACUCUAAAAAGAAGGUGGACGAAUGUGAAGUCUCAAUGGCACAGCAGCGGAAAAGGAAAAGCAAAGCAAGAAUAUAUUCCAUUUCACACUUCUUAAAGCUGAAAUUGUAGCAUUUUGCAUAUUGAGUUUUAAGUAAGAUUGUUUCAUGGAUUAUCUCACUCCGAGGACUCUAAAAAUCACUAAGUCCAAAUUUUUAUAAAAUUAGACUUUUACAUGUUGUCUAAAGUCGCUUUGGACUAUACUAAAGUCACAUUAGAUCUACAUUAGCUCUGUUUACUUGCCGUUGUUCAUGCAUACCGCUACAUUGGAUUUUUACUAGUCGUCUUAGAUGAAAUUGUAAUGCAAGUUGCUUUUUGGUCAUUAGUAGUAUUAGUAAAUAGUAAUAUGAAAUUUUAAUUUUUGAAGAAUUGGUGUCCCCUGGGUAAAGUACAGACUUUUUAUGGAUUUUUUCAGAGUGAUUGCAAAUCCAUAUCAGAUUUUUAAGCCCAUUGUUGUCCAAACAGGUGUCACGUUGGAUUUUCUGUGUCUAUUUUGGACCAAAUUUGACCGAAUGUAUUUUGUUGGUUAUUGUGUAAGUUUCGGAUUUUUAUGGUGAUAGUGAUUUCCUUUUGGUGAAAUUGUUAUGAAUUGUACUUUUCUUGGAGUUUUUCUCCGUUCAUAAUUUUUGACCCAAAUUGUUUGGCUUUAAGUUGGCUGAUUUUGGACAUAUUUAUUUCCAUGCACUCGAAAGUAAUAGCCGUGCUAAAUUCUUUGUUUUGUUUCCGUUGACAUUUCUUGAUUUGGUAACAGAGACAUUGGGUUCUCGAAUUUGGUAAAAGUUGAACUUUAGCAAGAAUUCGAUUUUUUUAGGAGGAAAAAUGUUGUAAAAUUUCUUCCAUUCUUGAUUCUGUUUCAAGUUCAAAAAGGUAUUUGCCAUGGUAGUUGCAUGCUUGUUAGAAAAACUUAUCGUGUCUUUGGCAAAUGUGGUUGUUUUUGGAAGGGAACGGAGUAGCAUUUGCUCUCUAUUCCGAAAGGGUCACAACCAUGGCAAGCUACUCUCUUCUGAAAAAAUAGCCAUGGCAUAAAACUUCAGGCUAAUGAGAUGCGCAAAACUUUUACAUUUCCAAAAGUUAUUUUUUAAAAAGAAAAUGAGAAAUAUCUAUAUUUUCACGCUUGUAUAGCAUCUAUUUUCAUAAAAUCUAUAUAUUCACUUGUUAAAUGUAAAAUUAAGAUUUGAUCAUAUCGAUUAAUAUAUCAAUUUUAGCACACAUCUUUUUGAAUAAAAUUGAAAAGGAAAUCCAUAAUUGUUAGCAUAAAGCCAUUUCUUGGGAAUCUGACCAUCAUCCACGGCGAAACUAUCGGCAAGAUGAAGAGGUAUAAAGCAAAGUGAUAAUGGAGAGGUAUAAAGUAAUAACGCAUGGAAAGUAAUAACACAAAGAAAACGAAGGUGGGGCCAUCCUAAUAUGGUAAAGAAGAGCCGCUAAUGCUCUUAGCACACCUUUUGUGCUGUCCGUCGGAUUUUAGUAAAAGAAGCAUGCUAGAAUAAAGGUUCGUAAUUGCUCUUUCCUAUUUUGCCCCUUCCUUUCCCGUAGUAAUUUUUUUAAAAUUAAACUCAUAAAAAGUCAUCAUUGAGAUCUUAUUUGUCAAAUCUACAAAAUGUACAUUCUCCUCUAUCUAAAUUGACUUGAUAAAUUUGAAAGAUUAGGACAUCAUAACAAAUAAUUAAGAUUCCAUCACAUCUUAAUAUUGAACUAAAAUUUAUAUUCUCUAUGAUAAAGUUGAAUUUUUAUGACAUUUUUCAUAAGCAAGUGGAAAGUUUUAAAUUCUCUUGAAUAUUUGGCUAAUGAAAUCCAAAAAAUUUCACUUUUUUCCAAAAGUGAUUUCUUUUAAAGGAAUAUGAAAACUAUCCAAAUUUUCACGCUUGUAUAAUAUCUAUUUUCGUAAAUCUGUAUAUUCUCUUGCUAAAUGUUAGAUUGGGAUAUGGUCAUAUUAAUUAUUAUAUCAAUUUUAGCAUACUUAUUAACAUUACUCAUAAAAAACCUAAAUUUAUUUGUCAAGCUUCAAUUGAUAGAGAGCGAGUUCUUACUAAGUAAAAAGUGCACAUCUUUCUUAACAAAAUCAACUAAAAAAAACCCAUAAUAAUAAGCAUAAAACCAUUUUGUGCGUGGUUUUGAUUAUUGGUAUUACAGUGGACAUAUAGGUUAGGAUUUUUCACGGAACUGACAAUUGCCAUCAUUGUGCCAGCCACCCAUUGCCAUCUUGAGUCCUUACCUUAGUGGCGUCAAUCCAUGGGCGAGUUAACUCCUCGCCCGCCCAAGUUGUCUUUUACGCCCUUGUCUCUCUUUAUUUUUGUGCAAAGCUCACAAUCUAUGCCCAUAGAAGUUGCGACCAACAGAGGUCACUAGCCUCGUGCGGCCACGAUCUGUGGUUGCAUGGCCAUGGUGUCGGGGCUCGAAUAAGUUAAUUCCCUUGAUUGUUAGAGCAACGGAGAGAGGCCCUUCGCCUAUUUUAUCAUUAAAAUUAAUAUCGAAAAAGAAAAAGAAAAAAAUUUCUCACCACGAGGGCAUUUGGGUAUUUCGGCGACGGCAGAAGACAUGAUGUAAUUAACAGGGAGAGAGGAGCGGAGGAAUAGGACAGAGCGAGUUGUGAUUCUAGCUCGGGUUCGAGUCAGUUGGGCAAAGAGUCAAAGACCCAAGGGACCAAGGCGCAAGUGCCUCAUGCAAUCCCAUUUCUAUAGUCUGCGGGGAAGUGUGCAUUUGUCGAGAUACGUGUUGUCAGAAAACUCAAUAAAAGAUAUAUUUAUAAUUUAUCAUCGCUUAAGUGUGAAAUAAUCCAUAGACAUAGCAUAAAUUAAAAUUCAACAAUGCCAAAAGAAGGAUAAGGGUUUCUUUUAAUAUUUUGUUUUAGUCACAGAAAGAGACUCAGCCCUAUUUGGUUCAGUAUUUGGAAUGCUCAUUUGGGCUCUAAAGUCCCUUAGCCAAAUGCAAAGGUGUUUGGUUCGUCUUUUUGCGUAACUUUGACGAGAUGUAAUUGCAUCUCCAAGUGGCUCUAAGGGCCUUUAGCCCAAUGCAGCUCUUGAGGUCCUUUGCAAAGUUGCAUCUUCGGAAUGCAACUUUUAGUAUUGUUCAUCUCUCCGAUGGAGAAGCCGAUCGGCCGCUUGAAUAAAAAUAAAUAUAAAAAUAAAUAUGUUUAUAUAAAAAUAUAAACAUAAAUUUUAUGUUUAUUUUUAUAAAAAAAUAUAAACAUAUAUAUUUUUUAUAUAAAUAUAUUUUAUGUUUAAUAAAUAUAUAUAUUUAUAAAUAUAAACAUAUCUAUUUUUUUUCUCCAAUCGUUUUUAUAUAAAUAUAUGUUUAUAUAAACACAUCUAUUAUAUAUAUAUAUAUAUAUAUAUAUAUUUUAUGUUUAUAUUUUUAUAUUUUUUAUAUAAAAAUAUGUUUAUAUAAAAAAUAUAAAGAUAUUUUUUAUUCAGGCGGUUCGACCGCCAGAUUCGACGGUCUGGUGGCCGAACUUCAAAAAAAAAAUAUAAACAUAUAUAUAUUUUUUUAAUUUAAUAAAAGUUAAUUACAAGUGCAAAUUUUACCAAACGGUAUUCUGGCUAAUGUUGUUUUCCAAUACAAAUUUUACCAAACGACAUUUGCAUUUUAACAAACCCCAUUCAUCCAAAGGUAUUUGCAGAAAUGCAUUCUCCAAAAGCCGAACCAAACGGGCUCUCAAUUGCUCCCCCAUCCCUUUAGAAUUUUACUAAUUUUUUUUCUCUUUUUUCGGAAAUCGAAUUCCACUAAUUUUAUUUAUCCCGCAAUUACACUGUUCUUUUGUCAAAUGCGUUGUGUCGGUGGCGAGAUAAGAGAAGGAUGUGGUUUUCCUUCUUUUCAGAAAAAGAGUCCUUCUCCUUUACUCGGGUAAAGAGUCCUUCUGCCAGGGCUUUGGCCUCCGCCGGAGCUGCUGCUGAAGUUGCGCGCGCAGAUCUCGCGAACCCGUCCACCGAAACGCCACCGCAGUCUCGGUACGCGCGGCUGAUCGCUCCCUCCGUCGGGCCGCCAACGAAGGAUCCCAUCGAUAUUUCACCUCGAGAGCUCCUCGCCGCAGUCCGGAGCCAGUUCUGAGGUGAGUUUCCAAGGGCCCACCUUUGGUGUUUAGAAAGAACCCUGGCAUUUUCUCAGCUUUGACAGGCCGCAAUGAUGUAUUCUUAGUACAGAGAUCUCAGGAUUUGGAAGUUUUUCCUAUCUCUGGCUGCCGCUGCUUUUGCUGCUAUCCUGUUUCGACUUUUUCUUCGAAGAGGAGAUCGAGCGAGAUCAAUGAAGGAGAGUGCAAAGAGACGGCGCGUGUGUGAAAAUGAUGGAACAGCACGAGGCGCUUCUUCCACUCACGCUUCAACAGAAGGUCAAGAAGUGGCUACUUCAUCAGGAUAUGACUAUGAAGUAUUCUUGAGCUUCAGAGGACCAGAUACUCGAGCAGGAUUUACCGACUUCCUUUACACUAGAAUGAUAGAUAUGGGAAUCCGCACAUAUAAGGAUGAUGAAGAUCUCCGAAAGGGAGAAGAGUUUGGCUCAGAACUUCUCCGAGCAAUUGAGCAGUCGAGGAUCUCAAUACCUAUCCUUUCUAAAGGUUAUGCCUCUAGCGUAUGGUGUCUCAAGGAGCUAGUCAAGAUGGUGGAGUGCCAGAAAACAAAGAGACAAAAGAUCAUGCCGAUUUUUUUAUGAUGUGGCUCCUUCAGAGGUUCGACACCAAACCGGGGGUUAUGGAGAGGCCUUUCAAUCUUAUGAAAAAAAGAAGCGACAUGAUGAAAAGAUUGUGCAAGAGUGGAAAGAUGCUCUCACUGUAGUCGGGCAAAUAAACGGAUGGGACCUGCAAAGCAUGUCCAACAGGUGACUUAAUUCCAUCUCUUGUGCCUUGGAUCAUUAAAACUUUUUGCUUUUCAUAUGGCUUCUUUUCUGGAUUUGUGUUAGCCUUGUUGAAACUGAAUUCCGUGUUAUUGAAGUUAUUCUGCAGAAAUCAAAUUUUUCCCAUUUUAUUCCAAGCAACAUUUUUUCCGGUUCACUUCAUUUAAGUACCAACGCUAAUUCAUCUACAAUGGAAUAAAUCCUUGAAGUAACACAUUUCGAAUUCAAUUUGGUCUUCUCAGAAUUAGUUUAAUGUUUACACAAUUUUCUAACUCAUUAUCUUUUGCCUUCAACUAACUCUAGGCGAGAAGGUGAGUUCGCAAGAGAAGUUACCCAGAAGGUUUUCAAUGAGUUGAAAAAGGCUUAUCUGGUGCUAUCAGAGUGCUUGGUCAGUGUCAACGACCAUGUGGAUGCAAUCAUGGAAAUGAUAGGUGCUGGGACAAGUGAAACACGAAUUAUAGGAAUCCAUGGUAUGGGUGGCAUUGGAAAGACAACUACUGCCAAAAUGAUCUACAAUGAGCUUUCACACGACUUUGAGAAUUGUUGCUUUCUUUCCGAUAUUCGAGAAAAAUCAAAAAGUAAUGGCAUUCAAUGCUUGCAGAAUAAGCUCAUCUCUGACAUUCUCAAAACAAAAUGCAUGUAUAUGAAAGACAUUGAUGAAGGAACUCAAACAAUUAAAGACAGGUUGUCUAAUAAAAGAGUUCUACUUCUUCUUGAUGAUGUGGAAGAAGAGAAUCACAUGGAUGCACUUGUUGGUAGGUGUGAUUGGUUGGGCAAAGGGAGCAAAAUUAUUAUUACUACAAGAAACAAAUAUAUUCUUGAUGUUCCUGAAGUGGACUGCAGUUAUGAGCUUAGUGGCAUGGAUGUUGAUCAAUCUCUUCAACUAUUUAGCAGACAUGCCUUCAGAAAAGAUUAUCCUUUGGAUGAGUAUAUUAGCCAAUCCGAGAGGGCAAUAGGCAUUGCUGGAGGUCUUCCACUAGCUCUUGAGGUUAUAGGCUCACUUUUAUGUCGCACUAAAAAGGAAAAGUGGGAUCUCACAUUAAAGAAGUUGGAAAAUGUUCCUCAUGCAGCAGUUCAGAGUAAGUUGAAAAUAAGCUAUGAUGCAUUAGAUGUUCGACAACAAGAUAUAUUCCUUGAUAUAGCUUGUCUUUUCAUCGGAUAUAAUGAAGACAUUGUCGUUUAUUUUUGGGAUGAAUCUAAAUUUCCAGAAGAAGCCAUGGAAGUUCUGCAGAACAUGUCUUUGAUAAAGAUUGAAGAGGAUAAUAUAGUGUGGAUGCACGACCAACUCAGAGACCUCGGAAGAGAAAUAGUUCGUAACAAAAAUAUAAAGGAGCAAAGUAGGGUGUGGGAUCCUAAGGAAGGAUUGGAUUUGCUAAGGAAACAUAAGGUAAACACCCCCCCCCUUCCUUAAAAAAAGAAAAUAUAUAUUCCUAGUAUUUAUGGACAUUUUCCAAGAACAAGCUGUUUACUUUUUGUUUUGUCUAGCGCCAUUGCGACUUCCUCAACCUAUAAUUUUUGCUCUUUUAAGAUUACAAGAAUGAUAGACUAAACUCAACCGAUUAAUAUAGUGGACUUGAAUAAAAAUGCGUUUCCCUUUAACUUUUUAAAAUUUUUCCUUUGGGCAGGGAGAAAAAAAAGUUGAAGCUCUUUGUCUCAAGUUGGACUAUUUCCAGCAAUAUCGUUUUUCCUAUGAGGGCUUUGAGAACCUAUCCCAUCUAAGGUUCCUUGAAGUGGAUAGUUCGAUGGAAAAUUUUUGUGUAGAAGAGAGGCUUCUUUGGCAUGAAUCGCCAUCAAAAUUUUUUCCAACUAAUGAGAAUUCAUAUCUCCUUCCACAAUUACGAUGGCUUUCAUGGCGUGAUAUUCCCCCAACAUUUAACAUUACGAAUUUCUUCAUGGAGGAUGUGGUUAUUCUUAAUCUAUCUAGAAGUAAAAUUACGGAUGAUUGGAAGGGGUGGAGCCACAUGAAGGUAUGUUAUACGUUAGACAAUACUUAUUAUUCCAUCUUAUUAGAUUCAUAAAUAAUAUUUGCAUGAUUUUUCUUUUAUAGGUGAUGAAGAACUUGAAAGUUCUAGACAUGUCCCAUUGCCUAUCGUUGGAGAGGCUUCCAGAUUCAAUUGGAAAUUUGAAAUCGCUGAUUGAGUUCAAUAUAUCCAACACGUUGAUCAAAGAACUACCCGAUUCCAUUGGAAAUUUGAAAAAAUUGGAAGUAGUGAAUAUGUGGAAUAGUAGAUUAAGAAAAAUACCUAAUGUCCUUUGGUCGAUGGGGGAUCUCGAAGUCAUAGUAGCCUUCAUAGAUACAUUAGCUGUUGACAGGCUUUUCCACGUGCAAAUUGGCAAUGGCAUCCACGGGAGUCAAUCCCUGAGGAUCUUGGUAUUGAAGAAUGCGGACAUACAUGCACUACCGAGACUUCCUAAAAGUCUUAUCGAUUUAGAAAUGUCUAUAUUACAGAUGGACACAUUUCCGGAUCUUUCAAACCUCACGAAUUUAAAGAAAAUGGAAUUGUAUUUUGGCCGGCCUCAUCACGACGGGAUAUCUAAUGGGCUUGGGGAGCAUCCGAUGCCACGGUGGCUUGGGAAUUUAAGCAAUCUGAAGUUUCUAGCCCUGCGCUCUCGUCACGUGACCACCUCACCGACAGACCUUACCCUCCCUCCUCAAUUGAAGUCACUUCACCUUAAGUGCCCUAAUCUGCGUCACCUCCCGAGGCUUCCCUCAAGUUUAUCCUCCUUAUGUUUGGAAUAUUGCAAGUCUCUUAGCUCGAUGGAGGAUCUAUCAAAUUUGAAGAAACUAUCAUCUCUUUGUAUUUCGAACGCCGCAAUUGCAGAGAUUCAAGGCCUCGGUUGUCUGGAGAACCUACGAGAUUUGGAACUUAAUUUUCUUGGACAGGUGGAGGUACUACCUGAUCUAAGCAAUUUAAACAAACUAACAUCUCUUGAUGUAGGAUUUUGUGAUAAGCUGGUUGAGAUUCAAGGCCAACUACCUCGGUUUUUGGAUUUCUUUAAUGUUUUUUCUUGUGAUUCAUUACAGAAGUUGCCCGAUCUGUCAAGCUUGAUGGGUAAGCAAGUGUUUGGACGAUCUAAUUGCAAAAAAUUAAAUGUGGAGGCUAUUCUUGAUGCUGUUCGGUUGGAUCCACGACAUUUCGAGUUUGUAGACUUUGAACAGCUGCAGACUUUAAGUAAUUCAAACGAACUCAGAUGUCUUCAAGUAGAACGAUGUGAUAAUCUAGUUGAGAUUCAAGGUGAACUACCACAAUCUUUGGAAGUAUUGGAGAUUAAGUCAUGUAAAUCUUUACAGAAGUUGCCUUAUCUAUCAAGCUUGAUAAGAUUGCGAGAGGUUUGCAUACAAAAUUGUGAUAAUCUAAUUGAGAUUCCAAGCGAACUGCCACAAUCUUUGCAAGUAUUGAAGAUUGAUUCAUCAUGUAAAUCUUUACAGAAGUUGCCUUGUUUGUCGAGCUUGACGAGAUUGCGAGAGGUUUGCAUAGGUGACUGUAGUGAUUUGAUUGAGAUUCAAAGCGAACUACCACAAUCUUUGGAAAAAUUGGUGAUUUUUUACUGUGUAUCUUUACAGAAGUUGCCUUGUCUGUCAAGCUUGAUAGGAUUGCGAGAGUUUGCCAUAAAUAAUUGUGAAAAUCUGGUUGAGAUUCCGGGCGAGCUACCACAAUCUUUGGAAGUAUUGAAGAUUGAUUCAUCAUGUAAAUCAUUACAGAAGUUGCCUUGUUUGUCGAGCUUGACAGGGCUGCGAGAGGUUUUCAUACGUCAUUGUGAUGAUUUGGUUGAGAUUCAAGGCGAACUACCACGAUCUUUGGAAAAAUUAAAGAUUUAUUACAUUGGAUCUUUACAGAAGUUGCCUUGUCUGUCAAGCUUGAUAGGACUGCGAGAGUUUGCCAUAGAAAAUUGUGAAAAUUUGGUUGAGAUUCCAGGCGAAUGGCCACAAUGUUUGGAAGAAUUGUGCCUUUCUUCCUGUAAAUCUUUACGGAAGUUGCCUUGUUUGUCGAGCUUGAUGGGGCUGCGAGAGGUUUUCAUACAUCAUUGUGAUGAUCUGGUUGAAAUUCAAGGCGAACUACCACAAUCUUUGGAAAAAUUAAAGAUUUUUUACUUUGGAUCUUUGCAGAAGUUGCCUUAUUUGUCAAGCUUGAUAGGACUGCGAGAGUUUGCAAUAGGAAAUUGUGAUAAUCUGGUUGAGAUUCGAGGCGAAUGGCCACAAUGUUUGGAAAAAUUGUGCCUUUCUUCUUGUAAAUCUUUACAGAAGUUACCUUGUUUGGCAAGCUCGAUGGGGCUGCGAAAUCUUUCCAUAAAUAAAUGUAGUAAUCUGGUUGAGAUUCUAGGUGAACUACCACAAUAUUUGGAAGGAUUGUGGAUUGGUUAUUGUAAUUCUUUACAAAAGCUGCCUUAUCUGUCAAGCUCGAUGGGGCCGCGAAGGGUUGAAAUACAUAAUUGUGAUAAACUGGUUGAGAUUCAAUUCGAACUACCACAAUCUUUGGAAGAAUUGGGGUUUCAUUCUUGUAAAUCUUUACAAAUGUUGCCUUAUCUGUCAAGCUCGAUGAGGCCGCAAGAGGUUAAUAUACGUGAUUGUGAUAAUCUGGUUGAGAUUCAAGGCGAACUACCACAAUCUUUGAAAGAUUUGAGGGUUCAUUCCUGUAAAUCUUUACAGAAGUUGCCUUGUUUAUCGAGCUUGAUGGAGCUGCAAAAGUUUUACAUAGGUCAUUGUAAUGGUCUGGUUGAGAUUCAAGGCGAAUUGCCACAAUAUUUGGAAAAAUUGGUGAUUUCUUACUGUGCAUCUUUACAAAAGUUGCCUUAUCUAUCAAGCUUGAUAGGAUUGCGAGAGUUUUCCAUAAAAAAUUGUGAUAAUCUAGUUGAGAUUCUAGGUGAACUACCGCAAUUUUUGAAAGUAUUGGACAUUUAUGAAUGUCAAUCUUUACAGGAGUUGCCUAAUCUGUCGAGCUUGAAGGGACUGCAAGAGGUCAAAAUAAUUCAUUGCGGGAAAUUAAAUGUGGAGGCAAUUUCUUCGCUUUGCUCAAAGAUGUCAGUCAACUUUGUGGAGUUAGGCGAUGAAUGUGACUCUAAAGAGGAUGUGAAAUUAGACUAUGGAUAUAACUCUGAAGAAGAUGUGGAAUUAGGCGAUGAAUAUGACUCUGAAGAGGAUGAAUAUGAUUCUGAAGAGGAUGAAUAAGUGCAUGUUGCUCUUGAAAGCUUCUUGAUCCGCAACCACAAAUUGUUUCCUUGUGUUCAAACUUUAAACAAAUUGAGGUAACUUGUUUCAUCUGACAACCAAUGUUUUACCUUUUCUGCAAUCAAAUUCUUUCACAUAUAUGAACAGAGAAGUUUCACAUGCAACUUUUAAUUACCUUCUCACAAGUUGAUGACUGAAAAUCUGAUGAAGGUGUUGAAAUUAUGAUACUUCCAUACAACCACAGGGUUCUUAAUUAUGUACACAUAUUUGUUUUCUUUUCCUAGUUUGGUUUGGCUUUUUCAGCUAUAUUUUCUGUGGAUGAUUUCUCCUUGCUUUUAUGUUUCCCAGCUAGAGGUAUGCAUGUCGAUUGCCUCGCUUUUAUUUGAUAUGUAAAAAAUUCGUAGAGAUCCGUGUUGAUCUGCUGUUUCACAUAUAUCAAAGUUGAUAGCCUCGUUUCUCUUUGGAGAUAACUUUGUUAUUCUGUAAACAAUUAGAUGGAAUGUGUGUUGGAAGGUCAUAAACUAUGAUUCUCAUCCUGGAACUUUACGGCAUAAUCAACUCAUUGUUACAACUGUGAAGAAGAUACUCUGUAUUGAAAUGCUUAUGUUCAAUUUGUUUUCCAGGAAAGGUGUGCUUCUUAGUGGAAUUACAAAGGUCAUGGAGAAGUUAUAAAAUGGAGAAAGACGAAUUUCACUUGUGCAGUGGCAUUAAAAGUUAGUGUAGCAAAAUUUUCAUCCAUUACAGGAGGAGAACUACUUAGCUUCUCCAAGGUAUCAUAAACCAUCUAUAAUUAAGGCUAAAUUUCCUAUGUAGUGGUGCGUAGGGCAUAUAAUAAGUCUCAUGUGGGUCAGAAAUCAUGUAAAUGGACUUUUGUGUGAUCUUCAUAUUACUACCUACAUUUUCUAGAGAUGGUUAUACCUGGGUGAUUACCUAUAAUAGAAGCCCUUCCAUUCACCUCAAGUUAUACUAGAGGACUCUUUUAGGUUUUAAGAUCGACAAGAAGUGCUAAGGGAGACGUCUCAUACAACUAGCUUUUUGCUGGUUUCAAAUGUUGCCGAGAGGAUUUAAAGUUUGAGAAACUUACAGAAAUUUUUCUGCAUAGGGAGCUUUGCCUAUUUUUUUUUGGUGGAAAGCUUUGGCUCAUUUGGGCAGCUGUACAAAUGAAGACCAUAUAAACGAAAAUGAAGACGGCUUUUAAUGUCAACGAAAUUCCCUUUCACAAUCUUGGGAUGGUGAACUGUGCAUUCAUCUGUGGAGAGACAGAAACUUGAAGAUUAGUGAGGGAAGUCGUUGCCUAUGGAUGAAAUCGUUAAAUCUGUUGAACUCAAUGGGAAGUUUUAGUUGAAUGAUUAGCCCUUUUUUCGAAGAAAACAUUAGAGCAAGACAGAGGGAUUCAUUGUGCAAGUUGGGGCAUCAUACGUAAUGUUUUUGGGUGUAAAAGGUUUAUUUAGGCAAACCUGAUUGUUUAUUAAUCUUUUUUGUGGGGCCAUAAGAAUGAAUAUUGUUCUUCAUCUGCAUGUAUGUUCUCUUCAUUGACAUGCAAUGGAACUUGCUUAUCAGUUCAUACACCUUCCGAUGUGAAAAUGGUGUUCAGAAUAGUCUUACUCGUGAGUAUGAUAGGCACUCACAACACAGGAGACACGAAUUGUUGGGAUUAAUGGAAUGGCGAUGUUGUAAAGUUGACUCUCGCCAAAAUUAUGUAAAAUCAGUUUUCACAUGGUUUUAAGCAUUGUUGCUUUCUUUCUGACAAUUGUGAUACUUUAGAGCUCAUGGGCAUUCAGUUUUUGCAGAAUCAACUCAUCUCCUAUGUCCUCAAGAGGAAAUUGACAGAAAUAAGUAAUGUUGAUGAAGGGAUCAAGACAAUUAAAGACAGCUAUCUUGUAAAAGAGUUCUCUUCAUUUUUUAUGAUGUUGAGCAGAAGAAUCUAUUGAAUGCGCUUAUGGGAAAUAUCUGCGAUAUUUAGGCAUUAUUGGAUUCUUCAAUAUUGAAUAUCAAGUCUUGAAGGAUCUCAAAAUUCUUACUGCUUCGCAUUGUUAUUGAAGAUAAUCUCUUCCAUUGGUCACUUGACAUCUCUAUCAAGGCUAUCUUUGAAAAGCACCGUAAUUACACAACUUCCCUUGUCCAUUGAAGCUCUUGCAAGUCUUGAAUACCUGUCUUUGUAAGAACGUAGAUGAACAUAGAGGCUUUCAGACUCAAUUGGCGAUCUGCAAUCGCUACUUGAGUUCAAUUAACUCCCACACGUGCAUUAACGAGCUACCUGAUUUCAUGGGAAACAUGGAAAGUCUGAAAGUAAUGAGAACAAAUAAUUGUUCCAUGGAAAAGACACCCAGUGCCUUAUGGUUGCUGUAAAAGCUUGAAGAAAUAGAUGCAGCACAGUGAAAGCUUGCAACUGCAAAAUCCAAGUGACAUUUGCAGAGAUUCAUCUUUGAGAAUCUUGAAAUUGACACUGAUUGAAACAUGCCAAGUGCCAAGGCUUUCUCGUCAGUUAAGACAUUGAUACAUCCAUUGUCAAUGACAACAUUUCAAAUUUCUUGAAGCUGACAAGUUUAAAUGAUUUGUAUUUGGCCAUUUGACAAGAUGCUUACCCCGUUGACAAUUGUCAACUUGUGGAAGAUGCUAUGCCAUGGUGCAUUGUGAGAUUAAAUAAAGUGGAAUCUUUGACCUUGUUGUCUGCUUUUGUAAUCACCUGAUCAACAAAUAUCAGUCGGCUUUCUCAACUCAAAAGACUAGAACUCCGUUGCGCUAAUUUGCUGCGCCUCCAAAGGCUUCCCUCAAGUUUAUCUUAUUUACGUGUUGAAUCUUGCUGGUGGAUGAGAAUAGCGAUGGAUCUCUCAAAUUUGAAGAGACUGUCAUAAUUUAGAAUGGAGAAUUCUGCAAUAACAAAGAUUCAAGGCCUUGACUGUUUGGAGAAUCUAUGAAUUCUGGAGCUCUUUGAUCUUGAACCAAGGGAGAGUUUCCUUGACCCGACUCAUUUGAAGAAGUUGAAGUCAGCUGCACUAGAUUAUUGUAGUAAUGUGGAUUUUGCUUGUCGCAAACUACCAGAAUCUCUGGAAGAAUUGUCGAUUGAAGGCCCUGCCAUCCUUGAUGUAAGUUGAUCAGGUUCAAAUAGUUUGCAAAGAGGGAUAACGUGGGUGAGGCCUGACUGUUUCAACUUGAAUAGGUCCAAAUAAUGCGAUGUCUGGCAUUGCUUAGGAGAUUCUACCAUUUCUUGAAAUUUUAGAAGAGAUGCUCAGCAGAGGAGUACGUUUUCCAAUAAGAAGUGUAUGUGGUUCUUGAAAGGUCUUGCAAUUACAACCAGAUCUCUUGUCAAUAAAACUUUGAAACUCAAACAAAUUGCUUAUUGCCCUGUGUCGUUUGAGCAGACAUUGGUUAUUGUCUUUCUCGGAACCAUGUUCAUUAUACUAAAUUAAGAUGACAAUUUGGCAAAUUGACUUGAAAUUUAAUGUUUUACUGCCCUUCUGUAGUUUAUUACUGGUUGUUUUUGGAACCACUUUUACCUUUAAGAUAGAUGGCUGUAAAUUGCUCAUGAAAUGUCACCAUGGUUUCUUUCGAUCUACUUCAUGAGUUCGAUUUGGUUUAUAUGUAAAUCCCUUUUGACGAUUUUGAUUGUGAAUUAAGUGACCAGUAAAAUUCAAGUCAAACUAGUUUUACCAUAUUUUAUCGCAUAAAUUUUGUCAAUGAAGGCUAUAUUCAAAUGUGUAGGCUUUAAUCGAUGACAGAAGUUGUCAUUCACCUUUUGGUUCUCCUAGGAAUGGAGCUUCAGGUUUCAAUGUUGAUAAGGAGAACCACUCUCCAACAAACGUCCUAUAUGACAGCCUGAGCUUUUUCUCUUGGCAACAAGUAAGAGAAAUUUACGGGGUCUUCCUAUGCAAGUAAGCUUUGGCUAACUCAAUUAACGCGUAGAAUUGACAACUAGCCCACCAAGUAAAGGAAAGUACAAAUGAGAUGACAAUUUAUCUUUCCCAAAGCUGUGUGUCAAGGACCUAGAUGGUCUCUUGCACAAUGUGCUUUGAGGGGUCAUAAUUAGCAAUAUAUCCAUUUAAACGAUGAAGGAAAUUUAGUUAUUCGGCUUGCCACUAAUGCUAUUUCCUGUAUAUCAGAAAAAAAAUGAAGGUAAAAGCUUACAACUCUGGUUCCAAACGCUAAUCAGUGUUUCGUGCCAAAAAGCCAAGACGAUAUAAAUUGUUUACCUCUAAAAGUUAAGAUUUAGCAAAGGUUGCCGGCGGAAAUGAUGCAAUACAAGGUCAUCAUCCGUUUUCAACAUGGCUUGAUUUAACAGUUAAUCUGCAUAACUUCCUGCCAGGAAACAUUUGAAAUACUUGUGCCAAGAAGUCUUUAGUGAAUGUGCCUACAGUAGAAGGUGAGGUCCCACAUGGAGAAGUGGUCUCCCAAGGCACUCUUUGCUUCACCUUACAAAACCAGUUAAGUCUGGGAAACAAAGCCAUAGGCCCAAGAUCAGAUUGAGACGUAAACUUGUGAAUGCAUUCAUUCAAUGGAAGUCAUGUAAUUGUAUUUACACAUUCAACUUCAUGCUAUUUACAUUCAGAGUGAAUUUGAGUAGAGCUCUUAUGCAUCUUGUGAUGGGUAUGGACAACAGAUCGAUGGAAUGCGUUUCAUGACUGUCCUCACAGAGGUCCUUGAUGAUUUUUGAGAAACGAGGUGCUGACCCAGAAGCAUUUUAACUGAAGUUGCUCUUGGCAUCAGAGUCUGAAGGCAGCCUCAAUGUAGAAGCAGAAGGAUUCCUAGAAAGCAUAAGAUUUCCUUUGACAUCUUCACCUCCAUAUUCCUUCAAUCGUGCAUCCAUGACAAUCUUGCAUGAUCCCCAUGUCUCAGCCAUUAAUCCCACACCAUAGUAGACUAAGUGGUCCGCGAUGCUGUUACCAGUUACCGAUCUGCAGAGAUGCACUCUCAUCAGUCGUCCACAAAUAUCCCUCGUAACAAAGGACUGACAUUCUCUAGAAUAAGCUGGCCUGUCACAUGACUAUUGUGUCCAGCAUGACAAAUCCACAAACUAAUUGCUUGAACAAGUAGCCACAGCCAAAACUACCUCAUUACCUGCUACAUGAUGGGUCUUCUCCAGAGCUAUCACAAACUUUCUCAACUUGAUAAACCAGACUACCAAAUCCUAUAUUAUAGAGCCAUACCUACAACAAAGGGAACAUUCCAAUUACAUGUGAACAUUGACAUCGAAAAGAUUAUGAGUAGCCACCAGAGAAGCAGGUGGAAUCAAAUCAUUUUCGCAUUAUCUCACAUCAAUAUGUUUAUCCGUGACUGUCUUUGAGCUAGUCGCCAAUGAUCAUAAGCACUAGUAGACAAACAAUAAUUAAAUUGUGUAUGAUUGCACAAAGCUUCAGACUAGGUUUAAGACUAGGUUGUCAGCCAUCAGGAAGGAGAGAGAGUAUAUAGCAAACAUUAUUACGCGUUUUAAACUUUAAAAUCAGUAUGAAAAAACUCAUGAUGGCUCUUGCAGGAAUGAGAAUUACUCAAAUAUUUCUGAAAAGUCAUGAGCACUCUGGGCUACCCUGCUUUGCUAUCAAGAUGAAAAAACAAAACAGUUAUUUUUUAAAGGCUGAAAAAAGAGAGUACAUACAUCGUCAGAAGAAAUGAGACUUUGGUUAGAUAGGUUGGAAGAAAUCCAAAGCAAACGUCAAAGUCAGUCAGUGACAACUCCCCAUAAUUUAGAUGAUAUUCCAUUAAGAUCAAAGCCUUACCUCUCUAGGGAAGUGAUGGUAAGUCUUCUGUGGGAACCGAGAAUAGUAUGGAGGUAAAUGAGGCACAAUAUCAUGUCCAUUUAGUAAUACGUAUUGUAUUUGGCACACGGUCACUGUAGCAAGAUGCAAACACUGCAUUGCCAAUACGAGGUUGUCCAAAUGUUAAAACCUGAACAUUCCGUGCUUCAUGAUUGACCUGGAAAUGACAUGUCCCCAGUUAUAUAAGUAGAUCAGACGAAUACUGGUCUGGAAAAAAAACAGCUUCAGCACACAUAAUUAGACAGCCAAAUAACUUGAAUGUUAAUACAUCAAUGGCACUGUCAGGAUGGGCGAAAAAAACAGUGCAUCAAAAACCAUAUAUCACAUUUCACAUACAAUGGUGAACAGUAGAGCAGCCCUUUCUCUCCAUGAGGUUUGAAGGUCUAGCGUUGCUCUGUCAAGUUCCCAUCCACAAUUUUCCCAACACCAAACCCCACACCCACAAUAAAACCAACCCCGCCCUCAGCUUCAAGAAAAUAUGUUAACAAUAUGGAAUAGUGGGAUUGGGGUGAAUUCACAAUCGAGGCACAUUUACAUGCUGCCACAAGAAGCAAUUGGAUGCUGGUGGCAUGAGCCACAUUCUGCUAAUGGCAUAAACAAAAAAUUCCAGGUUCAUGGUGAAAAUGCACCUCGAACUCCAAAACUUACAGUCAUAACUAGCAAAGGAGAAACUGAAUAAAAAAAGAAGGGCUGCAAUGCAUGGGCAUGCUAUCACAAUCGAAUAUAGAACAAUUUUCAGCAAGAAACCAGAAAGCAAAAGUAAAAUUUUAAAAUCAUUUGUGUUAGGACAAAAUGUUAUGCUUGCUACUAGUACUUCGAGAAAAGUUAUAGUCUAAAGUUUAUGCAACCUAUGAUUCUAUCAUAGGCCACAUGAAUGUUUGACUCUCAAAAAAAUCACCACUUGUCAUGGAGAGAGAACAAUGGGAUGUGACUUUGGGCUGCGUACCAUUUCUGGUACCAGUUCCACAACAGGUGCCUAGAAAAGUACACUGGGCCACUCUAUUUAACAAAGCUGAGACAAAAAGCAUGAUUUGGACAUCUUAGAAUUGGCUCCAGCCCAGUAGUCUAACUGAAGAGGAGCUGCUUCAUUUGACUAGAGAGAGACAGUCAGCAACAGUGCACAAACCACAAACUUGGGAUCAAUAUAUAAUCUAUCUUAAAAUGCAUUAGCACUUUAAGAUUACAUGACAUAAAAUUUGAGCUUCAAGUGCCUAAAAAAGUUAUAUGGCCAGACCAUAAACAUAUCAACAAUCCCAUAAAGUUUACAACAGCAAGUGAACUUUGUAAGGAAUAGUUGGAUGUCUUUACCCACCACAUUUAAGUAAUCAACCAACUCGAAGCUCCAAAGCUUAACAUGAAUGACUCAAUUCACAUAACUAGAUACUUCGAUAAUUGGUGGUUCGCGUAAAGACUGUGUGCACCCCAUUCUGCUUGUGUUAUGUCUAUGGAUUGAUCUAACAAAAACAUAAGAAAACAAGAUGCUAUGUAUCACGAAUUGUAAAUACAAAUAUGAGAGCCAUAGAAUGUUCAAGAUCCACUUUAAGAGCCUAGACACUUAAAGGUAGAGUUGUCAAGAAUUCCAGAUAACUCCCAACAGACCAAAACUGAAUAGUUGAAAGAACACAAUAGAAAAGAAACAAAUAAAAUUUACAAGUCCCAGGCAUAACAGUUUUUCAAUUUAUCUUACCACAAGAUCGAGUCCGCAAAAAGAUGCCAUAGCCCCUCCCAUAGAAUGUCCUGUCACCAUGACGUUGAUGUCUCCAUAUAAAUCCUUGGCUCUUGUAACAGCAUCCAAAAUACCAGGUCGAAUUGUCGUAUUGUGAUAAGCAAAAUAAAAUCCAUGAUGAACCUAAGCAACAAUCAAUAGAGUAAGACUGUAACUCAAUCCAAAUCAGAAGCAUCCACAGGUUGCGAGAGGCUUAUCAUCUGUAGAACUCACCAUGGCACCAGGCAUGCCAGGGUAAUUUAUGUCAAGCUGUUUCCAGUAGAAAUCUUCAACCCAAUUUUGUAUGCUGUAGACAUAAAUAGAAGCAAUCACUAACUAAAAAGCUCGAAUGAUAAAGAGACGUGACAGAAUUUUUCACAGAACAAAAUUAGUGAAGUAUGUGAUCUCCUCAUGACUCCAUCUGAAAUUACAAGAAAGUAACUUCCAUGUCUUGGUGGAAAUGAUUCACCCUUUUUCUGUUCGUAUGGAUGGCAGUCCCAUGUGCCUUAUGUACGCAUUCACUGAGGGUGCUCUUCUUAGCUUAAAUUUUGAUCAAAUCAUUUGCAUGUCAAUUGUAAGGGGAGGAAUUGCAAAAGUUAACAUGCAUACCUAUGUUCUUGGGUACCUCUGAAAGCUAUAACCAUAGCAUUAAGGUCCUUGGCCACCCCGACAUAUGCCUAUAUAUAUAAAAUAGUUUAGAAAUAGAGACAAGCGAUUAGAUGCAAUUCAAAAAUAUAGGCAUCACAAGCAUCCAAUUGAUAGGCCACCAUAAAAUGAUUUAUAUACCUGUAAGCAGUGCUGAACGUCGACUAUCAGUUCUAUGACUUCGAAUCCCUGCUUUCAUAUCAAAAAAGGCAUUAAUAACCAGUUCAGAAGCUCAUAAGACGAGGCAGCAUAUGCCCACAAAAUCUCAUCUUGAAAAAUUGGGUAUUUAGUACUAAAGAUCCAUUCUUAAUGCAACCUUAGCAACGAUGCUACAUUAAAAAGUAGUCAAAUUACCUUGGUCUUUCCAUCACAUCUAGGAAAGUAGUUCUAUGACUGAUGCACGAACGCGAAAAUUGCAAUUACCUCUCGCCCCGCUUGCGGCAACCAAGCACGUCAGAACAACCAUCGCCCUCAACCACGACCCGCUCCGCUCCAUAUCCUGCAACAGAAAACGGAUCCAACAGCGUCGUCGAGAAAAGGACAAAAAAAAAAAAACACGAAAUCGCGCCAAAAAAAAAAAAACUCCAAUCUCUGCACCUUUCAUGUACGCAAACAAUCACGCGCUAUCAAAACGGCGCGAAUGGACCGGCGAGAGAGAGAGAGGGAGGGAGAGAUCGCUCGAAUUCAAAUCUCGAUUCCGGACUCUCUGGCGUCGUUCGUGGACUUUUUAUUAUGGCGAUUGAGAGCCGCAGCGACUCGUUGGGGGCGAAGGGAAGCGCAGGACGACGACGAAUUUACGUAUCAUUCCUGAUUUGCCCUCGGUUUCUUCCUCCGUCGGCGGGCCGCGUUCGGUGAUUUCGUCGCUUGCACGAGGGCAACGAAGGAAGUUCAUCUGAAAUCGGGGACCGUUGAGAAUGACCGGGUGGCGAUUUCUUCUGUUUUCUUCUGCUUUUGGUCAAAAUUUGGGGUUUCUGUCUCUCUUUUUGGAGCUUCCCUUGCGGCUUGGCUCAAACUAGAAUUCCAAAAAAAGAAAAAGCUAAAAUUAAUGCUAAUAUUCGUGGAGGUAUAUGGAAAUGCAAGUACUACUUCGGACGAAUGUUUUAGAAUUCAAGCUCGAAUCGAUCUAAUAACUCAACUUAUUCGAAUUUAAAAAUAAUGUAAGUAUGGUUGAGUGAUUGGCAAGUCGAGCUUCAUUGCAAAUCAUGGAACUUACUUCUCUUGAUUUAAGGGAGAGUUGCAAAAGGCGACUUGCCGUAUGUAUUGAUUCUCGAUGCUCUUGGUGUUUUUAUUAAGUUGGAUAUAGUAGUUAUUAUUUGGGUUGAUAUUGUAAAAACUUCAAAUAGGUACGCACGUGACAAAUUUACCACAAAUUAAUUUUUUUUAUUACUAAAAACUUAUACCGAUACAUUUGUAACAAGUUUACUCUUUAUUAAGUUAGAUAACGUGUACUGCUAACAGAUAUACUAGUUUAAAAGUUUACAUUUCAUUAGUUUACAUUAAAUUGCCAAGUUUGAUGAUGGUUGACAUAUGUACAAAUUUAAGGUUUACCUUAUAUUUAUUAUAGUUAUUAUGGUAUUGAUCCAAUUAAAUGAAAAUUAACGAAAAAAAUUGUCAUGCAUGUACUAUAUUAAAGUUCUUUGUAGUAAGUUCAUCCAAUGUAUACCGGUUUGGGAUUUUUUUAAGGUUAAAAUAUUGAUUUAUGGUAAAUUUAUCAUGAGUGCAUCAAUUUUGAAUUUCUCAUGAUAUUAACUCUUUUUAUUUUUUAGAAUUUCGAGUUUUUUGCCUUGUCUAAAAUAUACAAACUACUCAUAACGUGAGCACAUUUAGAACUGAUCACUACCUUAAACAUUACAGCAUUAUCGUCUUAUAGUUGCUCAAUAGUAUGUAUGAGUCGUAUGAAUAUCGUGAUUAAAUGUUUUACAUAUAAAAAAAACACGAAGGACAAUGAGUUUCUAAUCUCGAAUAAAAAGGUUGCAAGUGUACAUUUUAAGAGGACAAAGAUUGCAAAUGAAUUUUUAUUUUUUUAUUUUGCAUUUAGCUCACACUAAUAAUAUAAAUAAGAACCCACCCCGCUAUGGGCGCUUUGGUUCGGGCAUUUCCCCCAUCUUGGUCAAGGGGAGGAUCGAGUCACCGCGUGCCCAAUUGCGCGACUUAAGUGCGGCGCCAUGGGAGGUGGGUACUGUGCUAGCGCCGUCCUGAGUUUACGUCACUGGCUACUGGCUAUAUGGUGGUUCCUAGAUCAUAAAAAAUAAUAAUAAUAAUAACAUAAAUAAGAACAUUAAUACGAGGUGCGUGCCAUAUUCGGUGGCUUUCACAAAUUUAUAUUGGUAGCGGAAUAUUUAUAAAAUUACAAUGAAAUCAGUACAAAAAACUUAAGUAGCACUGACAUCAACACGCAAUUCGAUACGAUACAACAUGCCAACACGUCGUUUCUCAAAAAAUAAAUAAUUCCAACAUGUUGGGAUAUGUUAUAUAUUAUAUUCAUAUUUUAUAUAUAAAUAAUAAAUUAUUAUUUUUAUGAUUAUUUCAAUCAAAUUAAUCUGAUUCAAAUUCACAAAUAAAUAAAUAAUAAAAAAUUCAUAUAAUAAAUUUACACUAAAAAUAUUAAUCCAUACUUUAUUGAUAUCUUUCAUUAUUUCAAUUUGACAAAUUCAACUUCAUUUCAAUAAAUUCAUAAAACUUGGAAAGAAAAAACAGGUAAUUCACAUUGUAGAUUUGCGUGUCAAACGUGUUGAAAGAAAAAAGAAAAAACUUAAAGGUAAAUUAUGUAUCAUAAAAAGUGAGAGUCAAAAGAGAAGAUAAGAAAAUAUUAGGUUUUUCUUAUUUCUUAAUUUAUUAUUUUUUUCACAUAUAUAUUUUGACCAUUCAUUUAUUGAAAUUUUUUAAAAUUGACCUUGCAUGUCGGAAUCGUGUGGUGAAAACUCGUAUGUCGAAAUUCCAACUCAAGUAUCGAAGAGUGUCGAAAAAAUUGAUUAGGUAUUAGAUUUUUCGACACAUGUUAACCAAAUAUCAUAAAGUGUUGGACACGUAUCGAAGUGUUGACAUGACACAAAAGCUCCCAAAGAGUGUUGAUUCUUCAUAGCAAAAAAACAAUAGGUGGGAGUUAAGAAAAAAGGUGAUGUUCGAGAAAAGUUAUCAUGAAGAGCAAAAUAAUCAAUUUCAUAGACACCCAAUCUUUUCCUUUAUAUGUAGUAGAGAUAAAUGAAUUGGUGUGACUCAGGUCAAACUUUACAAGCACAAAACUUAUUAAUAUACUGCUCAUAUUUUUUGUUGCUAGGCCUAUACACUACUCAUUUGCUUUAUAAAAAAAAGAUACGAACACGAAAAAAUAGCAAACCCACCCCCGAACAUGUUAGCUCAAUGAUAAAGAGGCCGCAUGGCCCUUCGCGGGUUCAUAAAUUCAAGCCAUAUCAAGAACGGAUUUCCAACUAGUUAGAAUCUCGAGCAUUUACAAUUUCCUUCCAAACUUAUAAUAUGUUGAUAGAAUUUAUAACGACGGGCUCAUAAAUGUAUUAAUAAGCAUAUUAAUUGUGUUUCAAACUAAACACAUUAUAAUGAUUAAGGAAUCUUAUGGUGAUAUCAAGAGUUAAUAACUGUAGUGAUCAUAUUUUCGUACUUCUUUAUUUACCAGAAAAAUUUCGCAACCCAUCACGGCGUGGGCGGCAAGGCCAGGCCGGACCACCCCCCCCCCCCCCUGAUCCUCGAGCCGGGGGUCCACUCGCGCGCUGGCUUUAAUUCCCGUGCCGGGAAAGGAAAUUACAUUUCUCCCCCCCCCCCCCUCCCCCCGACUGGCGGGAAAUUUUCGCACCCAGUCGUACAUGUACAUAACGAAACCGAAUAAAGGGAAAAAAAAAAGCCGGAAUAAGAAAAACCCAAUGGAUAAUUAAAAAUCAUAAUAAAAGCGAAGAGACUAUUUAAAACAAAAUUACGAAAAAGCGCAAUCCCUCCUCCCCCUCCUCGCUUCCUCCAUUUUCGGACUCCGACUCCGAUCGAACGAACCACUCAUCGGCCUCCGCCCCCCUUUUUCAUUCCGAUCGUUUUCGGAUUUCGAUUCGGCCUCUCUCUCCCUCUCUCUCUCUCUCUCUGUAGAAAGAGCAGCGACGAACUCAUCGAUCGACCGAUCCCGCCGAUCACCGCCGUGAGCAGGUCUUCGGCACCGAUCGCCAUGGCGAGGCCCUCGAAGCAGCAGGCGUUAGGGUCGAAACAUUGUUCGACCCAAGCCAAACACGUUACUUACAUUAAAGGAACACCCAAACAAGCAAAACACAAUUUCCCUUUAUAAAAAAAGAGAUUGAAAGCGAAACUUCAGAGCCGCCUCCCUCAGUCGUCGCCACCGGCGGAGUAGCCGAUGCCAUGUCCAAGGCGAUCAUUGCCGGGCAUCCAACCCUCUCCGUCGUCUUUGUGGUCUGCCCGUUCUUGACGCCGCUAGACCAUGGCCGCGUUCAAGCUCCGGCCAUCUCAUCCACGGCCGCUCUUCCCUGACAUCAAUUCCUCUGUUUUUACUUUCGCUGUUUGACCUCCCAGUCCAUGGCCGUUGACAUCUCAAACUCGCCGUCAAGGCUCAUGGCCAUGGACGAGCUGCGGUCGCCAGAUCUGUGGAGAAGCCUCCUCGCGAGCAAAUGGACGAGCUAGGCUUGCAUCCACGGACGAUACCAGAUCUGGAGGCACGACUCCAGUCCAGAUCUGGACGGGCAACAACCCCGAGCAGCUGUGACGAUGGAGGGGUGGCUCGGCCAUGGACGGGGCCAACCACGAGCCGACCGCCCGCGACAACGGAGGGGACAAUGGUAGUCCAUAGGCCGUCGUUGCUCGUGACGGGACUUCUGGGUCUGCAACCAUGGCUCUAACGAAAGUGGCUCGUCCAUGGCUGCGAGCUAUGGUGGUCGACUUCCAGAUCUGCAAUUCCGUUGCUAUGGACGGCCAGAUUUUAACAUCUGUAGAACGAUGAGAAGGACAAAAUAGAGGAAACCAGCCAUGCUCGGCGCUGGUGACCCCGCCAUUGGCAACAGCGGAGGAGGGACGGAGGUCGGGCGGUUGUGGACGAAGGAGGGGGAAGAGAGGGCUGAAGAGAAGAUUUUUUAAUUUUUUUUCCUCAAAUUCUACAUCGACAUGGAAUUAGCAGACACGUGGCAUGAGUGAAAAUACAAACCGUCCACAGAAUGUCUACUACUAAUUAUCCAGCUGUCUUCGAACAAAAAAUAAUCAUCUAGCUGUCCUUUUCUUUCUAUUAUUUUUUCCUUCUUCCUUCUCUUUUUUGGAAAAAGCAAUCUGCCUUUUUCUCUUCCCAAACAUAGAUUGUAUGCUUUGUCACACUAAUUGUCACUAAAUACAAUAAUCCAUAAUUAUUAUUUAUUGCAAAACACAGGUCCAUAAUUUGAUAGGUUGUUUGAGUAUAAUGAAAACCCAGAAACCAGACCCAAAAUUUCGAUUGGGGUCUUAUGUGUUUUGGGUUGGGUCAGGGUGGGUCAUAAUGUGCGACCAUUACAAUUUGGGUCGGGUUAGGUAACAUCAAAAUCCGACCCAGCCCGACCCAUCGACACCCUUAGUUUUUUUUUUUUUUUGGUCAGUCCUACUCUAUUCCUACUCUACACUCACUCGCAGACUUGUGCCCUGCCUCGUGCAGGGCGUGGGAGUCGCAACCCACGCUCGAAACUUACUCGUCCCUACCCCCAUCCCCCCGAGAAGGUGGGGAUUUGAACCCCUCACCUCCCCCUUCCAUGUUGGAAGGGUGGCCACUGGAGCGAACCCCCAGUGGUUCGACACCCUUAGUUCAAAUGGCACUAGAGUUAAAAGCAUUUUCGAGGUGAACUUGUUUCUUGCUCUUCGUUCGGGGUUUACUAUUUUCUGGCGUACUCUCGGUUGGAUGAAGAAGAGCCGAAGUUGAGAGUGUCUCUCGCUCGUAGUGUAGGCAUGUUGUUCAAUUGUGCAUGCCAAAAACUAUGCCUUUGGGAGGGCUUUCUGUUUUUUAUUUUUUUAUUUUCCUGGUUGGUUGGUUGGUUUUGCAUCUCCAUGGCUAGAACACUCGAGCAGAGCUGCAACUUUUCAUGUUUCUUAUAUUCGAAACUGAUGACUCUGGGUUUUUUUUUUUUUAUUUCAACAUUUCCUUGUGAUUGAAAGCUUCAUCAAUCACUUCUCACCAUAUGCUAAGUGGGAAACAAUGGAAAACGGAGCUCGUUAAUCUUGCUCUGCUUCUCUCUUUACAUACACAUGACUUCUUAAGUUGGGCCAGUGCUUUCAUACGUCUGAAAUGUUGUUAGAUACUUGUAAGUAUGACUCGGUGAGGAUCAGAAUCGUUGCCACUAAUUUAUUUUUGCAUUCUUUUUCCCAUUCAUUCCACAGGAAGAUAAUGGUGAAACAGAAGUUAGCAAGCGUGAGAAGGCCAGGCUUCGUGAAAUGCAAAAGUUGAAGAAGCAGAAGAUUCAGGAAAUAUUGGAUGGGUAAAAUGCCGCUAUUGAUGCUGAUAUGGUGCCUUUGCAUUCUAAAAAUGACUCUUUCUUGCAUUAUUUCGAGUUCAUAUAUUGAUUAUGACAGUAAAAUUUUCUUGUUUUUGAAAUAAUUUUUCAAGAAUAAUAAGGGAAAAGGGCAGUUGAAGUAUCUCCUGCAGCAAACUGACAUUUUUGCUCAUUUUGCCAAAGGUAACCAGUCCGCUUCACAGAAAAUCAAAGGAAGCUACCAUUACCAAUGACAAUGCUCUCUGUAUUUUGUGCAUUGCAGAUACAAUCUCCCGUACAUAUGUUCCUUUUGACAACUUGCUGAACAAUUUCUGCAUUGGUCCUAACUUUCUUCAUACUUCAUAGUUGCUUAUAUGGGACUGAAAGCUUUGUUUGAUCCUUGCGGACCUUUUGCUAUAUAUCAAUAAUUGCCUAAUGCUGGAAUUCUUUAGAGGAAAGGUGCCUAUGGUCCAGUGGUCUAACCCUGGCUAGACUGUCACUUACAUUUGGUGUUGAGGUUCCAUAUUCAAAGGGAACUGAGAUUUGCUAAUAUUUAUGCAAAUGAACGAUGUUCAAUUGUAACCUUUGUUCUCUUCCAGUUGGACAAAUAAACAUCUGCUCAUGCUUAAAAGUGGAGAAAACAUGUUUGUGAAGUUCAAGUCAUCAUUUCGCAGACCAUUUCUGUGUUCAGCAUUCAUGUUUGUUCAGUGACGUUUUCCUUUGGUUAAUGUGUAGGGGUCGUCAUGAAUCUAAAAUAACUGAAGAGGAUGAAGAUGAAGAACGUGUUAAGGAGGAGGAAGAUGGCUUGUCUGGUACAGGAAUUAUGCGGCUGUUGACACGACCCUCUUGUAAUCUCUCUCUCUCUCUCUCUCUCUCUCUCGUUUGAUUGAAAGGAUAGUCUUUGCUGCUUAUAUCUCUCCUGUACCCCUGCUCUGACUUGUAGAAGCUGUAAUGUUUGCUGCAAUUUCAGAACGCUAGGUAAUGUGGGAUUGUCAAUGUUCUUGGUGUUGACAUGAUUCCUCAUCACUAACAAUUAUAGUACUCCAAGUACUUACUUUGGUGUUGACUAAGUAGAGGUUUUUGACAUCCCUUCCCGGCCUUUGUCUAGGCAGGAACCUCUUGCACUGGGCAUAAACCUUUAUUAUAUUGUCGUCUUGCUCCAGAAAGAUUCUGUUUUGCUCUGUUGCAAUUAUCUUGCCAACAGGAUAUCUCCAGCAAAUAUGAGUUAACUGCUUUCUUAAGUUCUAUUUGUAUGCUUUUUUGCAGGUAUACAAGGGAAGAUGAGGGAUUACCAGCUUGGUGGAUUGAAUCAGGUCAUAGGAUUGUAUGAGAAUGGCAUUAACGGAAUACUUGCUGAUGAAAUGGUAGGUCACGGGCUGCAGCAUUUAGAUGUGUGCAGUAUGGAAGCUGGAAAGGCUAGAAGAUGCAGAGCUUAGAGAAAAUGUGCUUAUAGAAAUUCCAAUGAUAUCUUGGAGAUAUUCAUCUUGUGAGAUCUUUAAAUGGACAUGUGCUGAGAAAGUCUUACAUGUCUACAAUAUUCAUACCGGGUUGAUGAUGGCACUUCUGGUCUCUCCAACUUGAAAAGCUUGAGAGAUUUGUCCUGGGAAAGCCAAAACUCUUCCCCCAGUUGACUAGGAACUUGAAAAGAUCGUGGAAAAUUCUAUCCCCGGUGGAUUAGUAGGUUAGACGGUUAGACACAUUGGAGUCUUUAAAGUUGUCCUAUUCGAUAAUGACCACCUUAUCACUAGAUAUUCCCCAACUUUCUCAUCUCUACAGAGUUGAACUUUGUUGGGAAUGAUUUUACCAAAAAAAAAAAACUUUGUUGGGAAUGUCUGUAGUGCCUCCCGAGGCUUCCCUCAAGUUUACUGUCCAUAUGUAUUAGAUAUUUCCUAUCAAUGCGUACAUUGAUAGACCUAUCAACUUGAAGAAAUUAUGAGAACUUUGAGUAUUGCGCACUUACAGAGAUUCAAAGCCUUGAAAGUCUGGAGAAUCUUAUAACUUUGGAGCUGAACGAAUACCACUGACUGGACAAAUUGGCCGACUGAGUGGCUUGAAGAAACUAAUGGCUUUUCAUUUACAUCAUCGUAGUGAUCUGGUUGACCGGAAUCACUGGACAAUUUUUUUAUCUUCUCCAGCAACUUUAUCCUGAAGUUUCUAAUGUUUCAAAGUGGAAGAAAUUAAAUUGAAUAGGCAUCCACCCCGGAGAUUUGAAAAUUCAACACAUUAUAGAGUUGCUUGAUCAAAUUUGGCAAAUUUCUGCAAAAGAAAAAAGAAUGGACACCUGCUCUGUCAAGUACUUUGUUGUACAUAUGUGUAACAAAGAGGUUUAUGUAAAUCUUCUUUUUCAGUUCACUUUGCAUGUUGACUAGUGAUGGUUCUGCAAGUACCCUUGUUCAGAUUUUCUCUAUUUUAAUUUGGUUUUGUUUAGAUAUUUUAAUGGCUUUGAAUUGCUAACUAACUUACCUAACGAGGUCAGGUCAAAUUAUAUGAACUCCAAGUGCAUUAUUUUGUCAAUUUACCAUGUGAUGAUUUAUUUGAGGUAUCUUAUAAAUUGCUGCUUCGUUUUACUGAAUUUGAAACUGGUCGAUGCCCAUGCUUCACAUAGGAGAACUUUAAAGUAGCUGUUACAAUGUGUAUGAAAGUACUUGAGCACUUGUGGCAUUACCUCUACAGCAAUAACUAACACAAAAUUGCGACAUGAAGAAGAUGGACGAUCUACAUAGGUAAACACAUGUUUAGUUUGGCUUUUGGGUAAAGCACGUUCCUUAAUUGGAUUCACACAAGAUGAAGAGAAGUGGUAACGAUUCUUAAAUAAAUUAAAUAAAUGUUUCCAGUUGCAACUUGGUCCGACAUUAUCUAAUGUUGAAGUAAAUAUGAAAUAAUGACCCAAAUCGUCAAAUUUCAAAUGAAUAGAAGUGUGACAAAACUUUUUCCAAGUCUAAAAAUUUAACAUGGAAUAAUCUCGCACCGUCUACAAGUUCUUAUCAUUUUGCCUCUUUUUUGUAUCUUUCGUAAUAGAUAAUCCACAAGCAUUAACCAAGAUAAUGAAGAGCCACACCUUCGAAAACACUAUUUGAAAUAGAGAACUUUCGUACUUGAGAUAAGGAGGAGUCAAUUUUUUUUUUUUUUAAUCAUUAUAGUCAUUGGAGAGGCGUCAUAAAACUUUGGCCAAUCACUGAAAAGGCUUCCAAGUUUGAUUGAGAAUAGGGAAAGGCUAAUUGAGUUGGUGUCCAAAUGGGAUUUAACUAGUCACAUCAAGUUUGUGAGCUUAUUUACCGAACUUGUUAGUGGCCCAAAGUUCGGGACAAGGACCCCUGGAGUGCCAAAAGUUGGCACAAAGGGACACUUAAGUGCCAAAAGUUACGAAAGGUACACUUAAGUGCCAAAAUCGGAGCAAAAUGGAUCACUUGAGUGCCAAUCCGGCCAAAAUCCGGCAAAAAUGCCGACGUGGCAUUUUUCCGGCGAAUCGAGCCAAAAACGACGCCGUUUUGCAUGCUGACAUUGCCAAAUAAUGUAAAAACAGCGUCGUUUUGGACUCAUGGGAUAAAAAAAUAAUAAAUAAAUUAAAUAAAUUAAAUUUAAAAUUAGAUUUAGUUAAAAUAUUAAAAAAUGAUAAUUUUAAAAUUAGAUUUAGUCAAAAUAUUUAUAAAAUAAUAAUUUUAAAAUUAAAUUUAGUUAAAAUACUUAAAAAUUAAAAAUUUUAAAAUUAAAAUUUUAAAAAUAAUUCAAAAAUAAUUAAUUUAAAAUUAAAUUUAGUUAAAAUAUUAAAAAAUAAUAAUUUUAAAAUUAAAAUUAAAAAAAUUUAAAAAAAAUUAAAAUUAGAUUUAGUUAAAAAUUUUAAAAAUUAAUUUAAAAUUUAAUUUAGUUAAAAUAUUAAAAAUUAAAAAUUUUAAAAUAAAUUUUUUUAAAAAUAAAAAAUAAUAAUUUUAAAUUAGAUUUAGUUAAAAUAUUAAAAAAUAAUAAUUUUAAAUUAAAUUUAGCAAAAUAUUAAAAAAUUAUAAUUUUAAAAUUAAAAAAUUAAAAAAAUUAAUAAAAUUAAUAAAAUUAAUAAAAAGGGGGGCGGGUGGUUGAGGGAGCCUUAGCCAUCGCCCCCCCCCUUUUUCUAAAUUUUUUUAAUUUUAAAAUUAUUAUUUUUUAAUAUUUUAGCUAAAUUUAAUUUUAAAAUUAUUUUUUAAAAAUAUUUUAACUAAAAAUAAUUUUAAAAUAAUUUUUUUAUUUUUAUAAAUUUUAUUUUUUAAAAAUUUUAACUAAAUUUAAUUUUAUUUUUUUUAAAUUUUUAACUAAAUCUCAUUUGAAAAUUAUUUUUUUAAUUAUUUAAAUUNNNNNNNNNNNNNNNNNNNNNNNNNNNNNNNNNNNNNNNNNNNNNNNNNNNNNNNNNNNNNNNNNNNNNNNNNNNNNNNNNNNNNNNNNNNNNNNNNNNNNNNNNNNNNNNNNNNNNNNNNNNNNNNNNNNNNNNNNNNNNNNNNNNNNNNNNNNNNNNNNNNNNNNNNNNNNNNNNNNNNNNNNNNNNNNNNNNNNNNNNNNNNNNNNNNNNNNNNNNNNNNNNNNNNNNNNNNNNNNNNNNNNNNNNNNNNNNNNNNNNNNNNNNNNNNNNNNNNNNNNUUUUAUUUUUUAAUAUUUUACCUAAAUCUAACCAAAAGUCAAAUGUAGUUCAUUGAGAUAUGAUUUUUUGCCACAUCAGCCCAAAACGACGCCGCUUUUGCAUUAUUUUCCACGUCAGCAUGCAAACCGGCGUCGUUUUGGGUUCAUUUCGCCGGAAAUUCGUCGGAAAAAUGCCACGUCAGCCUUUUGGCCGGAUUUUGGCCGGAGUGACACUUAAGUGAUCCGUUUUUUUUAGAAUGUGGCAAUUAAGUGUUCCUUUCGUAACUUUUGGCACUUAAGUGUCCCUUUGUGCCAACUUUUGGCACUUGAAGCGUUCUUAUUCCCCCAAAGUUCUAAUACAACACUCAUGAAUGAUUUUCCCAUCUACAUUGACACAAAACUGUGCUUAUACAUUGGUUUUGUGUACUCUAUUUUAAUAGUAUUUUGUAUAAUGAUCAGCACAAAGCAUGGAUAUAUAGGGGUUAAAUGCGAAGGUUGGUUUACCUCUAAAUAGAUGUGAUUUUUAUAAUUUGAUUGAUCACUAAGGGAGUGUCUUGGAUGAAGAUCAAGCCCGAUAAUUCCACCGGGUUUUAUGGUUUGAUGUCAAUUUAGGCCUGGGCCCUCUUAGCCCAUUAAAUUGGACCAACAAGAGUUCGCCUUGAUUAGAUUUUUGGGGGGGGGGGGGGGGUGGUGGGCAGCGAACUUGUUUGGAAGUUCCAUGUUUGCUUUGUUGACUUUGACUUUGAAUGAAUCCGCCCAUUUAUUUGGAGGCAAAAGUAGAUUCUCAUCCACAAAAUUUUGCACCAGUGAUUUUUGUGUCAAAGAAAUGUACAUAAUUGUCAACUUUAACAGGUUGGAGUGAUGCUUCAAGAAAGCAUCCCUAUUGAUCGAUUUGGCAGCAAAACUGGCUCACAACUCUCUUUGCAUAUUCAGUCAAUGUUGUGGCUUCUUCUAAGUUCAAUGACCUAUCGAAAAGUCAUUCAAAAAAUCUUCAUUUUUAGUACCUUAAGAUUGUUUGGAAGUUCCAUGUUUGCUUUGUUGACUUUGACUUUGAACGAAUUUGCCCAUAUAUUUGGGGGCAAAAGUGGAUUUUCAUCCCCAAAAUUUUUACACCACAUAUUAAGUGAUUUCCACAUCAAAGAAACGUAAAUAAUUGUCAACUUUGAUGGGUUGGAGUGAUGGUUCCAAGAAGCAUCCCUAUUGAUCGAUUUGGUAGCAAAACUGGCCCACAACACUCUUUGCAUAUUCAGUCAAUGCUGUGCCUUCUUCUAAGUUCAAUGACCUAUCGAAAAGUCAUUCAAAAAAUUUUCAUUUCUAGUACCUUAAGAUUCUGUGGUGUAGGAAUAAAGGUCUUGAUAGUUAAGGCCCACAUCUAUAUAAAAAAUCUUUCUUAUAAAAGGAGUAGGAGUUUGGUAAUGGGAUCCCACAUGUUUUCUCUUUGGGAGGGGGGGAUAAACUUGUUUGGAAGUUCCAUGUUUGCUUUGUUGACUUUGACUUUGAAUGAAUCUGCCCAUAUAUUUAGGGGCAAAAGUGGUCUCAUCCCCAAAAUUUUUACGUCACAUAUUAAGUGAUUUCCACAUCACAGAAACGUAAAUAAUUGUCAACUUUGAUGGGCUGGAGUGAUGCUUCCAAGAAGCAUCCCUACUGAUCGAUUUGGCAGCAAAACUGGGCCCACAACUCUCUUGCAUAUUCAGUCAAUGCUGUGGCUUCUUCUAAGUUCAAUGACCUAUCGAAAGUCAUUCAAAAAAUCUUCAUUUUUAGUACCUUAAGAUCAUGUGUUAGGAAAAAAGGUCUAGAUAGUCAAGGCCCACAUUUAUAUAAAAUAUUCUUUCUUUCUUUUAAAUGGAGUAGGAGUUUGGUACCUAGGUCCCACAUGUUUUAUUUUGGGGGGGGGGGGGGGGGACGAACUUGUUUGGAAAUUCCAUGUUUGCUUUGUUGACUUUGACUUUGAAUGAAUCUGCCCAUAUAUUUUGGGGGCAAAAGUGGAUUCUCAUCCUCAAAAUUUUUACACCACAUAUUAAGUGAUUUCCACAUCAAAGAAACGUAAAUAAUUGUCAACUUUGAUGGGCUAGAGUGAUGCUUCCAAGAAGCAUCCCUAUUGAUCGAUUUGGCAGCAAAACUGGCCCACAACUCUCUCUGCAUAUUCAGUCAAUGCUGUGGCUUCUUCUAAGUUCAAUGACCUAUUGAAAAGUCAUUCAAAAAAUCUUCAUUUCUAGUACCUUAAGAUUCUGUGGUGUAGGAAUAAAGGUCUUGAUAGUUAAGGCCCACAUCUAUAUAAAAAGUCUUUCUUUUCCUUUAAAAGGAGUAGGAUCUUGGUAAUGGGAUCCCACCUGUUUUCUCUUCUUCCUAGAGCUUUUAAGCUAUAAUGGAGAAAGCUCAAUUUCGAUUCGAAUGGAACAAGUCUGAUUUCAAAAACAUUUGCAACGAAUUUGUUUGGAAGUUCUACUUCUGCUUUGUUGACUUUGAAUGAAUUUGCCCAUUUAUUUGGGGGCAAAAGUGGAUUCUCAUCCCAAAAAUUUCUGCACCAUAUAAUAAGUGAUUUCCGUAUCAAAGAAACGGAAAUAAUUGUCAACUUUGAUGGGCUGGAGUGAUGCUUCCUAGAAGCAUCCCUACCAACCGAUUUGGCAGCAAAUUUGGCCCACAACUCUCUCUACAUAUUCUGCCAAUCUUGUGGCUUCUUUUAAGUUCAAUGACCUAUCAAAAAAUCAUUAAAAAAAUCUUCAUUUUUAGUAUCUUAAUAUUCUAUGGUAUAGGAACAAAGGUCUUGAUAGUUAAGGCCAACAUCUAUACAAAAAGUCUUUCAUUUUCUUUAAAAAGAGUAGGAGUUUAGCAGUGGGUUCCCACAUGAUUUCGCUUCUUCUUGGAGCUUUUGAGCUAUAAUGGAGAAAGCUCAAUUUCGAUUCGAACAAAACGAGUCUGAUUUCAAAAAAACCUACAAUGAGACUUUUGGAGUUUUGUUUUACUAAAACAAAAGUCUAAAAAAGUAGAAUCAAAGCUAAAGUUAUCGGAAACAAAUUCAAUCUUCCGUUGAUCUCAAUUCAAGGAAUUUGAUACUUUUCAGGAGUUUUCUUUGACUCACGACAUGAUUAAUAACUUCAAUCUUAAUUUAUUUUGUCAUGCUCGGAUCUAUGUCCAAAAAGAUUUGAGAACUUAUGAAUUCAAAAUGAGAAAUAUUUACACGUUCAGAUCUAGCGAGACUUUAUUUUUCUUCCUUGGUUCCACCACCACGUACUUCCUCCAUGUUGUCCUUAUCAAAACAUCAAUCGGUUCGUUUAAUCAACAGCUCGCACCCUAUCGAGAUCUAAAGGUUUUGCUGGUGUUAGCGCAUUCACAUCCCUCAUGCACUGGCCCGCAACUUUGAGGGGGUUAGCUCAUCAACUUUGGGGGCCAUGGAGUUAGGUUAGGGUUUUGGAAUAUCGAGGGAUUUAGAGCAAGGAAAAAAUGUGCAAUUUUAAGCUCGUCAUUGAUCAAGCAAACCUCAACGUCAGAUUUUCGAUGUUCGCUUGGACCAAACUUUGAUGGAACGUAUUUUUUUGGUUAUAAUACAAGUUUUGGAUUUGAUGAUAUAAAAACAGAUUGGAUAAUUGGCAUUGCGAUGGAUAUAAAGGUUAGGAAUUUUUUCGGAACUAUAGCUCACUGUCGUCGAAUUGCCGCCCACCCAUCGCCAUCAUGAGCUCUCAACUUCACGCAUCAAUUCAUUGGCGACUUAACUCCUCGCCUGCUCAAGUAUGUCAUCUACACCUUCAUCUCUUUUUCUUUUUGCGCAGAGCUCAUAACCUAGGUCCAUGGAAUUCGUGACUGAUAGGAGGUCGCCAGCCUCGCACAACGACAGAUCUAGGGUUGCAUGGCCACGGGUGUCGGGGCUUUGACUUAGUGAGCUGGCUCGAUUUUCUAAGCAACGGAGAGAGGCCCUCAACUCUGUUUAUCGUUAAAAUCAAUACCCAAAAAGAAAGAGAUAAAUAAAUUCCUCGCCAUGAGGGCAUUUGGGUAUUUUGGCAACAGCAAAAAGACAAAUGCAAUUGAUCUCGAGUGUAGUGAAUCAUAGAAAAAGGGGGUCGUGAUUAUAGAUAUGAAGCGGGUUUGUCAGCUUUUAGUGGUCACAUUUAUUUGGGGGCAAAAGUCGAUUCUCAAUCCGAAAUUUCUGCACCACAAGGUCCAGUGAUUUUCUGCAUUAAGAAAUGUAUUUGAUUUGUCAACUUUGAUAGGCCGCGGUGAUGCUUCAUGGAAUAUCCUUACUGGCCAUUUUGCAGCAAACUUGACCCAAACGACUCUCUGCUUAUUCACCCAAAUCGUACUCUCUGCAUAUUCACCCAAACCUUUGGCUUCUUAGUUUAAUGGCCUCUUGAAAAGUCAUUCAAAAAAAUCUUCUAAUUUUAGUUCCUUGAUAUUUUUGUGGUGAAGGAACAAAGGUCUUGAUAGGUAAGGCCCGUAUCUAUACUAAAAGUCUUUAUUUUCCUUUCAGAAUAAGGAGAGUUUAGGCAAUGGAUCCCACCUAUAUUCUCUUCUUCCCCGAGCUUUUGAGCUAAUGGAGGAAACUCAAUUUCAAUUUGGAUGGAAGGAGUCUAAUUUUAAAAGAAUUUGCAAUGAGACUUUUGGAAUUUUGUUUUUACUAAAACAAAAUUUUAGUGGCAUAUAAUUAAAGCUAAAGUUAUUGGAAAACGAAUUUGAUACUUCCCAAGAGUUUUCUUUCUUUUUUUUUUAACUCAUCGAGUCAUUGUGAUUAAUAACUUUAAUCUUAAUUUUUUUUUGUUAGACUUAGAUAUAUGCUUGGAAAAACUUACCAACUUAUGAAUUUCGACCACUGCCCGCAGCGGCACAGCUGGCUUGGGGCUCUCUCCUCCUCACGAAGGAGAGGAGUUCGAAUCCCAGAGGCGUCGUUAGGGAUUCUUACCUGGAGUACUGUGGUGGUGCUCACCGGCUGUCGGCCUACGGGGUUUUCUGGGUUACCAAAAAAAAAAAACUUACGAAUUUCGAAAUUAAACAAUUUUACACCUCCAGAUCUAGCGAGAUUUUAUUUUCUAUCGUGAAAUAUGGAAUGUUUAGUUAUCACAAAAUCGAUUUGGAAAAUAGAAAAAUACUUGCAAACAAACACCAGUUAAUCAUGUCAUCAAUCAAUAAAAAUGUUGGAACCGUCUAAUUUAACCAAAUAGAAAUGGAAUAUACAGCAUAUAUAUAGUUUUGUGUUACAUCAAAAUACAAUCACUAGAUUAAGAAUUGCAUGCGAUUGGUCGAUAUGAUUUUGAUGAGGACGCCAACAAUCUAAAACCUAAACUCCCUGUGCCUCGUCUUAAUGGGGUAUUAGCAUUAGCUACCACCCUCAAAAAGAGAGAAAAGAAUCAGACAAAAUAGUGUGUGGGGGCGGUGCAAGAAGACUAAAACUAAUAAUUGACCCAAGUCAAAGUCUACGAAGACUUGGACUACCAUAGGCACACGCUAAAGCAUGGGCGGGACUUCUUUUCCACAUUAGGAUGACCCCAUCUUCUUUUUCCUUUGCUUUCAUUGCAUUAUUUCUUUUCAUUAUCACUUUGCUUUUUAACAAGAAUUUCCCUCGGAUUCUUCGAGGCAGUUUCGCCGUGAAUGACUAUUGAGUUCCCAGUGGGUUACUUACCAUGAGAAUUUUGUGAAAUAAUAUGCAUUCAACGUUUCACAUAACAUAUGACAUUUUAAUUACAACUGCAAGCAAUAUGUGGAUUUUUUUUUUAAUAUUGUUAAAAAUAUGUGCACUUUUACUCAAUAAGCACCAGCUUUUCAUCAUUUGAAGUUUAACCAAUAAAUCUAGAUUAUUUACAAGUAAUUUAAAUAAAUAUACUGAAAUCGAUACAUUAAGUGAAUAAAUAGAUUUGUGAAAAUAGAUACUACUCAAAUGAGAAUUCAAUACUUCCCAAGAGUGUGUUUUGACUCAUCAAGUCAUCAUGAUUAAUAACCUCAAUCUUAAAUGUUGUUUUUGGUCACACUCAGAUUUAUGCCUGAAAAGACUUAAGAACUUAUGAAUUUGGGAAUGGAACAUCUUUACACCUCCAGAUUUGGCGAGAUUUUGUUUUCUAUUGUGAAAGAUGGAAUGUUUAAUUACCACAAAAUAGUUUUAGAAAAUAAAGAAAUACUUGCAAACAAACACCAUAUGUUCAUAAAUACUUUGAUCUUUAAAUAGUCUAGCAAAUCACAUCAUCAAUCAAUAGAAAAGUUGAUACCGUCUAAUUUAAUUAAAUGGAAAAUAAUAAAGUGCUGUAUACAUGUGAUUUUUGCAUUGCAUCAAAAUACAAUCAUUAUAUUAUGAAUUGCAUGAGAAAUUGGUUGAUGUGAUCUUGAUACAGACGCCAACAAUCUAAAACCUAAGCUCCCUAUGCCUCAUUUUAACGUGGCAUUAACAUUAGCUGCCUUUCGCGGAAUGAAAGAGAGAGAAAAAUAAGACGGAACAGCGUAUGGUUGGUGCCAGAAGACAAACAUCGCAAGAUUAGAGGAGCAAAGGCAAAAGUCUACGAAUUGGACUACCAUCAGUCCAUGAUGAACCAGCUUUGCUCCAAGAAGGAAUCACACCAAUUAUUAAUUCAUUUGGUAACUUUGUCCCUCACAGUCAUAGUUCCAUAAACGUAGGGAUUUUAUCAAAAAGAAGAAAAACAAAAUGUCGCUAGAUCGCUCUGUAAAAUCCAACAAUGACUCAUCGUUCUCCCAUCCACCUGCAAAAUUUACACGGUAAUAAAUCGAUCUCCAAUUCUCAUACUCUUUGAUAAUUUCAUCACACCAUUUCAUCGAUCAUAUGCCGUUAUAUGAAAAUUGAAAAAAAAAAAAAAAACUCUUAGGAUGUCUUUAUCUCACUGAGAAUUUUUUUGCCACGGGAAAAUGCUUUUAGGAAAUUCAAUUUCAGAGAAAAGGAAUUAAAAGAAUUUGAUUACGAUGAAAACAAGUUUUAAAAAAAAACACUGAUUUUAUCAUAAUUGGUAAUAAGUGAAUCCACUAAAUGCGUCUUGUAUCAUUAAAAGUAACAUGGAAUGACUAAUAAACUGGAAUUGAUAUCAUCUUUACUUAUUUUAUAAUCCAUCAAAAUAUCAAGAAUUAUAAAGAAAUUAAGAUAGAAAUUAUGAAACCAUAUUUGUAAAAUAUAGAUAUGAUCGUACUUUGGGAAUGUAGAAAAAUUGAGCAUUAAUAAAGUAUAUUCUUCUCACUUCAAAGGGCAGCAAGAAAAUAAGUGUAACGAUUCCUUCUUACCAAGUCGUUUUUCUCUAAGCUUAUUGUUUUUAGGGUUAAUGAUACAAAAAUCCCAAAUUGAUAUACUCAUGAUAAUUUUACUCAAAACUAAUUUUUUGACUACAAAAACCUCAAACUAGCAUAUUUGUAAUAAAUUUAAUCUCCAUUAAUUUCCCUUAAAUUGGAUUAAUACUAUUGAAAAGCACAAACUAUUAUACAUAUGUCAAAUAGAGGGUAAAACCUCAAACUGAUACACUUGUCAAUUGCCAAAUUUGAUGUAUGCUUUUGUUGACUUUGACUUUGAAUGAAUUCGCCAUUUAUUUGGUGGGCAAAAGUCUAUACUAGUCUAAAAAAAUUUGCACCACAUAGUCCAAUGAUUUUUCCCAUUAAGAAACGUAAAUAAUUGUCAACUUCGGCAGGCUGGAGCAAUCCUUCAAGGAAUCAUCCUUAUUGACCAAAUUUUGCAGCAAAACCGACUCUUUUGCAUAUUCACCCAAUCGUUUGGCUUCUAAGUUCAAUGACCUACCCAAGACUCAUUCAAAAAGAUCUUUCCCUUUUAGUUCCUUAAUAUUUUCGUGGUGAACAAGCAAAUGCCUUUGAUAGUUAAGGCUCGCAUCUAAUUCGAAAAGUCUUUCUUUUCCUUUAAAAAGAGAAGGAGUUAGGCAAUCGAUCCCACCAAUUUUCUCUUCUUCCCCGAGCUUUUGAGUUAGAAUGAGGAAACCUAAUUUUGAUUUGAAUUGAAGGAAUCUAAUUUAAAAAAAAAAAAAAAGAUCUACAAUGAGACUUUUGGAUAUUCGUUUUACAAAAUAAUAUUUUAGGGGGUAUAAUCAAACCUAAAGCUAUCAGAGAACAAAUAUGAUCUUCGAUUGGUCUAAAUUCAAGGAAUUUGAUACUUCUUGCGAGUCUUCUUUUUAAUUCAUCAAGUCAUGUGAGUAAGAACUUCAAUCUUGAAAUUUCUCUUAUCAGACUUGGAGAUGAUAUAAAUACAGUGGGAAUAAUUGAUAUUGUGGUAAAUAUAAAGGUUGGGAUGGAACUGCCCACUUGCCGUGCGCCCAUUGCUAUCACAAGCCCUCAACUUCGCGUGUCAAUCCAUCAGCAAGUUAAGGCCUUACCCGCUUGAGUCUGUCCUCUACGCUUUCGUCUCUUUUUUCUUUCCGCGUAGAGCUCAUAUCCUAUGUCCAAGGAAUUCGCGACCGACAGAGGUCGCCAGCCUCGCACGGGUACACAUGUCUGGCUGCAUGGUCGCGGCAUUGGGGCUUGACUUAAUUAAUUCGCUUGAUUUUUUUAGAAAUGGAGAGAGCCCCUCAGCCCCGUUUAUCAUUAAAAUCAAUACCAGAAAAAGAAAAGGAUAAAUAAAUUCCUCGCCAAGGGGGGCAUUUGGGUGUUUUGGCGGCAGCAAGAAGACAGAAUGCAGUUGAUAGGGGAGAGAGGGGAGCAGAGGAAAAGGACGUGUCGUGAUCAUGGUGCGUGUUCUGUCAGCUGUCGGUGGUCACAUGGGGGGAGCGAUGAUAUCGUGUGCAGUAGUGAAGCCAGGCUGCUAAUAAAAAAGUUCUCCUCAUCUCUGGAGAGAGGAUGCAUUUGUGGUGAGGUACGGGGAGCUUAUUAUUACUCCUAGAAACAAAGAUGUUCUCCAUGCUUCAGAAUUUGAUUGCAGUAUUAACUUAACGGCAUUAAUACCAAUCAAGCUCUUCAACUUCUAUUGGCAGACCGUGUAAUCAUCUGCUGGGAGCCAGAAACUUGUAAGACUAGUGAGGGAAGUCAUUGCCUUUUGAUGGAAUAGUUAAAUCUAUUGGAACUCGAUGUGAAGUUUUAGUAGAAUGGUUUGCCUUUUUUUUUUUUUUUUUUCUCUCCAAGAAAUUAUUAGAACUAGAUACAAGGAUUCAUUUUGCAAUUUGGGGCAUCAUAUGCGGAGUUUUUGAAAACCAUGUACCUAAGAAAAUAACUACUAUCACUGCCACAAUUAGAAUAUGAAAUCCAAGUUAAGGAUGCGUUCAUUGCACGGAAAAUGAGUGAUCUGAAAUAUAAUGUUUGAAAGAUGAUCAUUUAUACCGUUUGGAAAAAUUAGUCAAUGAAAAAUAUUUCUAUUGUCAAUAACAAUUUAUGCCUAACUAUUUUCGUGGGCGAUGAAAUUUUUUUUCAUCAAUUAUUUUUUUGAAUCAUAUAAACGAUCAUUUUUUGAAAAAUAUUUUACAAAUCACUCAUUUUCCUUGUAAUGAACGCACCUUAAGUUUGGGAAAAUUUCAUUAUGGACUCUUAAUGGUAAAUUGAUUAAUAUUCUAUCUUGUAAAAUGAGAAACAACCUAAUUUUUUUAUGACAUGUUCAUGUAUUCCACAUCUCUUGUUUAUGGAAUUCGUAUACUCUUUAUAUACAUCUGGUCUUUAUCCACCUAUUGGCUUAGUCUUCUGAAUUGAUAUGAUAGUAGAGUUGAUAUUAUACCAAAGUUAAGUUCUGCUCUAGUGUAUUUCGCUUGUGUAACCCCCUUUGUCAAAUUCGACAUGUUUUUUUUUUUUUAAUGUUAUAUGGCGAAAAGGUUUAGAGUAGGCAAGGAUUUGCACAAAAGUGUGAAGAACAAGCUGCACCUUUAAAAACAUCAUCUGAAACACUUAUUAGUUGAGAUCCAAGUGAUGUCAAUAUUUUGUUAAUUAUCCUAGUCAUUGAAGAGGCUUCACCGAACUUUUGCGAGUCAUUGAAGCGGAAUCCGAGUUCGAUUGGUGAGGAUAAAUCGGAGUCCCGUGCUUGUUUGAUGAUGCAGAAGGUCGAAGAACAUAUAUUUGGAAGUGGAAGUACCAAAUGGAAGUUGCCCGAUGUAUAUGCAGUACCAAGGCUUAUUUCGAAAAGUCUCGUCCAUCAACGUUUGUUAGAACUGCACAAGAGCACGUUUCCAGUGAAACCAUUGAAAGCUUGAAAACUAAAUUAAAAUUUGAAUAUAAAUUAUAAUCUCAACCAAGAGGCAAUUUUAUUGGUCAGCGGAAAUAGAACUGGGAGAUGGAAGUUAAAUGAAAACUCCAUUACGCAUAAAGAAAGUGGGGGUAGCCUGUGAUACGUUUUCAGAAUAUAAUGUUCAAGGAAAUACAUUCGUAAAACUUAUAUUAAAUUUACUAUAGAUUUAAAAUCAGAUUUGACCAAUAAUUAAAGUUGAAAUUUGAAAUUCGCAUCGGUGGAAUUCGGAUGCUAUAGAAAAACUCAAAUUAAAAUAAACUCAAAUUAAAAUAAUCUCUGUUAGGAAUGGCGAGCAAAGUAUAAAGUGUGUUAAGAUAAAGUAAAAUGAUAGUCUAAUUUGAAAAUUAGAAAUUUGUCCUUAAACUAGUAAUAGAAAAUCUUUUAGAGAAUUUAUGUCAAUAAGAGAAAGCAAAGGUCCGUACAUCUUCAAUGACUUACAUUUUGUGCCUUUGUUCGAAACUAUGUAUAUUCAAUUUAAUGUUCUCUAUAAGCAAUUGAAUAAAUAGUUGACAUCAAAUAAGAUUUUUUUCUUUUGGUCGAAGACAUCAAAUAAGAUAAAAAGGAGGAUAUUUGAUAUAGCUUAUUUUAGUAACUACACUAGCAAUUAAAUCAGCAUAAUCGGAUCUAUAUAUCUAAAUGAUCAUAGUUAAAGUAGAGAAAACAGUUGCAACGGGGCAUGCCACAUAGCUAUUGUGUUUCUGUGCAUGGGUUUGCUUGGUGUAGCGAGAGUGUGAACUGCCUACUUGAAUGUAUCUUACAUUUUUUAUAACUAGGAUUUCAUGCAAUGUGAACAAACGUUUGAGAAAAAUGCCAAACAAUGUUGAUCAAGGAGUGUUCUAAUAUUUUGAUUAAUGACAUGGGGGCUCUCAAUCACCACGAUUAGAAUAGCAAAAGAAAUCAUGGAAGUAUUUUGGAAUCAGCUGAUGAACCUUAUUUUAUGCUGUUGAGAAACUUGGAAGAAUCCGUCCAUAUUAUUUCACUAAACCUAUUUUAUGCAUUACGUGUUAAAAAGCAACCACACCAAGUAACAUGGAAAUCAAUUAAAAUUUAUGCCAUAAAUUACAGGCUCAACCGACUUACCGUUAAAAAGAAGAAUUAGCUUCUGGCCACGAUGGUAUUGGAGUAAUUUGGCAGCGGCAAAAUAUGCAUCCAAAUGAUCAACGGAUUCCAGAAAAUAAUGCGGUUUUGGCCAUUUAAGGUGCGCGUGCGCGUGCGCGGAUCAGGCACAGGAACAACUCAUACGACCCGACGGGAGGCUGUUUUCCCUAAAGUAGCCCCGACUCGACACCCAAACCCCAAAAGCGACGCCACGAUUAUGUAGGGGUGAGCAUGGUCCGGAUUGGUCCGGGCCACCCCCUAACCCUAGGACCAACCCGUACAGUAUCGGUCCUCAAUUUUUAGGACCGAGGACCAACCCUAUUGAGCCUAGGAUCAAGGACCGGACCGACUCAAUGGGUUCGGUUCGGUUCCAGGGUCAACCGGAACCGAUUGAUAAUUUUUGUCGUCCUUUUUUUCAUACUCCCUAAAAAUGCAAACCUACAAAUUCAAAUUACACAUCCAUCGACAAUGCGGCAUUGUGCAACUAAACUAUAAAUACCAAUACAUAUUUAGCAAAUUUAAUAUGACACAAUAAUAGAAAUUUCGUAUCUGCUAACUGCUCAUCGAGAUAUGGGACAAGAUGGAAAGUUCUUGUAAUCAUCUAUUUUUAAUAUUUAUAACACCAUAUGCAAAAACAUUUUCUUGCAUUUGAUCAUCUAGAGUCUACUCAACCAAAAAAUGAACUUCACACCACUUGACUAGCAAAUUACCGUAGCAACUGUAGUACUACUCUACUCUUCAAAAACUUCUACCAUUUGACACAAAUUGAAAAGUAAAGUGCAGCUGAAAUUUAUUAGUAAAAUACAAUUAAACCAUAAAAAGUUCAAAAUACUUAAUAUAAACCAUGAAUAUAUAAAUUCACAUCUUGUUAAUUCACUUGAAUUUCUAAACACCUGAAAACAAAUCAAACGACACUUAAUUAAUACUCAACAAAAGUUUUAAAUUGAAAUUAUUAUUAGUACUAUUGAUAGGCAUCUCAAUAUAAUAUAAUAUAACAGACAUUUUACUUAGGUUUGAAUAUAUAAAAGAAAUAUAAAUAAUAUAAUAUAUAGGGUUGGUCCAGGGUUGGACCAACCCAAAACUCUUGGGAUCGAGGACCAACCCGCACAGUGUUGGUCCUGAAAUUUCAGGACCAAGGACCGACCCAGUCCCCUUGGGAACUGGAUCAGGACCGGCAGGGUUGGGCCGGUCCAGAGUUGGUCCAGGGUUGACCCUAGACCAUUGCUCACCCCUACGAUUAUGUACGAGCAAGGACGCAUUGCGGGCAAGUGCGUAGGCCACUCAUCGCGACGCAAUUGUGGUCAGAAACUCCACAAAGACAAAAAUUAUUAAAAUUCAAAAGAAUAAUAACCGAAAGCACUCUGAUUGCUCCCAUCUUUUUAAUAUUUUAUUUUAGCCACCGAAAGCACUCGAUUGCUCCCAUCUUUUUAGAAUCCCACUAGUCUAUCUAACCCCGCUGUCGUGUCUCUCCUUUUUCAGUUGCGUCAUGACGGUGGAUAAAAGAGAAGAAUUGAGUUGUGGGAGGGGCCACUUUGGUUUUAAAAAAACCUCCAUUCGUCAACUUUGACAGGCCGUAAUGAACCGUUCUUAUUGAUCAAUUCUAGCAAACUGGCCCUAGACCUCUGCAUGUUUAGCCAAUCCUGCCUUCUGAGUUUAAUGACCUACAGAGAUUUCCAUUUGUAGUUCUGGCUUAUAAACUUUUUCCAUCUCUAGCUGUCACUGCUUCUGCUGCUAUACUUUUCAAUUUUUUUCUCAAAGAGAAGAUCAAGUGAGAUCAAUGGAGGGGAGGGCCAAAAAAUGACGCAUCUGUGAAAAUGAAGGAAUAGCGGGAGGCGCUUCUUCUACUCACACUUCAACACAAGGUCAUGAAAUGGCUACUUCAUCUGGGUAUGACUAUGAAGUAUUCUUGAGUUUCAGAGGACCGGAUACUCGAGCAGGUUUUACCGACUUUCUUUACACUAGUAUGAUAGAUAUGGGAAUCCGCGCAUAUAAGGAUGAUGAAGAGCUCCGCGUUGGGGAAGAGUUUGCCCCGGAACUUCUCCAAGCAAUUAAUCAAUCGAAGAUCUCAAUACCUAUCUUUUCGAAAGGUUACGCCACUAGCGUGUGGUGUCUCAAGGAGCUAGUCCAAAUGGUCUCGUGCCAAAAAGCUGAAAGACAAAAGAUCAUGCCCAUUUUUUAUGAUGUGGCACCUUCAGAGGUUCGACACCAAACUAGGGGUUAUGGAGAGGCCCUUGGUUUACAUAAAGAGAAGCGACGAUAUGACAAAGAGACUAUAAGUCAAUGGGAGGCUGCUCUCAAUGCAAUUGGGAACAUAAAAGGAUGGGACUUGCAUAGAGAGAAGGAGAACAGGUGAUUGCUUUUAGCAUUCCAUCUUAUGUGCAUCAUUAAAACUAGAUGCAUUUCAAUCAUUUUAUUUUUAAGGUUUGUGCUAGUCUUGUUCAAAUUGAAUUUAAUGCUAUAAAAGUGAUUACGCAGAAAUCACAUUAAAUAAUGGGACAAUCCUGAUGUUGUCCUUGUUUAUUCCAAACAAAAUUUUCUUCGGUUUAGGUCCUUCAUUAUCAGUCUAUAACAACACCAAUUGAUCUACAUUGAAAUAAAUCCUUGAAGAAUGCAUUACGAAGAUGUUUCUAGUUUCAAUUUGGUCUUGUCAAAACAUAAUUUGGUUCAGCAUAGUUUUCUAACCGGUUGCCUUUUGACCUCCAACACUAGGCAAGAAGGUAAGUUCGCCAGAGCAGUUACACAAGAGGUUUUCAAUAAGUUGAAAAAGGCUUAUCUGGAGGUAUCAGACUGCUUGGUUAGUGUCAACCACCAUGUAAAUGCAAUCAUGGAAAUGAUAUGUGCUCAGACAAGUGAAACACGGAUUAUAGGAAUCCAUGGGAUGGGUGGCGUUGGAAAGACGACUAUUGCCAAAAUCAUCUACAAUCAACUUUCAAAUAGAUUCGAGAAUUGUUGCUUUCUGCCCAACAUCCGUAGUUGCACGAGCAUUGAAUGCUUGCAAAAUCAACUCAUCUCUGACAUCCUCAAAAAUAAAUCGAUAAAUAUAAAAUACAUAGAUGAAGGGACUUGGAUAAUUAAAGACAGGUUGCCUAAUAAAAGAGUCCUCCUUCUUCUCGACGAUGUGGAAGAAAAGGAUCACAUGGAUGCACUUGUAGGUAAGCAUGAUUGGUUUGGUAAAGGGAGCAAACUUAUUAUUACUACUAGAAACAAAGAUGUUCUCAAUGUUCCUGCAGUGGAUGACUAUUAUGAGGUUGAUAUCAUGGAUCCCGAUCAAUCUCUUCAACUUUUUAGCAAACAUGCAUUUAGAAGAGAUUCUCCUUUAGAUGAGUUUAUGCACCAAUCCCACAAGGCAAUAGGCAUAGCUGGAGGUCUUCCGCUUACUCUUGAGGUCCUAGGUUCACUUUUAGGUCGCACUGAGAAGAAAAAAUGGGAUCUCAUGUUGAAGAAGUUGGAAAGUAUUCCUCAUGAGAAAGUCCAGAGUAAGUUGAUAAUAAGCUAUGAUGCAUUAGAUGUUCGACAACGGCAUAUAUUCCUCGAUAUAGCUUGUCUUUUCAUUGGAUAUGACAAAGAUAUUAUGGUUCAUUUUUGGGAUGAAUCUAAAUUUCAAGAAGAAGCCAUGGAAGUUCUGCAGAAUAUGUCUUUGAUAAAGAUUGAAAAGUUAAAUAGAAUGUGGAUGCAUGACCAACUCAGAGACCUUGGAAGAGAGAUAGUUCGUCGAGAAAGUAACAUGAAAAUAGAAAAGCAAAGUAGGGUGUGGGAUUAUAAGGAAGGAUUGGAUUUAUUGCGGCGACAUAAGGUAAAAUCCCCUCAUAUAAAUUCUUAGUAUUUAUGGAUUUGUUUUUCAGAAGAUAAGCCAAUUGCUUUUUGUGUUGUCUAGCACCCUUACAACUUACUAAACCAAUACUUUAUUAAAGGAAUGAUAAUACUCAACUCAACCACUUAAUGCAGUGGACUUGAAUAAAUGGGUUUUCCUUCAACUCUUUUGUUUUUAAAUGUUUCCUUUGGGCAGGGACAAAAAGAAGUUGAAGCUCUUCGUCUCAAAUUUGACCAUAAGCGACCAUAUCAUUUUACCUAUGAGGACUUAAAGAGCCUAUCAAAUCUAAGGUUCCUUGAAGUUGAUGAUUCGAAGGGAAAUUUUGGUGCAGAGGAGAUGCUUCUUUGGCACUGGCAUGAAUUGCCAUCAAAUGUUCUUCCAACAAAUGUUUACCAAGAGAAUUUAGAUCUUCUUCCACAAUUACGGUGGCUUUCUUGGCAUAAUAUUUCCCCAAUGUUUAACAUAACAAAUUUCUCCAUGGAGGAUCUGGUUAUUCUUGAUCUAUCUAAGAGUAGAAUUAGGCAUGACUGGAAGGGGUGGAGCUACACAAAGGUAUGUUUUUAGUGGACAACACUUAUUAUUUUGUCUUAUUAGAUUCAAAAGUAAUCUUUGCAUGAUUCUUCUUUUAUAGAUGGCGAAGAAUUUGAAAGUUUUGAAUCUGUCCUAUUGCCAAUGCUUGAAGAGAACUCCCAUCUUCUCUGCUCAUCCAAAUUUAGAGCGUUUGAUCCUACACUUCUGUAAAUCAUUGACUGAAAUAGAUAGAUCGAUUGGUAAGUUGGAACAUCUAGUUUUCUUAGAGUUAAGCUAUUGUAAAAAUCUUCAAAGGUUGCCGAAUGAACUAGGAGAUCUUGCGCGCCUUAAAUACCUAUCUCUAGAAUGUUGCGCAUCGUUGAAGAGUCUUCCGGAUACAAUUGGGAAUUUGGAAUCACUGAUUGAGUUGAACUUAAACGAUACGGGGAUCAAAGAACUAUCUGAUUCUUUUGGAAAAUUGAAAAAUUUGAAAGUAGUUAGCAUGUGGAAUGGUGAAAUAAGCAAAAUACCCGAUGCCUUUUGGACUAUUGAGAAGCUUGAAGAUAUAUCAGGCCAUUGUGGCUACACCCGUGUGAAAAUUGGCGAUUGCAUCCACAGGAAUCAAUCGCUAAGGGAAUUGCGUUUGAUGGAUGUGGUUAUACUGGCACUGCCGAGGCUUCCUGAAAGUCUUAUCUAUCUAGAUUUGUCUGACUUGUACAUGGACGCGUUUCCGGAUCUCUCAAACCUCACUAAUCUACGAGAAUUGAAGCUGGGGUUUGGUCGCGUUUGUACCAAUGGGCCUCUGGAAGAUCCUGUGCAGGUAGAUAAUCUAAUGCCGCGAUGGUUGGGGAAUUUAACCAAACUGACGUCUCUGGAUCUGCGCUUUGAUUGUCCGACCGCCUCCACAAUAGACGACCCUAGCCUCCCUCCUCAACUCGAGUCACUUCGCCUCUCCUGCUCUAAUCUGUGUCGCCUCCCGAGGCUUCCCUCAAGUUUGUCCUCCUUAGUGUUGAACGGUUGCCACUCACUUUCCUCGACAGAGGAUCUAUCGAAUUUGAACGAACUGUCAUCUCUCUCGAUUAUGGGCACUGCAAUUACAGAGAUUCAAGGCCUUGGUUGUUUGGAGAACCUACGAAUUUUGUCGCUUCAUUGUCUUCGACAGGUGAAGAUACUACCCGAGCUGAGCAAUUUAAACAAACUAAGUCAUCUUGGAGUAUCUGAUUGUGAUAAUCUGGUUGAGAUUCAAGGCGAACUACCAAAGUAUUUGGAUGGGUUGAGUAUUUAUUCCUGUGGUUCGUUAGAGAAGUUGCCUGAUCUGUCAGGCUUGAAGGAACUGCAAGCGGUUGUGGUGCGAAAUUGCACGAAAUUAAUUGUGGAGGCAAUUUUCGGCUUUGCACAGAGAAGUCAGGCGGAUUUGUGGGAGAACCUACGAUAUUUGCAUAUUGGUGACCUUGAACAGGUGGAGAUACUACCUGAUCUAAGUUAUUUAAGCAAACUAAGGAGUCUUGAAGUAAACUUUUGUCAUAAUCUGGCUGAGAUUCAAGGUGAACUACCACUAUCUUUGAAAACAUUGAAGAUUUUUGCUUGUGAAUCUUUACAAAGGUUGCCUGAUUUGUCAAGCUUGAAGAAUCUGGAACAGGUUUACAUAACAAGUUGCACGACAUUAAAGGGUAAGGCAAUUCUCGGCUCUGCUCAGAGAAGUCAGGCGAAUUUGUGGGAGAACCUACUAUAUUUGGGGAUUUGUGACCUUGGUCAGGUGAAAAUACUUCCUGAUCUAAGUGCUUCAAACAAACUAAGACGUCUUCGAGUAUCAAAUUGUGGCAAGCUGGUUGAGAUUCAAAGCAAACUACCACAAUCUUUAGAAAAAUUGGAGAUUUCUUCUUGUGAAUCUUUGCAAAAGUUGCCUGAUCUGUCAAGCUUGAAGGUGGAAGAAGUGGAAAUUUCUUCCUGCGGAUCUUUAAAGAAUUUGGAUGAUCUGUCAUUCUCGUUUGGGCGGCAAAUUGUUCUCAUUGUAGGUUGUCAAAAAUUAAAUGUGGAGGCAAUUCUUGGCUCUGCUCGGAAAAGUCAGGCAAGCCUGUCGGAGAACCUACGAUAUUUGCAGAUUUGUGGCUUUGGACAGGUGAAGGCACUACCUGAUCUCCGUAAUUUAAACAAACUAAGAUGUCUUCAAGUAGAAGAGUGUCCUAGUCUGGUUGAGAUUCAAGGCGAACUACCACAAUCUUUAGAAGAAUUGGAGAUUUCUUCCUGUGGAUCUUUACAGAGGUUGCCUGAUCUGUCCAGCUUGAAAGGACUGCAAAAGGUGGUAAUGAAAGGUUGCAUGGUGGAGGCAAUUUAUCGUCGUUUUUGCUUGGAGAGGUCAGUUGAAUUUGUGGGAGAAGAUGACUCUGAAUCUGAGCAAGAAGGCGACAAAUCUGAAUCUGAGCAAGAAGACGAUGAAUCUGAAUCUGAGCAAGAAGAUGACGAAUCUGAAUCUAUAUCUGGGGGAGAAGACAGCAAAUAUGAACAUGAAUUUGGGGGAGAAGACGAUGAAUGAGUGCACAUUGCUUUUGAAAGCUUCUUCAUCCACGACCACAAAUUGUUCCCUUGGGUCCAGACUUAUAAACGAAUUGAGGUGAGUUAUUAUAUCUGAUAACCAAUGUUUUCCUUUUUUAUUGGCAAUAAAAUUCUUUCACAGAUAUAAAUGGAGAACUUUUACGUGCACUCUUUAAUGACCUUUUGUUCAUGCUUGAAAAUCUGAUGAAGAUAUUAAAAUUAUGAUACCUUCAUUCGUACAACAAGAGUGCUCUUAAUUAUUUGCAACCAUCCAUUCUCUUUUCCUGGUUUGGUUUGGCUUUUUUAGCUAUGUUCUCUUUGGAUGGUUUCUCCUUGCUUUUAUGUUUCCCAGCUUAAGGCAUGCAUCUCGAUUGCAUCGUUUUUCAUUUGAUACGAACAAAUUAUUAGAGAUGCCAGUCGAUUUGCUACUUCACAUAUUUCGAAGUUGAUAACCUCACUUUGCAUUGGAGAUAAAUUUGUUAUGCAGUAAACAAUUCGAUGGAAUGUUUGUUGGAAGGUCAUAUAACUGUGGUUCUCAUCCUGGAAAUUUACAGCAUAAUCAACUCAUCGAUGCAAUCAUGAAGAAGACAGACACUGUAUCGAUAUGCUUAUGUUUAGUUUAUUUUCCAGGAAAGGUGUGCUUCUUACUGGGUUUUGCAAAUGUUAUGGAGAAGCUAUAAAAUGAAGAAAGACUAAUUUCACUUGGGUAGUGGCAUCAAUAGUUGGCGCAGCAAACUUCCAUUUGUGACAGGAGGGAGGACCUACUUAGCUUCUCCAAUGUAUUGUAAAUCAUCCUAUAGUCAAAGGCUAAUAUUUCAGUAUUCCUGGUGUAGAGGACAUCUGAUAAGUCUCACUGGGGUCAAAAAUCAUGUAAAUGGAUUCUUGUGUGAUCUCCAUUAUUGCCUACAUCUUCUAGAAAUGGUUAUGCCUCAGUGACUAUCUGUAAUAGAAGCCCUUCCAUUCAUCUCAAGCUAUACUAGAGGACUCUUCUAGGUUUUAAGUUUGACAAGAAUUGCUAAAGGAGACAUCUCAAAUGACUGGCUUUUUGCUGGUUUCUAAUGUUGCUGAGAGGUUUUAGAGUUUGAGAAACUUACAGAAAUCUUUCUGUGCGGGGAGUUGUGGCUAAUUGGGUAGCUAUACAGAUGAAGACAUAAUGGAGGAAAAUGAAGAUGACAUUCAAAGUGACGUUUUAUGUCCACUUUAUAAUUAUGUUGGGAGUUGAUGCCUGGGAAUCUGAAAAAGGUAUUGAAUUUAUGUACCUCCGUACAACCAGAGGGUUUUAUUUUGUGCGAAAAUAUGUUUUGUUUUCUUAGCUUUGUUUGGCUUUUUUAGCUAUAUUCUCUUUGGAUGGUUUCUCCUUACUUUCAUGUUUCCCAGCUGGAGGUAUGCAUGUCGAUUGUGUCCUUUUUUAUUUGAUUUAUGACAAUUCAUUAGAGAUCCUGGUCGAUUUGCUGCUUCACAUAUUUCGAAGUUGAUACCUCUACUUUGCGUUGGAGAUAACUUUGCUAUACUCUAAACAAUUAGAUGGAAUGUGUCUUCAAAGGUCAUAGCACUAUGGUUCUCAUCCUGGAAUUUUACGACAUAAUCAACUCAUUGUUGCAAUUGUGAAUAAGCCAAACUUUGUAUUGAUAUGCUUAUGUUCAGUUUAUUUUCCAAGCAAGGUGUGCUUCUUGGAAGGAUUUGCAAAUGUUACGGAAAAGUUAUAAUGAAGAAAGAGGAAUUUCACUUGGGUAGCGGCAUCAAUGUUAGUGCGGCAAAGGUUCCAUCUGUGACAAGAGAACAGGCCUAUCUAGCUUCUCCAAGGUAUAAUAAGUCGUCAUAAUGUUAGGCUAAAUUUCGGUAUUAUCAGUGCAUAUAACAAGUCUCACUUGGGGUCUAAAAUCAUGUAAAUCGACCCUUGUGUGAUCUCCAUCACUGCCUCCAUUUUCUUGAAAUGGUUAUGCCUAGGUGGCUAUCAGUAAUGGAAGCCCUUUUAUUCACGUCAAGUUAUACUAGAUGACUCUUUUUGGUUUAAGGAUCGACAAGAAGUGCUAAGGGAGAAAUCUCAAACGACCGGCUUUUUGCUGGUUUCUAAUGUUGCUGAGAGAUAUUGAAGUCUAAGAAACUUACAAAAAUCUUUCUAUGCAGGGACCUGUGGCGUUUUUGGGCAGUUGUAUAGAUGGAGACCCAAGCAAAAGGCAGAUGAUGGAUGAAACUUGAAGCUGACCGUAUUCCCUCUCAUAAUCUUGGGGUGGUAAACCCUGUAUUCAUCUGUUUUGGGGGGUAAAAGGGCUAUUGGGCAAAUCUGAUUGUGUUUUUUCCUUUAUUGUGGGCCCACAAAAAUGAUUAUUACAUUUCAUCUAAUGUGUGUUCUGUUCAUUGUUAUGCCAUAGAACUUGCUUAUCAGUACCCAGAUGUUCUUCUCUGAGAAAACACUUGAAGGCCAUGUCUGGACCGGGAGAAAAGUUGUGUUCUUAGAGUGGUGCUCGAGGUAGUCUUAGUUGCUCCUGCCAAAUCCAGUUCAUGGGCCUCUCGAUGUGAAAAUGGUGCUCAAUGUAGUCUUAGUCAUGAGUUGUAGGCACUCACAACACAAGAAACAUGGAUUGUUGGAAGUCAUGGAAUGGGCCAUGCUGGAGAGACGACACUUGCUUAGCUCAUCUACAAUCAUCUUGCACAUGGUUGUGAGCACUGCUGCAUUUUUUCUAACAUCUGUGAAACUUCAGAGCUCAAGGGCAUUCAGUUCUUGCGGAAUUACUCAUCUCCAAUAUCCUCAAAAGGAAGUUGACAAAAAUAAGUAAUGUUCAGGAAGGGAUCAAGACAAUUAAAUAUAGGCUUUUCAGUAAUAGAGUUCUUGUCCUUUUUUAUGUUGUUGACCAGAAGAAUCAAUUGAAUGCACUCAUGGGUAACAUUUGUGAUAUUCGAGCAUUCUGAAUCCUUCAAUGGGAAAUAUCAAGCGCUGAAGGAUCUUGAAAUCCUCAGUGCUUUUUGUUUGUAAUAUCGGUGCUUUUUGUUGAUCAAAGGCACUACCAUCCUUAAAAGAUUCAGCCGUUUCCUGAAAAAUUUAGAAGAAAAUUUCAGCAGAGGAGUUCAUUUUCCAAUAAGAAGUGCAUGUGGUACUUGAAGGUCCUGCAUCCACAACUAAUUCUGCUGUCAAGGAAGAUUUGAAACUUAAUUGCUUAUUGCCCUAUGUCAUCUCAGCAGAACUUCAUUGUUGUCUUUCUUGGGAUCGUUAUCAGUUAUACAUAAAUUACAACCACACCUUGGCAAGUUGACUUGAAAUAUAUCGUUCUUGUAGGUAUAGUUAUUUGUGGCUGAUUUUGCAACCGUUUCCUGCCUUUAAGAUGGAUCGUUGUAACCUGCUUAUGAAAUGGGACAAUGAUUUCUUUUGAUCUAUUUCGUGAGUUUGAUUUGGUUUAAAUAUAUUACUUUUUGACAUUUUUGGUUGGCUGAUUGAGUUACCACUUACCAGUAAAAGAUGAGUCAAAUUUAUGCUAGUGUUACUACAUUCAAAUGCAUUAUAGUGUUACUACAUUCAAGUGCAGUACUUUCGUCAAUUUAUGCAUUGGUCAUUUAUGCGAGAGCCAUGGAGCUUGCUGGUUUGUACUUUAAAUUUGAACCUUGUAACCCUGUCUUGUAAAACUCAACUUUGUUAUUCCUUAAACCAUAAAGAAUAUAGUCAAAUGUAUAGGUUUUAAUAUGUGACUAAAGCUCUUUCAUUCACUUUUGGUUACCUAGGAAUAGAGCUUUAGGUUUUGGUAAGGAGAAUCAUUAAACGACAAAAGAGUCCUAUAUAACAGGUUGAGCUCUUCCUCUCGGUAAUAAGAAAAACUUAAGGGUUCUUUCUGUAAAGGCAAACUACCCCCAGCACAGUUACUAGUAUAUUUGAUGACCGUAUAUCUUUCCUAACGUUUUGGUGCAAUACUUCCACUUUUACUGUAAUGUACAAACUCCAAUUUAUCAUGCAAUGUCAAGGACUUAACUGGUUUCUUGCACAAUGUGCUUUGAAUGGUCACAAUUGGCAAUUUAUGCUUUAAAAUGACGAAGGAAUUUUUGUUUUUUCCCGAUUUCCACUAAUGUUUAGUCCAGCAUAUCAGAAAUAGAAGGUAAAAGCUUACAGCUCUCUUUCCAAAGGCCAAUCAGAUCAUUCCUACAUCUCUCAGCAAAGAUGAUAUAAAUUGGUUAACAGUUGCAAUACUUGGUUGCGCCAAGAAUUCUUUUAUGUGCCAAUGAGCUAGUAGUAGAAGGUAAGGUCACUGAUUGAAAAGUGUUCUCCUUAGAAAACUGGUUAAUUGCUUACAGUUCCAGAAUUCACACACGUCUACCAAAUUUGUGAAGUUCAACACAGGUUCAACCUGCAAAAAUAGAAAAAUAUAAAUGAAGGAAAAAGGCAGCAUGAUUCAGCUCUUCAUAGCUCAGCACAGCAUCCACACAUCCCUUUAAGGUUUUAUCGAGUCUGGUAAACAAAAAUUGACAGGUAAACUUGUGAGCGCAUUCAUUCCAUAGGUAUCACAGAGUUGUGUUUACGAGGAUAUACAUUCAAUUUCAUGCUAUUAACAUUCCAAGUGAAUUUCAGUAGAAAUCCUAUUCAUCUUGUGAGGGACAUGGAAACAGAUUGAUGGAAUGCAUUACAUGAACAAACUUCAUCCGGAGCUGCCUAAUGAUCCUCAAGAAAUUAGGUGCUGACUUAGGAGCAUUUUAUGUUAAGUUACUCUUGGCAUCAGAGUCUUAACGCAGCCUCAAUGCAGAAGCAGAAGGAUUCCUCAAAAGCAUAAGGUUUCCUUUGUCUUCACUUCCAUAUUCCUUCAAUCGUGGGUCCAUGACGAUUUUGCACGAUCCCCAUGUCUCCACCAUUAAUUCCACACCAUAGUAGAGUAAAUGGUCCGUGAUGCUGUUACCAGUUACCAAGAUGCAGAAACACACUUUGAUUAGUCGUCCGUAGGUGUUUCUGGUAAUCAAGGACUGGCAUUCUCUUGAACAGGCUGGUCUGUCACAUGAUGACUUAUUGCACCUAGCCAUGAUAAAUCCACAAAAUAAUUGCUUGUGACAGGUAGCUACGACUGAAACUACCUCCUUACCUGCUGCACAUUGGAUCUUCUCCAGAGCCAUCACAAACUUUCUCUACCUCAUAAACCAGACUACCAAAUCCAAUAUCAUACAGCCUUACCUACAAAAAAGAGGAUUCCAAUUACAUGUGAACACUGACAUAGAAAUUAGUAAGAUUAUCUCACAUCAAUAUGUUUAUCUGUGGCUGUCAUUGAGCUAGUUGCCAAUAAUAUAGGCACUAGUAGACAUACAUAAUUUAAAUGAGUAAUACCUUAUAAUUGCACAGAGCUUAAGACUAGGUCAUCAGUCAUCAUAGAGAUAGAGAGAGAGAGAGAGAGAGAGAGAGAGAGAGAGAGAGAGGGGACAGGGAGGGAGAGGGAGGGAGAGAAAAAAUUCAUACAAAGUUAUCAUGCAUACCUUUGUUCUUGAGAGCCUUUCAGAGCUAUAACCGCAGCAUUAAGGUCCCGGCCUCUCCAAUAUAUGCCUACAGGUAAUAUAUUUUGGAUAGAAAUAAAGACAAACAAUUAGAUGCAAUUCGAACAUAGAGGCAUCACAAGCAUUGCAAAUUGGUCAGCCACUACAACACGAAUUAUAUACCUAUAAGCAGUGCUGGACAUCAACAUGAUUUCGAACCCCUGCUUUCAAAUAACAGGGCAUUCAUAACCAAUCAGAAGCUAAAAAGAGAAGGCAGCAUGUGCCAACAAAAUCUCAUCUCAAGAAUUGGCCAUUUAGUAUUGUACUGAGGACCUAUUCUUUAUGCAACUUUAGCAAAGAUGGCAUUUUAAAAAGUAGUCAAAUUACCUAUCUUUCCAUCUCGACUAGGACAUGUCCAACUAGAAAGUUCUGUCAAAUCAGACAUGUAAACCUGCCAAAUAAUAAUAACAACAAGCUCUAGGUUAAUGGGAAAGUCUUUAUAAGGAACACUUAACAGCAGAUGCAUAAUCCCCCACCAUCAUCGCAAGAGUGUGAUUGUAAACAGCUUUAUGAGCCUUGGGGCUCACUCUAAGUUUUGCGUUUACCAGUAAAAAAAAGUUCAGAUUGAAAAUGCACUCACAAGCUCAUUCAAUUACAAGCAGCGAAGCAAGUCUCUUAUAUCUCUAGCAAGCUAUUUCAAUGAAUCAAGUGAGCGGAACACUUUAAGGAAACAUCAACUCAAAAAAACAUUUCAGUAUAUUUAAACCUCGAAUCCUGGUCUUCGCAGCGUUCGUGGACUCCGUAGCGAUUUUCGUGACGGAUGGCGAUUGGAAACCUCCGGCAACUUGGGGAGAAAGGAAGGAGGGGGUUGAUGGAUUUACAAAUUGUCCUUAUCUGCCCUCGGGCGCUUGCUAUGUUGGCGGCCAUAUUCGGUAAGUUCGGUGAUUUUGUCGUUUCCGUGAGGGCAAUGAAGGAAGUUUCGCUGAAAUGAGACGCGCUCCAGGGCAAAUACCCGUUCCCUGCGUCUCCCCUCUUAUGGCGCUUCCUCUGAUGUCUUUCAAUCGAGCACAGCAAAAGUCACAAAAUGUCAUUUUAAAGAUAUCAAAAAGCGUGAAUGAUUUUUUUAAAAUCAAAUUUUAUAGAAACCAACCUUUAAAUCUCUUCCUUAUUGGUGACGUAAACACAUCAAUCCCUCAUUCGACUCAAGUCACAUUUUACAAGCACAAAGCAAAUUCAUAGAUCACUCUUUUUUUUAUCAGGCUGAUGCACCACUCAUUCACUUUUAAAGUAGAAAAGAAUAAAAUUGAACAUGAAAAAGUUGCAGUUGCAAUCCAAGCACUAUGACCCGAUGAUGGAAGGACCACGCCAUCUUUCACUAUUUACGAGUUCAAAUCAUGUCGCAAGCAAAUAUAUCACCAAUCAAUAUUUCAGGCAUUCACAAUGUUAUGUGAAAUUUUUUUCAAGCUUUUGUCAUAUUAGUUAAAAUGAUGGGGUUGCAUACUUACAUAUAGAAUGAGUAGUUAUGACUCAAACAAGAUAUUUUGUAACGGAUACAAUAUUUUAUGUGAUGAUAAGAAUAAAUAACCGUAUUGAACAUCUCCUUCCUGCAUUUUUUUUUAAUUUAUCGGAGGAAAAAAAUCGCAAUCCAUCAUGGCUCGGGCGGGAAGGCUGAGUGGGACCAUCCCCAAUCCUUGUGCAUCUCGACGAUUCUUGUUUCCGCUGAGUUGACCACUUGUGCUAGUGCAAAACGAUCGACCACUUGAGGUUGCCCUAUGUGGUGACAGUUGCUAUCAUUGUUGUUUCUGCUGUUCUUUUCAAAGAUUUCUUCCAGACAAGACUAAGCAUGAGUAAGAUCACUGAAAGAGGGCAGUUCAAAUAAUGAUGCUGCUAUAAACCAUUGAGUAGUGUGAACGGUGAACUGACUGAAUAAAAUGAUGAAACAAGUAUACCUCGGUUAGUACCUCUCGGAGGACUUUCAAAUGAACAAAAAAAAAUGUUUGCAAGAGCUACCGGUGUGAACCGCCCACCAAUUAGCAAGGGGUGCAUGAUUUUUGGGGGAAAACGUCAUGUCGACUAACUUGCUAGACAUUGACUAGUCCCAAAGGAGCCUGGUAAAAUGGUACGUUUGAGAAAACCCUUGAUCGAUGGGACAUCAAUAAAGCAUAUGCCUGAAUGUCCAGGAUUGAAGAGUGCACAAAUUCUCUGUGCUUGCCAUCGUUCCUACUGACUACAAAGCCUUCAAUCAGUCACCUGACUUCCCCAUUGAGCUUUCUCUGCAAGGAGCUGGGAUCACGAGAAGCUAUCCAGCCCGAUUGGAUCCCUUGUAAGCCUUGAACACUAGUCUUCCAGAAACUGCAAGUCAAUAAAGACACUACUGGACUCAAUCAAUUUGGAAUCACUUGCUGAGUUCGAUAAAUUGAACAUGGACAUAGAGAAGCUGCCUGGUUUGGUCGGGAACAUGAAGAAUUUGAAAGUAUUGAAGAUGAGGUUCUCUGUCAUAAGAACAAUAACUAGUGCAGUAUGGAAUCAGGAAAAGCUAGAAAAAAGUUAUGAUGAAACAAGUAUACCUUGGUUAGUACCUCUCUGAGGACUUCACAUGAACAAAAAAAUGUUUGCAAAUACAUACGUUUAUCUAGCCCAGUAGUCUGACUGAAGAGGAGCUGCUUCAUUUGAUUAGAGAGAGAGACAGAAACAGCGUACAAAACACAAAUUUAGGAUCGAUAUAUAACCUAUCUUAAAAUGCAUUAGCACUUUAAGAUUAUGAGAAAUAAAAUUUGAGCUUCAAGUGCCUAAAAAUGAUAUAUGUCUGGACCAUAAACAUAUUAACAAUCCCAUAAAAUUUCCAGCAAGUAAAUUUUGUAAUGAAAACAGACCAAAAAAAGAAAGAAAAAACUUUGUAAUGAAUGGUCGGAUGUCUUUACCCACUACAUUUAAGCAUUCGACCAACUCAAAGCUCCAAAGCUUAAAAUGUACGACUCAAUUCACACAACUAGAGACUUCAAUAAUUGGUGGUCAGCGUAAAGGGCUGUUUGCACCUCAUUCUGCUUGUGUUUUGUCUAUGGGUUGAUUUACCCAAAACAUAAGAAAACAAGAUGCCAUGCAUGACGAUUGUAAAUAUGAAUACGAGAGCCAUAGAAAGUUCAAGAUCCACGUAAGAGUCUAGACUCUUCAAUGUAGAGUUGGCAGAGAAUUCCGGAUAAGUCCUAGCAACCCAAAACUGAACAGUUGGAAGAACACAAUAGAAAAGAAACCAAUAAAAUUCAGAAGUCCCAGGCAUAACAAUUUUUCAAUUUAUCUUACCACAAGAUCGAGUCCCCAAAAGGAUGCCAUAGCCCCUCCAAUAGAAUGCCCUGUCACCAUGACGUUAAUGUCUCCGUAUAAAUCCUUUGCUCUCAUAACAGCAUCCAAAAAUCUAGGUUGAAUUGUUGUAUUGUGAUAAGCAUGAUAAAAUCCAUAAUGAACCUAAGCAGAGAUCAAUAGAGUAGGACUGUAACUCAAUCCGAAUCAGAAGUAUCCACAGGUGUAAGAGCCUUAUCAUCACUAGAACUCACCAUGGCACUAGGCAUGCUGGGGUAAUAUGUCAAGCUGUUUCCAAUAGAGAUCUUCAACCCAAUUUUGUAUGCUAUAGACAUCAAAUAGAAGUAAUCACUAACUGAAAAGCUCAAAUGAUAAAGAAACGUGACAGAAUUUUUCACAGAACAAAUUAGUGAAGUAUGUGAUCUCCUCAUGACUCCAUCUAAAGUUACAAGGAAGUAACUUCCUUGUCUUGGUGGAAAUGAUUGACCCCUUUUCUGUUCAUAUGGACAGCAGUCCCAUGUGCCUUGUGUAUGCAUUCAAUGAGGCUGCUCUUCUUAGCUUAUCAAAUCCUUUGCAUGUCAAUUGUAAGAGGAGGAAUGCAGAAGGUAACCUGCAUACCUAUGUUCUUGGAAACCUCUGAAAGCAAUAACCAUAGCAUUAAGGUCCUUGGCCACCUCAACAUGUGCCUAUAUAUUAAAUAGUUUAAAGAUAGAGACAGAUAAUAAGAUGCAAUUCAAACAUAGAGGCAUCACAAGCAUGCAAACUGAUAGGCCACUGUAAAACGAUUCAUAUACCUGUAAGCAGUGCUAAAGGUCAACUAUCAGUUUAAUGACUUCUAACCCUUGCUUUCAUCUCAAAAAGGCAUUAAUAACCAAUUCGGAAGCUCAUAAGAUGAGGUUGCAUAUGCCCAAAAAAUCUCAUAUUAAGAAUUGGGUAUUUAGCACUAAAGAUCCAUUCUUCACGCAACCUUAGCAACAAUGCUAUAUUAAAAAGGAGUCAAAUUACCUUGUUCUUUCCAUCACAUCUAGGGCAUGUCCAGCUAAAAAGUUCUGUCAAAUCUGACAUGUAAACCUGCAAUAAAGAACUUUGCAUUAAAUUACAAUUUUAUUGUAUUGAAAUGGUGAAACCUGAUGCGUAACAACAACAAGCUCUAUGUAAAUGUGAAUUUUUUUCAAAGAACACUUAUGGCUGAUGCAUACUCCACCAAUAUCAUGGCAAGAGUGUGAUUGUAAACAGCUUUAUGAGCCUUGGACCUCACUUUUAAUUCUGCAUUUACCAGUACAUAAAAUUUCAGAUUGAAAUGCGGUCUCAAGCUCAUUCAAUCACAAGCAAUGAAUCAAGUUUCUUAUGUCUCUAACAAGCUAUAAUGACAAAUCAAGUGAGGGGAACACUUAAAGGAAACAUCAACUCAAAACAACAUUCAGUAUAUUUUUGCAGUCUUUUGUGAACUGAAAGAAGUAUUUACACAAUCCAAUGCAAUGAAGGAGGAAUAUGUAAACAACGUAAGGCUCCACAUUCCCACAGAGUUACUCCACUAAAACCUACAGGCUACAGCCAUAACUCAACUGAACAAAAGUUGAACAACUGUUAUUCAAUCGCCAUAAGACACUCAACAAUUUUUUUCCCCAAAGUAGAAACAGCAGAGUGUGAUCUGUACCGAACAAAUAUGAGGAAAUUCAAUCAGUCUGACCAUAUUCCAAUUGUAGCAUUGAUCCAAACUCAGUAAUCUAAGGAAUUAACAGAAGCAACCAAGUACAACUCGACACUCAUCAGUUACAUGAAUUGAAAGCUGCCAAUUGUCCACCAGAGGGAUCACAUAGCUAUAGUUUGCCCCAUUCAAUUAGGGACUACAACUCCACGACAGAGUCAACAAUUCCCCCCAACCAUGAAACACCUAAUCUGCCAAAUUCACAAUACAAAUCUCAAUGUCUAACCUCAAAACCAACGUACUCAACGCUAGAGCCUGUCUAUUUGCACCUUAUCACUAUCAAAACUCUCAAUCCAAACUGAUUACAUGAAUGCGAAUAGCGAUCACCUCUCGCCCCACUUGCGGCAAUAAAGCAUGUCAAAACCACCAUCGCCCUCAACCGCAACCCGUUCUGCUCCAUAUUCUUUACGAUCUUUCCCGAAGUGCCCCUGGGAUCUUCUUCCUUGGCGGCCAUAUCCGGUGUCGUGUUCCGUGAUUUCGUCGUUUGCGAGAGGGCACUGAAGGAAGUUCCGCUAAAAUCGGGACGUUUUAAGAAGACUCGCACGGCAACGUCCUCCGUCGGGUUCUUUUAGCCAAGAGAACGAGACGUGCAUUUUUGGGGUUCGAUCUUCUCUCUUUCGGAGAUUCCCUCCCUUCGACGUCUCCACAUCAGCAUUUUGACUGGGCUGGGUUCAAUUUAGUUGGUUCACACUAAAUUUUAAAGAACAUGCUAAAUUAAAGUUAAUAUUAUUUAUCAUUUUACUUAUAACCAUGGAGAUACGCGAAAAUGCAAUUGGUCCAUUAUGGCCGCAGGCUUCUCGGGUUAAGUGUUUUCAUAUUCAUCAUUGAAUCGAUCUAGUACACAACUUGUUCAAAUUUUAACAAAAUAUAAUUGAACUCAAGUGAUCAAUGAGUUGAGCUUAAUUGUGAAUUACAGGACCCACUUGUCUUGGGUUGAGAGUUCAAUAAGGCAACUUGAUAUUGUGUAUUAAUUCUCAAAUACUAUCUCUGAAUACUUAUGUUGAACUGGAUUUUUUUAUAGAUACAAGUACCCAUAGUUUUUUAAAAUUGAGUCAUUUUGUCUAAAAGUUUUUGGACUAUUAUGGUGCGAAUACAUUUGGAACAGAUUGACGUCCUAAAAGUCAUGGUAUUGUCAUCCAUAAUGGCUUGAUUGAAUAUAUGAGUCAUACAAUUGUCGAGAUUGUAUACUUUACAAGUCAAAGAACAUGAAAUAAAAGAAAACGUCCAUAAACCUUGAGAACAAAGGUUAAUAGGAUUUUUUCACUGGCCAUGUGAGAAGUAAAAAGAGCAUGUAACUUCUGACAAUGCAAGUCACAAAUGAAUGUUUUUAAGAAUGCAAAUGGUGUCAAUAAAAUUAUUUUUAUUUCGCAUUUAGCUCACAAGAAUAGCACAACAUAAAAAUCCCAAUGCGUGGUACGGGCCAUGUUUGGUGGCGCUGGCGAAUUUAUAGUUGUAGUGGCAUAUAGUGAUAAAUUAGUUCACGGAACAAAAGUGAACAUGAAAAAAAAGUGAAAUUCACGAGAUAUUAUUGUGAAUAGUAAGAUGAUCAAUUUUAUGGAUAUCAAUUUUGAAAUCUUUUCAUUCGAGUUAAGUCAAAUUUUAACCGUCCAUUUUUUUAUAGGGUCAUGCACUACUCAUUUACUUUGAAAAGAAAUAAAACCGAGCUUGAAAAAUUCUCAACCCACGCCCAAGCGUGGUAAGUGGUAACGCAAUGGUAAAGAAAUCGCGCCAUCUUCCAAAGCGUAUAGCCUCUUAUCAUUUUGUGGAUUUGCUACCGCAAGCAGAAAGACUGAAGUUUUAGCAUAUCAAUAGGGCUACAAUGACAAAAAAAGUAGGGCAAAAAACGGAAAAUUGAAAAAUCAGACUGAACUAAAUCAAAUUUUCCGUUUGGCUCAUAUUCGGUUUAGGUUGCGAUUCAUUUCGGUUUGGAUUCUUUGAAAAUCCGAAUUGAACCAAACCGUCGACAUCCCAAGUUACAAUGAUAGACUCAUACACCUAGUGUUGGACUGAGUUGAUAUGCUCAAACGGAACCUUCCGUAACUAGUGUACUCCCUUAAUGGCGACAUCAACAAUGAGUAAUUGUACUUCCUAACUUUUUUAUUUUAUUAAAAAUAAAAUCGCAAAAAUCGUGACCGGUGCAGCGAGGCCAGGUCGGACCAAUCCUCGAGCCGUGGGUCCAUCUAAUGCGCAAGUCAUUCCAGGCUUGAAUUCCCGCGGGGGGAAACGAAAGUACUUCUCCCCUACUCGUUUUUUUUUUUUUUUUUGGUCUAACAUAAAAUUUCAUUCACUCAGGAGAGCAAGGAACACAUGAUUCAAGGCAUAACACAUGGCGACCCCGAUCGGUGGAUACUUUUGUGCUAAUAUAACCUCACAGAACAUAUAUGUAUACGUAUAUACUUUUGUCUUAUCAGACUUCAUGCUACGCAAGCACUAAUAGAGCGGAGGAUCGAUACAGCAAGCGCCAAUCUGCAGAACCGAAUGAAGACUGGGGGUUUUUCUCCCUUUUUUUUUUUGACAUUUCCUUGUGAUUAAAAGCCUAAUCGAUCACCUCACACCAUAUACAAAGUGGGAAACGAUGGCGAACAGAGCCUGUCUAUCUUGCUCUGUUUCUGUCUUUAUAUACACAUGACUUCUUAAAUUGGUAAGGGUUUCCAUUCGUCUGGAAUGUUGUGGUUAAGAUAUUUGUGGUUAAGAAAAAAGGUAGGCUUUUGCUUUUGGUUUUCUAUAUAUUGAAAUUGGUGUUUUACCCAAAACCGUAAUUUACAAGGAAAGGUUCUUGUUAAUGAAUGUCUUGGGGCAUUGUUAAGCACGCUUAAGGAGGAAAUUUUUUAUUUCCAGAGUAUUGAUUACACAUAAAAUAAGAAAAAACAAUGUACGAGAAAAUUGUAGUAUCUUUAUUAUUGAGUUACUUAACAAGUGUCCUAAGGGCACUAUUCAACAAAAUCCCUGAGAAAAAGAUUCCACGAUGCCUCACAUGCAAGCCGAUCUUUACAUAUGAAGCAAAUAAUCUAUGCGUCAAUUGGAUGCAGGAAAGGCAUUUAAACAGAGGUAGCAAGAUAGAAGAAAAAGAGGGAGUGACAGGAUUUAAAAUUGUAACAUGCAUUAUGAUACCAAUUUUUAUAACCCAUUUUUGUCCAAAAGCUUACAUUGGAAACAAGCAAGUUCGUAAUGUGUGUAUUGCAUAUUGAUCUUUAAAGAUUCUCCGCUUAAUAGCGAAAAAAUAUACUUCCGAGAUAUGUUUGUCUUAAAGAUCUUAAGUUGGUCAUCUCUUAUGUAUAUGAAAUCCAAAUGCCUGACUGUUUUUUGUGAAUGAAUUUGCAGGCUACCCAGGCAAUCUGCAAGCUUGGUGAAGUAUUGGGUGAAUCCCUGUCUCCUAGUCAUCAAGUUUUGCGCAUAUCUCUUAUGGAAGAACUUCCAGGUCGAUUAUGGGAGGUAGGAAAUGUCUUGGACUUUUUUACAGGAGAGGCGAUGUGUAGUUUGUCUUCUAAAGUACUAGCGCAAUGGCAUGGAACUAGAAUAGCAGGAAUAAAGGCUGAAUUAUGUCACAUACUAUACCAGUUAAACUUCUUUGCCUUCUUAUGACAAAAGAUAAUAAUAAUAAUAAUAAUAAUAAUAAUAAUAAUAAUAAUAAUAAUAAUAAUAAUAAUAAAACAACUUCCUUGCCUUCUCAGAUGUUAAUCCGUCAAUUCCUUCCUACAAUAUUGUAGGGGAAGGACGCUCUCUUGCUUGCCUUGGGUGCUCUUUCAAAGUCUUGCCAUCAAGCCAUCUCCAAGGAAGAUCCCAACGCUGCUGGUGCUACUCUGGAUUUGCACAAAAAAGGACAAGAAAUACUGGGAAGCGGUACUUUUAAGCCUUGAUCAGGUAAUUCCAGAUUAUUGUGUGUUUGCGAAUGCAAUUGUCUUCAAUUAGAAAAUGUUGGGCUUUUACGAGCUCUCACAUCAAGAAACUUUCCAGCCGUACAUUGUUGAGAAAGUGCUGUUUCAGGUCGAUUUCAUCUUUUUAAUCCCCAACUAAAAUCUGCCCCCGAUCAUCCCCCUUCCUCUCUAAUGAAGAUCUUGAAUUUUUCAUGGUUUUUCAGAUUAUAAAAGCAUUUGGCAAUCAUGAGUUCUUCAACAUGGUUUUUCCAAAAUUGUUGACAUGUGCAGUUUAGGACUUCUGAUAAAUCUGGCCAAGCACGUUCAGCAAAUGAUUCUGCUAAAUCAGGUUCAUCCAUAUUUCUAGCUUGUAACUGUCCAGCUUUCAGGAUUUUGAGUUGUCCUGCAUUGCAACUUUUGAAUUCCAUAUCAUAACUUUCUCUCGUUGUUAAACUGUGCAUUUUACAUGGCAUGGUUGAUAUGUGCAGACUACGAUGGAAAAGAAGAUUCUUCUGUUCCACUAGAAAAAGUACUGGACUGCAUCAUAUCAUGUAUCCAUGUGGCAUAUAUUGAUGAUAUUCUUGAAAAGGAAAAUAACUUGGAGCACCUCUGGAUUGCCUCUCUCGCACCUGAGUUGUCAUGGACUGGUACCUUCAUAACAAAAAAAAAUUCUAAGGUAAAUGCAGCAUGGAAAGUGUUUCUAUUAACUGUUUCAUCAUGCAGCCAAAAUAUCGGCUUUUCUAUCAAUUAGGGGACUCGGCUCAAGGAUUCAUGACAUUUUGCUUGAUUCUCAGCAAGCUUCUCAACAUGCAAAUGCAGCAUCUUUGUUUCAUGACAUAAUUAGUACCCACUUUCUAACAAUAUUGCUGAGGAACAGGGUAACUAAGGGAUGAUAUCUCUAACUUUGGUUAAGGAAAAUAGCUUUCCUUUAUUAUGACGGACAUGUUGCACUUACCGGCUUUAGAAUCAGUUGUCAUUCUGUUCUCCAAAUUCCUUAUCUGGAUUCCAAUCAUCUGUUUUUCCUGCGCAAGUUUAAGCUGUUUUCUUUGAUGUUACCCAAAGUGGCAGACUGCAUAGCCACAGUUAAGAUAGCACAUGUAUGUCUUCACUUUCCCCUUUGUGGUGGAAAUCGCCUUUGCCAUCAUCUUCGUCAAAACAAUCUGAUCUUGUGUGGCUUUCACCUAGAUGUAGGAUUGUAGCAUUAUUAAGUCCCAUGCAUAUAUAGGUGACUUUACUCCAGUAAAUAAGAGUUUCAUUAAGUUAUCCAUCAAGAGUUCUGGAGUCUAGAUAGCAUACAGUGCCUUUGCAAUGUGAAGAAGCAGAAUUUUUCUGUCUUUAAUUUUUCAAGUUUCAAUGGUUCUUCUGAUGUGGGCUCUGUAUUAAUCAGACUGCUGCGUUCAGCUGAUGUUUUUCUUGGAUUCAAUUCCAUUCUGACUCAAGGCACUAGAGGCAUUACCUUUUACUUGGCUUACAUUUUUUAUGAUGAUCAGCCAAACCAGAGAGAUCAGUUGAUAUCAUCCCAAGGAUAUUUAUAUAGUAAUCAACAUAGCCAUUUCUUGUAUGUGCGAGCAAGAGUAAGUUAAUAUUUUGCAGGGAUUAGUCGACAUGGUAAGUGGACCACUUAAGAGUUCUCGAUUGUCUUAGAUCAUUCUUACAGAUGCAUUUUAGAUGUCCAUCUGGCACUGUGGACCAAUAAUCCAUUUGAUACUUUUUCAAAUUUAGGUUCAUGUCAGUGCUUCAGAGUGCCUUUUGGGGAUGAUCACCCUUUGUAGUGAGCUUCCUUCAACGUUCUGGACAGAUGCAGGUUCGAAGGGUUUGCUGGUUUUUUCUUUUUUCUUUUUUUCUUCUACGUGAGGUGGAAAAAAAUGAACAAGCCAAGUCCUUGCUUAAGAGAUGCAUCCAUUUACUAGAGACCUCUUAGAGUAAAAUGUGAAAGCGAGUUGAUUUCAAAGAAAGGUGAGGAGAGUUCUGGCCACUGUCGGUGAAGUAUGAUGAAUGGGUAAAAUCAGUAAAAAGCUGAAGUGAGGAGGUAAGUAUAAAAUGGGUAAUGACCGUCUUGACUGUUUGGUGAAUCAAGGCUGACGCCGCCUUAGCAACCUUUUGGAUAAACUGAAAUGUUCGACCAAAGGAAGAACCAAGAAAUAAGCAAGCAAAAGAAGAGCUUAGCUAGACAUGCUUUAGGAAGUACACACGUUGGCCCUGCACAUCUCAAGCGUGGACAGAUUUAAAUAGAAAUUGCACAGGCUUAAUAUCUUUCAUUUAAUGAGCCGACUACUUUGUUCUUUUUACUCUCAUUCAGCUCUGUACGUUCAUAUUUGCAAACACCAAAUAAUUCUGAACUAACCAAUCCGAUCUUCAGUGCGUGAGAUGAUGUUUUUUUUUUUUUUUUUUUCUGUUAAAACAUGAGCAUGCUAUUGUUUUUAUUUUUUUCCUUCUUUUUGGUUAUUUAGUUAGAAUGAAUUCUUGGGAGCAAGAUUCCCGAUCCAUCUAAUGAUUGGUGAUCCGAUGCAGCCUGUUACGCCUCACUAGUAAAUUCACCAUUAAUGGGACGACGUGUUCAUGAACAGAGAUUUAUUGCUGUAGUUGCAAAACACUAACACAAGCGAUCAUCCAUUUUCCUGCUUUGACAGGAGAAUCUGGUGGGGACAGAACUGCUGCUUUCACGUGCAAGUACACAGCCUGAAGGGACUGAGGAAUUUACAUAAAUUAACGCUUGUAUACAGUGCACUUAGGAUAGUCUGGGGUUUCUUAAGUCUUUCUUACAUUAUAAAACUUUAGUUUAGACUGGGAGAAAUUUGAUGGCAAAAAGUAACGCUCUUGGUGUAUGAUCUUUCACAUGGACUGUCUACCAUCUUAACUAAGAGAUUAAUUUCGGUAUGAUGUCGUGAAUGACCCUAUAUAUAUUCUGACGUCUAAACAAACUACGUCAGGUUCCUUCAUUGGAGGGUGACUCUUUCAUCUUUCUUUGCUUGAGAAGAUCUUUACCUCGAUCCUUCCUUACUACUUUUGAAGAUAUGCUUUUCUUUGCUGAUCAAGCACCUAUUCUCAAAAACAUGAUCAUUCGACGUGUUUAGCGUUAUUGCAUAAAGUAAGAUUUGUCAAAAAUUUUGAGGAAGUUCGACUCCUAGGUGAACAUCUACUGGUAAGAUAAUCUGAAUUUUUGAAAAUUGCGAGUGUUCUAAGAAAAAGGAUCCAAAAGUCUAAUGCUAAGCUUCUUAUUCUAAUGUAUUAGACAUUAGCAAUUCAAACCCAAUCGAGGUGAUGACGUGAAUAGCAAAGCAUUUGUUUCUUUAACGUUAUAACUUGUUUGGGCUUCAAAGCUUGCUUGGCUAAUUCAAAUGCGCUUGGAUUUUGGCUUGUUAACUCAGGUUAUAGCUGACCAAAAAAAAAAAAAAAAAUCAGAUUAUAGCAGUAAGAGUGAUAAAAGAAGAUAAGAAAACGAUGGAAAAUGAGGAAAAAAGAAAGUGCUAUUUCUUUCUAUGUUUAAUUACAUUAAAUUUGAAGGAAAAAAAUUAUGUCAAAUAUUCAAGGAUAAAACGUAUGCUCGUGUGCAUGAAUGGCCAUCUAAUCAACGGAAAAUAUCACUUAACUUAUAAAUUUGAUUAAUUGAAAAUCAUCAAAAUUAAAAACCAAAGAAUAUAAACAAAAAGCACCUGGAUUAUUUCUUAGUUUUGUAUGUUGAUCUUUAUUCAUUCUAAAGUCCUUUUUUUUUUUUUUUGGCAUGUUGGGGAAAAGGACUUUUGUGCAAUUAUUCAAGGCUAAACAACCAUAUGGCCAGAUGAUUCUUAAUUUGUCAUGAUAUCCUACAUUGUGUAAAAUUUUCAAUAGUUAGCAAAUUUGACAACAAUAUCAACUUUUUUUCUGUUUGAAUUACUCGUAGCAGAUUCAAAGAAGAUUUGACAUGAAGUUGGACGCCUAUAAUGUGUGAAACUCAUGCUUUCUUUUACUGUGAAAAUGCAAUUUUACAUGACAUUGCCUGCAGAUUAGAGACUCUGAUGUCCCUCUAGCACUGAAAACACAAAGUACAUAGUAGGAGCAUGUUCGUCAAACUAGAAAAGUCUUUAUUUAGUUGUGUGAAUAAUAUGAAACAUAAGAAAAAGUAAAAAACAAAAAGCAGUUCAUUUUCCCAUUCGAGAGGAAAUUAAUAUGUUGGUCCAAAGGGGAAGCAAUUUUCUGAUAUCUUUCUCUCUCUUCUUUCGUCUCUCUUAUUACUACGUCCCAAAUAAAGCAAAACGAAGACCCAAUUAGAGAGUGGGGGGGGGGGGGGGGGGGGGCUUUUUGCAUUUGCGUUUGCAUCGGAGACGGGAUGGAUAGGCUCAUUUAAUUACAGCUUACAUAUUUACGUUUCUCUCUUUCUAAUCUAGAAUUAAGAGAAAGAUAAAAAUAAACACGCCAAUUGAAAUAGUUUGAUAUAAUUGUCCCAGUUUAUCUAGAAUAUAGUUAAGUGGAAAAAAAAAACGAAUACUCAUGGAUAAGCGCAAGGUGCAUGAUUCCCCAUAUCUAUAGACUCUCUAACCGAGAGAGAGAGAUCUAUUACUUCCAAAAUUGAUUCUCCUUAGAAGUUUGUGAAAAUAAAAUGGUUUUCACUAUAUUAUAUAUAACUAAUGAUAACUCAAUUCAGACUGAGAGAUAGUAAAAUUUAUAAAUUUCACUUAUUUGAUACGACGUUGCUUUUCAAAUCACAUAUUAUCCCUAAUUCAUAAUACUAUCAUUAAGAAGAUUUUUGUGUUCCUUGAUGACUUCCUCUUUCCUCUUUUCAUCUUUCGUUGCGUGGCAUGGCGAGGCCACCUUGAGCGCGGCGGAAGAGAGUGACCACAUGAGAAAUCGACUGAAUAGCAGCACGGUUGUGCCAGAAGGCGGGCCAGAGACAGAGGGAAUUAUGGCUAUUUGUCAGUUUUUGGGUUCAAUAUUUUCUUAAUUAUCAUGGUCUGUAUUUUGCUUUUGGUGAAGUUGCUACAAAGCUUUUCAUGUUUGCUGGCUGGGAUAAUGGCAUCUAGUAAGCAAGGCCCAUUAAUGUGAAUUUAUGUUGACGCACAAGGCGGCCCUACUCAGAUUUGGGCAAGGCCACGAAAGGCCAGCGAGGACCUCACCCUCAUAUGGUGAUGGCCCCGCCCAGGGGCCUUCGCGGUUGGUGAGGGACUUGGAAUAAAAAAAAAAUGAUAAAAUGAUAAAAAAUAAUAAUUAAGAAAUUAAAAAAAUUACAAAAUUACAAAAAUUAUCCACGUCAGUAAUUUUUGGCAAAAAUUGGCUGGAAGAACUAAAAUGACAAAUUGUCAAAAGGCUUAAAAUUAAAUUGAGCAAGUUAAAAAGUUAAAAACUAAAUAUCAAAGGUUUCAAACAUUUUUCAUAAUUUUCCCAAAGCUCAUAAGACAUUUUCUAGAGUUAACGCUUCAACAACUAAUACUUACUGAAGAAUUCGAGUGACCUUUUCUGGAUGCAUCUUUUCAUGCAUUAGAGCCUCUUGGUAAAUCCCAAUUUGAAUGCCUAUCCGUGAUCCGCGAUGUGAUUACCCGUUGCAGUGUUCAUCCAUCAAUUAUUCGAGAGAUGUGCUUCAAAAAAAAAAAAAAACUGAGGGCAUGUACAAUGAUCGAUGUAAUGAUUUUGAUAUUUGAAACGUAUCAUGACUUUAUCUCUAUUAGCAGUUUUCACUGUGCCAAGUUUGCCCAUAACCGCUUAAGCAAAAAUCAGAAAAUCUCUGGCUUGGAAGAAAGUGAAAGUCCAUUCAUCUUCCAUCCUUUGAUAUCCCCAAGGCUUCCCACCUUGCUUCAAUUAUAUGAACAAUCCUAACUGGACCAACCGACAUCACUCCCCGUCUAUUCUCGUCAAUGGAUUUCCGCGCAUUGUCAAGGCAUCCUCUGCUUUGCAAACCGUAGUGCUUGCUUUGCUGGAAGCCAUUUGGAACUAUACUCAGAUCAACAUAUCUGAUAUGGUGUCUAACUAGAGCGAAUUAGCCCUUGGUACUACUCUUUUCAGAUUUAAGAGUGGCCCAUUGUAACAGAGAAGCAACUAAGAUGGCGAACCAGAUUACCAAAGUCCAUCAGAGAAAAGCCUUCUUUCUAAUUGGAUUUUAUAUCCUCUCAAACACUUUGGGCUCUAUUAUGUUCUGAAGCUGCUCCUAUGUAUGGUCAAACAAUUUCUUACUGAAUGGUUAUUGUCCUCCUGACCAAAAAAGAAAAAGAAAACAAGGUCCUUUAAUUUUUGCAGGCUCACCAUUCCAUUCUCUCUCUCUCUCUCUUUAAAAGACUACUCUUUUCGGUUAUGUAUGCCUACUAUUUUCUUAAUUUGGCUUCACAAAUGGUGGAAGAGGAGAGCUCCAAUGAACCAAAGUUAUUGGGCCUUCAGAGUGUAGAACCAUUAGUCGCUUCGGAGAAAAUAAUAUGUCUAGUUUGAUUGAACAUGCGGCCCUCAAUCUAAGUUUCUAAAUAUGCAGGCGUGGAUUGUUGCCAUGAUGGACAGGACAUUUCGCAAGAAAAAGAAAAAAGCGGUGUCUACAGUGGCAGAAGGAACAAGAGACAAUAGCAACGCUGAUCCUGAAGAGGUACUUGAUUUGUGAAUAUGUUUGUGAGGCUGAAUAGAAAUGGUCGGGGAUGCAGAAGGGAAUGAUAAGAUCCAGAUUGGGGCGCAGGACCAUUGUGCUAGGGAUUCCGUUAUGCUAUUCUUCAUGAAUUCCCGUUUCUCCAGAGAAAUGCACCAUGCCUAAGUGACUGUCAAUGGAUGAAGUCAUUUCGUAAUUCAUGUCGAGUCAAUGCAAAGACUCUGCAGUCAAACAUUUGUAUUGUAACUGUAAACCAAGGCAUUCCUGGAUGAUUUUCUGGUGAAGUAGAAGCUCCUCCAGUGAAUAUUAACAGAAUCAUGUCUAUGUGCAGGAGGGAUCAUUCAAUUAUAAUUUGCCCCACUCAAUCAGGCACUAUAGCACCACAACACGCUCAAUGAUUCACUCCAACCCUGAAAUGCCUAACCAGCCAAAUUCACUACACAAAUCUCACUUCCCCAGGCCCAAAGCCAACAUACUCGAUGCUAGAGCUGGUCUAUACGAACCUUAUCACAAUCCAAACUCCCAAUGCGAAUCAAGUCAGAGGAUCACAACCGUAACUAAUUUCAUGAACACGAGUUGCAAUGAAGCAUUAUCAGAACCACCAUCGCUGUCAGCCACAACCUGUUCCACUCCAUAUUAUUCUGCAAGAGGGAAGGAUCGAACAGCAUUGUCGAGAAAAAAACACGAUAUCUUGCAACAAAAGAAAUUCCAAUCUCCACAACCUUUCCUUCCAUAUACGCAAAACGGUCACGCGCGAUCGAAUGGCACGGUCGCCUGGCGAGAUGGAGAGAUCGAUUGCGGUCUUUGUCCGUAUUGCUCGAAUUCAAACCUCGGAUUCUGGUCUCGCGGGUGAGUGGACUCUUAUAGUGAUUUUCGCGACGGAUGGCAAUCGAAAGCUCCAGCGACUUGGGGGCGGGGGGAGGGGAGGAAGGACGGGGACGAUGGAUUUGCUGAUUUUCCUUAUUUGCACUCGGGCGCUUGCUCUGUUGGCGGGCGUAAUCGGUGUCACGUCCGGUGAUUUCGUCGUUUCUGUGAGGGCAAUGAAGGAAGUUUCGCUAAAAUGAGGCGUGCUCCUGGACAAAUUUCUGUUCUCUCUGUCUCUCUUCUUUUGGCGCUUCCUUUGACGUCUUUCAAAUGAGCACUUUUGACUCGGCUUGGUUUAUUUAGUGGGUUCAAACUAGAAUUACGAAAAAUGCACGAAAAUUAGAGUGAAUAUUACUUAACCAUUUAUUGAUAUUCGUCGAAGUAUACAAAGAUGCGGAUUACUCUAUUAUGAUAGCAAGCUUAUUGAGAUAAAUUUUUGCAAUCCCAAGCUCCAAUCCAUCUCAUAACUUGAAUUAUUCAAAAAAUUUCUUUCAUCAAUAUUAUUCAAACUUGAAAAGAAUGCAAUCCGACGUGUGUGAAAAGCAAGCGGAACUUAAUUGUGGACUGUGGAACCACAUGACGUAUCAAUUCUUGAAUAUUCUUUGAAACUUAGGGUCCGUUCGUUUAGCAGAAAAUAUCAUAUUUCCAUAAAACAUUUUCUUGAAAGUCAUUUUCCUGGAAAAUGACUUUAGUUUCCAAUGUUUGACUGAAACCUAAACUUUGAGUAUAAAUAUUUUCCGCCGUUCGUUAGCUAAUUUAAUUGUUUGAGAAAAAUUAUCAAAAAUUGAAUUUUAAUAUUUUAAUUGACUUAAAAUUAGUUUUAUUUUAUAUAUUUUUAAAUGAAUUUUUAAUUAUUUGUAUUUUUUAAAAAAAUCGAAAUUUUUAUUAUUUUUUCUUUCUUUUUCUUUUUCUUUUUUCCUUUUUCUCCUCCUUCUUCUUUCCUCCUUCCUCCACCGCCGCAUGCCUGACGAUGGUCGGUUGCUUAACGGCCGACCAAGACCCGAUCGUCAGAUCCGACGAGCUUGAGGCUCGGCCGAUCUCCCUCGAGAUCGCCGAAGGUUCACCGAGCUCUAGCGAGCUGCAAGCUCGCUAGAUCUGGCGGCGGAGCUCGGGCUCGCUUCGAUCGAGAGCUCGAGCUCCACCGCCAAAUCUGACAAGCUCGCGGCUCGCUAGAGCCUAGCGAACCUCUAGUGAGCUCAGGCGAGGCUCGAGCCAUGCCCAGUUCGCUGGAUCUAGUGAGGCUAGAGCUCCACCUCGCCCGAUCUGGCGAGGCCCGAAUUUGCCGAGCUCGAGUGAGCUCGGCUUCCCCAGAUCGGGCUAGGUGGAGCCUCGCCUGGCUCACGGCUGCUUGCCGGCCUGGGUUUGAGCCUCGCCUGGCUCCUGAUUGCCGACCGGCGUCGUGGGCACGUGACCAGCCAAGGCUAAGGAAGAAAGAUGUAAAGAAAAAAAGAAAAGAAAAAAGAAAAGGAAAAAAAAAGAAAAAAUAAAAAGAAAGCAUAAAAAAUAAAACAAACAUGUGUUGGUGAAAAAAAAUAAGGUGGAAGAAGUUAUGGAAAGUGGAAAAUUUUUCCUUAAGUAGUUAAUUUUCCGUGAAAUGAACACCGGAAAAUCCAGAAACGUUUUCUUGGAAGUUAUUUUCAGUAAAACGAACGGAGCCUUAAUGGAAGUGAAUUUGAUAGUUUUCUUUUUAGAUAAAUAUAUAUAUAUAUAUAUAUAUAUAUAUAUAUAUAUAUAUACACAAUAGUUUGAGUUGAGUCGUUUUAUCUAGAAUUUACAAAAUAUUUAUAGCGAGAAUAUGUCGAAUUGAUCACCAUAUUAUAAAAUGAUGCUAUCAUCAUCUCAUAAUUACUCGAUUGAUAAAUGAGUUGUACAAUCACGGGGAUUGAAAACUUUACUUUACGUGUAAAAUAUUUUUAAAUAAAAGAAAAAAGGUCCAUAAUCUUUGAGAACAAAAGUCAUUGGACUUUUUUGGCAGGCUAAGUUUGAAGUAAAAAGAGUUGUAACCUCAGGCAACAAAAGUCACAUGAUGUCAUUUUAAAAAUAUCAAAAAGAGUGAAUGAUUUUUAUUUUUUAAAUCGCAAUUAGCUCACACAAAAAAAAUAAUAUAAGAACCACACCCCAAUGCGUAGUAUAUGUGAUGUUUGGUUGCUCUCACGGAUUUAUAUUCGUAAUCAAAUGAUUAUAAAACCACUAGAAAAAUCAGUACACAAAAAAAAAAAAUGGAAGUUAAACAAUAAGUGAAAUUCAAGAGAACUUAUUGGAAAGAGUAACCUAAUCAAUUUUAUAGAAACCAAUCUUCAAAUCUCUUCCUUUAUUGGUAACAUAUACGCAUCAAUCCCUCAUUCGCCUUAAGUCAAAUUAUUUUGUAAGCACAAGAUAGAUUUAUAGAUCACUCCGUUUUUGGUCAAGCUCAUACACUGCUCAUUCACUAUGAAAGUAUAAAAAAACCAAAACUAAAAGUGAAAAAGUCACAUUCACAAGCCAACCCCAACCCCAAGCACGAUGACCUAAUGGUGAAGGGAUCAUGCCAUCUUCCAUUAAUUCACUAGUUCGAAUCAUGUCACAAGUGAACUUUUCACUAGUUAGUAUUUCAGCAUUCACAACACUAAGUGGUUAUGGCUCAAAUGAGAUAUUUUGAGACAAACAUAAAACUUUAUGUAAUGACAAGAAUGAAUAAUCAUUUUUGAUCAUCUUUUUCCACAUUUUUUAACUUAUCAAAAGUUCUCAUAAGCAACUGAAUAUGUUCUCCAAGCAUGAUAGGCUUGAAGUAAAAAGAUUAGGGAAAAUUUUAAAAAAGGACCGAAGUGCCCUCAUUUCUCAAAAAAGGAUCUGAAGUGGACUCUGUUUUAAAUAAAAACCCAAAGUGGCAUUGGUUGUUUCAAAUAAAGGCCUGACUUUAUCGAUCACCAGCUAGCUAAAUUUUUCGAUUGGUCAAGAGUGUUUUCAUCCAAAUUUUCUUCUCUUUUUUUCUCUUUUCUUCUUUUUUCUUUUUCAGCGUCAACUGACAAUUGCUAGCAAAGGCUAGCGAAGGCUUGACGACUAUCGCGGGCCAUUGGGAAGGGCUGGCGACGGCCUGUAAGCACUCAUUAGCAGUGGGUGAGGAACUAAAAGCCCUCGCGAAUGGCCAUGGGGGGCAGCCUCUGCUUGGGUGAGGCACGUGAGGCCAUCCCUCACUUGUGGCCGGCAUGGGUGGUCCUCGCCCAGCCCUCUGUGGGCAUCACUAGUGGCCGACUGGCCACCAUCGAAGAGGAAGAAGAAGAACCGGGAAAAAAAAAGGAAAGAAAAACAAAAAAGGAAGAAAAAAAAAGAAAAUAUUAUACCUUGACUAUUGGAAAGUCGAGCCCUUAUUUGAAACGGACAUAGCCACUUCAAACCCUUAUUUGAAAGGGACACAAUCACUUCAUGUUCUUAUUUGAGAAAAUUAUGGCACUUCACGUCCUUACUUGAAACAAGAUCCACUUUGGGAUCUUAUUUAAGAAAAUGAGAGCACUUCCAGUCCAUUUUUGGAAUUUUUCCAAAAGAUCAUUUGAGAACCAAAACAUACAACAAAAUGAUUGUGCAAAUGAAAAGGUAAGUAGCAACAAUUGAAUGCAGAAGAAGAAUCAGAUGACUAUAUUAGCAAGAUAUAAAAUUUUGAACUUUGCACACAACUUGUGUAGUUAAAGCUCGCCUAAAUCAAGAGCCCUUGCACGCACACAUGCUUUUGUGACUUCCUGACAAAGGUUGCAGUUAAAAUUCUCAUGAAUUCGAAGAUUUGACAAUCUCUGUGAUGAAAGAAAAAACCAGGUUAAUUUAUCAACUACUCAAAAAGUAAAACUAUACUUUCAAAUGGAGCCAGAGGUCAACUGACAAAUCUGCGUAAGUUCUGCAAGACAUCAGAGAGAAACUUAAUAUCCUCUCUAUUCUUGCAAUUUCCGAUCAUCGACCACGUCCAUGCGUUUGGAGCCACUGUUUUUUUUUUUUUUUUUUGUCUUCAUAUUAACGGAUUCAAGAAUUUUAUCAUACAUCUUCACAGUCUCUGCAUAAUAUGACAAGAACCAAAUAUCAGAGAAAGAACUACACAAUUUGUCAAGAAACAAAUUAGAUGGGGAAAAGGAAAAAACCUGUGGGUUCCUCCCUUUCAACACUUGCUUUAGAAGAAUACUGUAAACUCGAAAUUAUCGAAUAAAAGGCUGCUGGCAAUCUAUUGCCAUGAACCGGCCUUGGGAAUUCCAACGACAAUCACAUUAAAAGCGUUUCACUGCCAAGAGAAAUGCAGCUCCGUUUUGUAUCAACAAACUAAUUCAACCUGAAACCGACAUUUAAAAACAUGAAGCAACUCAACUCGAAGAAACAAUUCGACGUGAUUAAUCCUAUUACAGAAUCACAUCUCCAACAUCAAAUCCACAAAAGCAAACACGAUGAACGCAAUAAAAUUAUGACAUCUCAAUUAAUUAAGCACAAUCCUAACAGCAUAAUCAUCCCUCCGCUUCAACUUGACUAAACCAGGUGCACAUUCCUCGAAUGAGUUACUCAGAAUUCUUCAUCGAUCAUCAAACGCCCCCCCCCCCCACCCACCAUAUCCAGACAUCAAACUCGACCUAAAAAAAGCCCCUAGCUAAAAAAGAACCAUCGCUCCGGCAUCUACAAUCCACGUCGAGAUCCCUCGGCAGUAAUAAACUAAAAAAUCUAAUGGACGAGAAGCGCGCUACCUGCGAAACCGAGGGACUGAGCAGCAGAGGAGAAGGAGGAGUUGCGAUCUCGACAUGCUUGCGCAGAAAUCCGAGCGCAUUCCAAUACUCAGUGGUCAUUCGGAGAGACGAAUCCAUCUGAGCUAAGAUGCACCGGAGGCUUGAGAAUGCGGCAGAGCCUGCGAGCUCUCGCGGCGGCGUGCAUAGCUCCGGCACGAUCGAAUCAACGAGCCGACGAGUUCCUCGUGUCGGAAGGCCGUGCUGCUGCCGAGCGAGGUUUUUCGGCCGCUCAGGGUUUUGCGAGGAGGAAGAAGAAAUGAGGUAAUGUUCGCCUACGGCGGCGUCUAUGGCCACUUAUGGUGUGGAACAUUCAAAAAACUUUUGCAGACGACACUAGGGGUGUGCAUGGUCCAGGCGGGUGGUUCCCGACCUAGAACCGAGAACUGCCCGCUAAGGACCGGUUCCAAAAAAUUGGAACCGGAUCCACCCGUUUGUUGCAUGGAUCCACCUAGGAACCGGACCACCGGUCCGGUCCGGUUCCCAGGUGGAUCCAUGAAACCGAUCUUGACGCGAAACAAUUUUGGUUUUCAACAUAGAAUGGUCGGGUCUAUGAGUUGGGAAGGAGGGAAGGAGGUCUAUGGUCGGGUUUUCAACAUAUAACGGUCGCAAAACAAUUCUGUGGCGGGUGCCGGCCAACACGAGAGGGCGAACAACAGCGGCGGAGGAGAAACAACGGCAGCGUCGACGCUCGGGGAGGAAUUGAAAUGGCGAUAGGAUUAGGAGGAACCGAGGAAAAGACAAAGAGAGAGAGAACCGAAGACGAAGGGAGUGAAGAGAUGAGAUCUAAUCUAGGAUUUCUUUUAGUAAUUUUUUUUUAAUAUUAAAAAGGUUUCGGUCCAGUCCGGGUGGGCGGAUCCGCCCAUGGAACCGGGAAUCGGACCGGUACCCACCGGUUCCGAAAAAUUGGAACCGGGAACCGGACCGGUUCCCUCAAGAACCGCCGGUUCUGGGCGGUUCCGGUCCGGUUCCGGGUAGUUCGGGCAGUUCCCGAGUAUUUUUGCACACCCCUAGACGACACUCUCAAAUGGAAAUGGACAGAUGUUUAGAAAUGCUUAUUAUUUAGCCUAAAAAAAAUAAAUUAUGGCAAGUUGAGAGAAAUUUAAAUUCCAUUUGGGAAGCAAAGUCUUUGUGGGAUUAAUUGACGAUAUCUUGAUUAUCCAUUUUACUAACAUUAUUAUAAUUCAUCUUCACAAAAAAGACGGUAUUUAGCUUUCUAAGUUGAUAUUUUUGGGAUUAAUUGGUCCAUUUUGAUUUAGUAGUUCAGGAGAGGAUUUGUACGUGUAUUUGGAAUAUCGUAUAAGUUGAAUUUUCUACAUGAUUAAGUGUAAACAAUUCCAUAUUUAACGCCAUAUGAAUUUUAUGGUUUAUAAGGUAGAUGAUAUUGGGAUAAUAUAAAAGGCAUGUCUCAUUUUUUACCCAAUGACUUAUUAUGUACCUCUAAGUUUAAAUAUUACCAAAUAUGUAUGAGUUUUACCUUUGGAGACCCUUUGCACUUCCGCAUCAAUUUGCCUCGCAUCCUUAGUUUUUCUCAAAAAAAUGUCUACCCCAUAUUCCAAAUUCUUAUGUCCAAAAAAAAGCACUCGAAGCCAACUGAAAAUUAAAACAUUCAAACGUGAAACAAAAAACUAAAAUAAGUUUUCAAGAAGGGACGGUUUGAUCUUUUCAAUAUUGGAUUUUACUUAGAUGCAUGCGAAAGUUAAUUGUAAACAAGCUUUUUCAUUGAACUACCCCCGGUAAGGUUGGGUUGAAAGCAAAAAAAAAAAAAAAAAACCACGGAUAAUGAGAAACGAGCUGUCGUUUUCUAGAUUCGAGGGAAAUACUCCCCUUUUUAACUUGGGCUGCAGCUGUCUCCCCUCCACCCUCUAUACACAACAGAAAAAACUCCCUUCAUUUUGUCAGCCACGGAAACGGACCGCUUAAGCAAAUCUUCAUUACCGGGGGGAGAGACGAUCAAUCCUCCAAUCUUAAUUCCAUUCGAUUGACAUUCUUUACAAAAAUGGGUUGUGGGGAGUCGAAGCAUGCUGUUGCCACCGGAAACACCAUAACCAAAAGUAGGAGUUCAAGCGCCCAUCCAGAGAAGAACAAACAAGUGGAACAAAACGUUCCUCAGAUGGAAACAAUUGGGAAUGGUGCGGCAUUACUUGUGCGACAAGAAAGCAAUAAUGCGGUGAGCCAGGAUAUAGGAACUGCAGCUGAUGUUAAGGACAUAACUGAACAUCCUGGGCCCAAACAAGAAGAAGAGAACAAAGGAGAAGAGACAAAGGCCGAGGAUGAAGACAAAGAGGAAGAGAAGGAGAUCAAGCCGGAGCAAGAGUUAGAGCCAGAGAUGAAACCGGUAGUAGAAGAGGAAGAGGCAGAGCCUGGGAGAUUCAUAUCCUGCGACUCGCCGGAUCAUUACUUCUCUCCGAGAAGACAUGAGGAAGCACUGGAAGGGAACGUGUCUGAGGGGCUCUCCUCUGAGUACAACUCACCCUGGCAUGAACCGGUGAAGGAGGACGAGUACGGUAAAGUGGUUGUGGAAGAGAAGAAUCCAACUGGACUGGAAAAGGCAGAGGAAUGGAAGAAGGAAAUUGACUCCGCUCCUGAUGAGGUAAUUGAAUGAGUCUUGUGAGAUUUAAUGGCUGAGUUCUAAUAAUAGAGACAUGUAUUCAGGAUCAAAAGGUCACGGUUGCAGGUUAGCAGACAUACGUCUUAACGUGGAUUAUGUUUAUGCUAAUCGACACAACCCGUUUUUUUCCCCUGAUUUUGAUACAUUUACUGUGCAUUUGGACAUUGACGCGAAGGCCAAGAAGUACAAACAUCUCAGACUUGACUGUUUGAGCUGGUUUUCUGAUCGAGAUGGUUGACUCUAGAAAAAGUUUACGGAACCAUGUUUCUGUGCAGGAAGUCGUGGCUGAUUUAGCAAGUGGAGAAGUAGCGAAGAGCAACUGAAUCGAAGAAGCAGCAUUGUGAGAACAAUUUCCAUAACUAAUGUCAAGCAGCCUUUUAUGUGUUAGUUACUUAGAAUAACAGUCAUGUAGUUUGGUUCUAGAUGCUGAAAAUUGUCAGAACAGAGAACAGACUUGAGGUUGGAGCCUGGAAUGCAAUUUAUAUCAUUUGAUAUGCGUGCAUUGGGGCUGGAGAGAUGAUCCUAAUUUCUAUGUAAAAGAAACUCCCAAGGGAUGCUGUCACCUUGCAGUGUUACACUCUCUGAAGACAGUUGAAAUCAAAAGGAUCCUUGAAUCACAUAAGGUGAUCAAAUCAUAAUCAAAGAGUCAUGGAGGCUAGAUUUAAAGUACUUAAAACAAGUACACUAGCUCAAAUGCAAUUUGAACAUCUAGCUAUAUCUGAAAUAAUGACUACGACAUUGGCACUUCAUUUUAAGACAUCAAGUGAAUAGCGGCAGUGUAUCAAAAUUUUAUUCUAAACUCGGAAUACCUAAAACUAAUGUUCUAACAAUAUCUGAAUGCAAGUCCUUGGCGGAGAAAAUUUCGUGACUGGUAGUUUGGAAAGUGGAGGGCCACAUCUCCAGAACCACAUCAGAAAGAUCCAAUUUUCAUGCUUAGAUAUAAGUAGAGCAAUUUUUUUCCUAAUUGUAGUCUGUGAGCUCGGAGCCUAGUAUGAUCACAUUUUCAAUGAUCACUCAACGUGGACAUCUUUAUUUCUGAGAUGCCUAACGAUGUGGGAAUGUGCCUGUCCUAAUUUUGAUGGAUUAGUUAUAACAGAAGCUGAGGUUUGGUAUCAAUUCUUCCCCAGAUAGAGGGGAUUCUCAAUCAUCCUGGCUAGAUUAUUGAAAAAAGAUAUAUCUAUAUCAAAAUCAUCCACGAAAUUGUUGAUGGCCCUUACACUAUGCAUUAGAAGAUGAAAAACACGAAACCCCACUGCUCUUUGGCUGUAUAUCGGAAAAAAAUAGAGUUACUGAGAAUUGUUGAUUUUGUCACUAUCAAAUUACGUUGCGAUAUCCUAUCGAAACAGGAUAACCGUGUCUAGCAAAUCAGCUUAUAAUUAAUUAUCCCUGGAGAUUGUCUUCUCUGCCGUUUAUUUCAAGGAUUUCUUCAAGAGAAGACUUUAAGUAGGCAUUACUGGAGAUGGUGCUACAAAAAAAAAAAAAAAUGAAGCAGCUGUAACAAUGGAAUGGUAGACCCGUCUACUUGCAUAUACGCUCGAAAAAAAAUACAGGAAAUGAAGGUUUGAUCAGGAUUUGAUUACAAGGGUUUGUUGAGCUUUAUGGGAUUAUAUACUUGAGCAGGUAUUACCGACUUCCUUCAUAUCGGCUUGAUCGAUGCAGGAAUCCGUGCUUACAGAGAUGAUGAAGAACCAUGCAUUGGGGGUAGAGAUUGGCAUUAAGCUUCUCCAAGCAAUCAAGCGGUCAAGAAUGUCCAUGUCGAUUUUGUCAAAACAUUAUGCCUUCAUUGAAUGGUGUCUCAAGGAGUUGGUUCAGAUGCUGGAGUGCAAGAAAACCAAGAGACAGAACAUCAUGCUAGUUUUCUUGGAUGUGGAACCUUCUGAGGUUUGGUAGCAAGAAACAAGAGGUGAUACAGUGAUGGAACUAUUAGCGAACGGAAGGCCACUCCAUGGAAGUUCGAGCACUAAAGGGAGGGGACGUAUAAAGCAUGCCCGACAGAUCAUUCAGAAAUCAUGCCAAAAAUGGCAUUGUUCACCGGGGUUUGACUUUUUCUUAGCUUAAGUAUAUGUUGUAAGUCCAUUUUCAUUCUUUCACUUGGCGAAUAAUUUCAACAAGGAUUCUGUCCAAACGAGGUCUUAAAUUUUUCUAAUGUGGUUUUGCCUGACAAUCCGUUGGUCAACCCAAAUUUCCAAUUCCAAGUGUUCUUCUACUCCCCAAGUAUCAGCCUCAAAAGUGACUUAGAGAAAACAUUCAUCAAGAUGGUUUUUAGCGAGUUGAAAAAGGGUUAUUCAGUAUUAUCGGAUUGCUUGGUUAAAGUAGAUAACCGAGUGAAAUCAUGAGAAUGAUUGGCUCUUAUAUAGAUGAAACACUGAUUGCUGGUACCCAUGGAGUGGGCGGUGCUAGAAAGACCACUCUUGUCAUAAUCAUCUACAAUAAACUUUCUAACAUUUUAGAAACUUCGAAGGUGAAGGGUGGUGAGUAAUUGCAGAAUUAGCUCAUCUCUGACAUCCUCAAAAGGAAAUGGACAAAUAUAAGUAACCGUGAUGAAGGGAUUAAGAUGAUUAAAGAUAGGCUGUGUUUCGAAAGGCUUCUUCUCAUCAAUGAUGUCGAAAUAAAUAAUCAAUUGAAUGCAUUGAUGGGCAAGGGUGAUUGUUUUGUGAAGGAAGUAAGCUUAUCAUCUCUAGAGAAACAAAUAGGUUCUCAAUGUCCUGAAGUGGAUUGGACCUAUGAAAUUAAUUGCAUGGAUUUUGACAAAUCUCUUCAAUCUUUCGGCAGACAUGCCUUUAGAAGAGAUUGUCUUUUGGAUGAUUAUCUUGCCCACACCAGAAAUGCAAUAUGCACUACUGGAGGUUCCUCUAACUCUCGAGAUUGUUCUUUCUUGAUUAAAGGAACGAUAGUACUCCAACCUCUUAAAAUAGUGAAUUUGAAUAAAUGCAUUUCGCUUAAACUCUUUUGUUUUUAAAAUUUUCCAUUGGGUAGGGAAAAACAAAAGUUGAAGCUCUUCGUCUCCACUUUGACCAUGAGCGGCAGUACUAUUUUACCUAUAAGGACUUUGAGAAUAUAUAUAAUCUAAGGUUUCUUCAAGUUGACGAUUGGAAGGAAUACUUUCGUGCAGAAGAGAGGCUUCUUUGGCAUGAAUCGCUAUCAAAUGUUCUUCCAAUUGAUAAUUUCCAGGAGAAUUCAUAUCUCCUUCCACAAUUACGAUGCCUUUCUUGGCCUAAAAUUCCCCCAACAUUUAAGAUUACAAAUUUCUCCAUGAAGAAUGUGGUUAUUCUUGAUCUAUCAAAGAGUAAAAUUAUGCACGAUUGGAAGGCGUGGAGCCAUAUGAAGGUAUGUUAUAUGCUAGACAACACUUAUCAUUUCGUCUUAUUAGAUUAUAAGUAAUCUUUGCAUAAUUUUUCUUUUUCAUAGGUGAUGAAAAAUUUGAAAGUUAUGAAUCUAACAUGUGUUUGCUUGGAGAGAACCCCCGACUUCUCUGCUCAUUCAAAAUUAGAACGUUUGAUCUUACGGGACUGUCCCAAAUUAGUUGAAAUUGACAAGUCGAUUUGUCAAUUGAAAAGCUUAAUUUUUUUAGAUGUAACAUCUUGGUCAAUUUUUCUAAAAUCUUAAGCCUAUUUAUUGAAGGCAUGGUCAAUAUUUAAAUACUCUAACGCUACCCUCAUGCAUAAGCUAAAUAUUGGUCUAAGAUUAAAGUGUAGAAAUAUCUAAUUGAAGAGGCACAUAGAGACUUGAUAAGACUUGAAUGCGGGAACUCUUGCUUAGGCAUUGUUUAAAAUCUAAGUACUCCAACACUCUUCACGCAUUAGAUUUCGGCUAAUAUACACAAUGUAGACUAUAGAAUUUGUGCUUAUAUAUAUAUAUAUAUAUAUAUAUAUAUAUAUAUAUAUAUAUAUCAAUGGAAUAUUUAUAGAAUUGGAUAUUCAUACAUUACUCAAGUAAGUAUACAAACCAUUCUGAUAGAACAUAAGUGGUAAACUAGAAUAGAAAUGACAACUAAUGAUCAAGCUUUUUACCCUUUUAUCAAUUGAUGAUUGUAAUUCAAAUAGAACCAAGUGUGAUUAAUUUAACUAUAUUUAGUAUUAUACACGGAAUGGUGACAGGUUGGAUCGUCAUUAAGAGAUGACAUUCACAAUGCUAAAGAGAUCUCGCUGUAAUUAUCAUUCUAUUUAUUUAAAUUGUGAACCAUUUCCACUUUAUAAAAGAGAAAUCAAUUGAAGACGAGCUGAUGAUACUUGGUCACCUAGGAGAAACAUCUGAAAGGGUCACUUCAUUAACAGUAGAAGUUUUGUGAAUUAGACUGAUAGGAUUGAGUGUUCUCACAUUUCUCCCAACUGAGAAUGCAGGCAAAGAUGGUCGAGUAAGUGGGAUAGUAUCGGCUCCUAGCAUAUGAACCACGGGCGACAUGGUUGGUCGAUCUAUUGGGUCUUCUUGAACACACAAUAGACCGAUGUGUAUGCACUUUACCACUUGAAUUGCAUCAUAUGACUCUUUGAUUGAUGGAUCGGUAAGUUCCAAACUUCGACCUUCGGACCACAACGGCCAUGCCUGUCAUUUUGGAAGGGAAGUAAGCAAGGACAAUUGCACAUAAUUCUGAGGUUUCAUAUUAAAAAAGUGUGGUGACUAGGAACAUACAAGGGUGAGAAGGCUUUCACCGUGCUCUGGGAGAUGAAAACCGUUAUUCUUUCGCCCACUUAUCAUCUCUAGCAAGAGAACUCCAAAACUGAAGACAUCUGAUUUAAUAGAAAAUAGUCCUUGCAUCGCAUAUUCCGGUGUCAUGUAUCCACUGACCGAAAUUAUGCGAUGAAGUGCAAUUACUUGGAAGUAAGAAACAAUUGUUGAGAAAUAUUGUGAGUAAUAAGGGUAAAAUAGUAAUUUAGUUAUGAUUAGGGUUAAGCACAUAUGAGCAUAUAUAUUUGUAACCCUUUUUCACUUUUUAAUAUAUAUAGAAAAUAAUUAUCUCAUUCACAUGGUAUCAGAGCAAGGUUGGCCGAAACCUUAGAUGACGGAGCAGCCACUCGCCACCGCAACUCGCCAGAAUAGUUGGCUAUCGCCGCCACUCAUCAUUGAAACCUCCUGCCACUCGAGUGUCCCUCUUCCUUUCUCUUGCUUCUUCGUGUGGCUCGCGUGCGCGGCUCGUGCGGCUCGCGUGCGCGGCUCGCGCGGCUCGCGUGCGCGGCUCGCGCGGUUCGCGUGCGCUGCUCGCACGGCUCGCGCUCGCUGCUCUCGUGGCUGGAUCGCGCUCGUGGCUCACACGCCUUGAUCACGCUUGCGGUUUGCGCUGCUUGCACGACUCUUGCGCGCUACUCACACGGAUUGCUCACGCUCGCAGCUCAUUCACGCUAGCGUAACUUCUGAAAUUGUGAAGCUUGAACCUCAAUUCCGCGAAACCCUAGCACCAAUGCCGCUGUAAACUCGAGACCCAUCUUCGGGAGCUAGUCCGUGUGGUUGAUGGUGUAGGAGGGUUCUUGAAUUUGCUGCCCUAGAAUCACCGAUCAGUAGCCACAUCAAGUAAACUUGCUUUCUUUUGUUUCUUUUUUUUGGGAAAUCAAUGCUGUUGGAAGCUGGAAGGUUGAAUUUAAAGCUGCUAUUGGAAGUUGGUUCGUUUGUCGGGAGGUAAUAAGGAGGAGGAGAAACACAGAAGAGAUUGGUGCUUCCUUGUGUUCUUGACAUCUCUGUUCCCCCCGCACAGUUCUCUGAAGUUGAAAAAAGGUGGGGAGACAGAAACAUGUAUAAGUCAGAGAGGACUCUGGGAGAAGAGAGAUGCGCAUAGUGAAUGAUGGAUUCUUUAUAUUAUCUUAAUUAUUACUUUUAAAUUUUUGUGCUGGCUGUGGAGUACGGAAAGGUUUUUUUAGAAGCAGCAAAUGAUGGGUUAUUUUCUGGCUGUUGAACAAUAACUCACUUUAUUAUUUGUAUUGCACAAAAUUUUAGAAGUGGCCAUUGUGGAAUAUAGAUUUGAUAGUUAUUACAGAGGAUAGAGUUGCUGUUUUUCGCACUUGAAAGUGAUGUUGCAUUGAAUCAAUGGGGAUAUUGAGAAUAAGUAUACUGGUGCUUUGGUAAUCCGUAUGGCGAUUCGAUUGAAUCCUUUCUUUUCGAAAUUUCUUUUUGUGUAUUUGUGUGAAUUAUUGGAAUUAGCAUUGGCAACCAUGAAGUUCAUCUCUUGGGCUCCAUCAUUCUUUAUUCACUAAUGGCGACCUCUGGAUUGACUUCUGGAUCUCCUUUUGGUCAUUUUCAAUUAACAUCUGUCAAGUUAGAUGGAACUAAUUAUCCAUCCUGGUCUAAAGCGGUCGAAGUCUGUCUUACUGCCACUAGACAACUGGACUAUCUCACAUCUACAAUACUGUCUGACACGAGUAAAGCCGCCAAUUGGAUUGCAGGAGAUGCGAUGAUUCGGACCCUAUUAUGGACUAGCAUGGCUCACGAGCCCUCGCCCAGAUUUGGGGCAAGGAUCGUGGCCCUCGCCGCGAUUCGGCGAGGGCUUGCAACCCUCACCAUCGGUUGGCCAGGGGCCGGCGACCCCGGUCAACCCUCCCCACUCCGUCGCCGGCCCUUCCCGGCGACGGCGGGGAGGCAGCGACGGCGAGGGCUUAGCCCUCAGCCGCCCCAUUCGACCUCCUCCCCUUUUUUUAAAAUUAUUUUUAAUUUUUAAUUUUAUAAAUUUUUCUUAAUUUUUUUAAUUUUUUAAAAUUUUCUUAAUUUUUUUUAAUUUUUUUUAAUUUUCUUAUUUUUUUAAUAUUUUAAAUAAAAUUAAGUUUAAAUCUAAUUUAAUUAAUUUUUAUAUUAUUAUCCAUGUUAGCGUGCAAAACGACACCGUUUUGAACCAAACUCGCCGGAAAAUUACCACGUUAGCCAUUUAGCCGGAUUUUCGCCGGAGUGACACUUAAGUGUUCCAUUUUACUCCGAUAUUGGCACUUAAGUGUACCAUUUCAAAGUUAUGGCACUUAAGUGUCCCUCCGUGCCAAGUUAUGACACUCUAGGUGUCCCAACCUCGAAUGACACCAUUAUACGCUUACCAUGACAAAUUGUGUGCCCAUUUUGAGAAUUAGAUAACUUGUACCUUCACUGUCAGACUCAGUGUUGGUUUUGUUUGUUGUAGAAGGUGCUGGUGCUUGUCCUCUAGGUUCCCCACUAAGAUUCAUUUGGUACCGUACAUUACAACUCGGCUGAAGAAUUCUCGCACCUCCCCUUUUAAAAUUAAGAGCGGUAGGAAACUCUUUGAUAGCCGAAAGCAAGCAACUCUUACAGGCUGAUUUUGCUAUGUCGGGGGUUCACUGUGCAAUCUCAUACAUGGUCACUGAACUUGAGACAUUAACGUUUAUGGUUGCAUAUAAACUUUCUGAGGAGAUCACCAAGUUUGUUACAUUUCUUGCCAAAUCCAUCACUUUUGCUGCAACGUCCUCAUUAUCGAAAGUUUGUUCCUCAAUCCUGUUGAAGGAAACUGAACUGUUUGUAGGGUCGACAAUGAAAAUACUCGAUCUUGUCUCCACGAUAGAGAAGACCGAUCUGUUGGAGUAGCGCAUAAGACACUCGUCGUACCAUAUGGUCGCCUCUUUCUGUCCUGGACAUCUUUCCACGAGGGUGUUGCUAGCUUCCUGGAUGCAAGACUGACAGCGAUUGGCAGCAACAUUGCCUCUAAAGAGGAAUAGGGAAGUCGCAUUGGUAGUCACUUAUAUCUGGGUGGUAAUGUUUUAGUUGGCAUUGGAUCAUCGUACUUUGUAGAGAAUUUUAAUUAAGACCAAUAUAUCAGGUCCAUUAUAAAUCCUAUUUCCAAGUGAGCCGAUUCCAAAGAUUAUAAUGAUUGAUUUGGAACGUAUUACUCAAAAGUAGAAAUUUUUGGUAUCUUUCACACGUGAUUUACCUGCAGAGGAAGAGACCAUGAACUUUGUCCGGAUCUUCACCUUCCGUCGUGUUGUAGAAACCGUAAAUGGGUCCUUUGUUGGAAGCAGCGUAGUCGCCCUUGGAGGAGCGUAGUUGCCCUUUUUUGCGCACUGCUCGUGCCUCGCACGCGUCAUCGACGGCCCCCGCACAUGUGCGUUGCACGUGCGUCGAACGUGCUUCGCACGUGCACGCGUCGGCCACACACGCUCGGGCGACGCACGCGCCUGCGUCUUCAAAUCGCACGCGCCAGAGACACCGUUUCGCUUCAGCUACGCGUGGGGGCGCAUCCGACGGCCUUUGGUGGUGUUCCGCCACUCGUCAUGCUUGUCUCGACGAGACCCUCGAUCCUACGCCAUCAGAAACUGAUUUUGACUUAUAGAAAAUAAAAAAUAAAAAAAAAUGGAUGAACAAUGCUCGGGUGUCGGGAUUUUUCCGCCCCCAAUCGGUGUCAGCCGAUUUUCAACGAAAAGUCAAUAAAAAAAUCAUUCAUAAACAUGAAAGGGGUCGGGAAAAACAUGAAUAAGGAUCGGGAAACAUGAACUCUCGCUCUAAUACCAAUGUCGGGAAUAUCGGAUUCCCAAAAAUCGGAUUCGACACUAAAUCGAACCCCUAAAACAAGUGCGGAAGACGAGCUCGGGAAAAAGACAUGUAUCACUGAUCCUAAGAAACAUUACAGAAUCGAACAUACCUUGUUAGCCACAUAUUAAACACCAACGCUGAUAUGAGCAAAAAGAAUUAAUCAUGUUCGAUCCGAUGACGCCAAUUCGUCUUGAAGGGAAGAGAAUUCUGACUCCUUUUGUUAUUGUUCUUCUUUUGGAGUGUUUGGAGGGAGAGAGGGAGGAGGAACGUACAUUACUUGAAAAGAUGCGUUCCUCCCUCUUUGUUUCUCCCUUAAAUACGUCAUCUCCAAAGGACGUGUCCCUUCAGCAAAAGAUGCUCCCAAAAAGUUACAACUCUUCAACAUAUCUCUACAUCCAUGGGCCCUAAUUUUGUGGGCCAAGCUUUUAGGCCCAACAUGGGCGGACGGGCCAACUUAGGCCCAUCACAUUAAUUAAUUAAAACCAUUAGUCUAUGCACCGACAGGAGUGCCUUGGAUGCAGAGGAUUAGGCAUGAAAUCCAGAAAGCGAAGGAAAUAUUUCUUGGUGCAUUGAGAAUCUUUUUUUCUUGAACUUGGAAAGAACGCAAGCACAGUAAGAGUAAUUCAAAGAUGGCCAUGGACUUUCUUUUAACUCAAGAGGAGUAGGACAAUAAGCGACUUCUAGAGGGCGAGGUGAAGAAAUUGAUCAAGAACCAAGUUUUGCAGCUGCUCUCCCUGAUUCUGGGGUUGGUAAAGACGAAUUAGUCCAAAUUCCACGUUCCGUUGUCAAUAGGGACAAGCACCCGAUUGGCCUUUUUUUUUUCCAGAAGAAAUGAGGGCGAACUUUCCUGGCUUGCCCUACCAACGAAAAUACCAGGUGGAGCCCAAUAAGAUCUUCCUGAGUAGCCUCCUGGAGCUCACCCCGCAGGUUGCCUAACUCCAGCCCGUGUAGACGGAGACCUGCAAUCAGACCUUACCAGAGAAGAUGGACUUCCCGACGAGCUUGUUGAGGUCGGACUUGCUGAGGUGGAAGGUAGGCCGCUGCCACCCCGUCCCCCGAGAGGGGAGGCAACACUGUUGAGGGAGGGGGGUGGGGGGUGUCGGCCUGGAGGGAGAAGCUCUUGAGCUUGAUCUUGCAAAAGGAGGGGGAGAAGGAGGGGUGGACGGUAGAGCCCUCGGACUUAGCGGCGAUGGGGAUCUUGAAAGCGAGGCUCCCUACCAUGAGCAGAGAGAAGAAGAAAAAAUAAAGGAAAAAAAAGAAGGAAACUCAUAUUUAAGGAAAAAAGUCAUGGAAAAUCUUGAACUUUGCCCUGAGUGACACAUUUACCUCAAACUUUUUUUCUUGUGCUGUGAAAAACUCCAAACUUUCUAAACCGUGACAUAUUUACUCCAAACUUUUUUUUUUGUGACACCAAAAACCUUGAAACUUUGUCGUGUGAUACAUUUACCUCAAAAUUAUAGGGCAUUUUAGUCUUUUCAUUUUUUAAGAUUUUUUAAGAUUUUUUUUUCUUUUUUUUUUCUUCUCUCUUCCCUUAGCUGGCUGGCUGACGGAGGGAAGCCGGCAUUCGGCAAGGGUCGCCCUCACCAGUGUCGGGCAAGGGCUGCCCUUGCUGGCAUUGGGCUAGGGCGGCCCUUGGUCGGGUCGGGUGAGGACUUCCCUCGCGCCCUUGCCUGCGUCGGCGUCGGCGUCAAGCACCCCUCGCCUGACGCUAGCAAGGGUUGCCCUCGCCAAACGCCAGUGAGGGCGGACGCCAGCGAGGGCGACCCUCGCCGGACGCUGGCUUCCCUCCGCCACCUUCGCCAUGGCCAGCGGAGGGAAGAAGAAGAAAAAAAAAAAAAAAAGGAAAAAACAGAAAAAAGACAAAAAUGCCUUUAUGGGGUAGAUAUAUUACGGUUCGGAAAGUUUGGGUUUUUCACGUCACAAAAAAAAGUUUGGGGUAAAUGUGUUACUCAAGCAAAGUUCAAGGUUUUUCGUGGCUUUUUCCCUACCUAUUUUCACACGGUGAAAUUCCGCGUACGGCCAAUAUUUUGUCCUUUUCGAUGGGAACAAAUCAACCUAGUAUACAAACCCAAAAGACCCAAUAAAGACUCGGCAGUGGUUAUUAAUCAUCCUAGGCAUGUUCCUCCUCUUGGUUCAAGGCGGAAGUUCGAAACACCGCAACUGUGCAUUCUCUCAGGGUCAUCUAGAAGCAUAGAAAUUCUUGAAUGUGUGAGACGGGAGGACCAUCAUACCUGAGGAGACUUGCCUCGAAGGAAUAAGGGUAAAUGUAUCUUUGGUAGAAAAAAAAAACAAAUAGGAUGCUCCACUGAAACUCCAUCAUUUGUUGAUGUUGCGAUAAGGCGAGCGAUCGAACAAUAAUAUAACAAAAGAAUAAAAUAAAUCGAACACUAGAUUUACGUGAUUCAGUCAUAAAGACCUACGUCCACGGAGAGAGUAACAGUGAAUUUCACUAUAAAUCAAGCAAUACAAGGAGAUUACACACUCAAGUCACUCAAACACUCACUCGGUGUUUCCCAAAUUCCAAUUUAACACCAAACCCAACUCACGGCACAAAAUUACCGUGCGUUCAACUCGAAACAAAAACGCUCUUGUGUAUCUCUUCAAAGCUUCACGUGGAGGACUUGCGGCUUCAUGGACGUGCGGCUUCGUAGACUUCGGCGGACGUAUGGCACUUCUUCUACGUAGGGUUUCUUUACCAACUCCAAGCAAGCCCACUAUCAAGGAAAAUAGAUUCUGCUUUUAUACGUGUGUGUGCGCCCAUAGACUUUGACUCUGGGCCCACCGUAACUUUCCUUCUCUACGUGCGUGGUCUUCGCUGGCUUCUAGGAGAAGGAUUUAUUUAUUUUUCUUUAUAAGCUGAAGAGGAAUCCAGGCGUGCAAAUUCGUGUGUGUGCCCAAGGUCAAACUUUUGACCUUGGGCCCCACCUCCUCCUUAGAGCUUCACAUGCAGGUUUCGCGGAUUCCUUUCUCUCGGUUCUUCGCGUGGAGAAGCUUCACGCGGCUUUCCUUUUCUGUUUCGUAAAGGAUUCCGCAGCAAAGCACUUUCUUCCUUUAUUUCAGCAAAUCGAAUUUUGCACUCAAACUUGAAUCAUAUUUAAAAGUUGACGAAGACACGGGACUAAGACUUCACCGCGUUUUUCACGGUCAGAGACAUUGAUUUUUGCUCUUCAAAGUCUAAGACUCCUUUUACAUGCCGACAACUAUAGAUGUCCUUUCGAAUCUUUUCUAAAUGUGUUUUUCUAUGCUUUGAAUGAGCAACCCUGUUUAUGGGAUCUUGUGAGUGGUGUUAUAGAAAAUAAUUGUACUUUGAAAGGUCGACGCAACAUAUUCAUCGAAAUUUGUAAUUUUUGCACAAAUUCAUUGAGAAUAUUAUAUGAGUAUCAUUCUUCUUUUGUACUUUCUUAUGUAAGUGUGUCUUGGAAGACAAUAUUAUAUUCUUCAUAAUAUAUGUUGGCAAAUGAUGAUAGAAAAUAAUUUUCUUUCUUAUUGAUUUGAUAGAUUUCCAACGAGAACAAAGUUAUCAACUAUUUUGAUAUGAUUGGUCAGAAGUAAUAACUUUUCCCUAUGUGGCGCUAGUAAACCUAAUCCACGAGUGGGCUGAGCUAAAUUUUUGAAGACUACUGAGCAAGCCUGGACAGGUCUGGUCAAGCGGGCGGAGGGGGGUUAGGUCAGAGCAAGGGCCUUGAGGCUCGGCCUAUUGCGCCCUUAUAUUUAUUAAAAAAAUUACAAAAAUAUGUCUAGGCUCAGCCUAUUGCGCCCUUAUUUUUGCAAACCAUCCUCAUAAUCUCAAAGCAAAACUCCACCAUGAAAAGAGCAAAUAAUCCCCCCUUACAAAAUUCAUUUUAUUAAACUACUUAGGGUUUAAUGGGUUUGGUCUUUAGUUUGUUUUGGCUAAUUUGGUUGGCGGUGAGAAAUUAGGAUUUGGAACGGGCAUUUUACAAAUUAAAUAGAAACAUACGAAUAAUUGAUGUGAAGGGUGGUUUCCAAAAGUAAUGCUCAAUUAUGUUUUUGUUUUUCUUCAAAAGUAGAGGUAUAUAUGUGGUCGUUCGUGAGCGCUAAUGUAUGCUUUUGGUUUUUUUUUCUUUUAUUAGUAAUUUUACUAUGAUAUCUAGAAUUAAUAACCAGCAGUAUGACAAACUAAGCACAAAAUUCCGAUAUAGGAGAAAAAAAUAGUAUAAAACUCACAGAUAAAAUAAAAAAAUAAUAUAACACAAAACCCUAUAAUUAUUUUACAUUUAUUUUCAUUUUCUUUUUUUCCUAGCUAUAAAUUUUAAAAAUAAAAAAGUAAAGUUCCUCCACCGGGCGAGCUUGGCCAGCUAACGUUUUUCUCGAGCGCCAACGAGUAGACCCGGGGGCCAAGUACCGUUGCUGAGUCAUCCGCACGCGUUUCUUGAUACUAUUGCUUGCCAUUAUUGCUUGGCAUUACUCAUUAUUUUUUGUUUACUUGAUUAUAUCAAAUGAAAAUAGGUCAUUAAUUAUUAAUUUUUGUGGAGAAAUUAUCUAAAAAGUUCUAAACCUAUUAUGUUUUUACUAAUUCAAUUAUAAAUAUUUUAAUAUGCUAUCUAAGUCCUAAACAAUUUUACAUUUUGCCUAUUGAGUCCAUUUGAUUAAUUUUGAUUGGAAAUUGAUGCAUGGAUACUGAAUCUCUUAUGUGGUAUUAUUGAUGCUGAAAAAGACAUUUUUUUAAUGAUAUUUUAACAUUUUAUUGAAUUUUUAUAAUUUCUUUCUUUUCUCUUAUUUUCUUUACCUUUUUCUAGAUUUAGGCUGGAGAGGGCAUUACGGUCCAUAUAGGCCAUUGGGCAAGGGUCGAGGGUUUGGCAAUGGUUAUGUUGCCCUUGCUAGAUCUGGGCAAAUGAGGGCAUCGUGACCCUCGUCGGCCCUAGCCCUAGGUGAGGGCCAUGAUGCCCUGACCCCUUUUGGGCAAGGCUGUGUUAGUGCCAUCAUGACGUAUAAGAUGUUUGAUUUUCAAGUUAGUGAUUUUCAAUCAAAAUUAGUCGGAUGGAUUCAAUUAAUAAAAUGUGAAAAUGUUUAUAAAUGAAUUAACAAAAGUGCAAUAGGUGUAAGACUUUUUGAACAAUUUUCUCAUUUUUGUGUGUCUAAAUUGCAAAUGCGGACAUAGUAAUUUUCUCAUGUGAGAAUCACUAACAACAUUUCGAUAGCAGAGAGUAGUGUUUUAUAGUGGUUUCAAUUAGAAGCGGCAAAUGAUCAAAAUAGCCAAUAGGUUCACUUAAGAUUAUUUGAAUUAAUUAUCAUUAUUUGGUUUAGAGCUAUUGUAAUUGAGAGGAAGAAAAGAAAAUCUCUUUCCGAAGAGUAGAAUUGAUAAUGAAGAUAUUUAGAUUUAGAUGAUGCAAUGUGCAAAAAAUAAAAAUAAAAAUAAAAAUAAAGGACAACACAUGAACGGUGAGGGUCCUUUUUGGGAUUUUCUUCGAGGAAAGAACUCUAUUCAUUAUCACUUGAACGGAAAUGUAUUUUAUAUGAUGAAUGCGUCACAUGACAGUGACACGUGAUACAAUAGAUCAAUUAACAAUAAGAUUUAUAUUCUGGUCAAUAGACGCCUCAUCAAUGUUAAGUAAUAUAUCUAUUUCAUAAAGGAAAAAUGACAAAUGACACCUGAAUUUUGGCUUUAAUGCAAUGUCAUUCUGAAGUUUUUAAUUUAUCUAAUGUGGUCUCAAAAUUAUUGAUAUUAGUUGGGCAAAAAACACUCAAAGUGCCAAAACUUGGCAUAAUGGAAUAAUUAAGUACUAAAAUUUACGAAAGUGACACUUAGGGCGCGUUUGGUUGUGUUUCUGUUUAAAAAUUGUUCCAGGGAACAGAAAUAGAAAAAAGUAUUUCUGUUCCGGGGAACAAUUUUUGAACAAAAAUACGCGUUUGGUAAACUUGUUCCGGGAAUAAAAAAUAAACAGAAACAUGUUUGGUAAAUUUGGAUAAUUUUUUUAUUUCUUUUAUUUUUUCUAUUUUUUUCUUUUUUUUCCUUUUUUUCUUUUUUCUUUUUCAUUUUUUUUUUCUUCUUUUGGCCGGCGACCGGCCGGCGAGGGCCGAGCUCGCCCAGCGGCGGGCGAGGCGCGGCCUCGCCGGGCCACCGCCAGGCGAGGCCGAGGCUCGCCGGCCGCUGGGCGAGCUCGGCCUCGCCGGGCUGGGCGAAGUCUAGGCCUGACCUGGGCCAGAUCAGGCUCGCCCAGGGCCAGGGCGAGGGCGGGCCUCCCCGGGACCCGGCGAGUUCGAACUCACCUAGGGCCAGUGCGAGGUCAGUGCUCGCCCGGGGGAUGGNNNNNNNNNNNNNNNNNNNNNNNNNNNNNNNNNNNNNNNNNNNNNNNNNNNNNNNNNNNNNNNNNNNNNNNNNNNNNNNNNNNNNNNNNNNNNNNNNNNNNNNNNNNNNNNNNNNNNNNNNNNNNNNNNNNNNNNNNNNNNNNNNNNNNNNNNNNNNNNNNNNNNNNNNNNNNNNNNNNNNNNNNNNNNNNNNNNNNNNNNNNNNNNNNNNNNNNNNNNNNNNNNNNNNNNNNNNNNNNNNNNNNNNNNNNNNNNNNNNNNNNNNNNNNNNNNNNNNNNNNNNNNNNNNNNNNNNNNNNNNNNNNNNNNNNNNNNNNNNNNNNNNNNNNNNNNNNNNNNNNNNNNNNNNNNNNNNNNNNNNNNNNNNNNNNNNNNNNNNNNNNNNNNNNNNNNNNNNNNNNNNNNNNNNNNNNNNNNNNNNNNNNNNNNNNNNNNNNNNNNNNNNNNNNNNNNNNNNNNNNNNNNNNNNNNNNNNNNNNNNNNNNNNNNNNNNNNNNNNNNNNNNNNNNNNNNNNNNNNNNNNNNNNNNNNNNNNNNNNNNNNNNNNNNNNNNNNNNNNNNNNNNNNNNNNNNNNNNNNNNNNNNNNNNNNNNNNNNNNNNNNNNNNNNNNNNNNNNNNNNNNNNNNNNNNNNNNNNNNNNNNNNNNNNNNNNNNNNNNNNNNNNNNNNNNNNNNNNNNNNNNNNNNNNNNNNNNNNNNNNNNNNNNNNNNNNNNNNNNNNNNNNNNNNNNNNNNNNNNNNNNNNNNNNNNNNNNNNNNNNNNNNNNNNNNNNNNNNNNNNNNNNNNNNNNNNNNNNNNNNNNNNNNNNNNNNNNNNNNNNNNNNNNNNNNNNNNNNNNNNNNNNNNNNNNNNNNNNNNNNNNNNNNNNNNNNNNNNNNNNNNNNNNNNNNNNNNNNNNNNNNNNNNNNNNNNNNNNNNNNNNNNNNNNNNNNNNNNNNNNNNNNNNNNNNNNNNNNNNNNNNNNNNNNNNNNNNNNNNNNNNNNNNNNNNNNNNNNNNNNNNNNNNNNNNNNNNNNNNNNNNNNNNNNNNNNNNNNNNNNNNNNNNNNNNNNNNNNNNNNNNNNNNNNNNNNNNNNNNNNNNNNNNNNNNNNNNNNNNNNNNNNNNNNNNNNNNNNNNNNNNNNNNNNNNNNNNNNNNNNNNNNNNNNNNNNNNNNNNNNNNNNNNNNNNNNNNNNNNNNNNNNNNNNNNNNNNNNNNNNNNNNNNNNNNNNNNNNNNNNNNNNNNNNNNNNNNNNNNNNNNNNNNNNNNNNNNNNNNNNNNNNNNNNNNNNNNNNNNNNNNNNNNNNNNNNNNNNNNNNNNNNNNNNNNNNNNNNNNNNNNNNNNNNNNNNNNNNNNNNNNNNNNNNNNNNNNNNNNNNNNNNNNNNNNNNNNNNNNNNNNNNNNNNNNNNNNNNNNNNNNNNNNNNNNNNNNNNNNNNNNNNNNNNNNNNNNNNNNNNNNNNNNNNNNNNNNNNNNNNNNNNNNNNNNNNNNNNNNNNNNNNNNNNNNNNNNNNNNNNNNNNNNNNNNNNNNNNNNNNNNNNNNNNNNNNNNNNNNNNNNNNNNNNNNNNNNNNNNNNNNNNNNNNNNNNNNNNNNNNNNNNNNNNNNNNNNNNNNNNNNNNNNNNNNNNNNNNNNNNNNNNNNNNNNNNNNNNNNNNNNNNNNNNNNNNNNNNNNNNNNNNNNNNNNNNNNNNNNNNNNNNNNNNNNNNNNNNNNNNNNNNNNNNNNNNNNNNNNNNNNNNNNNNNNNNNNNNNNNNNNNNNNNNNNNNNNNNNNNNNNNNNNNNNNNNNNNNNNNNNNNNNNNNNNNNNNNNNNNNNNNNNNNNNNNNNNNNNNNNNNNNNNNNNNNNNNNNNNNNNNNNNNNNNNNNNNNNNNNNNNNNNNNNNNNNNNNNNNNNNNNNNNNNNNNNNNNNNNNNNNNNNNNNNNNNNNNNNNNNNNNNNNNNNNNNNNNNNNNNNNNNNNNNNNNNNNNNNNNNNNNNNNNNNNNNNNNNNNNNNNNNNNNNNNNNNNNNNNNNNNNNNNNNNNNNNNNNNNNNNNNNNNNNNNNNNNNNNNNNNNNNNNNNNNNNNNNNNNNNNNNNNNNNNNNNNNNNNNNNNNNNNNNNNNNNNNNNNNNNNNNNGCUCGAGGUCGGCCUCGCCGGAUCUGGGCGAGAUCGAGCUCGCCCAGGCCGGCGCGAGGUCGGCCUCGCCGGGGGAUGGCGAGCGUCGGCCUCGCCGGGGGCCGGCGAGCCUCGCCGUGGCUGGGCGAGGCCGCCGGCCCUCGUCGGCCGGUCGCCGGCCAUGGCCGAGAUCGGCGACCGGCCAAAAGAAAGAAUAACAAAAAAUAAGAGAAAAAAGAAAAAAAAAAAGUGUUUCUGAUUUGUGUUCCAGAAACAAGAAACACAAAAUUUGUGUUUCUUGUUUCUGUUUCUUUUUUGUUCCUGGGAACAAAAGAACAAAAAAGGAACAGAGACGCACCCAAACGCGUUUCUGUUCCUUUUUUGUUCCCAGGAACAAAAAAACAGAAAUUUCUGUUCCUGGGAACAGAAACAGGGUGCAGCCAAACGCGCCCUUAAGUGCCACUUUUUUCUUAUGAAGAAUGGGACAUUUGAGUAUUGCAUCUGGUGAACCUCGUCGGAAAUCUUACGUGACAAUUUUUUUAUUAAUUUUCUUGCUGACAUGGCUCGUCGGAAGGCUGGCUCAAUAAAAACAUAGAAAAACGACGUCGUUUUGGUACAAUUCGAACUUAAUAUAAAAAUUAAUCAAAUUAAAUAUAAAAUAAUUUUUUUUUUUAAAUGAGGAGGAAGGCAGUUGACGGCUGAGGGCUGUCUGCCCGUUAUCACUGAAAAGGUCGGAGAGGGUCAACCGGGGCCUGACGACCCCCGCUGACCGGCAAUGAGGGCUUGCGAGCCCUCGCCCAGAUCUAGGGUGAGGGUUGCGGCCCUCUCCCAAAUCUGGUGAGGGUCGCCAGCCCUUGUCCUACCGGGCCAAAGGCUGCUGCUGGUUGGGGCGACACGCAGGUCCUCAUCAAUAGUCGGCUAGGGUCAUCGGCCACCGACCAGGGUUUGGCGGCCUUGGUUGACCCUCCCCCACCUUUCUAGCAACGAUAGGGAGGCUGUGGCGGCGAGGGUUGAGCCUUCAGCCGCAAGCUGCCUUCCUCCUCCUCCUCCUCCUUUAUAUAUAUAUAUGAAUUUUGUUUUAAAUUUAAAUUAAUUAAUUUCUAUAUUAAUUAUUUACAAUGUUAGCACCAAAAUGACGUCAUUUUGGCAUUGUCUAGUCAUAUCAACGUGCAAAAUGACGUUGUUUUAUAUUAAGCUCAUUGGAAAAUCGCCACGUCAGCAUUUUAAUCGGAUUUUCUCGCUGUUGACACUUAACUAAUCUAUUUUACUUCAAUUUUGGCAUUUAAGUAUCACUUUCCUAACUUUUGAUACUUAAUUGUUCAUUCGUGCCAAGUUUUGGCACUCCUGGUGUCCUUGUGUCGAUAUUAAUUCAGUGUUGUUGAUUUUGUUUGGUCUAUGACCAACUAUUUGUCAUUUGAUGAAUGGGUUAUGGGUUAUGGUUAUUCAUUUCAUGCUGCACUAAAUAAAAAUUAUUUUAUUACUUAUCAAUGCAUGUAUAAUAGUAAAGUGUGGUUGGAGGAUAACGGUGGAUGCGAAGUUAUAGUUGUUGGCGAUAUUAGAAUCAGCAUGUAUGAUGAUAUUGUAAGGACAUUAACCGGAGUUGAAGAAGAACCCGGUUUCCUCGAGUACUUGGAUUUAGUUGAUUGUUAGUAUAUCUCGGAAUGUGUAAUUUUGAAAAUUAUUUGAGGUGUGGCUUAAUGAUAAUAAAAGGAAUCAAGCAUUGUGAGUUGUGUGAACUUUAAGAUGAGAUGGUCACUGAAUUCGUCGUGGAAACGUUGAAUGCGUCUGUUCUGGGCAAUUAUACACGCAAUGGCCGACCUAGAACGUGUUUCUAGCAUACAGCCAAAAGUUUUGACCCAAAACCAAGAAAAAUCACACGUCACUUUCGUUUUUUGGGUCAAGUAGCCAAGAGCCUGUCCAGUUGUCCUUCGAUUUGGACUUCGAAAGCGCUUAUGAACAGCACUGGCAAUCAUCAAGACGCGCAUGUCCAUUCCUUUACUGUAAGAGAUUUCUUCCUCAGCUUUCCUAGUUCUCACAUAAUCCCCAUUAUUAAUCAGCUCAUUAUGAUGAACUUUCUCCGCAAAUCACACUAUGUUCGACUUCUUUGAGCACGGGCCACGGUAUUGGUUUAAUCUCUACGAUAUUUUUGAUUUUGACUUAUACGAUCAUGAACGGAUUAACAAGGUUAUAAGGNNNNNNNNNNNNNNNNNNNNNNNNNNNNNNNNNNNNNNNNNNNNNNNNNNNNNNNNNNNNNNNNNNNNNNNNNNNNNNNNNNNNNNNNNNNNNNNNNNNNNNNNNNNNNNNNNNNNNNNNNNNNNNNNNNNNNNNNNNNNNNNNNNNNNNNNNNNNNNNNNNNNNNNNNNNNNNNNNNNNNNNNNNNNNNNNNNNNNNNNNNNNNNNNNNNNNNNNNNNNNNNNNNNNNNNNNNNNNNNNNNNNNNNNNNNNNNNNNNNNNNNNNNNNNNNNNNNNNNNNNNNNNNNNNNNNNNNNNNNNNNNNNNNNNNNNNNNNNNNNGGCAAAAGGCGAAUUUUUUUUUCCUGAAAAAAAAGAGAGAGACGUCCCCGCGAUCCCUAUCUGUCUCGGGAGGUCGGGAGGGAAUUGGAAACUGGGGCAGGAUUUUCUUGACUGGUGGUCGAGACGGAAUAUCUACGAGGCACGCACGAUGAGCCGCCAGAAUUCAAGAGUUUUGGUUGUUGGGAUGCCCCGUGCCACAAGAGUGCGAUGGAUGGUUCGUGAAUCUUGGGGAAGAUUGGUGGAACGUGGAAUGUAAGCGCUUACUUUCACGGCCGAUCACUUUGCUUAUCCUUAUUUUUGCGCCCCCCCCCCCCCCCCCCCCCCCCCCGCGGCGGGGAAUGGCGCAAGAUUCCAACCUUCUGCAAAACGUUAUCGGCUGUGGCAGUGUUUAGGGAGGACAAGCCUCGCUGUGGCUAGGUGAGGUUCCAACAAGAUUACCAAAGCUUAUCUUUGGCUAGUCAAUGGGUUGGUUACCCUUGGCGAUUGGCUAAAAGAGAAAGAAGAAGAAAAAAAAAAAUAGUUUGAUUAUGAAAUUAUUCCCAAAAAUAAAAGGAGUAACUUUUUUUAUUUCUUAAUUCUAUUACAAAUCUAUUUUGGGGAAUAAAUUCGUGCCCAGAAGUAAAAAAAAAAAAAAAAAAAUGAGAUGACAUUAUUAAAUGGAUUUUUUUUUUUUAACUCCAAGGAAUAGAAAAAUAUAAAUAGUUAAGAAUUGACUGGUUAUCAAAUAGGCUCUAAGUGUAAAGUAUCUUCUCUUUCCUUUGCAUACAUAAUAUCCUAAAACAAAUAUUGUAUUCUCCUUUUAUUUUUAUUUUAUUUGUUUUUUAAAUUUAUACUUUCGUUGUGGUUCAAAUUCAAAACAUAUUUUAAAACAAGUAAAAUGAAGAAACUGUAAAUGGAUCCACUGUAAAGCUGCCUAUAGAGUAGGUGGUUGAGGUUGUCUUGGAACUUGCUAUAAGCAACAUAGUUGUCACUCCCUAAGCACCACGUGUUAAGGUAUGACCGUGCACUGAAAGGAAUGCCUGGGAUGAAGAGGAUCAGGCAUGGAAUCCAGGAAGCCAAUGGAACUCUCAUUGGUGCGUCGAUGAUCAUUUUGAUCUCGCCGAGUACAAUAAGAGUAAUUCAAAGAGAGCCAUGGAAGUUCAACUCAAGAGGAGAUAGAGGAGAUAGAUAAUAAGCUACUACGNNNNNNNNNNNNNNNNNNNNNNNNNNNNNNNNNNNNNNNNNNNNNNNNNNNNNNNNNNNNNNNNNNNNNNNNNNNNNNNNNNNNNNNNNNNNNNNNNNNNUCGCCUCCUCCUAAUUAAAAUUUCUUUAAUAUCAAUUAAGUCGGUGUGCUAUGGUCCUACAUUUGUUUUAUUAGAUCAAGAACUCGUUUUGCAGCAGCUUUCCCUGAUGCCGGAGUCAGCAAUGUGAUUCGCUUCUAAGGUUUUUUUUUUUUUUUUUUAUGACCCAGGGAACCCCCGCACGGCCGGCAGCCGGAGAGUAAACCCUGGGGGUACACGCGCUAGCCACCACACACGUGCACCAGGUAAGUCGCCGAAAAUGCCUCUGCCAGCAUUCCCCCGCUUCGCGGGGGAUUCGAACCCUCGACCUCUCUUUCGGGAGAGGGAGUGCCGAACCAGCAGAGCCACCCUAGCGGGUGGUUCUUCUAAGGUGUUUUUGUUAGGAAAAAACAAAAAAGAAGCUCCAAUUAAACUCCGAUGCAUGUUGACGAAGACGACGAGCUUCAAAAGAUUGAUCUGAUAAGACUUCACAGCUCAUCAUGUUCUGGAAGCUCGGAGAUGUUCUUGGUCUUCGAAAGUCCGUUGUCUUAGUUUAUGUGGAAAGCUCUUGAUGUCCUUUUCGAAUUUCCUCUAAACAUGUGUCCUAUGUUGGAAUAAUUUUUAGAUACAAUGAAAAUAAUAAUAAUGGUUGGAAAUAUAUUGAAAAAGAUUAGAAAAUCAAGUCAAUUGUUUGAUAGGGGUAUGUGUGCAAAACGGACGGCACGAACUGAGAACUGCUUGGACCGGAUCGGACUGGCUAGUUGGGUCCGGUUCUUUGGAGUGUUGGUCCGGUUCUUGAUUUGUAAAAAUGAAAUUAGUAUCCAAGUGAUCCGGUUCCUGAUUCUAAGGGGGAAUUGGAGCGUACCAACUACAUAUGCCCUUUUUGUAAUUAUUUCUUUAAAAAAUCUAAUAAAAUGUAAACUAAACACUUUCUUGUCCAUUAGUACCACAAGCUAUGGCACAAUAACUCUUCAUUUAUUGUCGCUUCUAUCAAUAUCUUAAAAUUUAUCACUCUUUCUCAUUGUUCACUGCCACUCUUUAGCAGGAAAAAUAAAGUGGCCGAUUCCAUUAGACUAGACUGAAACCAAAUGUGGUCCUGGGAUUGAGAACCAAAUGGUCCGAUUCAACAUCCUCUUCCAGCACCACACAACAAUGGUAUGGGUGGACGAGGGUGUGGGAUAUCUAGUUUCCCAUCUCUUUGUGGCUUGGUUUGCCUAGGUUGAUAAGGACUUUUAUAGUCCUUUACACAGGUUCAAUAGUCUGCUUGGUGACGUUGAUGGAUUAGUGUUGACCCCUCCUAAUGGCACUGUGGAUGACUUCAAGUCUGGCCCUAAUUAUGACCAAGAGCCCAAGCCCUAAUUGUGAGGACACUGGCUUUUGAUGGAAACUAUCUUUGGUAACCAUCCUUGUAGAAGGAGCUAGGACUAACCCCCUUCUCUUAUAUCUUUUUGUAUGGGAAUGAAAAAUCGGAAUGGCCCUUAGAAAUGGGCUUGUAAAUGAAUCAUUUUGGUUAUAUAAAUGAAGCAUAAAAGUUGUGUUGUAUAUGUUUGUUUUUUUUAUUAUUAUUAUUGUCUAUUUCUUUAUUAUUGAUUGGGUGAUUGAGAUUGCAUGCUUUCUUAUGUGCUUAAUGGAAAGAUAAAAUUAAUGGAACGGCGACACCCCUUAGGACAUCACACGUUCUCGUGGCAAGGGAAACAUUUGGGGCGUGACUUUGCUUGUAUCUAUUGGUAUUAAAGCGAGAUUAAUACCUAAAAUGAUAAGGUGCAUGGGAAAUUGGGAUAGUUAGUUAGGAAAACACCUAUUGUUUGUGAUUGCCAAUUGCUUUCUUAGCUAGUGUUCUUGAGGUCUAAUCUUUUGUUGGAACUUGCUUUGCAAGUUUUCCCUAGAACCCGUACAGUUGCAGCAUGAGUGCUUGGGAACCAAGGAUUUUGAGAGGAAGGACUACUUAGGGCUAGUCAAUUCCAAAGGGAAAGGCAAAAGAGGACUCUUCAUUAGAUGGAAUUCUACAAGCUCAUAAUCAGGCCGCUGCUGCCCUUAUCAAUGCUCCAGUAGCUAGAAAUGGGUUUGGCAAUAGGAAUAGCAAAUGACAAAUGUAUGGACUGGUUGAACAAUUCCUGAAAUUGCGACCCUCAAAGUUUUUUGGGUCAAGUGAUCCCAAAGAGGCCAUUACAUGGAUCUACGAACUAGAGAAAGCUUUUGCAUUGUUGAUAUAACAUCCUCGAAUUCCAAGUCACGAGAAUAAGGUUUGAUGGUUGAUCAUGGGAAUCAAUGACAUAAACCUUAGAUAGACCAAAACAUGGCAUGUUCGGUCAUGGACCCUGUCCACCCGACCGAGACUUGGUUAGGGCAAAUAACCAAGACCAACUACGAGGUUUAUUUUAAGACAUCCAAUGGACCAAUUCUAAUUGAAAAGGGUCAUUGACAAGUUUAAGAAGGCUACAAACUUAGUCGCACUCAUUUGAUUAAAGUUUAGUAAAUUUUGGCAUGGACCUUGGUUUUCAUAGAAUUGUUGAUCGUAUACAAAUAUGAACGACUCCUCCAAUGAGGCGACGCCCUAUAUUAGUCUUAUGAAUGCCUUGAAUGAAUUUUUGGACACAAAUUAAUUAAUGUGGGGACAAGUCACUGGACAAAUGUCAAGAUUUGAUUGGAGUUUUAGAAUCUUCCAUAGCUUUUUGACUUAGUCCAUCCUUAUCCAUUUAAGUGCCACAUGGCCACAUCAAGAGAGAAGGAGAAAACUUGCUCCUUAAGUAGCUCGGCAAAAAUAUCUAGGCCUUAUUUAAUAAUUUUGGACAUUAAUUCAUUAAUGAACAUGAUGAAUUAUCAACCUAGAUUUCUCUAGAAUCUUAGGUAAAUCUUAAGGUAUGAUGGGUCUAGAUUAUAGCCUUGGUGAAUAAGUCAAGAACUAACUAAUUAGAAGAGGACAUGAUGCAUCAAAAGUCUUAUGUGUCUCCUUAGGCACUAUAGGUAAUAUCAAACCUAGAAUGAGCCUUGGAGAACAAGUCAAUAUGUGAACCAAUCACAAGUGAACACCAAGAGACUUAGGUGCCAACUCAAGAGGAUAGCUAGGCCAACUUGCCUCUUGGGUGUAAUUAUGAGCUUGUAAUAAAACUCUAAGAUGAGGUAGCCUAUAAAUGGGAAGAGCCAUUUUCACAUUUUAAGGCUUGGCCUUUCUCUCAUUUCCUCUCCCUUCCUCUCCUCUCUUUCACGCCCUUCUCUUCCAAGCCGCCCUAGAUGCCGACUAACCACCAAAGAAGCAUCUUAGAGCUAGGUCCAAAAAGUAGUAAGUAGAUUUUCCUAACUCUUCGAUAAGGUGAUGUGCUAUGCGUAUCGAUUCUUGGGUCAUGUCAUCAUUUGCUUUUGUUGGCUUUGUGUUAUUAUGCUUGUUGUGUUCUAUUUGUUUGUGGUUACAUCAAGUAAGUUCAUGGUCUUGCAUCGAUGUCGAGCACGCUUGGAUGUCGAAGAAAAGUCUCACAUGACUAUGGACGUGCACUAAGGUGGGUGCAUGACCCACACCUGAUUUCGAGACAACAUUGAGACAUGUUGUUACUCGAGACAAGUCACAGGUUGAUGCCGAAGCAGGAGUGAACGAUUCCAAGUCCAAACCACAAACCUAAGUCACAUUUGGCAUGAGUUUAAUUUAGUAAAGCUGGGUCCGAACCAGGAUUCUGAAAUUCAAACAGAAAAAAAAAAAAAAAAAAACACAACAACAACAACAACAAACCAGGAUUCUCAAAAAGUACCAAAAUUAAAGGUUAAUUAAUAUCCUUUAUCUGUUUAAUUUUUAUUUUUUGAGGUAUAUAAAAAAUUCACCUUUCACUAUGAUGGAAAGUUUUUUGAGUCAUAUUUUUGAAUUCAAACUCAAAUCGAUCUAAUGACUUAAGUUAUUCAAACAUCAAAAGAAUGUAAUCGAACUUGAGUGACUCAUGAGUUGAGCUUAACUGCAAAUUAUGAAAUUUACUUCUCUCGGGCUAGAAAGAGAGUUUAAAAAGAUGACUUGCUAUUAUGUAUAGAAUCUUGAAUGCUCUCUAAAUACUUAUGUUGAAUUGGAUGCAAUAUUCCUUUUUAGUUAAAUGUACUUAUAGUAUUUCGAGUCAAGACAAUUUGUGUAAAAUUUCCGAACUAUUUAUAAUGCGAAUGUGUUUCGAACUUAUAACCUUGUAGAAACUUAUAGCCUUCUUGAAAAUUGUGACAUUAUCUUGUUAGGAAUGCAAUUUGUUGAAGAGAGAGAAAAAAAAAAAAAAAAGAUGACAAGCAAAGUUUUAAGUGAAAAAACCCCUUCGGAAUCAGAAGGAAAAAAAAAUUACAAUGUUGCACUAUACAAUUUUUACACUAUCAAUAUUAGUUUAACAUGAGAAUUACAUGUACACCAUUAGCAAUAAAAAGCCUCUAUGCUUUAAUAGCACCUUCUUAUGUCACACUUCAUAACUCUAUCAUUAUCUUCCCAUAAUUUCUCUAAAUGAAUACGUUAGCAAUACGAUCGUCAGCAUUGAAUUUACGUGUAAAUGAAUGAGGAAUAGAAGAAAAGGUCCACGAAUGUUGAGAACAAAAAUCAUUGGGCUUUUUCAUUGGCUUUGUGCAAAGUAAAUAGAGUUUAUGAUCUUAGACAACAAAAUCAUGAUACACUUUUAAUGAACAAAGAGCAUGAUUGAUUUUUUGAUAAAUAUAAAAUAAGAACCCAAAUGUAUGGUAGGCGCCAUGUUCGGUGGCUCUCAUGAAUUUAUAUUUGUAGUGGGAUAUUUAAAAAGGUACAAAGAUAGAACAAUUUUAUACGCGGCUUAAUUUUUCUUACAAAGCUCAUGCACUACUCAUUCACUUGAAGCAAAUGCCCAAAAAAAAACAUAAAAACAUAAAAAGAUUCCAACUCACCCCUCAAGUUAUUAAAAAAUCAGUGUUUUUUCGUGAAUUCACGAGUUUAAGUUAUGUUAUAAGCAUACUUCUAACCAGUUAGUAUUUGAAGUGUUUGCCACCUCAUGUGGAAAUAUUUUUUUAGACUUUUAGCAUGAUCAUGAAGUUAUGAUGACAUAUUUAUAUACUUAUAAGUGGACUGAUUAAUAAUGACUCAUAUUGAAUAUUUCGUGUUAGACGAUCAUCUCCUCCUUCUCUAUUUAUCUAUUGAAACAAAAAUUCACGACCCAUCGUGAAUCAGGCAGUGAGGCCAAGUCGGAUCACCCCCAACUCGAGCCGGGGAUCCAGUUCGCCGUGAGCCAGGCGGUGGCAUCAAUUCCCACGGAGGGGAACGAAAAGUACAUUUCCUACAUUUUCCCCGCACUGCCUGGCGGGAAAUUUUCCCACCACUGGCAUAAAACCAAAGUCGAAGAAAGAAAAAAGAAAAAUUAAAACCAAAACAAAAACGAAAAUGAAAAGCGAAUAACAAUUCGAAACAGAAAAUACCCAAAACGCGACCCCUUCUCCUCUGCUUCCUCCCCAGAUUCGGGCAUCCGUUCAGAUGAAAGUGGAACGGCUAUGAUCCUUUCUCCAUCCCACUCCCACUCACUCUCUCUCUCUCUCUCUAGAACAAGCACCGAUGACCUCGAUCGACCCGAUCGAUCGGCCGGUCGCCGCCGUAACAGGCUUUCAGCACCACCGUGGCGAAACCCUCGAAGCAGCGGGCGUCGCCCGACGGCUUCGAGGAGCGGCGGCGGCAGCUCAACGAGCCCGGUCGACGAGGAGGAGCUCGAGGCACGUUGGACCGCCCCCUCCGAAGAGGAUGACGGCGCCGCGGCAGCCGGCGCCGACGAGAAUGUCGAGGCCGAGGAGGAGGAGGACGAUGAGGCUCGAUGUUCGCCUAAGCCGUUCUUGCUGGAUUAGUUGAAUCAUGCAAUUCCACUCCGAUCCUUGACAAAUCUCUUGGAACGCUCUGCGAGGAAACCCCAAGUGUCUGGAUCGUAACAAAGGGCUUCAAAGAAAAAGGAUGUCAAAUAGCACGAGUAUAUCGAUAAAUUGAGGGUAGCAACGCAUAGGGGUGAGCAUGGUCCGGAUUGGUCCGGGCCACCCCCUAACCCUAGGACCAACCCGUACAGUGCCGGUCCUCAAUUUUUAGGACCGAGGACCGACCCUAUUGAGCCUGGGACCAAGGACCGAACCGACCCAAUGGGUUCAGUCCGAUUCCAGGGUCAACCCAACCCGGGACCGAUCAAUAAUUUUUUUCGUCUUAUUUUUUAUACUCCCUAAAAAAGCAAAUCUAUACAUUCAAAUUACACAUCCAUCAACAAUGCGGCAUUGUGCAACUAAACUAUAAAUACCAAUACAUAUUUAGCAAAUUUAAGAUGACACGAUAAUAGAAAUUUCGUACUUGCUAACCACUCAUCGAGAUAUGGGACAAGAUGGAAAGUUCUUGUAAUCAUCUAUCUUUAAUAUUCAUAACACCAUAUGCAAAAACGUUUUUUUGUAUUUGAUCAUGUAGCAAAUCACCAUAGUAACUGCAAUACUACUCUAUUCUUCAAAAGCUUCUACCAUUUGACGCAACUUGAAAAGCAAAGUGCAGCUGAAAUUCAUUAGUGAAGUACAAUUAAACUAUAAAAAGUUCAAAAUACUUAAUAUAAAUUAUGAAUAUAUAACUUCACAUCUUGUUAAUUCACUUGAACUUCUAAACACCUAAAAACAAAACAAAUGAUACAUAAUUAAUACUCAACAAAAGUUUUAAAUUGAAAUUACUAUUAAUGCUAUUGAUAGAACAUCUCAAUAUAAUAUAAUAUAAUAUAAUAUAACGGAUAUUUUACUUGAAUUAUAAAUAAUAUAAUAUAAUAUACAGGGUUGGUCCAGGGUUGGACCGACCCAAAACUCUUAGGACCGAGGACCAACCCGCACAGUGUUAGUCCUAGAAUUUCAGGACCAAGGACUGACCCAAUCCUCUUGGGAACCGGACCAGGACCGGCAAGGUUGGGCCAGUCCAGGGUCGGUCCAGGGUCGACUCUAGACCGCUGCUCACCCCUAGCAACGCAGACAAAAUGACAAUAACAAUAAAGGACAAGUUGAUUUUAUUCAUAUAAGAUUAUUUUUCACAUAGUUAAGUUAGGUGCUUUAAUGGCGUACCACAUGAUGAUGAUAACAUCCUUUUCAGGAUGAACAGCAUGGAAGCAGGACAAUCGGCUUGAAAGUGAACCUAAAAGCAGUAUCGGCCGUGCCGGGCUGCAAUGGCAAGUUAUUCUCUUUCAAGAGCUUCAUACCUUGCCGCAUGAGUGCAGCAUCUUUCUGCUAUUUAGCAUAAUGCCGCAUUUCCAAGCCCCAUGUUAACAGAAGAAAUGUGUAAGUAAAACAAAACGAAAGAAAAUCGCUUGAUAUAAGUACAUAUAUCAUCAUUAUAGAUAUAUGCUUUGUAGAGUCAAUUGUAAGGGUCAAACAAUAGACAUAAUGCUUCCACAAGGCCUUCUUGCCUACAAUUUUGUCAGCCCUUAGUCUCUAUCAUCAAGGACUAAGUACCCCGUGGUAAGGAUUUAGAGAUAUAAAUGCUGAUUAAAUUAUGUAUUCUCAAAGACAACUAAUUGUUGUAAUCUCCUGACAUGAGACAUGCUAUUGGAAAUGCAGUUUGAUUUGAUUUAUUUUGCUUGGAAACAAUGAAAAGCUUAAUUACUAGAAUUAGCUCAAACUCAUAAUCCCUCAAGCUAUCAGUUCAAAAAAACACGUUUUGCCCAAAUUGAACGCUCUCUGUUGAGCUUCUAUGAUGAAUCAAAUAACUUGAAUUGGAGUUGUCAUUCAAGAAAUAAAAGGCUUGUAGAAUAAAUGGAUUACACAUAUUAAGUUGGAUUGAGCUUAAUAGUGCCCAAUCAUAGACAAGUUCACAAGUUUGCACUGAAAAAUAAAGAUAUCAUGAUUGACACUUUUAACCAAUUUAAACACAGAUAAGCAUGAUGAGCAAAUUAACAUGUUACUCCCAGAAGACACGUUUAUACACAUUCGACAAUAUUAUAUGUAUUUUAAAUUAAAUGCGGUUUCAGAAAAUUAAAUUUGACAAAUUCUUUUUUAAAUUGACAUUUAAGAACAUGAAGCACUCGACUAGAAAAAAUGAUUCAACAUGAUUCAUUCUAUCACUAAAUCGUGUCUCCCAACAUCAGAUUUAUACAAAGCAAACACAUUGAAAUCAAUAAAAAUACGACAUUUCUAUAUUCACAAGCACAAUCUUUAACAGCAUAAUCAAUCCUGAUCUAUAUAUAAUCUCUGCUUUGACUUUGACUGCACCAGGUACCCAUUCAUUUGAGGAAUAAUGCUUUUGGUCACUCAAUCUAUUUCUGAUAAUAAAUACUAAAACAAAAACACACAUUUUUUAUACUCAGAGUUGAAUUAACAUUCUUCUUUGGCCAAAAAAAUAAAAAUAACAUUCUUAAUUCUACCCCAAAUUCUGAGAACAUUAUUUCCUCUUUAAUUUUCUUAUGCCACAUCACAUAUUCUUGGUUCAUUACCAAGACCAUAACCGAUCAGUAUUUAUAUUACACCAUUUCUGCCUUGAAAUAUGAAUUUGACUAAUUAUACUUGUGCUUACAUAUCUUUGGCUUUGAACCAAGUUCGCAACAGACUUGAACUUCAGCAUUUUGCCUUUUCCAAGUGCGCACAUUAACAAAUCCCUACCCUAAGAAUAGUAAUUGGGCCAUGUCGGCCGAGACCCAGCACAGACCGACCCUCUUGGGCCCGAGCCCGUGAGAGGCCGUACCUAGUCAGGCCUGUUAGCAAUAAGGGGCUAUAUCAAUAUGCCCAAGCAAUGGCCCAAGGCCAUUUUCAUUUUCGGGGUGAUUGUAGUUGGAGCAAAAAAAAUGAAGAUGGUGACAGUAAUUGAAGAUCUCAAUGAUGAUUUUUCGUGAACUUAAUUAUGAAAAGAAAUUCCUCGGGAAAAGAAGGGGCAAAAUAGGAAGAAGUAGUUAUAAACUUUUUCUUUCCACUGAAAUGCAUCCUCAUGGUUUUUUUUAAUCCUUGCACGCUUCUUUUGACUAAAAUCUUGUGAACAGCACAAAAGACACGCUAAAUGUAUUGGCAGCUCUUCCGUUCCACAUUAAUAAUUGUCACAUCUUCUUUUUCUUUGCUUUAUUGCUUUAUACCUUCUCCAUCAUCACUGUGCUUUAUACCCACUCCCACCUUGCAUGUUUCUUUUGACUAUAAUCUUGCUAGCCAUUUCACCAUCAACGACGGUUUAGGUCCCCAAGAAAUGGUUUUUUAUUAUGACUUAGACUUCAUGCAAUGUGAACUGACGUUUGGAAAGAUCGCUACAAUGUUGAUUUAGGAUUGUCCAUAUAUUUUGAUCGAUUACGGGAGCUCUCAACCACUACAAUUAGGACAUCAAUAGAAAUUAAGGAAACAUCUUGGAAUCGCCAAUGAACCUUAUUUUAUGCAUCAACUUGUUGAACAACUUGGAAGAAUCCAUCCAUAUUAUUUCACUGAUGAACCUUAUUUUAUGUAUUAGAUGUUGAAAACACUGCAUUAUCAACUUUGACAGGCUGGAAAUGUUGCCACGUUCUUAUAAUUCUAACAAAUUGGUACACAACUCUGUGUAUAUUUAGCUAAUCCCCAUUUUCCUUGUAUCUUCCUAUUUAUAUCUCAUUCUUAUUCCCUCAGUAUUAUCGAAACAUAUAAGUUAAUAUAGAGCUAUCCACAAGUGAAAGGCUUCUCUAUCAUAUCCGUGGAAUGUGUGGCAUUGGAUGGAUGGCUAUUACCAAAAUCAUCUUUAAUCACCUGAUUGAGCAUUUUUGCUUUCUUUUUCAAUAUCUGAGAAACUUAAAAAUCAAGGGCGUCGAGUGCUUGCAAAAUCAUAUGAUCUCUAUUUUCCUGUAAAAAAAAAUUGAUAAUUAUAAUGAACAUAAAUGAAGGUAUUAACAAUUAAAAUAUGCUAUCUAAUAAAAUAGUUCCCCUUCUUUAAGAUGAUAUCGACAAAAAGAAUCAUAUUGAUGCACUAGUGAGCGCACAUGACUGGUCGGGUACAGUAACCAAAUGCGCUUCUUCUAACAUCAGCUAAUGUCUAGCUAAAUCUAAAACAUGACCCAAACCACUUAAUUUUAAAUGAAUAGAAAUGGAGCAAGUUCUUCUUUUUUUUUUUGCCAUAUUUUUCCCUUAAUGAUACAUAUCUGAAAGCAAUAACCAAUGGAGUUAAGAGCCACAUAUUUGAAAAAAAUAUCUGGAGGAGAGAAUUUUCAUACUUGAGAUCUAGCAGGAAAUGAUGUCUUCUAUUAAUCGAAGUCUAUGAGCUUAAUACCCUAGUGCUAAUGCUUUUUUUUAAGACUUAGACUUCAUGAGAUGCAAACAAAUGUUUGAAAUAAAUAUGUAAUGAUGUUGAUCUAGGACUUUCCAAAUAUAUUGAUUGAUUACAUGGGGGCUCUCAACCACGACAACAAAAGAAAUCAAGAAAGCAUCUUGGAAUCGCUGAUGAAUCGUAUUUUAUGCAUUAGGUGUUGAAAAACUCGGAAGAAUCCAUCCAUAUCAUCUUGGAAUCACUGAUGAACCUUAUUUUAUGCAUUAGGUGUUAAAAAUACUGCAUUUUCAACUUUGACUGGCUCGAAUGAUGUUGCAAUGCUAUUAUUGACCAAUCCUAGCAAACUGGUCCACUACUCUCUACAUAUUUAGCCACUCCAAAAUUUCCUAGUAACUUCUUAUUUAUAUCACAUUCUUGUUCCCUAGCUAUUGUCAUAAACAUAUAAGUUGUCUACGAGUUGCAAGCUUCUCAUUUAAUUUUGAAUCAGUAGAAGUGCAUCAAGUUAUUUUCUUUUUGCCUUGUUUUUCUCUUUAUAAUACAUAAAGAGAAAGCAUUAACCAAUAGAGUCAAGAGCCGCAUCUUUCGAAAACAUAUUCUAAAAGAGACAACUUCAUGAGAUUCGAUAGAAAUCGAGUCUUUUCUAAUCAAAGUCUAUGAGCUUAGAGUCUUCUGCUAAUGCAUUUUUUUUUUAAGACUUAGAAGUUAUGCCAUGUGAACAAACAUUAGAAACGAAUGCCCAACGAUGUUGAUCUGGGAUUGUCCAAAUAUAUUGAUAGAUUACAUGGGAAGCAUCUUGGAACUGGUGAUGAACCUUAUUAUAUGCAUUAUGUGUAGAAAAAUUUGGAAAGAUCCAUCCAUAUUAUUUCAAUAAUGACCCUUAUUUUGUGCAUUGGUGUUGAAACAACUGCAUUAUAAACUUUGACGGAAUGGAGUGAUGUAGGCACGUUCUUAUUGACCAAUUCUAGCAAGCUGGUCCAUGACUCUCUGCAUAUUUAGCCAAUCCCAACUUUCCUUGCAUCUUUUUAUUUGUGUCACAUUCUUAUUUACUCGAUAUUGUGGCAAAUAGAGCUAUCCAUGAGUGGAAGGCUCCUCUAUAAUAUUCUUGGAAUGUGUGGCAUUGGAUGGACUGCUAUUGCCGAAAACAUCUUUAAUUAUAUUUCACUCAAUUGAGGGUUGUUGCUUUCUUUUUCGAUAUGUGAGAAACUACAAAAAUAAAGGGCAUUGAGUGCUUGCAAAAUCAAUUAAUCUCUUACAUUCUUAGAAAGGAAAUUGGCAGAUUUAGAGAAUAUUAAUGAAGGGAUUAACAAUUAAAGAUAGGCAGUCUAAUAAAAGAGUUCUCAUUUUUCUCGAGAAUGUGGAUGAAAAGAAUUAUAUCGAUGCACUUGCAAUUAGGUACAAGGAGCCAAUUACUUAUUAGUACUACUGGAAAUAAAGAUGUUCUCAACACUUCCGAAUUAGAUUGCAGUAUAAACUUAACGGCAUUAAUCCCCGACCAAACUCUUCAACUUUUAUUGGGAAACAUUUAAAGUCGACUUUAGUCCCUUUCACAAUCUUGGGGUGGUAAACAAAGUAUUCAUCUGUUGAGAGCCAAAAUCUUGAAAAGCUAGGGAGGGAAGUUGUUGCCUGUUGAUGAAAUCCAUAUAUCUGUCGGAACUCAAUGUGAAGUUUCACCCUGUUUUUUUUUUUUCACCGAAGAAAUCAUUAGAAGAAGGUAGAAGGAUAUAUUUUGCAUAUUGGAGCAUCAUACGCAAUGUUAUUGGGGUAAAAGGCUUUUUUAUUUUUAUUUUAUUCCUUAAGAAACCAGAACGUUUCUUCUUUUUUUUUUUCUUUUAUGCAGGGCCAUAAAUAUGAAAAUUGCAUUUCAUCUAGGGUGUGUUUCGCGGAAAAUGAGUGAUUUGAAAAACAUUUUUUCAAAAAUAAUUACUUUUAUCGUUUAGAAAAAUUAGUCAACGGAAAAUAUUUGCAUCAUCGGUAACAAUCUAUGUCUAAUUAUUUUUGUGGACAAUGAAAAUUUUUUUCCAUCCAUGUAUUUUUCUAAAUGAUACAAAUGAUCAUUUUUCUGAAAAUGUUAUCCAAAUCACACAAAGAGAAUGCAACCAAUGUGUGCUCUCUACAUUAAUACUUAAUAGAACUUGCUCAUCAGUACCCAAAUGUUCUUUUGGGACAAAAAACUUGAAAGGCUUGCCUCGGUAUUUCCUCGUUUGUUAUGGAUCACAGAUCUUUGGGAGUAUGCAUUCAAUUGAUUACUUUAAAGUACUAGCUAGAUAAGUUGCCAAAUCAUCUCAGAAAGAUCCGUGGGUUUUUUAAAAUCAUGUCCCUAAGAAAAUAACUACCGUCACCGCCACAAUUAGAAUUUGAAAGUCCAGUUAAGUCUGCAAAUAUCUCAUUAUGGACUCUCAGUGGUAAAUUGAGUAAUACUCUAUCUUGCAAUAAGAGAAACAACCCAAAGUUUUUAACAACAUCGCUUACGACGUUUAUGUAUCCCACAUUGUCUGCAGGAUUCAUAUACUCUUUAUACACUUACCAGGAUUAAGUGCUGCUCCUAUAUAUUUCGCAUGUUCAGCCAUUUGUCAAAUUCUACGUGCCUUGCUUAAUGUUAAAUGGCUAAAAUGUUCUCCGUGCACAAGGAUUCGAACAAAAGAUUGAAGAGCCACACCUUCAAAAACAUCAUCCGAAACACUUUAUUAGUUGAGAUUUAGGAGGUGUCAAUUGUGUCAAUUAUCCUAGUCAUCGAAGAGGCUUCACCGAACUUUUGCAAGUCAUUGAAGCUGAUUCCGAGUUUGAUCGGUGAGGAUAAAUCAGAGUCCCGUGCGUUUUUGGAUGAUGAAGAAGCUCGAAGAACGUAUACUUGGAAGUGGAACUACCGAAUGGAAGUUGCUCGAUGGAUAUGCAGUACGGAGGCUUAUUUCCAAAAGUCAUGUCCAUCUAACAUUUGUUAGACUUGCACAUGAGCACGUUUCCAGUGAAACCAUUGAAAGCUUGACAUAUAAAACCAAUAAAAUAACAUAAAUUAUAAUCUCAGCUAAAAGGCAAUUUUAUUGGUCAACGGAAAUAGAACUGGGAAAUGGAAGUUAUAAGAAAACUCCAUUACUCAUAAAGAAAGUGGGGGUAGCCUUUGAUACGUUUUCAAAAUGUAAUGUUUAAGGAAAUACAUUCGUAAAACUCAGAUUAAAUUUAUUAAAUUUAUAAAAUCAUAUUUGAUUAAUAAUUAAAAGUUGGAAUUUGAAAUUCGCAUCAGUGGAAUUCGGAUGCUAGAAAAAAAAAACUCAAAUUAAAAUAAUUUCUGUUAGAAAUGGCGAGCAAAGUAUAAAACGGCUUAAGAUAAAGGAAACCAAUGGUCUAAUUUGAAAAUUAGAAAUUAGUCCUGAAACUAGUAUUGGGCAAUCUUUUAAAGAAUUUAUGUCAAUAAGAGAAAGCCAAGGUCCGUACGUCUUCAAUGACUUACAUUUACCAUAUGCGAUAUGACGAAAUAAUUUGCACGCUUUUGUGCUUUUGUUUGAAACUAUAUAUAUUCAAUUUAAUGUUCUUUGUAAGCAAUUGAAUAAAUAGUCGACAUUAAAUAAGAUAAAUAGGAGGAUAUUUGAUAUUUUGGUUAAAGCUCAAUACAAUUACUUUUCACCAAAAAAAGAAAAAAGAAAAGAGGAUAUUUGAUAUAGCUUAUUUCAGUAACUACACUGACAAUUAAAUCAGCAUAAUUAAAUCUAUAUAUAUGAAUGAUCAUAGUUAAAGUAGAGAAAAUGAUUGCAAUGGGGCAUGCCACAUAGCUUGUGUUUGCACAUGGGUUUGCUAGACCCACUUGGUGUAGCAAGAGUAUGAACUAUCUACUUGAAUGUAUCUUGCAUAUUUUAAGACUAAGACUUUAUGCAAUGUGAACAAAUGUUUGGAAAAAAAAAUGCCAAACAAUGUUGAUCAAGGACUAUCCUAAUAUUUUGAUAAGUGACAUGGGGGCUCUCAACCACCACAAUUAGGAUAGCUAAAGAGAUCAAGGAAGCAUCUUGGAAUCACUGAUGCACCUUAUAUCAUGCAUUAGCUGUUGAAAAACUGGGAAGAAUUUCUCCAUAUUAUUUCCCUAAUGAACCUAUUUUAUGCAUUACGUGUUAAAAAGCGACUACACCAAGUAACAUGGAAAUCAAUCAAAAUUUAUGCCAUAAAUUACAUGCUCAACUGACUUACCAUUAAAAAAAAAAAAAAAAAACUUCUGGCCACGAGGGCAUUGGAGUAAUUUGGCAGCAGCAAAAUAGACAUCCAGAUGAUAAUGAUCAACAGAUUCCAUAAGAUAGCGCCGUUUUGCCAUUUGUAGUGUGCUCGUGCGUGUGGAUCAGGCACAAGAACAACUCAUACGAGCCGAUGGGAGGCCGUUUUCCCUAAAAUAACCCCUACUCAACACCCAAAACCCAAAAGUGACACUGCAAUUAUGUACAGGUAAGCACGCGCUGCGGGCAAGUGCGCGGGGCAUUCAUCGCGACACAAUGUGGUCAGAAACUCCACAAACACAGAGAUUAAAAUUCAAAAGAAUGAUAAACGAAAGCACUCUGAUUGCUCCCAUCUUUUUAAUAUUUUAUUUUAGCCGCCGAAAGCACUCGAUUGCUCCCAUCUUUUUAGAAUUUCACUAGUUUGUCUACCCUGCACCUGUGUCUUUCCUUUUUCAAUUGCGUGGCGGCUGAUAAAAGAGAGGAAUCGAGUGGGGAGGGACCACUUUGGUUUUAAAAGAACCUGCACUCGUCAACUUUGACAGGCUGUAAUGAAUCAUUCUUUUUGACCAAUUCUGGCAAACUGGCCCUGGACUCUCUGCAUAUCUAGCCAAUCUGUCUUCUGAGUUUAAUGACCUAAAGAGAUCUCCAUUUGUAAUUCUGGCUUCUAAAACUUUUUCCAUCUCUAGCUGUCACUGCUUUUGCUUCUAUACUUUUCAAUUUCUUCUCUUGGAGAAGAUCAAGCGAGAUCAAUGGAGAGGAGGGCCAAAAAUGAGGGAAUAGCGGGAGGUAAAAUUGGUAGAACAGCCUAUCUAAGAAAACUUGAAUUGCAUAAAUAGAAUAUAUAGAAUAUUAAUGCUGCUGUUUCAUGUUUGUCGCUCUUUGAGAUUGCGUUCUUUCUCAUUGUUUCUGGGACAUUUGUAAAAUUACAUAUGCUAAGAAUGGAAUUUUGUUUCGUGAUUGAUAGAUAGGUAAAAUUGGUAGUAAAUUCUACAUCGUGUCGUAAAAUUUUCUAAUUGGUAAACUGAUGAUAUCAUACAAAAAAAAGAAAAUACUAGUAAGGUUGGGAAGAUUACCAAAAAAGUCUAAGUCCUAAAUAUUUUAAUUAUACCAAUUGAGUCAUAAAUAUUUUCACGUUUUGCCAAUUGAAUACAUCCAAUCAAUUUUAGUCAUAAAUUGUUGAUAUGGACGCCAGCUGUCCCAUGUGUUACAACCAACGUUAACUUGGCUUUUUUUAAUUUUUUAAUAUUUCCUUUCCUUUUCUUUUUUACUAUGGUUAGCAAGGGUUGCUAGGCUGUCGCCUUCAUUCAACCUCCCUCAAAUCUGGGCAAGGCCAUUGCAGCCAGCAAGGCCACAGUGACCCUUGCUUGCCACAAUAUUAAAAAAAAAAAAAAAAGGUAAAGAAGGAAAAGAUAAGAAAACAAAGCAAAAAAUCAAAUCAAAUCAAAUAAAAAAAAUUAUUAUUCAAAAUUCUUUGCGUUAAUGCCGGCUGUGCCACAUAGGACGGCUAAGCUCAUAUUAGCGAUUUCCAACUAAAAUUAACUAGAUGAGCUUAAUUGACAAAACGUGAAAAUAUCCAAACUCAAUUAACACAAUUAAAAGGUUUAUAAUUAAAUGGGCAUAACUGCAAUAAGUUUUAGACUUCUUCGGUAAUUUUGCUGUUAAGGUUACUAGUUGUUAUUCAUGAACGACGUUAGUAACUUACAACCGUCAAUGUAAUAGUAACCUAUUAAGUUAUUCAUUAAUUCAUUACUCAUAAAUAAAUCUUAACGGUGUAAAAUAGUAAGUUAACAGUGAAAUUAAUAAUAUUCUACAAGGAAUUUAUAGUUGUAAAAUAGUAAAUCUAUUAGGAAGAUACAACCGUUACCUGAUGUUUGGGUAUUUCGAUGUAGUAUCAAUGUUAGUGACUUACAACCAUCAAUAAAAUAGUAACUUAUUAAGUUUUUUUAUAAACUUACUACUAAAAACUAAAUUUUAGAUGGAUGAACAAUAAGUACCAAUGAAAUUAACAACUAUUGAAAAAUUUCCUAUGCCACUUUGAAGUUGACAAAACCAUCUAUCUAUUUCAAUAUUUGAGAAGUUGUUUUUUUUUUUUCUAUAUACACUAAUACAAGGAUAGCUUUAUCACAAAUAAUAGAUCCUGCUGUAUGAAGUGAAAAAUUGAUGAUAAUUGGAGGGACCUUAAUAAAGGUAGCAAUUAUUGGCGGGAAGCCUUUAAGACUUACGCGUUGCUAAUAGAAGGGGUUCCUUAUAUCACAUGAGAAGAAUAUGCACGUCAAAUUAUUAUCCAUCAUGAUUUGAAGAUCCAAAUAUUCCAUUGACUAUUAAUCAAAGUCUCAAGUACCUUUGACAGCAAGCCACAAGCCUAGAACUAAAGAGAUACACAAAGGAGAAUCCAAUUUCUGUUUCAAUCAAUUUGGUGAAAAAUGGUUAUUUCUUGAUUUAGGCAACUCUAUUAAUGGAAACUACACCAUUACUAGAAAGAUUUGAUUGUAUCGACAAGCAGACCUUAUGAUGAUCAUCCAACAGUUAGCUUGGAUCUUGAAAACUAUUUAAGAAAAUCAACACAUGUUGAAGAAUACACGAAUUGUGAGAAUAUGUUACUAACAAGUAUAUAUUGCUACUCUCAAAAUUGAAACAAUGUUAAUAAUCUAUUAAGAAUUUAUAGCAACAAAAUUGUUAUUUUGAUUACUACGGUUAACUUAGACUACCAACUAAGCAUGUAAGCAAUUUGUAAUCUACUAGAGAAGAUACUCGUUCACUUAUAAAAGCAAAUGAUUGUUCCUAAUCUACAAUAGUAUUUCAGUAGUAAAUCGGUUUAUUUCAUUGGUGCGUUAUUGAAAAAUAAAUGUUGCCACUCGUAAAUUUGAAACAAGGUUAAUAACCUAUUUGGAAUUUAUGGUGGUAAGAUAUUUGUUCAGUUCAUAAGUUACAACCGUUAAUUGAAAUUACCGGUAAAGUACGUAAGCAUUUGUAAUUUACUAGCGAAAGUACCCACUCACUUAUAAAGUCUAAGAAAAAUGGUAAUAUGUGAUUUGGUUUGGGGAUGAAAAAAUUAUUAUUUUAUUGAUAAGUUACAAAUAGUUGAUUGGAUUAAAAAGUUAUCAGUUUUACUUAUCGACAAUAUUUCCAAUUUACAAUUCAUGGAAGAAAACUCUGUUUUUGGUUAAUGGAAUUUAGAAAUGCGCAAGAUUUCAAAUUGCAACUAUCUGAUUAGAUGAAUGACUUGGUUAAUUUUUUGAUGUAAUCUCGAGAGAGGUCCAUAUCUCCAUAAGUGACAUUAGGAAGAAUUAGUUCAUGUUCUCGAGAUUUGAGAAGAUCCAAACUUUUUCUUUUCGAAUAGAAAACUCUACAUUGUCCGAUGAUAAAUGCGAAUAUAUUAACGUUUUCCCCUUAAGAUUUAAAAUUUCUAGGAAUUAUUUAGUGGAAAGGUAUUUUGCUAGCCUUGGUCCGUCCAGUGGCUUAACCUUCCAAUAAUAUUCCGUCACUUUAAUACUCACACUUGCUAGCAAGCACCGGUGAGGGACCACCUAUUAAUUUCAUCGAUUUUCUAGUAAUGUGAAAGCCUUGGGCAAGAAUUCAAACAGCCACCAAGGAUUCUUGUCUUGGUUUUGCCCAUCGAGCAAAAAGCUGUGUGUCAGUAAUUAAAUAUGAACUCAAGAAGGAGAGUGAAGGACCAAGUCUUAGAAAUGAGCAAUAUUCGUUCUUGAGAUGUGAGAAGGGACCAUCUUUUAUCGAAGCGGAUGAGCGUGGCGGUCUUCGAGACCAUCCCAGCACGCGAAACAUGCUAAUUUUAUAUUUUUUAUUCCUCAUGCCUACUGCCUAGUGCAGUGUCGACAUUUUCAGAACCUUUUGCUAAUUCUAAGAAUCAUUCCAUGUGAACAUCUAUAUUUUCGAGAUGCCGACCUUGUUGCCAUGUGCCUACCAUCAUGAAUAAUUUACUGAAAAAAAAUUAUAUAGAAAGCAUCCAUGAAAAUGCCGAGGAACCUUAUAACGUGGGAGAAGUUGAAACACACACAACGAGGCUACUGCUUAGCUGUACAUGGGGAAAACGAUGGAGAGUGUGCACUGUGCAUCCUUGGCUUUGCCGCAUUCAAAGUACGUUGCGGUAUUCUAUCGAGGCAGCAUCAGCAUCUCUAGCAAAUUAGGGGGGUGCAUGACAAACUUUUUCAGAAAUAAUUUUUUUAUUUUAAACUUACUUUUGAAAUAAAAAUCCGUUUAGUAAAUUUAUUAUUUUUUUUUUGAAAUAAAUUUUUAUUUCAAAAAUAUAUUUGGAAUAGAAAUCAGAAAUAAAAUUUUUUUACUUUUCUAUUUCUGGAAUAGAAAUGAGAAAUAAAAAUUGUUCUUAUUAUUAUUAUUAUUAUUAUUUUUUUUUUUUUUGUGAAAGGUAAUAAAAAAUUGUUCUUAUUAUUCGUCACUUCCGUCGGUCGCUAUUGCCAUCACCGAUCACCGCUGUCCGAAAUAAAGAAAUUUUAUGUCAUUAUCAAACGAAUUUUUAUUUUUGGAAUAGAAAUUUUGUAUCGUUAUCAAGCUGGUAUUUUUGCUUAAAAACUUAUCUAAAAAUAGAAAAAUCUAUUUCUCUUCCAGAAUUCAAUUUCUGGCCAUAAUAGUUAUCAUUCACACCCUUAGCAAUCUUUUCUUAUUUAAACAAAAGGUUCCUAAAAAAGGAUAGGUAUUGUCCUUGAAACUUCGUUGAUAUGUGUAAAUGAAAAAAGUGUGGACUUUGUAUUACGUGGGAGAAAAAAGUGACUUACAAACAACCAUGUUAAUAUGUCAAAAUUUCCAUCAAUACAAAUGACUAUCAACAUCGCCACAAUGCAAAUACAUACAAUUGACUAGCACAAACUUGACAAUUCUAUAAAUGACGUUGGUACAAUACUAACAAAUAAAUGUUGGUACCCAUAAAAUUGAAACAAUAUUGAUCAUCUAUUAAGAAUUUAUGAUAGUAAAAUAGUUAUUUUUUCGGAAAUUACCACGUUUCACGGACAUUGCUAAUAAAAUAUGUAAACAACUUGUAACCUAUUGACGGAAAAACACACCUACUUGUAAAAGCAAAUAACUAUUUGUAAUCUUCAAGAAUAUUUCACCUAGUAAAUCGGUUAUUUCAUUAGUAUGUUACUAGCAAAUAAAAAUAGCUACUCGUAAAAUCGAAACAAUGUCAAUAAUCUAUUAAGAGUUAAAAUUGUUAUAAUCGUAAGUUACAAUCCUUAACCGAGACUUCUAGCAAAGCAUAGCAGCUUGUAAUCUAGUAGGGAAAAAUAAUCAUCCUCUUAUAAUUUCUCGCUGAAAGGAGUAAGACAAAAAGUGAAAUGCUAAAAUCAAGGUGGACGAAUGCGAAAGUCCCAAACGCGGAGCGGAAGAGGAUGAAAGCUCAUUUGUUUUGCAAGAAAGAAGGCGAAGUGAAUUAUCUUACCUUUUCGACUCUAAAAGUUGCUAAAGUCCAGUUUUCUUUCAAAAUCUUAAACUUCGACUCAAAAAAUUGCGAAGUUUAGAUUUUCAAGUUCGUCACUGUCCAAGCAAGACAUCACAUUGGAUUUUCGAUGUCUGUCGUGGACCUAACUUUGAUGAAACAAAUUUUUUGAUUAUCAUACAAGUUUUGGAUUUGAUGAUAUAAAAACAGUUUGAAUAAUUGAUAUUACAGUCGAUAUAAAGGUUAGAAUUUUUUUUAUGGAACCGCCCACUUGCUGUCAUCGAAUUUGCCGCCCACCCAUUGCCAUCACGAGCCCUCACCUUCGUGCAUCAAUCUGUCGGCGAGUUUGUCUUGUCUUCGACGCCUUCGUCCCUUUUCCUUUCCACACAAAGCUCAGAACCUAUGUUCAUGGAAAUCGCGACCGACAGAGUUCGCUAGCCUCGCACGGCCGCGAAUAUGCGGUUGUAUGGCCGCGGCGUCGGGGCAUGGCUUAAGCUAAUUCGCUCGAUUUAUUGAGGAACGGAGAGGUCUUCAGCCCUGUUUAUCAUUAAAAUCAACACCAAAAAAGAAAAAAAGAUAAAGAAAUUUGCGGAUCUUGGCAGCAGCAAAAAGGCGGAAAGCAAUUGAUAGGGGAGAGAGAGGAACAGAGGAAAAGGACAGGGGUCGUGAUUAUGAUGCGCGUGCUGUCAGCUGUCGGGGGUCACAUGGGGGAGUGAUGAUAUCUUGUGCAGUGAAGCAGGAGUCAAUUAAUAAAGAAAAAGAUGCUAAAUCAAUGUGGGGUCACGCGUCCCGAUGGAUGAUUCAUCCCUGCAUCAGUUGGGUUCACAUGCGCUGGUGUACGGACGGCCAAAGACCUGCUCGGAGAAUAUUUUCUCGGAAGUGAAGAGAGCUGUAAAUGCAGUAACCCCAAAAGAAUGGAACGAACAAAGCCACGAGUGCGUCCUGUGCCCUGUCAUUCCUGUAAAUUUGCGGGCAAGGACAAGGGCAGGGGCAUUUAUCGCGACAUAGUGUUGUUAGAUAAUUCAAUUGAAGAAGGAAGAUACAUUUGACACCGGGCGGUCCAUUUCAGGGUGAAAACAAACUCUACAAAGACAAUAUAAUUAAAAUACAAAUGACCCACAGAUAUCUCCUAGUGAUUUAAAUUUCACAAUGCAUUGUACCGAUUUUGCUGCUAUACAGCUCAUCAAUUUUGAGGGGCAUGGAGUUGGGUUAGGGUUUUUGAAGAUAAGGUAUUUGGAGAUGAGGAAGAAAUGUGCAGUUUUAAGCUCAUCAUUGAUAGAGCAAAUCGUCACGUCGGAUUUUCAACAUCCGUCUUGGAGCAAACUUUGACAGAACGUAUUUUUUGGUUACCAUAGAAGUUUUGGAUUUUCAUGAUAUGAAAAAUAGUUUGGAUAAUUGGCAUUGCAAUGAAUAUAAAGGUUAUGGAUUUUUACGGAAUCACCACUCGCUAUCAUUCACCGCUUGCUGCCAUCGAGUUUGCCGCCUCUCUUUGGCAUCAUAAGCCCUCAACUUCAUGCUUCAAUCCGUCGGCGAACUAACAUGUCGCUCGCUCGAGUCUAUCUUCUAUGCCUUCAUCUCUUUUUUCUUUCCACUCAGAGCUCAUAACCUAUGUUCAUAGAAUUCGUAACCAACAGAGUUCGCUAGUCUCGCAUGGCCACAGAUUUGGGGCUGCAUGGCCGCGGGUUUUGGGGCUCAACUUAGUGAGUUUACUUGAUUUUCUAAGCAACGGAGAGAGCCCUCAGCCCUCAAACUGAUUAUUAUUAAAAUCAAUACCCAAAAAGAAAAAGAUAAAUAAAUUCCUCAUUAUGAGGGCAUUUGGGUAUUGCCGGUGCUAGUACACACAGAUCACUCAUGCAAUUGCAAGGAACUUUGAUGAGGUCUUUUAGAAUGACCACAGCAAUGAGAUUUUUAGGAUUUUGAACAGAUGUGAGUAGAGCAGCGAUAAAUUUAGUCUUUUGAUAUAAGAACGUGCUUAUAGCUACAAACUGUAAUAUUUUGAUUUAUAAGUUUUGUCCUGUCUUGUUUUGCCGUUCUUUUGGGAUUUGUUUUUUUGGGAUUUGUUUGCUUGAAAGUUUUCUAUCUUCUUCCCAUAUUUGAUUACGACAAAUAAAAAAAAAAUCUUUCUACCAAAAAAAGAAAAAUCCGAACUCAUGUAUACCGAUGGAUAACGAGGGCGCUAUGGAGAAUUCACCAGAUCUAUCGAUGCACGAGUUGGAUUCACACGUGUCGGUGCACAGACAAUACCCGCUCGAUGAAUAGAGAGGGAGGGAGAGCGCUAUAUAUUUAUAUAAUAUGUACGGGCAAAGACGCGAGCGUGAAGUAACCCGCAGAGGCAGGACGAGUUAAAACUCAAUAAUACAGAAAGAACGAGAGAGAAUAGUUUCUUUUAAUAUUUCGUUUUAGUCACCGGAAGCAACUCAAUUGCUCCCCCAUCUCUUUAGAAAAUCCAGGGUUUUCUACUAGAGCCCUUGGCUUCCGCCGGAGCUGCUGCUGAAGUUGCGCGCGUGGACAUCGCAAACCCGUCCUCCGAAACACCACCGCAGUCUCGGCACGCGCGGCGAAUCGCUCCCUCCGUCGAGCCCCUGGCGAAGGACCCGUCGAUAUUUCACCUCGAUAGCUCCUUGCCGCAAUCGGAGCCAGAUCUGAGGUGAGUCUCCAAGGGCCCCACUUUUUGGUGUUUAGAAAGAACCCCUGGCAUUUUGUCAGCUUUGACAGGCUGCAAUGAAUCGUUUUUAGUACAGGGAUCUCGUGGCUUGAAAGUUUUUCCUAUCUCUGGCUGCCGCUGAUUUUGCUGCUAUUCUGUUUCAAUUUUUUCCUGGAAGAGAUCAAGCGAGAUCAAUGGAGGAGAGUGCAAAGAGACGGCGCGUGUGUGAAAAUGAUGGAACAGCACGAGGCGCUUCUUCCACUUACGCUUCAACAGAAGGUCAAGAAGUGGCUGCUUCAUUAGGACAUGACUAUGAAGUAUUCUUGAGCUUCAGAGGACCAGAUACUCGAGCAGGUUUUGCCGACUUCCUUUACACUAGUCUUAAAGAUGCGGGAAUCCACACAUUUAGGGACGAUGAAGAGCUCCGCGUUGGGGAAAAGUUUGCCCCAGAACUUCUCCAAGCGAUUAAGCAGUCGAAGAUCUUAAUACCUAUAUUUUCGAAAGGAUACGCCUCUAGCCCAUGGUGUCUCAAGGAGCUAGUCCAGAUGGUCGAGUGCCAGGAAAAUGGAAGACAAAAGAUCAUGCCCAUUUUUUAUGAUGUGGCACCUUCUGAGGUUCGAUACCAAACUGGGGAUAUAAAGAGGCGUUUCGUUCACAUGAAAAUAAGAAGCGAUACGAUGAAAAGACUAUGCAAGAUUGGAAGGAUGCUCUCAGCACAGUCGGGGCAAUACACGGAUGGGACCUGCACAACGAGACCAACAGGUGACUUCUCCUAGCAUUCCAUCUCAAGUGCAUUGUAUCAUUAGAACUCGAUGCAUUUCCAUUGGUUUCUUUUGUAGGUUUCUGUUAGUCUGGUUGAAAUUGAACUUUAUGCCACAUAAAUCACGCUAAAUAAUGGCACGGUCCAAAAUUUGUCAUUUUUGAUUUCAGACAACAUAUUUUUCAUUUUAGGCCAUUCAUUAACUCUCAUUACCAACGUUAGUUCAUGUAAAAUAAAAUAAAUCCUCAAAGAACACAUGCCGGAUAGGUCUGUAGUUUUCAAUUUUGCUCGUCAGAUUCAACACAAUUUUCUAACUCGUUGCCUUUUGACCUUCAACAAGCACUAGGCGAGAAGGUGAGUUUGCAAAAGAAGUCACUGAGAAGGUUUUCAGAGAAUUGAAAAAGGCUCAUUUGCUGGUAUCAAAUCGCUUGGUCAAUGUUGACAACCAAGUAGGUAAAAUCAUGGCGAUGAUAGGUGCCCAGCCAACUGAAACACGGAUUAUAGGAAUUCAUGGGAUGGGUGGCAUCGGAAAGACAACUAUUGCCAAAAUCAUCUACGAUCAACUUUCAAGCAAUUUCAAGGAUUGUUGCUUUCUGCCCAACAUCCGUGAAACGUCAAAAGUCAGGGGCAUUGCAUGCUUGCAGAAUCAACUCAUCUCUGACAUCCUCAAAGUGAAACAAACGGAUAUGAACAACGAAGAUCAAGGGAUUGAGACAAUAAAAAAAAGGUUGUCUAAUAAAAGAGUCCUUAUGCUUCUCGAUGAUGUGGAAAAAGUGAAUCAUAUUGAUGCAUUUGUAGGUAAUCGUGAUUGGUUUGGCAAAGGGAGCAAAAUUAUUAUUACUACAAGAAAUGAAGAUAUUCUCCAUGUUCCUAAUGUGGACCAAACAUAUGAGGUUGAAUGCAUGGAUCGCAAUCAAUCUCUUCAACUUUUUAGCAAACAUGCCUUCAGAAGAGAUUAUCCUUUAGAUGAGGAUAUGGUCCAAUCCAACAAGGCAAUAUGCAUUGCUGGAGGUCUUCCGCUUGCUCUAGAGGUCAUAGGCUCACUUUUAUGUUGCAUUGAAAAGAAAAAGUGGGAUGGCAAAUUGAAGGAGUGGGAAAAAAUUCCUCCUGAGGAUGUUCUGAGUAAGCUGAAAAUAAGUUAUGACGCAUUACGCGAUCAUGAACAGCGUAUAUUCCUCAAUAUAGCUUGUCUUUUCAUUGGACGUGAGAAAGACGUCGUGAUUUAUUACUGGGAUGAAUCUAGAUUUUUUCCGAAAGAAGCCAUGGAUGUUUUGGAAAACAUGUCUUUGAUGAAGAUUGAUGACAAUGAAAAAGUGUGGAUGCACGACCAAGUCAGAGACCUCGGAAGAGAAAUAGUUCGUCGAGAAAGUAACUACAAAAAAGAGGAGCAAAGUAGGGUGUGGGAUCCCGAGGAAGCAUUGGGUUUGCUGAGGAAACAAAAGGUAAAACCCUCCGUAUAAUUCAUCGCCAAGUUUCUUAUGGACAUUCUCUUUUCAAAGGGAGGCAGUUAUUUUUUGUAUUCUCUAGCACCAUUGUGACGUACUCAACCAAUAUUUUUGCUCUUUUCAAAUUAUAGGAACAAUACUACUUAACUCAAUCUCUUGAAAUAGUGAAUUUGGAUAAAUGUGUUUCCCUUCAACUCUUUUGUGUUUUUAAAAUUUUCCUUUGGGCAGAAGAAGAAAAAACUUGAAGCUCUUCGUCUCCGCUUGGACCGUCAGCGCCCUUUUGCCUAUGACGACUUUAAAAGACUACCAAAUCUAAGUUUCCUUGAAGUUUGCGGUUCAACGGGAGGUUUUUGUGCAGAAGAGAGUCUUCUUUGGCUUGAAUCGCUGUCAAAUGUUUUUCCAACUAAUGAGGAUUCGCAUCUCCUUCCACAAUUACGAUGGCUUUCUUGGCAUUAUAUCCCCCCAACAUUUAAAAUUACAAAUUUCUCUAUGGAGGAUGUGGUUAUUCUUGAUCUGUCUUGGAGUAACAUUACGCACGAGUGGCAAGGGUGGAGCCACAUGAAGGUAUCUUUUAUGGUAGGAAAAACUCAUUAUUUCGUCUUAUCAUAUUCGAAAGUAAUCUUUGCAUGAUUUUUCUUUUCACAGGUGAUGAAGAAUAUGAAAGUUCUGAAUCUCAUAUAUUGUGCUAGAUUGGAGAGAACUCCUAACUUCUCUGCUCAAUCAAAUUUAGAACGCUUGAUCCUAAGCUGGUGUGAGAAUUUAGUCGAAAUUGACGAGUCAAUUUGUCAAUUGAAACACUUAGUUUCCUUAAGAGUAGAUGGAUGUCAAAAACUUCGAAGGCUACCACAAGUGGUGCUUAGAGAUCUUGCAACUCUACAACAUUGCAAUUCGUCGGAGAGGCUUUCGGAUACAAUCGGAAAUUUGGAAUCGCUGAUUGAGUUGGAUACAUCUUGUACGGAGAUCAAAGAACUACCCGAUUCUAUCGGAAAGUGGAAAAAUUUGAAAGUACUGAAGAUUGGUAGUGCCAUGUGCAAAGUACCCGAUGCCCUCUGGAUGAUUAAGAGCCUUGAAGAAAUAGAAGUCAUUGGUUGUUCUGAUAUCGAUGUGGAAAUUGACGAUUGUAUCUACGAAAAUCGAUGCCUGAGGAGCUUGCACUUGAUGUUUGUUAGAAUGAACAAAGUACCGAGACUUCCUGAAAAUCUCGAGAUUCUAAGGUUGACUGAAAUAUAUAUGGAUACAUUUCCAGAUCUCUCAAACCUCGUUAAUUUAAAGGAAUUGGUGCUGGGGUUUGGCCGACGCAAUGAUGGUGGGGAAUCUGGUGGGCCUGUGCAAGCAUAUCCAAUGCCACGGUGGAUUGAGAAUUUAAUCAAACUGGAGUCCCUGCGCCUGUGGUCCCAUUACGUGACCACCUUACCCACGGAUCUCAGUAGUAUCCUUCCCCGACUCAAGUCACUUUCACUCGACGGUGAUCUUCUGCGUUGCCCCCCGAGCCUUCCCUCCAGUUUAUCAAGGUUCUCCUUGGGAUCUAAAUACGUGACCACCUUACCAGAUAUUAUGAGUCUUCUCCCCCAACUCCGGGAUCUUUCACUCUGGUUGUGCCCUAAUUUGCGUUGCCUCCCGAGCCUUCCCUCCACUUUAUCAUUCUUAACAUUGGAAUCUGAAUGCUUGACCGCCUUACCAACAGAUAUUAGAAGUCUCCUUCCCCAACUCGAGCAUCUUCAACUCUGGUGCCCUAAUCUGCGUUGCCUCCCGAGCCUUCCCUCCUGUCUAUCAUCGUUGCUGUUGAGCGGUUGCAAGCCAUUAUCUUCCCUGGGGGAUCUAUCAAACUUGAAGGAACUAUCAGAUCUUGUAAUCGAUGAUUGUGCAAUCUCAGAUAUUCGAUGCUGUGAUCCUUUGGAGAACCUACAACAAUUGUGUCUUCAGGAUCUUCGACAGUUGGAGACUUUACCUUCUCUAGGUAAUUUCAACAAACUACGUGAUCUUCAUGUAAUUAAAUGUGGUGAUCUGGUUGAGAUUCAAGGCGAACUACCACAAUCUUUGGAAAAAUUGAAGAUUUGUCAAUGUGGAUCUUUAAAGAAGUUGCCUGAUCUGUCACCCUUGAAGGGACUGAAAAUGGUUAAAAUAAAGUGUUGCGGGAAUUUAGACGUGGAGGCAAUUUCUUCGCUUUGCUCGGAGAAGUCAGUUGAAUUUGGGGAAGAAGACGACUACUUUGAAUGAGGGAGAAGGCGACGAGUGCGAGGAAGAAGACGACGAAUCUGAAUCUGAGGGAGAAGGCGACAAGUACGAGGAAGAAGACAGACGAAUCUGAAUAUGAGGAAGAAGACGACGAAUGAGUGCACGAUCUUUUGAAAGCUUCUUGAUCCACUUCCACAAAUUGUUACCUCGUGUUCAAGCUUUAAACGGAUUGAGGUAAGUUAAUUCAUCUGACAGCCAAUGUUUUCCCUUUUCAGCAACGUAAUUCUUUCUCGGAUAUGAACAGUGAAGUUUCACAUGCACUUUUUAAUUACCUUUUCACGAGUUGAUGACUGCAAUUCUGAUAAAGGCAUUGAAGUUAUGAUACCUCCGUACAACCAAAAGGUUGUUAAUUAUGUACAAAUAUUCGUUCUCUUUUCCUAGUUUGGUUUUGCUUUUUAGCUGGAUUUUUCUUGGAUGGUUUCUCCUUGCUUUUAUGUUUCCCAGCUGGAGGUAUGUAUGUCGAUUGCAUCGUUUUUAUUU
RNAcentral lists this long non-coding RNA (245102 nucleotides) under Eucalyptus grandis. RNAcentral describes it as "long non-coding RNA (EGRA_LNC005175)". The record is from RNAcentral. Lineage: Eukaryota; Viridiplantae; Streptophyta; Magnoliopsida; Myrtales; Myrtaceae.